GGGUGCUGAUAUAAUGUAUGAUCGAUCAUGCUUCCCUGAUCUUGUUAGAAUACUAGCCAUUCUAUUGAAUCGAAGGAAAUCAGAUUCCUCUUCACGGAAAGAGUGUUCCAAGGGCUUUAUGCUGGAUACUAAAUGUAAUACUAAUGACCUUAAUGAUUUAACUGCUGUAACAAGCAAAGGCCCAGUGGCAUAUAUUGCAACUGUCAUUCGGAACAUCGACACCUUCAGUUAUUUCCUUUCACUGGUAGAGCAGGCUAAUCUCUCAAUCACAGAUCUAACGGAAGCCAAAAUGCCCUUCAAUUUGCUUCCUUAUAUGCGGUCAUACGACCGAUCAAACAUGAGAUUGUUUACUGUGUCGUCCAAGGCUUGAUUGUAUUCUUCUCCUUCCUCCAAAAUAGUCUCUUGCAGUCGCUCACUCAACCCAUAGAUGAGCAGUUCUUGGCUUCUAGUUCUGUUAUCUAUUCUAUUGAGCUGUUGUUCGUAACUGUAACUUUCAUUGCUGUUGUACGAUUCUAAUAUCAUAAAGUAUUGAGUUAUGAGGUGAAGGUUUUUUAUUUUUUUUUUCUUGUUUUAUUUUAAGGAAAUGUAGCUUAUUGAAUUUCAAACAUUCCUGUCAUACGCAAACCAAAUGUGCGAUUUCAUUGGGUGACAAAUAAUCUUUCAUUUAUACAACCAUAUCCAACUACAUAGUAGCUUCUAAUGGAAAGAUGAAUCUUUUAAGCUAACAUAUGACUAGAAAGAGAAUCUUCAUCAAUGGUUUAAUAUAUAUAUGAGUACCAAUAAAUAACUUUUACAGUCAAUAUCGCACUAGUUUUAUAAAAAUCACAUCUUUUUAUUAAGAGGUUGGUGAGUGGGCGAAGUUGCGGUACAAAAUUUAUAUAAUCAAUUACUAAUACAGACUAAUUAAGUGUAAUAAUAUAUAUCUUAUGGUAGAUCUAGUUUGAAAAAUUGAAAAAAAUGAUUUUAAAAAAAUUACGAACAAACAAGAUAAUGCUGACGUGACCUUAGGAGCUUGUCAGAACAGUAAAAAAGUAUAAUAUGUUCUUACCAGCAGGUAAGGUUUUGUUAUGACUCGCACUUUGACAAGUGAUCUCUGAACUCUGAAGGUCAUAAAAUGGUCAUUUUGUCCAGUGUUUUCGACUUAGAAAAUGCCUGACUUUCAAGUCUUUCUAUGGCCGUCAUAGUUGAGAGAGAAUAUCACUGAUUAGUUAUUGGCCUCUUAAACCAUUUACAGGCAAUAACGGAAAUUGGGGAGGUCAUACAAUUUUAUGAUUCUGAUAGACAUUUGAUGGCGCUGUAUCACAUUGUUUUAACUUGAAUGGAAGAGCAGGUGGCUUUGAGGUAGGGGUAGCUGGAGAUUCGCAACUUUGCUAUAAUCCUUAUUUGGUUGGCUUGUCUCCCAUAACUUUUCAUUUUUAAUAACAAACAUUAUAAUAUGUUUCUACAUUUUCUGAAAAUUUCCUUGGAAUUUUAUCCUAAGAGAUGUAUAUUUUAUCCUCUUCCAUUUUUUUAUUAACUGCUGGUUUCUUUGUUUAAUAGGUAGAUGGAGUUGAAGGCAUUAUGGCUGCUUAUGCAAGCGCUCUAAACAAUGUUUCUUUGGCAGGACCGACUCUGUUUGGUCAAGUGAUCAACACAGCUGCACGAAUUGCUGGACAGUCCCUCUCAUACAACAGAAGCAAGUAUUUCGUCUUACUCAUUAUAACGGUGAUUACAAUGAUUCUAUAUAUUCACAGUUUUCUCUUUCUAUCAUUCUUUUUGGGUGAUUUGUAAAUUUGCAUUGUCUAUCUAGGAUGGAGUUCUGACAGAUCUCCAAGAAACGAAAGAUGCUUUGGUAAGGGCUUCUGAUCUUCCCCUGUCAAUUCUAAUUGUGGGUGUGGGAGGUGCGGAUUUUACACAAAUGGAGGUACACAAUGUUUUCCAACUGGAAUAUCUUCUUACUAGCAUUGAACUUCUUUUUUCUAUAGUUUGAUAGAUUCAAUUUAGAGUAUAUAUGCAGUGUGGUAUUAUCCCACUUUUGUUGCAGAUUCCUGAUGCUGAUAACUUUGUUGGCAGAUUCUUGAUGCUGAUAAUGGCCGUAGAUUAGAGAGCUCUACCGAUCGGGUAGCUACCAGAGAUAUAGUACAAUUUGUUCCAAUGCGAGAAGUUCAUAGUGGUGCAUAUGAUUCUUUGAAAAAAUUAGUUCAAACUAUUGAAUUUGGGAGUUAAUUCACAGAAGUUUCUGAAUUUUUUCAUGCCUGAACAAAGGAACCCAUUGUUUUCUGAACAGGUGGGCAAAUUUCUGUUGUACAAGCACUUUUGGAGGAGCUGCCUGGUCAGUUUUUGACCUACAUGCGCUGCAGAGAUAUCAAACCACUCAAUGUUCAAAUGGCCCAAACAUGCGCUUGAGUAAAUAUUCAUAUAUUUGGAAAGGAUACAAAACCAAGCCAAAUAUAUUAGACAAGACCAAGCCAAACAUAUUAGGCUAUACAAACAUAACAUAGCAGAAAUUGAUAAUGGUACAUUACAUAUGUUAGGAUAUAGCGGUUUUAGAUGAUGGUAAAUUACAUAUGCUAAGAUAGAGUGGUUUGUAACUAACUUUUGAUGGCUUAAUGAAUUGAUUGAAUUUGUAUUUAGAUUCUAUCAAUGAUCUCAUAUUCUUCCUAUCCAUGUCUUUCGAUUUUUAUUAUUCCCUCUACCCACUUGUUUCACAAUUGUUUGUGUCUGAUGGCCUAAAACUCCAAUUUUUGUUGCUGUAUUAUCAUCGUUGUUGAAGAUCUACUACAAUGAACAUGUGCUGAAUGUCAACUUUUACUACUACACCAGCAAUCUAACACAUGGCUCACGUGCACACUAGACAAGUCUGAUUCACACAUCUUUAAAGUGUUGUAUUAUAACUCUCUGAAACUGGGUUUGAGUAAUCAAGAAAAGCCAAAAUGUAGAACAGUGACAAUAAAAAAUGAAGACCCUCUUACAGUCUUUAACUUGAUAGAAAAAACACGAGCUGCAUACCAUGUCUCACAAAUUUCAAAGAAAAUUGGCUUCAUUCCUGAUGCUGCACAGAAGGUUGCCCUGAUCAUCUUUAAGAAAGCUCAUUUAUUACAUUAAUACAUUACAUCAGUGAGAUGAUGCUACUUUAAUGAAACUCAUGUCUCAAGUUAGGAACAGCUACAUGGGCAUUUCAUCGAACAGUUGAUAUGCUUGGCAGAUAAUUGAAGUUUCCUGGAAGUUGCAAGUGCUGCCGGCAUUUUCAAAAUUGGAAGACCAUUCAAAGGUUUUCAAUAGUUAGUUUGAUAUUACACGUGUUAUAAUCUUGUGAUGAUGAUGAUUUUAUGUAUCUGAUUGUUUGGGGGAUAUACUUCGACGAGACCAGCCGUGACGAGCAGAUACCUGGUAGCAGAGUGUACUUCGGCGAAGACCAACCGUGAUGAGCAGAUAUCUGGUAGCAGGGUCUCGCGAGCAAGUAUAUAUUGUAAGAAUCUGGCAGCAGGGGAGCAGGAGCAGGAAUAUUCUGCUCGUCCACGAAUGCACUAUCCGCGAGGCCGAUCCUCUGUUAGAAGCAUAAAGUCAUUCUAGAUAAGGCUUGAGUCGAGGAGACCCGGUCAACGACAGUUUGCGAGACGUGCUCUCCAACCCGAGAAUCAAGGCACGAAGGCUAUACAACCACCCACGAUUACAGAAGUGGAACAUCCACUUUCGAGAGGUGGGAGGAUAACGGGCGCGAAUGGAGGGAAGGUCUGAGUUCAGGAGAGGCCUAUAAAAAAGUAGCCAACGAAGGUAAAAGGGUUAAAAUUUUUGACAUUAUAAUAGAGAAAGAAAGCUCUAAAGAACGGAGACUAAAGAAAAGUCAUAAGAUUUGUGGCUAGCGUUCCUAGAACCUUCAUUUCUGACUUGAGCGUCAGAGGGUUUACGCCAGGGAAACAACCGGCGUACUCUGACCUGCUUCUGUGUACACAAGAAUUUCUGGAGAAGAAGCCUUACGAGGAGAGAUCCUGAUCGAGGUGAAGUUGAUCGAGCAGAUAUCUUGGUCGUAGAAAGAGGGCAACCAGAAUCUCACAUCAAUAUUUUGGCGCCGUCUGUAGGGAGCUGAUCAAAAAGCUUCUGUUGACAGCAAGAAGAGGAGUAAAGCAAGUGGAAAAACAAUGGAGGCAGGAGGAAGUAGUGCACAAGGGGGUGAUAUAAGGCUUAACGAUUUCGUGAUGCUGAGGGAGAUAGCCAGUGAAGCACGAGAAAAAGCCAUGUUUGACCGGAUGGAACGGAUGGAAAAGCAUAUGGAGACCCUGACAACCAUCCUACACGAGCUGCGGAGUGAACGAAGGGGAACCCUCGAGGAAAGGGUGAGAGGUGGUGGAGUGGCACCAGGUCACGAUAGUACGAGGAGAAGUCAAACCACCAGGAGAUUUGGUGGUGAGAGAGGUAAUUUAUCUCUGCGGGGAGAAAUUCAUAGAGAGGAAGAGCAAUCCCCAGCAAGACAGAUUUUUGAUGAGGACGACGGGGUGGCGAAUGCAGAGGAAACAGAGCUCAGGCAACACUUACAUGACGUAGAGCAAGAGCGUGAUCAAGUUGCAGCACGUGACCCUGGUCGUGCAGUGCAGCUGGAGGAGGAAGUGCGCAGACUAGUGCAGGUAAUUGAUGACAUGCAAGGAAGGAGCAGAGCUCCUGGUUGGAGGAUAAUGCUGGACGGAGAAUCACCGCUCGUGGCAGAGAUCAUGAGGGCAACCAUUCCAAGAGAUUUUCGCCUCCCAGACCUUAGAUAUUCGGGACGAACUGAUCCGUUGGUGCUCAUAGAGCGCUUCAACGACAUAACCGGAGUGUAAGGAUUAUCUCAAGCCCAAAGGUGCAAGGUGUUCCCACUAUCCCUAAAGGGACGUGCACGCGAGUGGUACAAGAAACUUCCUCGGGGGAGCAUUAAAACUUUCGAGCAGAUGUGCCAGGAAUUUGCAGAGCAGUUUCGUGGGGCAAUGGCACCAGAAGAUAAUAUGAUGGAGUUGAAAAACAUGAAGCAGGGGGAGCAAGAAAUCUUUCGGGAAUUCAUCAAGAGGUUUCAUCGUGUUGUCCUCGAUUUGGGAGCCUUCAACCAUCCUCAGGCAUUAAGGGGAUUGAAAGAAGGGGUGAAGAUAGGAAGGCUAUGGUACAACUUCAGAAGCCCAGUUAUUCAGACGUAUGCAGCCGUAUACGAGCAGGCUAAGAGGGACAUAGAGAUUGAGGAAGAAAAGGCAGCACGGAUUAAGACAGACCAGCUAGAAGGGUUGGGAAAGAAAGAGAAGAAAGCAUUACCAGGGAAUGGGUCGAUCAGGAGGAGGGAUCACCAGGCCUCAGGUAAUGGUGCAGGAGGUCGGGUAACCGCUUACUAGCCUCACCAGAGGCUACCACAGUAUCAGCGCAGCAGGGCGCAACCUCCUCGCUCACCAGCUAGGGAGCCUUGGAGAAGGUAUGACUCGGCAUAUGGUGGUCAUCAUCCACACUCCCACGGUAGUAGAGGGAGCAGACCAGAAGCGCUGCCACCGCCUCCAACUCAGAACGGUGCAAAUAAAGAAAGGGCAGUGCACAUGAUCGACCAGAACCAGGACUAUGGGCGGUAUACUUCCUUGAAGAUACCCCUGGACGAGGUGUACGAGGCCAUAAAGGACCGGGGACUAUUGUACCUCCCUACCCCAAUAACAAAGCUCCUCAGCAGGAGGGAUAGGGGACGCUAUUGUAAGUUCCAUGACACUCAUGGCCAUACCACUACAAAAUGCAAAGAUCUCAAGACCCAGGUUGAAGAUUUGGUGAGAAAUCGGUACCUGGACGAGUUUAUAGAUGGGACUUUUCCGAUGGUGGCCUUGACAUGUGAAGGGGAGCAGAGUGACAGAAAUUUGAGGCGCGAGCAGCCUACAGUAAGGGUGAUAGCUGGGGGCCCAACAUUGGCCAGAGAUUUCAACAGAUCGAGGAAGAAUUAUGCUAGAUACGCCAUGACUAGUAAAGAUGUAUUCUUCAACACCCCAGCAGCCAAACGAGCAAGAGUCAGGCAAGUGCCAAUCAUGUGGACAGAUGAAGAUGAAGAAGGGAUUCUAUACCCCCACUGUUGCUAGCAAGAAGUUUGAACGGAUACUGGUUGCCACAUGGAGCUCAGUUGAUGUGUUGUUUAAGUCAACUCUGGAGGAGAUGAGAAUAACAGACCUGAAGUUGGAGUACACCAAUACCUCCUUGAAGGGGUUUGGAGGAGGAAAGCUGGUUUCUCUGGGCGUGGUCAAGCUGCCUAUCACGAUUGGGAGCUCCCCAACAGAAAGGACUAUGAUACUGGACUUUGUGGUAGUGGAUGAAGAAGGUCCUUACCAGAUAAUCCUAGGUCGGCCAUUUCUGAGGAUGAGCAAAGCGGUACUGUCCAACCAUUAUCUAGCUCUCAAGUACCGGGUGAAUGGGGUAGUUGGAGUGGUACGAGGAGACCAGAGAAUCGCACGAAAGUGUUACUCCUCGGCAGCAAGGGAAACAAUGCAGAUAACAUCCCUUGAUACCCGAGUGGAAAACAAGAAUGGCAGACAAGAAUCUGUAAAGGAGCUGGAGACAGUAAGCCUGGGACCAGAGAAUCUGGGAAAAACGAUCAGAAUUGGGUCAAGACUUAAAGAAGAGCAGAAGCAGGAGUUGGUACAAUGCUUGCGGGCUCAUACAUAUGUGUUUGCUUGGACACAUGAAGACAUGCCAGGGAUUGAUCAUGAGGUCGCAUGUCAUAAGCUGGCAGUAAAGAAAGGUGCUCGAGCAGUAAGGUAGAAAAUGAGGUGCUUCAACCAGGAGAGGUAUAAGGCUAUAAAUGACGAGGUGGAAAAGCUCUUGAAAGCAGGGUUCAUUCGGGAAGUCAAUUAUCCUGAGUGGAUAUCGAAUGUGGUGUUGGUAAAAAAGGCUAAUGGCAAGUGGAGGAUGUGUGUGGAUUUCACGGACCUCAACAAGGCAUGCCCGAAAGACAGCUUUCCCUUACCAAAGAUUGACCAGCUUGUAGACUCGACAGCUGGACAUGGCCUGCUCAGCUUCAUGGACGCAUUCUCGGGAUACAACCAAAUCCCGAUGUUCGAGCAGAAUGAGAAGAGCACGGCAUUUAUUACUAACUAGGGUCUGUUCUGUUAUAGGGUAAUACCGUUCGGUCUUAAAAAUGCGGGGGCCACGUACCAGAGGCUGGUGAACAAAGUCUUUAAGCCGUUGAUUAGGAGAACAAUGGAGGUGUACGUGGACGACAUGAUAACUAAGUCGAAAAUCCCGAAAGAACAUGUCGAGCACCUCGAGGAGACAUUCGCACUUUUGAGGAAGUACAAGAUGAAGCUCAACCAGGAAAAGUGUGCUUUUGGGGUCGAGUCAGGAAAAUUCCUCGGAUUCAUGGUGAGUCAUAGGGGGAUCGAGGCAAAUCCCGAGAAGAUCCAGGCGAUCUUUCAGAUGAGGUCUCCUCGUAACCUGAAGGAGAUGCAGAGCCUUACGGGAAGGCUGGCGGCAUUGAGCCGAUUCAUAUCCAAGGCUACAGAUAAGUGUCAGCCAUUCUUUCAAGUGAUAAGGAGAGGGAAGAAAACAUAAUGGACCCCAGAAUGCGAAGAGGACUUUCAGAGCUUGAAGCAAUACUUGCAGUAAGCACUCCUGCUGUCCACACCAAGGGAUGGGGACAAGUUAUCUUUGUAUUUAGCGGUAUCAGAUCGUGCCACAAGUUCUGUUCUGGUGAGAGAGGAAGAAGGGGUUCAGUAUCCGAUAUACUACACCAGCAAGGCCCUGCUCGACGCUGAGACCCGAUACCCACCGUUGGAGAAAUGGGCACUCGCUCUUGUGGUCGCUGCUCGGAAGCUGAGACCGUACUUUCAAGCAUUCCCCGUCUCGGUAAUAACAAACCAGCCGUUACGUCAAACCCUACACAAGCCGGAUGCCUUUGGUCGGCUCGUGAAGUGGGCUAUAGAGCUGAGCGAGUUCGACAUUGAUUACAAACCCCGAGCAACGAUAAAAGGCGCAAGCAAUGGCCGAUUUCAUAGCAGAGUUUGCAGAGCCUAAAAUAUGUUUGGACCAGCUAGAUAUUGCUACAGAUAGCAGCGAAGCCCGAGUAUGGCAAAUGUCUGUAGAUGGGUCAUCAGGGGAUCAGGGAUCAGGAGCAAGAAUUGUCUUGGAAGGCCCAGAGGGGGAGGAGAUCUCUUAUGCUGUAAAGAUGAGACCAGAAGCCAAAUAAAUAAAUAAACCAAAACUCAAAUACGAGAAGGCAAAUAAGAAUAAUUUUAUUAAGCUUCUAAUAAUCUGCAAAGCUGCUACAUAGAAUGUUCAAAAAGCAAUUACAGCACAAGACAAAUUUAGGAGGACGGCGGAUCAGUAAGCCGGGCCACCUCGAUUGGCUAGUCCACUUCAGGCGCAGGGGGGGUAUCACCAGUUGCGUCCGGGGGGAUACUCGCCUCACCAACAUCAGCAGGGAUUGCACGAGGAGGAGAGUCUUCCUCCUCAACCACAAUUGGCACCACCUCUUCGGCAUCCUCUUUUGCGGCCUCCUCGUCCAUAUGUUGGGCAACACCAGCUGCAAGGUCAUCCAUCUUUAGAUCAGGAUGCUGCUUCUCGAGGACGGCCAUGAUGCAACAAUAGGAAUGCCGAAGUCCCUGGUCGUACUGGUUGUCAGCUUCCUUUUCCAAGUUCUCGACCUGAACCCGGUGGGAAUCACGAAAAGACUCAAGUUGAGCCUCAUACAUAGCCUUCUGCCUUUGCAGAUCCUCCUUGACCUUGGCCAGCUCUUCCUCGAGGGUAAUGGCCUUUGCUUGAGCAAGAGAUUCUCGCUCAAUUAACUUCAGAUUCUCGAGAUUCAGGUCUCCUGCUUUCUUCUCGGCAUUGUCAGCUCUGGUCAUCGCUGACUGAAUGUCCUCCUUCAUCUUCCGGUCGUAACGGCCUACCUUGGCCUUAUAGUAAGUGGUCAUGCAGCUGAGAUGGAAAGCGCUAUACUGCAUGGCCCCCACUAGCUCACCUAGGGUGCAGCCAUCAAAGUCCUCCAGGUCUUUCUUGCUCACGAGUUUAGAUAGCUCGUUGAGAUAAGGGACCAAGUGCUCUGGUCGGUUGUCAGAUAAACGAGAUCUAGGCCCGACAGGAGGAGAAGAGGAAGCAGGAUUAGUGGCUGCUCCACUAGUUUCUCCGACUUUGGCAGGAGGAGGAGAUAGAGUCUUCAAGGGGAGAACCUGCUGCACAAUGUUCACCCGUUUCGUAGUAGGAGCGCUCUUGUUCUGGUCUCUCUUCGCAGUUUGAGGUCGAAGACGUUUCCGAGUCAGAGCCCCGAUCACAGCGUCCUCCAUCCCAGAGUCAGUGGUCACCAAACGAGACUCGAGCAGGUUAUAAGUAGUUAGCAGCUCUCGGCUCGAGCAGGAAUUGGCCAGUACAACUUCGACCCAUUUGAGCUGGUCGGGUUUGAGUGGGAAGUGAACACCCCAAGAACCUGCAAUACGAACAGACAUUUGGUUAGAGACAAACCAGUAAAGUAAGAACAACUAUAGAGACAAGACAUCGAAAGCGAGCAGGCAACCUGGGACCACGAAACGGGGUGGGAUGCGACAAUCCUUCCCGUCAAUCUGUGCAACUUGACCCGAGGGACCCCCAGCAAAAAAGAAAUUUUUCUUCCAAUUCCCACCACCACCAGUUGGAAGAUCGGUUAUGGGUUUCCUGGUUUUAGUAGUUGAUUGGAAGUAAUACCAGCCGGCAUCUUUGGGGCUACUUUUCAGCUGGUACAGGUACUUCACCUCAUCAACUGUGGGCUCGCUUUGGCAACAUCUGUCCCACAAGAUGAACAGACCAGAGAGUACUCUCCACCCGUUGGGGUUCAGCUGACCAGGAGCUAAAUUUAGCCCGUUGAGUAUUCGGGCAAAGUAGGGUUGCAGGGGACACCUCAACCCAUACUUAAAACUCUCUAGAAACAGGGUAACAUAUCCCCUAGGAGGCCGGCUAAGAGUAUCCUUCUUUCCUGAGACCUUAAGAGGAAUUUCAUUUGGAAUAUCAUACCUAACCCGAAGAUCAUAGAGCUCGUCAAAUGUGGUCAUACACGUGAUGAAAUCAAUGGCGUAAUCCUGUGAAUGGGCUCUACCUCCUACUGUACUCCUCACUUCUGGUCGCGAUAUUUCUGGUGAGGGCAUCUCACCAGAAUCACCUCCCUGGUCCUCACUCAGGGUGUCUUCCGAGCCAGAUGAUCCCUCGUCACCGCUAUUUCGGCUCGAGAAGGUUGUUUGGGGGACAUUCUCCUAGCACUAGUCCCAACACUAGAUCUAAUGGGUUCUAAGGGGAUCCCAGGGUCAAAGGCAGCAUCGGCGAGUAGAUUAGGUAGGAAGUCUAACUCGUCGUCAUCAACCUCAAUGAUUUUCUCUUUACCUUUCGACAUUCCCUAAGCUAUAACCCGAGCACCACCACCACUAACUAGUACCCAAGCAAAACAGAGAGAAAAGAGAUAUCAACAACUAUCCAAGACCGAGGAAAUAGGAGUAAUACCUGAAGUAGUGGCUCAGUCGAAGGGAGACAGGGAUGGAUGCUUUUAUGCCGAAACUCGUUCGCUGGAGAGAUAAACGUGGAGUAAACGACGAGUUUCUAGUUUGGGGGUUUUGAAUGUUCCUAAUGAGGAACAAACCCAUGGGCUGCCAGCAUUUAACGGCACCAAAUCCCAAGGGUUUCGUAACCCUUGGUUUGAAAUUCAAAUGGAGGGAUAGAUUUCUGCCACAUCACCUCAUCCGUAAUUAAAUGCGACACGACUCUUGGCAGCCUUUUCGUGCCCUACGCAAGCCAAAACCGUUGAGUUUCUACUGUCGGCUCACUAUGUUACCCAACACCAGAAACUGGGGGACCGGUGUUUGGGGGAUAUACUUCGACGAGACCAGCCGUGACGAGCAGAUACCUGGCAGCAGAGUGUACUUCGGCGAAGACCAGCAGUAAUGAGCAGACAUUUGGUAGUAGGGUCUCGCGAGCAAGUAUAUACUGUAAGAAUCUGGCAGCAGGGGAGCAGGAGCAGGAAUAUUCUGCUCGUCCAUGAAUGCACCAUCCGCGAGGCCGAUCCUCUAUUAGAAGCAUAAAGCCAUUCCAGCUAAGGCUUGAGUCGAGGAGACCCGGUCAACGACAGUUGGCGAGACGUGCUCUCCAACCCGAGAAUCAAGGCACGAAGGCCAUACAACCACCUACGAUUACAGAAGUGGAACAUCCACUUUCGAGAGGUAGGAGGAUAACAGGCGCGAAUGGAGGGAAGGUCUGAGUUCAGGAGAGGCCUAUAAAAAGGUAGCCAACGAAGGUAAAAGGGUUAGAAUUUUUGACAUUAUAAUAGAGAAAAGAAAGCUCUAAAGAACGGAGACUAAAGAAAAGUCAUUAGAUUUGUGGCUAGCGAUCCCAGAACCUUCAUUUCUGACUUGAGCGUCGGAGAGUUUACGCCGGGGAAACAACCGGCGUACUCUGACCUGCUUCUGUGUACGCAGGAACUUCUGGAGAAGAAGCCUUACGAGGAGAGAUCCUGAUCAAGGUGAAGUUGAUCGAGCAGAUAUCCUGGUCGUAGAAAGAGGGCAACCAGAAUCUCGCAUCAACACUGAUUAUAAGCUAAGCUCAAUAGAUUUGUAAGUAAGCACACGGCAAAGUAUUUAAUCUUCUUAUUGUCGCAUUCUUCUAAUCAAUUAGCUUUCACCAACAAAAAUAAUUAAUAAUAAUGUAAAUGGAGGAACUUGGGAUCAUUAAUACCAGUAAACUACAACUUCACCUAAGCUCCUAGGAGGUUCCACAUGUUGUCUACAGUGAGCAAUUGACCAGUAAACUUUCAUUUUUCCAUAAUUUUCUAUAUAAAAUCUUGAUAUUUUCAUGAAAUUACAUAAUUUAAGAAACUGUCUCCAAAAAAUACCAAUAGGUGCACGAACACAAAUAUGAUGCACACAUCUCUUUAAUUAAUUUAGGGCUUAAAGAGAUUUUAAGAUGCCUACAAAUUGAAUAUGGCAGAUCUUGGACACCAUCCAUAAGAAAUAAAACUAGCCUCAAAUUGGAUUUCUGAGUACUCAAACAAAGCUAAAAGCAUAAUAACGAAUGAAAACUGAAACAAAAAAUCGUCUCACCAACACCAUCUGACUCUUAAUAUGUACAAAGAACUCGAGCUCGAGCCUUAUCCAAAAUGCUGCACAAGUCGCGGAAAUCGUCUUUGUAAGUUUGGAGACUCUGUAGACAAAGAGUAAAAACACAUUGAAGGUGCAGUUUUCACAUAAUUAAAUUGCACAAAUUAGACACAGAAAUCCUUCAAUUCUCUCUGUGAGCAAUUAAUUUCAUUUUUUUUUUUCGCUAUGUCUGUCUAACAACUAAUCCUCAACAUAACAACAGAGCAGAGUAGUUAUAUUUUAAAAAGAUGUACCAAUAUGAUUUAACAAAAAAUUCAACAUAAAUAAAACAUUUUUAAUCAGUAAAAUAGAAUCAAAUCAAAACCUCCCAAAUUAUAUAGAUUUUAUCUUACCACUGUUUUUCGCAUCUUUCUCCUUUUCAUUCGCCUUGGCGGACUUCUCUUUCUCUUUUUCCUCCUCUUCCUAAUCAGAUUUAAAAUGAAUUUAUAAAAAAAUUAAUAUGUACUUUUUUCUUUUUACUUUUUUAUAUAUAUCUGUUAUUAAAUCAGUAAUUUUUAGAAAAAAAUAAAUAAAUCAACAUCUUAUAGUGAAUGAAUACUUACCUUUUUUCUUUUAAGAUAUACGUAUUGAAUGGUUGUAUUAAGGUCCCGAUCCCAAGCCCAAAGUUCAUUAUCAAACACGCUCAGCUGCACUUUCUGUAACUUGGGUGUGCUUAAUUCCCCUUCUGAGAAAAUCUUCAUAUUGGGGCAACGAUCCACCACUAAUGUUCCCAGAGAUGGGAAUUUGAAGGCGCAAUUAUUCCCAGAGCAGCUGAAACUUGUCAGACUUUCUAAGUCCCAAAGCUUCAAUUCCUUUAAUUCGCUGAAAACAAUUUCAUCUUUUGCUGCAUAAUUAUCUCCCUCAUCAUCCUCAUCUGCCACUAUUUCUGUUAUCAUCACGCAUGAGUAUAUCAUCAUUUGUCUCAGUCGCACCAGACUCCUUGCCGUUGAGGAUGUUAGAACGUUGAUCAUUCCACGGCAACCACAUACCGUCAAAGUUGUUAGGUUCUGAAAGGAUGUCGAGGAUGGUUGAAUAUCUCCAGCUGUUCCAAAUUGUUAGUAUUGGUUGAUUCUUGUUUGAAAAUCUGCUUCAGUUCACGACGCUGGUUUAUCCCUCUCAUCAUUGCUGCCAUCCCAUUUUCAACGUUUUUAAAUGAUGUGUACAAAGCCUCAUUGUUCCCUCCUAUAGAGAGAAUUUUGAUGGUGUGAAAUCUCUGGAGGAAGUCGUCAAGUGAUAAAAUAGUACUUGACUCAUCAAGCCGGACAUCAAGACACUUAAGUUUGCAAAGCCAGUCUUCUGGAAAUAGGCGUAUGUGCUUUUCAUCAACACUCAAUUUCUCCAAAUUGCGGAACACCUGGGUGAUCAUCAAUCACGAAAAAAGCAAGAUGGAGUUAACACUUCUUUCUUACGAUUUCACAAAUUAAAGUAAAUACAAAGCAUUCCAAUGAUGCAUAUUGAUGGCCAAACAAAUUUAUAGAUAUGCGGAGAGAGUAAGAUUUUCAGCUGUAAAUACAAAGUAAAAACAAAGCAUUCCAUUUAAGUAAUGUGUAUUUUCAGCUGUAUAUUAUUUAUGUUACCACGAGAUGACCAAUUUCCAGUUCAACAUCAAAAUUGAUAAUCAUUUUGUAUGUAACAAUACUGUACUAAGGAGUACUAAUUUGGAAAUAGCUCUUGAACGAUUUUCAGGGAAUUAACUAUGGCUUGAAAAACUCUAAAUCUUAUGAGUAUUUUCUUUGUUUGGCUAAUCAAAUGCCCUGUCUCUUCCGUGUAUUUAACUAAACAUGUAGAUAUAAAAUAAAAAGUACAGGAAGAAGAAAAACUCUGAUAAUUAAGAGAAAAAAAAUUGAAUAAGAAGAAAAAAAAUUAUUUACUAAAUAUCUUUUUUUUUUUCAUUCGGUCUAACUGACAUCCAAAAAAAAAAUAAUUAUGUUUGUAAGGAUAUUAUAAAGUAUAAAUAAACUGAUUUAUAUAACUAACAUUUUGUCACUAAAAGACGAAGUGAUGAGGGCGAUGACGCCAAUAAAAUUCUGAACUCUCAAAGUAGAAAUACUUUUCUGUACGUGAGAAUUGAAAAAUAAUUACAAAAAUCUUGCACGCGUACCUUUUCAAAAUGCAGAUCACCUGUGCAGAAGCUUGUAAGCUGCGGAAGAGAACGAAGCUCAAGUGUCCUAAAUUGAGUGAGUUCAAUCACUUCAGUACCGUUAUUAUUGCUGGAUUCAUCUCCUCUCUCGGCAGCAAAAAUCACUUCCAUAUUUUGGCAACUACUCACUUCAAUGGACUGAAGUUGUUGAAGGCCUCCGCCAAUGACCAAUGGAAAUACAUUUUUCAACUUAUCACACCCUUCCACCUCUAUGUUCUUUAAUUUGCAAAAAGACUCUGCUGUGGGUGGACCACGACAUAUUUCCUCAAGGUUCCUUAAAUCUCUCAGAAAUAAUGACUCCAAAAGAGGGAAUGCAGUCGUCGGAGCUGGCGUACAAUCCAUCGUGUCAACAAGACGAACAAGGUUGCCAUUACGUCGGAUUUCGAGACGAUUCAGCUGUGGAAAACCUUCUCUGCCUGGUUCACAAAGAACAUUCUUCAUGUCCGGCAAUCCAUCUAAAGUUAGGUCUUCAAUACCCUUCAAUUGCAUGAUAUGCCCCUCGUUCAAGCAAAUGUUGGCACCAUUUGUGAGCUUCAGUCUGAAGAUUCUAGAAAUCCCAUCCCAUGCGCCAUAUUCCCUACAAUUUCCUAUCAAUAUCCUGUACCUUUGCAGCAUUUUGAAGAACGACAAGUCUCUUGGUAGAGCCUUUUCAUCUUGGAUGAAUAUUUCUAAAGAGGUCAAUUUAGAUAAAUUAUUCAACUCAUCAAGGCUGGCAUUUCUUCUUACACUGUCGAUCCCUACCCUCCCCCACUGAAUGUGACUCUUACCAAUAUACAGUUCUUCUAAUCGUGAUAAGCUUGAUAUGACAUUUGGUGGAAUAACUUUUAGAAAGAAACAUUUGCUCAGAUCCAACAACCUCAACUGAGUCAGCCGGCCUAUCUCUUCAACCAGUUCCUCCAUAUCAGAACCUCGAAGCGUAAGGAUAACUAAUGUCUUUAGGUCUCCGAUAAUAGCUAUGUCUCCUAGUUGGCAAUCAUCGAGAGACAAUGUUUGAAGGUUUUGUAAGAGACCAAGCGAUGGAGGCAAAGGCAACAAAUGCAUCGUAGUGAAAUCUAAAACUCUAAGCUCUGUCAUAUCAGUAAAAAUGUUAUCUGGAAUUCUCAAAGAAGGAUCAUUGCGAAUACGAAAGUAUUUAAGUUGCGGACAGUCGAACCCUUGAGGAAGCCCACUAAUAUUAGUAUUAAAUAAGGAGAUUGCGGUGCAAACCUUCAGUGUAUCCUUAUCUGGCCAGCAGGUCAGCGGAACAUUCUCAUUUUCCACCGCAAACACAUAUUGGUCUCUAGAUGCAAUUGAUAUGGCUACAUCACGAACAACAUCAUGCAUAGAAAACCUUUCACUAGUAUCGCCAUCAAGCAGCAAGCAAGAGUUCUUGAGUUUAUCAACCAAUGUAUGUGCUCUAUCCCGUGCCUCAUCCACCGUGUUGAUGUUUUGAAACAGACCCAAACCCAUGCCACGAUAAAGCAAGUCUUUAACGUUACAUAUGUAGGAGUAUCCUAUUAGCAAAAGCGUUUUCCUGAGUUCCUCACCUCCUAACUGAUUGUAACUCAACUCGAUAGUUGAAUAAGCGGCCACCGCUUGUGUCCCAGAGAAACUUCUCAAAAAAGGCCUUUCUAAUUGUCGUAAAGCAUUCCUCCAUUCAUACGGACUCUUAUUUUUCAAUGCCUUCGCUAUGGGUACAAUGGCAAUGGGCAAGCCCGCACAUUCCUUGACUAUCUCUGCUGCUACAGAUUUCAGUUCACCAUUUUCUAUGCAAUCACCUGUCAUCUUCUCGAAAAGACUCCAAGCUUCUUUUUCAUUCAGAACAUCAACAAAAAAUUUUUGUUGACAAUCCAUCUCACAAGACAACACAUCUUGACUUCUUGCUGUGAGCAGAACUUUACAUCCGCCCUUAUCAUCUGCCAAUGGAAUUCCAAUGGCCUCCAAAUCAAGACUCCCCCAAAUAUCAUCCAAGAUUAUAAGGAUCUUCGUCUCUUUCUUCAAUCGUUCAAGCAGCCUCCCUGCUCUUACAGUUUCAUGACUCUGUUCAGCCAAUUCUAAGCCUAUCUUCUCUGCGAUUUCUCCUUGUAUAUUUUUUAUUUGCGGUGUUUGGGAAACACGUGAAGAAAUGACCUUCUCAAAGAGAUUAUUUUCCUUGACCUGCCUGCCAACUUCUUUCACCAGCGUUGUCUUUCCAAUCCCACCCAUCCCGUACACUCCAAUCAUGUUGAAGUUACGGUUGCUCAGUGCAUCUAGUAUCUCCUUCAAGGUGGACUUUCUCGAUUCAAAGUGCAUGAAAUCCCAGGUAGACUUAAGCCAUGUCUCCUCUGGAAUGGUACGGAAGGAAACACUGUCGAAGUUCCCUUUUUCACGGAGUCUAACAAGAGCAUUCGCCUCUCUUUCUGCUUUCUUGCUAAGCUGGUACCGAGUCCUCAAAUUUGGACACAACCCUUUCAGACACCGGUUGUUUGACUUCUCUUUGUCUUCAAUAAGUGUUUCGACUUCAUUGAUGAGCUUGUCCACACUAAUCAGCCACUUCUCAACGCGCUGUUGAAUUCCGUCCCCUUUAAUUCGGGAAUCAUCAACCUCAUACUGCACACUUUCUCUAGCAUUCUUUAGCUUAUCGACUUCAUUAUUCAGCUUCUCGAAGUUGGUCUUGUAGGUGCAGCAGUAAGUAAAUGGAUGAAUUAUGGGAGCAACCAAGUACUCUGCAACUUUUGCAGCAACGGAGAUAACAAUUUCCAUUAUCCCUUUCUUUUUUAUUUUUUGCUUUCAGAAAACAGGGGAAAGCAAAACUAAUCAAACUAAGCAGAAGUAAUCAAUCGGGUGGGAAGAGGGAAAUAAGAGGUUUGGAUAAAUUGCUAAAAUAAGAGGUUGAAUAGAUUUAAGGGAGGAAGGGAGGAAAAGAGUGAAAAGUCUAGAGAUGAAACAAAGGGGGACCUUUCUCUGAUAAGACAAAUUGAAAAGCGAGUGCAAUGAAAGAUUUGCAAAGAAGGUGUAGGAUCGAGGACAAGAACGAUUCAGAAAAGGGAGACAGAAAAUGAAGAAGAGAUUUCGGAGAACUCUAGAGAUUAGAGAAGAGGGAUGAUUAGGAUAAUGCAGAGGCAGACGGUUGUGAUCUCAAGUCUCAAGGGUAAUCUGAAUACUGCAAAAUGCCAAACUAAAUUCAUACGAGGAGAAGACUCGUGCUUCCAAGUCAACUAGAUUCUUAAUAUCUGAGAUAGAUGAUUUUUUUUAUAAUUGCAUGUAAAUAGUGUUAAAGUUAUAGGUUAAUUGGACAGCGGAAGGUGGCAUUUUGGCAUUUCAUUGAAUUUUCUUGUUACCAGUAAGUGCUAUGCUGCCGUUGCCGGACUUUAUGAUUUUUUUUUUUUUGAAUUUUCAUUGAAUUUUCUUGCGCUUUUCUAAUAACUCUGCUGUAAAGCCCAAGUUUCGGGACUUUAUGACUUUUUUUUUUAUAAAAAAUUUUCAUUGAAUUUUCUUGCGCUUUUCUAAUAACUCUGCUGUAAAGCCCAAGUUUCCGGAUAUAUGUGAUUAAAAGCUAAGCCAGUGGAUUUGUAAGCGAGCCCACGGCGAAGAAUUUGAGCAAGUAUUUUUAUCUUCUUAUUGUCACAUUCUUCUAAUUAAUUUGCUUUCACCAACAAGUAUAAUUAAUAAUUUGUAAAUAGUUGGAUCUUAAGCUCAAAUUUUGACAAUACAUGAAUGGUAAUGUAUACAUAUUUUUCAAGUGUAAACUCUAUUUAAGAGAGGAUCUCAAUUUUUAAGUUGAGAAGACUCGUGCUUCCAAGAUUCUAUCGUGUAUAAUGGGCAAGACAAUCUUUUUACUUCAAAAAUUUUACAUAAAUUUUUGUGGUUUGAUGGCGUCAAAUUCAAUGGAAACGAAAUAAGUGACUUGAAAAGAUCAAUUGAUCAGUGAUUUGUCAAAAGUUUACUGAUAUUAUUACCCUCCGACACGAUUUUAAGCUUUAUAUCCAGACUAGGGUGACAAAUAUCGUAGCACUACAAUCAUCAAUCUUACUUAGAUAUAAUUAUUUUUAUCUUCUUAUUGUCAUAUUCUUCUAAUCAAUUUUUUUCUUGUUUAUCAACAGAUAUAAUUAAAAAUGUGAAUGUUGGAUCUUGGACUGAAAUCUUUAAAUUUAAAAUCAUGAUCAUUUUAUCAGUAAACUGCAACUCUAUCUUGAUCAAAGUUUUCACCGAAGCAAACAAAGAUUAGUGAUUAGAUGUUAAUAAACAUUAAAAAAAAAUGCUAAUACACGAAUAAUAAGGUAUGCUAAGCGAUUAGACUAAAAAAAAAUGCAGGGGCACAUGUUUGAUCUCAAGACUCAAUGGGUAAUCUGAAUAAUGCAAAAAUGCCAAACUAAAUUUAUAUGAGGAGAAGACUCGUACUUCCAAGUCAACUAGAUUCUCAAUGAUUGAGAUAGAUAGUUAUAAGGGUUAUUAUGGUUUCAAUUUUUUUAAAAACAAUUAUAAGAUAUAAAAUAACUAUAAGAAGUAUUGGUGUUAUCAUUUUAUUAGUAUAUCUUUAAAAAAAACCUUUUAUUUUAUAAUAUUUUUGUUAAAAUUGUGAGUCCAAAACUAACGUCAUACUAAUAUGAAAGGGCUAAAAGUGUCUUUACAUUCAAAACUAUGAUAAAAUUGUAUGCAAAUUAACAUUACAAGGGCAGCAUAUUUAUUAUUGGUUAAGAAAGAGGGAAAAAAAAUUGGAAUCUCAAAUAUCUAGCGUCAUCGUUAUCUUUUUUUCUUCAUUUUUUUUUCUUUUUUCAGACAGUGGUCCGCCAUCUUUGAAAAAUUAUUGGCACUUUCGAAUGGGCAUUAAGCCGUGCAUUGGCAUUGAUGGUCUCAUCUGAAAGAGGAAUUAGAGGAAUUUUGGUAGCAGCAGUGGCUGUGCAAUUUUUUUUAAAAUGAUUUAUCUCUAGGAAUGCGUGAUCAAUUUGAAAGUGGAUUUUAUAUCAAAUUUCUUUGAGAUUGCUUUUCGAUUGAUCAGUUUGAUUUGGCUAUGGAAUGAUGGUUUUAUUACUAUGAGUUUGAAGGAUUUAUGAAAUAGAAAUUAAGAUUGAUAGAAAACAUAUUGAUCUCCGAGUUUUAAUGGCAGUUUCAACUUGUUAUCUUCAAGCCUCACCGGUGGUUUCAAUUUGAUACUUUGAUGAGAGCAAAAUUAGCAAUUUAGCACUAGAGGAAGAUAUUUAAUCACAAGUAUAAGAAGUUUUGACAGCGAAGAGAGGUAUUCUUCAACUAGGUUUAAUUUUUUAUUUUUGUUUUCUUAUGUUUUUAUUCAAAAUUUAAUUAAAUUUUAAAAUAAGGCCAUACUUGAUAUUUUAUUAGUUAACUAACAAUGAUAAACAGAAAUAUAGUAAAAUGAAAGAUUUUACAAAGAUACAAUAACAAAAUGCUAAACAUUAAUUUUUUUUUAUGGUAGUUUUUGAUAAUUUUAAGUGUUUAUUAAAUAUUUUACUAUUGUAAUUUAAAAAUUACAUUUGAUAAGCAAUAAUAGGAGAGAGAGAGAGAAUUAGGCUGCGUUUAUUUUUUGGAUUGGAUUGGGAAUCCUGAGGAGUGGGAACCCUAGGAUUGGGAGUGUGGAGUGGGAGUGGGAGUGAGAGUAGGUUGUUUACUUACACUGGAAUGGAAGCAUGGAAUAGAGAUCAGAAUUCAAUUUAUGUGUUUACUUUGUCUUGAAUUGUGAGUAAAUAGUUUCAAAUUAUAAUUUUAUACUUAUUUAAAGAAUUAUAGUUUUUAAUUACAAAACUAAUAAAAAAUAUAUUUAAUGAAUAAUAUUUAUUUUAUUAUAUUUGUAAAUUUAUUAUAAUUAUUAAUAUUCUUAAUUAUGAACAAUAAAUUAUUAAUUUUAAUAUAAAAUGAAACCUUAUUUUAUUUUAUUUAAUAUAAUUAUAUUAAAUUUAUUAUUAUAUAAAAUAAUAAUAUAAUAUUAUUUAGUACAAAAUUAAUAUUUUCUUAGAAUAAACUAUUUAUUAUUAUUAUUAAAUAAAUAUAGUACUAUUAUUUUUAAAAUAAAUAUAAUAAUAUUAUAUUUAUUAAUUCUCUAUUAAUAUAAUAUUAUUAUUUUAAAACAAUUUUAACUUAGAAUCAAUGCAAAUUAUUAUUUAGUUAAAUAUAAUAUUAUUAUUCAAAUAAAUAUAAUAAUAUUAUUCAAAUAAAUAUAAUAUUAUUUAUUUUAUUUUAUUAAUUAUUAUAUUAAAUUAAAUUAAAUUAAAAAUAAAAGGGUAAAAAAGGCAGAGGUGGAAGUGGAUUCCCACUCCCACCUCCCCCAAUGGGAGUCCCACUCCCACUCCCCACUCCAAAAAUGGGUGGAGCCCACGGAAUGAGAUUCUCAAUCUCUUCCCAUUUUGAGGAAGUAAACGCUGGAGUGGGAGGAAUCCACACUCCUCACUCCCACUCCAGCAAGUAAACACAACCUAAAUAGAUUGAGAAUGAUUUUUGAUUCAGGGCGAGUUUUCGAGUGCUUUACGAACAAUCAAAAUGCUAAUCCUAUUAGCCAAUAAACACAAGUGUUUUGUAAAGAACAUUACGGGAAAAACCCUCUAUAUAAAUAACAAUCGUGUAAUUACGGAGGGCGUGUCUUAAUUACAUGGCAGUUACAUUCAAUAACAACAAUAUUACAGUUGUCUUGUACCAACAAAGUGUUAGCUCCACUGGCAAUGGAGUCCCCUUAAGUGGCUUGAUUGGGUUUGCUCCCAAGUUUGAGUCGCAGGGAAGUCGCCUUUGUUGGGAGAACAUGUGCCUCCCGGUUCGAGUGGGGACUUCUAGUCUGAGUUGUGGUACGGACUUAAAAGUGUCUCCCACAGUUGGGGCCCUUCCCAGAAUACCUCAUGAUUAUAUCAAAAAAAAAAAUAUCACAGUUGUCUUGUUCUUUCACUGUUGAUAAUUAGAAUGAGCUGAUGAAGGCCAAGAGACCCAAAGUGAAGUGACCCAUGUGCUUUCCUAAUUACCCUGCUACAAACUAUAAAGCCGAAGUUUGCGGACUUUAUUAUCAUUUAAAAAAAAAAAUAGAUAUACAAAUAAAAAGACAAAAGAUGAGACUUAUAGUACUAGUGGGGGGCCCCCUGGGUCCUCAACUUCUUCAAAUCAAAUGGGCAUUUUAUCGAACAGUGGAUAUACUCGGCAUCUGCACUUGGAAGACGCGUUAAAAAAUUCUACAUCAUGUUAAAGUCAACUAGAAAGACAAAACAUAGAAAGCGACAAUCCAACAACUCAGUUAAAAUAUUCGCUGUAACAAAUGGUUGCGAUGACGUGUAUAUUUGGGAACAUCAAAUAUAAACAAAGACCAUGUGAAAAAGAAAAGCAAAAAGCUAGAAAUGAAAAAAGGGAGUACAGUGAAAGAUCUGCAAAGAAGGUUUAGGACAACGAUUAUUAUGAAAACGGGACCAGAAGAUGUAUAAGGGAUUUCAGAGAAUUUGAGAGAAGUGGGAUGAUUAAGAAAAUGCAGGAGCAGGACAUUUAUGACCUCUAUUAGUAAUUUGAUUUCGUGAAUCAUUUUCAGAAACAAAAUAAUGCAAACAAUUGGAGACUAGGUGAUGAUAAUGAAAGAUCACAUAACCUACUGGAUAAUUUAUGGAAAAUUUAUACUAAUAACCAUAAACAUUUUAGUUUUUUUCAUCUUAAUCCCCCAAACAAAUUUCUAUCAACAUUAGCCAUAAAAGACUCUUUGAGACCAAAAUAUCAUUCUCCCUCAUCUCCCUUUCACGCAUCUCUCCCAAACCAAACAAACACCCAUCAUCGGCACACCCAUCAUCGGCGGCAACAUCACCCAUCAUCGGCGGCAACAUCACCCGUCCAUUUAACAAAACUUAAGUUAGCCAUUUAACUUAUUUUCAUUAAUUUAAAAUGAAAUUUGAGAUUAAUAAUGGUUAUAAUUUGAGAAUAAUGGUGAUGGUGAUAGUGGUGGUGGUGUUUGUGGUGGUGAUUGUUAUUAUUUUGGGAGUAUAUUGAUUUGAGAGUAUAUUGAAUUGGGAAAUGAUUUGGGGAAUUUUAGGGGGGAUGGGGGUGGCAGUGCGCGCGCGCACUCGCGCGGCCCGCUACUGCACCAAUUUGGUGCGACAGCACGGCUCUGUUGCACCAUUUUUGGUGUGACAGGCACAUUUUUGCCUGUCGCACCAAAAAUUACAGUGGUAUUUUUUUUUUACAAGUCAAGUUUUUUUUUUUUUUUUGCUGUAAAUGUAAUGUAAUAAUUUUAUAAAUAUUACAGAUACAUGGCGAAAUCAGAAUCACCGGAUAUCGAAGUAGGCAAGAUGUAUUUUGGUUAUGCUGAUCACUUUCCUAGUCGAAUUUCGAGCAUGUGUAAGUUAUCUUCGGUCGUAAAAGUCAUCGAGGAAAAAUUAACAAAGCGGCAGUUGAAUAUGUUCAAGAAGGAUAUAUUUGGGAAUUUCUUGGAGUGUCGAAGUUUUCCAUUUAGUGGGGUAAUUUUGCACAAUCUUUUACUAAGGCAAGUGGCCCAUGAAGAAGAUAGCCGUGAGGAUCAGUUAUGGUUUCAAAUUGGUGAGCAUUUGAUUCGCUUGUCAAUUGUAGAAUGGUGCUUGGUUACUGGACUUUCAUAUAGUGUUGAUACCCAACUAAGUGAUGACAAAAAGUGGAUAGGCUACGGAAAACAUAAUUUGGUGGUGCGCAUCACAAGAUCAAUGUUAAGGAAUUCGAUGCAUUAUUUAAGGAGUUGAAAUUCGAGGAAAUGGACGAUAUGGACGCAUUAAAGAUUGUGCUCUUUUAUUUUGCGGACAGAGUACUAAAUGCAAAAAAAAGUCACUGUCAAAUCAAUUUCGAUUGGUUUAAUGAAGUUGAUGAUAUACAGUACUUCCGAAACCGUCCAUGGGGUCUUGUGUCGUGGGAAAUGGUAUAUGUUAGUCUUGAUGAUGCACUAUUCGAGAAAGACGAGAAAUUUAAGACGACUCAGUUGAAAAACCCAGAUCAUAACAUUGAAAAGUACAAUCUUUACGGCUUUACGUCUGGUGUUCAGGUGCGUUGUUUUUUUGUUUAUUAAUAAGUUUUAUAGUAUUAAAUAUUUGAUAGAUGUGUUAAUAGAUUUUUCACUUUGGUUGUUGCAGGCUUGGAUUUACGAAGCGAUCGGAGGUUUGCCGUCAACAUGGGUCGUGAAAACGAAGAACAAGAUUCCUCGCAUCGUGUAAUGGAAGUGUUGUGCAAAUUUUAAUGUACUCGCAAGCGCACGAAUCUAUUGUAGUAUAGAUCAAUGGUGACGAGUGUCGAUCCCACGAGGAGGUGGAUUUUAAUUGUGUAUAGAAUUAAUUUUGCAAAUGGUUGAUUGGAUUUGUGGUGGAAAUGAUUUGGAAUAUGCUAAAACUUAAAUUAAAAUGGCGAGAAUAAAUUCUGAAAUUGGAAUUGAAAUGGCGAGAAUAAAUUGAAGAGAAUUCUAUUGAAAUGACGUACUUGGGUAUCUAGAUCCGUAUCAACAUGCAUCAUGGGCUAAAUAAUCCGUAUUAAUGCCAAUUAAAUCAUGAGGGGGGAAUCCACACCUCAUGAACCACGCUCUAAUCAAUAUGGUGCUAAGGGCUUAUCGUGCCAAAUAAUAAUAACCUUAUACUAGAGAGCCGAUGUAACCAAGGCGGUAUCUAGACAAGAUCAGUAUUAUUUGUCGACGAUAAGUCAAAUCAUCCACAAAAACUAGAGGGGAAAAGAAAAUAAAUUUACCAAAUAAAGCCCAUGACACAUGUUGAGACUUCACCUUCAACCCAAGCUUGAAAAGAAAUUAGCUACUCAUAAUUGAACUGGGGGCAAAAUGGGAAUUUAUUAAAAUAUAAAGAAAAUACAAGAUGGAGAAGGAAUUACAGAAAAUGGAUCCCAAAAAUGGAUUCAGAGAUAUCAAAUUAGGGGGGAGAGGCCCCCUUUUUAUAGAUACAUGGAGUAAAUCAUGGCCAUCGGAUUAAAAACAGUUUGGACGCUCAGGAUUGCGCCACGUCAUCAGUCAACAGUCCACGGUUUGACCACGCGGAUGAACAGUAACAUGGUUUGACCCGGAUGAACAGUAACGCGGUUUGACCCGGAUGAACAGUAACACGGUUUGGUUGAAAAUAAUCCUGUGUGAUGCAUGCACCGUACGCGAGAUUUUUUGUCCACUGAUAUGCUGCCACGUCACCAUCAACAGUACAUAAGAAUUUUAGUCCAACAGGAUCGUGACACCUCAUCAGUCAAUGCCACAUCAUCGGUCAAUGCCACGUCAUCAUCCAUCUAUGUGAACAGUAUCGUGAACAAUAACGUAUACAGUACCGUACACGUGAAUAGUUCCGUACAUGUGAAUAGUGCCAUUUUUUCUUUUAUGCCCCUCCUAAGGUUUUCGACUGUCCUGAGUUGAAAAGUGAUGUCCGUUUUGCCGUCUGAUCUCUCCUUUAUUGUGAAAUGACUAUAAUGCCCCUAAAAUACAUAAAAUACUUAAUUAAAAUAACAUACGCGUAAUUACAUCACAAGAAGGUUAAAUACAUAAAAGUAAGAGUUGUUAGUAAGACUUGAAAUGUAAAAUGAUGGUUUUCUCCUUUAUAAAUAUGCAUUUUCUAACACUCAACACACCCCCCAACCAGCUUAUUGCUAGUCCCUAGCAAAUAAAGCGAAAACAAAAUUCAAAUUCAAAAUGAUUUAUUUUUUAUUUUUUAUUUUUAUUUUUUAUUUUUAGAAACACUCGUGUUUAUUCAAUCAGAUUAAUGAUAGCAAUCAAAUAAAAGUAUAAGCAUUAUCUCCAGUCUAAAGUAACAUCACACCCACAUCAACCAUCCACAUGAAUUAGCCCAGUAGACUUUGUUAUAGCUACUUUCAAGAAUGACAUGUCAAACCCCAAAAUCUCACUGGAAGUAGUGACACUCUCACAAAGAAAUUAAAACCCAAUAAACAUAGUCACUUCAAUGAAUGGUAUUUGAGAGAGAAAAUAAUAAAGAAAUGAUAUCACAUGCUCUCACCAAGAUGAAAUAAAUAUGCCCUCAACUUAGAAAUAAUACGAUCUCAAGUCAAAUAAAAUGUUAGUCAACCCACUUUAUUUAUCUUUUUUUUUUCUUUUUUUUCUUUUAUUAUGCAUCACUACAUCUUUUUAGCCCAUAUAACUAGCUUCUACUUCAAACUAUAGUUCCCUAAAAUCAAGAAGGACUUUUAUUAGGACGUAACGUAGGCUAGGGAUAUGGCUAACAAAGAAAGGAAAUAAGGAAAACAAAGUGUAUGUUUGAGAAAAAUGCAGAUUUUUUUUUUUUUUUGGAACUUGCAAGGUGGAUUUCACCUAUUAUUGUUAUUUUUAUUCUUUUGAAACAACAACUUUUGUUUUUGUUUUUGUUUUUGUUUUUUUUUUUGCUUUUAUUUGGCAUAACUUCUCUGAACAACAUAAUUAUUUACAUUUUCUCAAACAUAAAUAGGUGAUGGAACUUAAAAGAUAUUGGGUAAUACUCCAAAUCGGAGUGGGUCAAGAUGAUAAGUUGACAAAGAAAAGGUUUUUGUUCUUUUUUUUUUUUUUUAAAGGCUCAAAAGGGGUAACUAUGGAUAUUUAAUAAAAGGGAUGGCUAGAAAGGCUCAAACGGAUCAAAGAUGGCCUUUCCAUUGUCUUUUAGGGCUCUAAAUAAUUAUCCAUAUCUACUAGUUAGAUGGGCCUCCCAAUGUAGCAACACACAUUUUUUUCUUUUUUUUAAUUUUACCAUAUUAUUUUUUUUUAAAGGGUUAACUUAAAAGAAAUCUAGAGAUCGUGUAUAAAAUAAUAAACUGCUAAGCUGUAUAGAGAAUGGGCAAAAGGGUUACUCUCCAAGAAAAUGAUAGGCUCAACAACUCACUUGGCACUUAUUUAUGACAUGUUCAUUCCUUCAAGCAACUCAUAUUUGUCUCCGACAUCAACAUGUAAAGUAGCAAACAUAGCGUAACAUCACUUAAGACCAAAGAUAAUACAAAUACUAAAAUUUGAAAUUAAUCAUGUUAUCCAAUGUUAAAACAAAUAACACAAUUUUUUUUUUUUAAACAACAUUCUACCCCCCAACCUAUUCUAAACAUGAAAGGACAAUAUGCAUGCAGAAAUGUGAAAAUGAUGUAGAAAAAAUUAAUUAGAAAAAGAAAUUUUUUUUUUUUAACUAAGAAGAUGCGUUUCUAGAGGCACUACACUCCAUAUUCAGCCAUCUUCGACUCAAAAAUUUGAAAAUAUAUAUUUAUAAAGGAGAAAGAGGAAGAAAACGAUUUUUUUUUGUUUUUUUUUUGUUUUUUAAACGAUGAAGAUGCGUUUCUAGAGUAACUACACUCCAUAUUCAGCCAUCUUAAACACAAAAUGUUAGCAACAGUUAGUUUCUACAACAAAAAAUCAGUAAAAACUUAACCAAGAUUCCACAAUUGUCGACUAUUCCCUCCCCCCAACCAGAACGAAACAUUGUCCUCAAUGUUUUAAAGGAAAGAAGUAGAGUUUAGAAUACAUCACCUGGGUGGUGCAACACAGAAGAAAAUAUUUACAGGCGGAGAGUUAUAUCUAAUUUGUACUUCUUACUGCGGCUACUGUUACCAUCAUUAUUUGGUCGCUCCAACACAAAGGUCCAGGGGUCUGGCUCCGGUUUAUAAGCUUGUAACAUAUCAAGUAGCUCAUUAGCAGUGUGAGCACAAAUAAAGAGUUUUUUCACAUUAGAAGGAAUGAAAUAGUUUUUUAUUGCAUGGUUAAGAAAUGCGAUAAAGCCAUCAUAAAAGUUAUUGACAUUUAACAAACCGAUGGGUUUAUGGUGGAUGUGCAGAUGGGCCCAAGAUGCUAGUGUGAUAAGUGCCUCUAGUGUUGCAAGAUCUCCUGGAAGGAAAAUAAAAGCAUCAGCAUGAUUAAGCAUUUCAGUUAUUCUUUCUUGCAUACCUGAGACGACUAACUCUUCUCCAGUUGAUGAGUCAGACGAACUACCCAAUGGUUUUAGGACUCUUGGGAUGAUGCCUAACACUUGACUUCCUCUGAUAAAAGCUGCUUCUGAGACCAUUUUUGAUAACCCUCGGUUACCUCCUCCAUACACCAAAUGUAAUUUUCUCGCUGCUAUGCUUCGACCAAGAUCUAUGGCUGCCUCCACGAACUCUUUAUGUUUGCCAUAGGUAAAUCCAGAAAGCACACAAAUGUUCUUGAAUUGUCUAUUGGGAGUAGCUGCCAUUGUGAUACUUCUCAAAAACAAUUUGUGAGUGCUUGACAAAAGAUAAAUUACAUUUAAGAAUCUUGGUGACAGUGGAUCACAGCUGUGAAUGAGGUAACAUGUCAGUGUCAAAUAACGCGUAAAGCACGUGGCUCGCGAGUCAAAAAGGAAACAGUAAAAAGGAAAAAGCAAACAGUAACAAAAUUAUUAAAGACAAUAAUGCAAACAAUAAAACAACAUUGAAAUGAAAUAAAAUAAUAGUAAAGUAAAAGGAUAUUUACAUGUAGUUGCGACUGUGGCUCACAUCUUCCUCUGGUUUUACGUCCAGAAACGGCUUGAACGCCCUCUAUGGGUCGAGGAUCGGCUUCCCAUCCAGUUUUCUUAUAAACUGACAAACAGGGUCGUUUAUAGUCAGAUUCCCGAGACUAUAUCGUGCAUGCUCUUUCUGGAAUAAUGGCCAUAACCGGAGAAUCGCUCCUUGCACAUAUCCACUGGGAUGCGUUUCAAGAGACAAAAGGAUAUCAUCCAAUGACUCCUUAUUCAAGCCAUCCCUAAUGAAUUGAAUCUUAUCUUCCCUGUUAUCAGACACCAUUCCUAAAGAACAUGGGUUUCUAUCGCAACUCAUUCUGGCACACUUAUGACAAGCAACAGAAAUUCUUCGAGCUCGUCGUUUUCUUGCAUAAUUUCCUUUACCACAACCAGGCAUGUAUGCAAUAAAUUUUGGAGGUAACUCACCUGCCGAUCGUACUUUAGCCUCGAUUAACCAACGGAUGUCAGCAGGUAUGUUAUUCUUCAUGAGUAAUCGCAUGCGUUCGGACCGAGCUUUAUAGAUCGUAAGGAGGGCAUUCUGAGGAAGUGAAGGGAAUCGCUUGUGAAGCUUCGUUAGAAUCUCGUUUCUGUCCAUACUUUCGCCUCAGAAUGUCAGUUAUUGUGGGAAACUGAAGUAACCGACUUGAUUGUCACGGAGUACCGUUAUCCGCCAUUUCACCGGGGUAACAAACUAAAGCACACAAACAGAAAAACAAAUUAAAACACACAAAGAAAAUUAAAAUCGUCCUCUUAUUGAAUUUACCUCAAGCUCCAACUGGAUGUCGUAAACACUUCUCUCAAUGUCUCUGAGUUGGCGUUCUAAACCCUCAACAUAGGUUACUAACUCUGGUGGUUGUAGAGCCCAAAUACGUUGUGUUUUACAAAAUUGAAUCUGCUUUUUGAGAUGAGUUUUGACACGUUGAAGUGGUUUAAGAAUGUUCAGGAGGAACGGUCUAAGUAUGGUACUCAUGAUUAACAAUGAUAAGAAAAAAAAAACUUAAUGGUAAAACAAACACACUUAUGCAAAAAUAAUUUCAAUUAGCAAAAGAAUAAUAAAAAGAAAGAAAGAAAAAUCAAAUCAACAAAAAGAAAAAAAAUCAAUUCAAAUCUGGUGGGUCACUCAAAUUUAUUUCGGUGUCUUCUCCAUGUGGUUGGUACUCAAGAUAUGGCUUUAAUCUUUGACCAUUAACUUUAAACGUGACACCGUUCUUUGGGUCCUUAAUUUCAAUUGCCCCAUGUGGAAAAACAGUAUGAACAAUAAAGGGACCAGACCAUUCUAGAGCGUAACUUACCUGGGAAUAGAUGCAAACGAGAAUUGAAUAAAAGCACUUUCUGACCUGGAGUGAACAAUUUUCUCAUAAUGUGCUUGUCAUGAAAGACUUUCAUUCGUUGCUUGUAAAUUUUGGCAUUUUCGUAUGCAUCAUUGCGAAUUUCUUCAAGUUCUGCCAGUUGUAAUCUUCUUUCUGAGCUGGCUUGCUGCAUGUCAAAGUUGAAUUUCUUGAUGGCCCAAUACGCACGAUGCUCGAGUUCUACAGGUAGGUGGCAAGCUUUUCCAUACACUAGCCUAUAGGGUGACAUCCCAAUUGGGGUCUUGAAAGCUGUUCUAUAUGCCCAUAAUGCAUCAUCAAGUCUUAAUGACCAAUCUUUUCUGUCUGGCCUCACCGUCUUUUCUAAUAUGUGCUUUAUUUCUCGAUUGGAGAUCUCAACUUGGCCACUGGUUUGCGGAUGAUACGGGGUUGCCACUUUGUGUGUGAUUGAAUACUUUGUCAAAAGAGCUUUGAAUGCUUUGUUACAAAAGUGGGCACCACCAUCACUGAUUAUUGCUCGAGGGAAUCCAAAGCGUGAGACAAUGUUGCUUUUCAAAAAUCCUAUCACCACUUUGUGAUCAUUGGUUCUACAUGGAAUUGCUUCUACCCAUUUUGAGACGUAGUCAACACCAACCAAUAUGUAUUGAUGGCCAAAAGAAGAGGGAAAGGGUCCCAUGAAGUCGAUACCCCAUACGUCAAAAAUCUCAACCACUAAAAUUGGAUUUAGUGGCAUCAUGUUCCUUCGUGUAAUACUCCCCAUUCGUUGACACCUAUCACAUGAAGAACAGAAAGUGUAAGCAUCUCGAAAUAUAGUUGGCCAAUAAAAACCACAUUGUAAAACUUUAGUCGCUGUUUUCUUAGCACUGAAAUGGCCUCCACAAGCUUGUUCAUGGCAGAAUGAAAGGAUAUUCUGAAUUUCACUUUCUGGGACACAUCGUCUAACAAUUUGGUCUGCACAAUACUUGAACAAAUACGGGUCAUCCCAAAAGAAAUUCUUUAUUUCUGCAAAGAAUUUAGCCUUGUCUUGCUUGGUCCAAUGCUCUGGAAGUUUACCUGUAACAAGAUAAUUAACUAUAUCAGCAUACCAAGGUAAUACUUCCACAUUCAUUAAUUGUUCAUCUGGGAAUGACUCAUUCAAUAUUAAUGGCUCUGUAAUUGUGUCAAAAUGGAGACGAGAGAGAUGGUCCGCCACAACAUUUUCUGUCCCUUUCUUAUCUUUGAAUUCCAAGUCAAAUUCCUGCAAAAGUAACACCCAACGAAUUAGUCUAGCUUUUGCAUCUUUCUUUGUGAGAAGAUAUUUAAGAGCAGCAUGAUCUGUGAAUAUAAUUAUUUUACAACCAAUGAGAUAAGAUCGAAAUUUUUCCAAUGCAAACACUACUGCUAGCAUUUCUUUUUCAGUAGUUGAAUAGUUCAACUGUGCAUCAUUCAAUGUCAUACUAGCAUAGUAAAUAACAUGGGGAACUCGAUCAACUCUUUGUCCUAAUACUGCUCCUACUGCAUAAUCAGAUGCAUCACACAUGAGCUCAAAUGGUAAGCUCCAGUUUGGGGGCUGAAUGAUGGGUGAUGAUGUCAACAAAUGCUUUAAUUUUUCAAACGCAACAAGACAUGAAUCAUUAAAGAUAAAAGGUACAUCCUUAGCAAGUAAAUUGCAUAAGGGUCUAGAAACUUUGCUAAAAUCUUUAAUGAAACGUCUAUAGAAACCAGCAUGUCCAAGGAAAGAUCUUACUUCUCUGACUGUUUUAGGUGGAGGAAGAUUAGAAAUGAGAUCCACCUUAGCUUUGUCAACCUCAAUACCUUUGCUCGAAAUGAUGUGACCGAGAACAAUACCAUGUUUUACCAUAAAAUGGCACUUCUCCCAAUUCAAGACUAAGUUCUUCUCGAUACAUCUCUGCAGAACUAGUGUUAGAUGAUGUAAACAUUGAUCAAACGAGUCACCAAAGACAGAAAAAUCAUCCAUAAAGACUUCAAGGAAUCGUUCCACCAUAUCAGAAAAAAUGCUCAACAUGCAUCGUUGAAAUGUAGCAGGUGCAUUACAUAAUCCAAAUGGCAUUCUCCUAUAUGCAAAAGUGCCAAAAGGGCAAGUGAAAGUAGUUUUCUCCUGAUCUUUUGGUGCUAUGGGAAUCUGAUUAUAUCCUGAGUAGCCAUCUAGGAAGCAAUAAAAUUCAUGGCCUGCUAAUCUAUCAAGCAUUUGAUCGAUAUUUGAUCGAUAAAUGGUAAAAGAAAAUGGUCUUUACGUGUGACAGAAUUCAACUUUCUAUAAUCAAUGCAUACACGCCAUCCUGUAGUUACUCUAGUUGGUAUCAAUUCAUUAUCGGCAUUCGUAACUACUGUGACUCCUGACUUUUUGGGGACAACUUGUACAGGACUGACCCAUGAACUAUCAGAAAUUGGGUAAAUGAUACCUGCGUCUAAUAGCUUAAGGACUUCUGUUCUAACAACUUCUUUCAUAUUAGGAUUUAACCGACGUUGCAUUUCCCUAGUAGAUUUAGCAUUUUCAUCAAGAUGAAUGUAAUGCAUGCAAUCUGCAGGGUUUAUACCUUUUAUGUCUGCUAUGGUCCAUCCUAAUGCUCCUUUGUGCUCUUUUAAAACAUCCAACAACUUACAUUUUUGUUCGUCAUUUAGGGAUGAUGAGAUGAUUACUGGUAGAGUGCUUUCUUCUCCCAAAAAUGCAUAUUCCAAUGUGUUGGGCAAUGGUUUGAGCUCGAGUUUCGGUGGUGAUUCUGAUGAUGGGAUGAGUUUCUUCUCUGAUGGUGCUAGUUGUUCAACUCUUGACUUCCAUUUAUUAGUGUCCAUGGAUGGUGCUGAGUCAAGUAGGGCGUUGACCUCUUCGAUCGAUCUAUCAAUAUCAAAAUCAAAACUAAAGUGAGUUAAGCAUGUCUGUAAAGGAUCAUCACUAAGGUUUGAAAGAAAAGUGUCAUCAAUUAAUGCUUCAAUUAAAUCCACAUCAACAACUUCAUCAUCUGCAUUAUGAGGUUGUUUGGCAAUGUUGAAAAUGUUUAGUUCCAUAGUCAUGUUGCCGAAGGACAACUGCAUAUUUCCAGUCCUGCAUUGAAUGUGAGCAUCCGCAGUUGCCAAGAAAGGUCGGCCUAGGAUAAUGGGGAUGUGCUUCCUUGAAUCCUGUAUUGGUUGAGUGUCAAUUACAAUGAAAUCAACAGGAAAAUAAAACUUGUCUACCUGGAUAAGCACGUCCUCCACAAUACCACGAGGUAUUUUCGUGGACCGAUCUGCAAGCUGUAACACCACUGGAGUUGGGUGUAAUUCUCCCAGUCCAAGUUUCACGAAUACAGAGUAAGGCAAAAGAUUUACACUAGCUCCUAAAUCCAACAAAGCAUUCUCAAUUGUGUGGUUCCCUAUACUACAUGAGAUAGUAGGGGAGCUUGGGUCUUUGCAUUUUAGAGGAAUUUUAUGUUGGAGUAUAGAACUAACGUUUUCUGUUAAAAAGGCCUUCUUUUGAACAUGCAUAUUUCUCUUUUUAGUACAAAGGUCUUUAAGAAACUUGGCAUAAGAUGGAAUUUGUUUUAUAGCAUCAAGCAAAGGGAUAUUGACACUUACCUGUUUGAAGAAUUCGAGAAUCUCACCUGUGGAUUUUCCCUUCUUUCCUUUAGCUAACCUCUGAGGAAAUGGAGCUUUGGGAACGUAUUCUCGUGGGUUGGUUUCUUCUUUUUCCUCCGGUGGUGAGUCCUCAGCAUUCACAGGUACAAUUUGAUUUUCUUUUGUCACUGGCAUCUCCACUUUGUUGUCGACUUCCUUUCCUUUUCGCAAGGUCAUGACUGCUUUGACCUCUCCAUGCUGUUGUGGUGAACUGGUACUUGCUUCAUGUACUCCUUUAGGAUUAGGCACUGGUUGACUUGGAAAUUUACCUUUCUCAACAGUAAUUGCCAAGGUCUGAACUGAAGAAGCAAGUUGUCCCACCAUCUUCUCGAGGCUUGAAACUGAUUGGGCUUGUGAGUUGAAGCCCGCUCUCAACUCAUUUCGUAGUCCAUCAAUGGUGCGAUUCUGUUGCUCAAUCGUAGAGUGAGUAACAUUCUUGAAAUUCUGGAAUGCAUCCUCCCAUGGUCUGGGUUGAGAGUAGUUCUGGUUCUGAUUGUAUGUUCUAAAUGGGGGCUGAGAGGCUUGAGGAACUUGAGGAAUUUGUUGCAUUGGUGGAGCUAGAGCUGCUGGUCCAUUUUGUUGGAAUCCUUGAGACCAUGAAAAAUUGGGGUGGUCUCUCCAUCCAGGGUUAUAUGUGUUGGAGUAUGGGUUGUAAUUUGAUGGCUUUCUCAUUACACCUAUGGCAUUGGCUUGAUCUGGGUAUGAGUCAUGGUCAUGUGGUUCUGUUGAUUUAGCAGUCGAUAACGAUGCUAUUUGUCGAGAGAGACCUUCAAUUAUCGCUUUGACUUCUUUAAUUUCUGAACUUGACUCGCCAAUGUGAACCUCAUUUACUCCCUUAAUUCUUCUAGUAUUCCUGAGUGAUCGACUCCGUUGUUGGGAAUUAUCCGCUUGUCGCUGGAAGAAUUCCCAAAUCUCUGAUGCACUUUUUGACAUUAGCUCUCCUCCACUUGUUGCCAUUAGCCAUUCUUGCACAUUCGGCAAUAAUCCCUCCAAAAAGUAUUGGCAUUGGUGCCAUUUCUCGUACCCAUGAUGUGGACACUUCAAGAGUAGCCCAUUGAAUCGCUCCCACGUUUCGAAAAACUGCUCGUCAUCUCUCUGGGUAAACUCUGAGAUUUCCCUGCGAAUAGCAUUGGUUUUAUGCACUGGGAAAUAUUUAUUUAAAAAUUUCGUUACCAUUUGUUCCCAUGAUGAAAUGCUAUUAGCAGGUAAAGUAUUUAACCAUGAACGAGCUCUAUCUUUUAAAGAAAAUGGGAAUAGUCUAAGUUUAACAUCAUCGUCUGAAAAAUUUUCAUAUUUAAAAGUUUGACAAAUGGCAUGAAAAUCAUUCAGAUGAUUAUAUGGAUCCUCAUUUUCUAGGCCAUAGAAUGUGGGGAGACAAUUUAGCACACUAGGUUUUAAUUCAAAACUCCUAGCAGCUACAUUUGGGUAUCUUAUGCAUGAUGUGCUCAAAUUAGCUAAGGGACUAAAAUAGUCCUUAAAUGGCCUCUCCUGUGGUGCUUGUAAAUCCAUUCCAAAUUUAUUUUUAAUGUGCUUGUGUGUGCGAAGUGUUUUCUCAAGUUCAAGGUCUAUAGGUUCAAGAUUAGGUAAUAAAGACCUACGACCAUGCAUACAAGGAACACAAAGAUAAAUCGGAACAAAACGAAUAAAAAUAAAGAAAAAGAAGAAAUUACGAUACUAACCUUAUUGCGCUGUUACAACUUUUCUAUAAAAAUACACUAAAACAAAUACGUGAAAUAAAUUAACUAAAAAUAAAUUAAUAAAAAAAAUUACAAAGAAAAAUAACUUAAAAAUUAAAUUGCAGAAUUGUAAAGAAUAGAGAAAGAAAAGAAAUUAUUACCUCUAAUUGCAUAUUCACUUUUUUUUUCUCUUUUUUUUUGUUUAUAAAAAAAAAUACAAGAAAACAAAUAAAAGAAAUUAUUCACAAAAAUUAAUUCUAUGAAUUAAAAUUACUUACCUCCCCGGCAACGGCGCCAAAAACUUGUUGUGCAAAUUUUAAUGUACUCGCAAGCGCACGAAUCUAUUGUAGUAUAGAUCAAUGGUGACGAGUGUCGAUCCCACGAGGAGGUGGAUUUUAAUUGUGUAUAGAAUUAAUUUUGCAAAUGGUUGAUUGGAUUUGUGGUGGAAAUGAUUUAGAAUAUGCUAAAACUUAAAUUAAAAUGGCGAGAAUAAAUUCUGAAAUUGGAAUUGAAAUGGCGAGAAUAAAUUGAAGAGAAUUCUAUUGAAAUGAUGUACUUGGGUAUCUGGAUCCGUAUCAACAUGCAUCAUGGGCUAAAUAAUCCGUAUUAAUGCCAAUUAAAUCAUGAGGGGGGAAUCCACACCUCAUGAACCACGCUCUAAUCAAUAUGGUGCUAAGGGCUUAUCGUGCCAAAUAAUAAUAACCUUAUACUAGAGAGCCGGUGUAACCAAGGCGGUAUCUAGACAAGAUCAGUAUUAUUUGUCGACGAUAAGUCAAAUCAUCCACAAAAACUAGAGGGGAAAAGAAAAUAAAUUUACCAAAUAAAGCCCAUGACAUAUGUUGAGACUUCACCUUCAACCCAAGCUUGAAAAGAAAUUAGCUACUCAUAAUUGAACUAGGGGUAAAAUGGGAAUUUAUUAAAAUACAAAGAAAAUACAAGAUGGAGAAGGAAUUACAGAAAAUGGAUCCCAAAAAUGGAUUCAGAGAUAUCAAAUUAGGGGGGAGAGGCCCCCUUUUUAUAGAUACAUGGAGUAAAUCAUGGUCAUCGGAUUAAAAACAGUUUGGACGCUCAGGAUUGCGCCACGUCAUCAGUCAACAGUCCACGGUUUGACCACGCGGAUGAACAGUAACAUGGUUUGACCCGGAUGAACAGUAACGCGGUUUGACCCGGAUAAACAGUAACACGGUUUGGUUGAAAAUAAUCCUGUGUGAUGCAUGCACCGUACGCGAGAUUUUUUGUCCACUGAUAUGCUGCCACGUCACCAUCAACAGUACAUAAGAAUUUUAGUCCAACAGGAUCGUGACACCUCAUCAGUCAAUGCCACAUCAUCGGUCAAUGCCACGUCAUCAUCCAUCUAUGUGAACAGUACGUGAACAAUAACGUAUACAGUACCGUACACGUGAAUAGUUCCGUACAUGUGAAUAGUGUCAUUUUUCCUUUUAUGCCCCUCCUAAGGUUUUCGACUGUCCUGAGUUCAAAAGUGAUGUCCGUUUUGCCGUCUGAUCUCUCCUUUAUUGUGAAAUGACUAUAAUGCCCCUAAAAUACAUAAAAUACUUAAUUAAAAUAACAUACGCGUAAUUACAUCACAAGAAGGUUAAAUACAUAAAAGUAAGAGUUGUUAGUAAGACUUGAAAUGUAAAAUGAUGGUUUUCUCCUUUAUAAAUAUGCAUUUUCUAACACUCAACAGGAAGCCCAUGGCGUCUUCGAGAAUCAACUUUGCUGAGGUUUAUUCAUUCUUCAACGACGAAUCUCGUAUUGUAAGUAAUAUGUAUUAGUUAUUUUUUUAACUUUACUAAAUUUAAGUUAUGUAUACGUAAAAUUUUCAAUUGAAUUUAUGGCAGGGGGACGUUUUACAAACCCUUGAGCCAAAUUCAAAGGAGAGUAGCAGAAAAUAUUAGCUCACUGUGAAGGAUUACAUGCCAAGCAUUCCAGACUGGGUUCAUAAGGUCGGUUAUAAAUCUAAGUACUAUAAAUUAUAUUUAAUCGAAAUUUUUGACUUUUCAUUUAUUAAUUUUAAACGAUACUUGAUACAACACCAACCCUCAAUCAAUGCGAUGCCAUCGGUUUCAAGGCAAUCAGACGAGCAUGACGAGCAUGACGACAUACCAAACCCAACACCAGAGCAGCGUCAUGACACUUCUGAGGAUGAGGUGGCUGUUGAUGACCACCAGGAGCAGACACAUGCCAACUCUGAUGACGCACAUGAUUCUGAGGUUAUAAAUAAUAUACGAUAUUCUUCUUUUAUUAAUCAUUAUUGUUUUACUGUUAUUGUAAAGAUUUACUUAUUUUCUUUUGUAAUAGUCGAGGACAAAGCAGUUUAAUGAUUAUGUGCGACGACGGCUUGAUAAGAUUGCUCGUAACGUGUAUGAAUUGAAGUCGGAAUUAAAAGAUUUUAAAGAAACCGUGGUUGGCUUUAUCGACACCUUUUCUACACGUCCAAAUAAGGAUUCUCCCACAGGACGCUCGUAUGCGGUGAGCAUAAUUAAAUUUAAUAAUUAUGUUCGUUUAACUUUUAAUUUAAUAGUUGUUUAAUAUGUUCAUCUUGGAGAAUGGAUAGGCCCCGGAUGACUAUGGAGUGUAUACUGACGUGGGCAAUCAAAAUUUGUCUACGCCCACGUCAUUGUAUAGUUUCUACGGGGAUGUUAGUGGGGAGAGCGUGCAGGUGUUCUCUGAGGUGCCUCCAGGCGUUAGUAAGUUCGGCCGCGCGUACAUACUGUCGUAUGUUUAUAACAGUCCUUACAUGAUUCCUCCACUCAGGCGAGGAAAGAACGCCCGGCUUAUACCUCGAUCCCAAAUCAUGGACCAUGCCCAAGACAUGAAUACGAGUGUAGAUAUAAAUCCACUGAGAGGAUUGGAGGAUUCUAGUCUGUUUACUGAGUUUGAUCGAUGGUUCGCUGGUAAUAUGACAGUGGUUCGGAGAGUCCAGCACCCGCGGUCAUUUUUUCAAAUACUUUUGGGUUUAACUUCGAUGGGAUGGCUAGGCGAUGAGGUAAUUAUAUCUUCGAAGUUCUUUGAGUGUUGUGGAUUUGUGUAUAAAUUUUAUUUUUUAAAUCGUAAUGUUUCUGUUUCUCAACAGCAUAUUCACGAGUAUCUUCGCUUGAUUAGCGAGAAACAACGGCAGUAUCUGAAUGCCUUAGUUCAACGUGUCACACAUACUGACACAUUUUUUUGGGUAACGUGCCGACAAAACUUAUAAAUACUAUUUAUGUUUUUUUAAUUAUUGCCUUUAAGUUUUGUUAAUUUAUGCAUUUCUUGGUUAUCUGUGUACUAGGUGUUCUUGAAUCAGUUAUGGAACAACGGGGAUUGUGCGGUCGAUUCAUUAGUAUUCGACGACUGCUUGAAUAGUUAUCUUUGUGGGCAACAGCACACAAUGUCCAAAUCAAUGACGGAUAUCGAUAUGGUAUGUAUUUUAUUGCAUUUCACAUACUCCAUAAUGAAAAUAUCCAAGUUGUCGUUUUUUCUUGGUUGUAUUUCAAUUUCAUAUAUAACGGGCAUGUUUUUCAAUUUUUAUAUACAGUUACUUAUCCCUGUUAACUUGGACGGUGCGCAUUGGGUAGUAGCACGAGUUGACCUUCGGAAAAACAAAGUAUGAAUUUAUGACUCAUUACUCACAUUUCGCGACGACAAAGGUACUAGUUGAAAUUCAAGCCACUUGAAGUUAUAUUCCCUCGAUGGUUGGAAUAUGUUGGCUUCUACAACAUCCGACCUGAGUUGCGGAGUGCAGACCCCUGGAAAGUUAUGGCAAUUAAGAGCGCGCCACAACAAGAGCCCGGAACUGGCGAUUACGGUGUUUUUGUAUUGAUGGUUAUGAUGUAUUUAAUGUUCGGGCUUAGAUUGGAGUUUAACGCUAGUCAUGUCGAGUACUUUAGAAAGAAGAUUGCGGUUGACAUAUUUAAUGACGAUAUUGUAUUGUAAACUGUUGUAGUAAUUUGAAUGUUGAAACUUUAAUUUUUAUUUUAAUUUGCGCACUUAAGUUUAUAUAAUUUUAAUGUUCACGUAUAAGUGUACAAUACACAAAAAACAAUAACAGUUAUAACCAACGAAACACAAAAACAAUAACAAUUUUAACCAACAAAUCAUUGAAAUAAUACAACUAACUUCGAGUCGACGCAAUGGGAUUCUUACAUCACUUACGAUUAUGGCCCAGUUCAUGACACCGCCCGCAUCUUACAGUCCGUCGGUUAACGUCCUCACCAGCCGAGGGUAUUCUGAGCUCUUUACGACGGCCAAGUGGUGGUGCCUUAACUGGUGGGUAUACUUGCAUCUCCUGAAUUUCAUCUGGAACUUUCCAAUCAGCCACAUCACCAACUAGCUCCACUGGUUGUGCAUAAGCCAUCGUCAACGAUUCUGUAGUGUAAACGUCCGAGCAAAGGUUAAUAAAAUCCACCUGGUGUGUUAGAAACGCCGCAAUUGCAUGAACACAUACAAGCUGAUCAAGCUGAAAUACUCUGCAGGAGCAAGUUUUCUUUUGCAAGUCAACCAAACCUUCCUUAAGCCCACCAUCUAUAACUUGAAAUCGAUGCGGAGACACUGGCCGAACUAUCAUUUUUUCAGCUAUAGUUCUCCUCUCAGUGACUAUUUCAUCCGCCCAUGUUGUUAGCCGAGUACUCAUUGAUUUAGCCACAAUUUUUCUAUCAUAAAACCAUUGCUGCAACGUUUUCCUAAAGUGAUCAACAAGAUGAGUAACAAGAAAUUUUCGCGGUUCCCUCAUGAAAGAGUUAACACUCUCCGCGAUGUUGGUGGUAAGUAUACUGUACCUCCUACCUUCAAACUGAGACCUUGCCCAAUUACACGUACCGACAUUAUUUUCUAGGUAGUCAGCCGCACCCGAGUGGAUCAUCCACAACCCUUCAAGUUGUCUCUUAAAUUCCUCGUGGCCAUAUGCUUUUGCUGCAUUAAUAAAGGCAGGCUCAAAUUGAUCCCAAAGAGCUUUUGACAUUCUAAAUUGUGACUUAAUGUUAUAUUUCAUGUGGUAAAAACAAACGCCGUGAGUUGCAUUGUGAAAUACUUUAAGAAUGGCUCUCCUUAUGGCAGUGCAUCGAUCAGAUAUAAUUACCAACUCAAGUCUAUCGCCAAUCACUCCGUGUAACUUCAUCAUAAACCAUUCCCAAGCAUCAUUGUUUUCUGAAUCCAUGAUCCCAAUGGCUAACGGAUACAAUUGAUUGUUACCAUCAAGACAUGUUGCCACGAACAUGCUUCCACGAUAUAGCCCCUUGAGAUGAGUACCAUCUACAGCAAUGACAGGCCGAAUGUACUGCAUAAAACCCUUGAUGGAAGAUUCGAGUGCUACAAAAUAGUACAAGAAAUUACCAUCUCCAUCCUGCUCUAGGUGAGUGACUGUACCCUCAUUCGCUGUAGUUAGUACGUAAGAGUAUUUAGGGAGCAAGUUAUAUGACUCUGCAGGGUUGCCUCGAACAAUUUCAAGACUAACUUCUCUCGCCCGAUAUGCCUGCUGGUAUGUUAACUGAACACCGUAUUCUUGUUGCAUAUCUGCUCUUAUGUCAUUCGGAGUAUAAAUUCUCUUGUCUUGAAUAUAUUUAUCUGCGAUAAUAUGACCGACAACCCAGCUCCUAACUUGAUGACGUCCAUCAACCAAUACCUCAUUAUGACAAGUGUGUACAUUAUCAAUUCUCCGCACCACCCAAGGAACAUUUUGCUCGUUCGAACAUCUAGUUGCUCGAAUACACCAUUUACAUGAUUCUGAACAACAAUGAGCCUCGAAACGUGUCGUAGUAGACCGUGCAAUCUUGAAAUCAAACUUAUCCCGAAAGGCAACUUUGCGUAGUUGUAAUAUAAACUCAUUCUUCUCAGCAAGUAGCUUACCCACACUGAUAUCAUCUGAGUCACAACUGCUAUCAAAGCUUGGAGCAACCAUGUUCGAAGGCAAAGUUGGAGCAAGACUUGUGAAGGGGUCAAUUCUCCUUCUCGAUCAAACCAUAGAAGGAAUAGGUCUAUUGUCUAUGUUAUUCACACGAGUAUUGUCUUCACACUCAUCCUCAUGCUGAAACGACGGAACAUUCAAAGGACUGACUCCUCCAUCAUCACCAUCAUUAUUGAAAUGAGUGCCCCUCAUAUUAUUAGAAGGUUCUGCACAAACAUUAUCCCCCUCUGUCUCAUCAUGAAAAUCAUCAUUGUCCCGAAAAUCAUUGUUGUGAUACGGAGAAUACCAUUGCUCCAACGACGUCGUUAUUGGAAAUACCGUUGCUCCAACAUCCUGUAACGUAACGUCGUUAUCAUCAAUGUUGUCAUAAUUGUCGUGGAUUGGAGAGUAAUAUUGCUGCAGCGAUAUUGUCCUUGGCAACACCUCUUCUUCAUUAUCGGGGCCAGACAUAUUUGCUCUAAACGAAGUUUCUGUAUCGACAUGUGGCUCAAUACCUUCGCUCGGAACUCGAGGUGAUGUGGUCACAAAUAUAGGAAUGCAUCCAAAAUUAGCUACGUCGGAUGCCAUAUGUAACACAACUCUCACAAUUUCAUCAUCAAAUAUAUCCAUAGGCAGUGCACAUACACGAUAUAAUGUGUUACUAGACCUCAAAGUUGUCUUCAUUGUGAUACUAUAUUCAUUAGGAUUAAUUUGUAACACAUCGUAUACUCUUGCCAAUAACUGAUCAAAAAGAUAAUUUUUCCCAACCAAAAAAGCUCUAUUUUUACCAUUGACAUACUCCAUACGCCCAUCCUCUAAUGUCUCCCACCAACCAUCGUAACACAAUUUAAGUACAACUGAAUCCAUUAAGCCUGAAAUUAUAAAAAAAAUAAAUUAUUUCAGCCCUAUCAAAUUAAUAGUUAAUUACAAUGAACCUGUCGCCAGAUUCACCCACGAAACCAUCCGCAGUUCAGUCAAACUCACGACCAAGUUUAGAAAAUAACGCAUACCACUAUGUGAUGCCGAUUAGUGUUGGAUCCGGAUAAAUUAUGAUCGGAUUUCACUUUUUAUCGUUGCCUUUUGCCGUUGCCGUUGCCGUUGGUUGAUGAUUCAAGAGUGGGAAGUUGCCUUUGGUUUGACGAAAGGGGAGAAAGAAAGCUGCUUUUGGUUUGUAAAGAAGGGUAAUUUGGGGAGAAAAGCGUGAGUUUGGCUAAUGUUGAUAGAAAAAAGUUGAGAGGGUUAAUUGUGAAAAUAACAAAAGUUUUAUGGUUAUUUUUGUAAAUUUCCCAUAAUUUAUACGCAUUAAUGUGGAAUCGACAAUUCUGAAUCAUGUUAAAGUCAACAAAAAGACAAAACAUGGAAAGCGGCAAUUGCUAUAUUGCGUUGCAUGUAUUUUGGGUUCAUCAAAUACAAACAACGACCACGUUAAAAGAAAGCGUUCUGCUUGGACGACAAAGGGACGACAGAAACAUGAGUCCCUUUGUCUGUUGCUUCAACUCCAUUCAUUAUCUUUUGUCUGUUAUUUUUUUUAUUUAAAAAAUAAAAAAAAUAUUAAAAUAAUGAAAAAAAACCACAAAAGUAACGAACAGAGAUUCAAAUAGCAGCACGUUUUUUACAAUCAAUUUUUCUUGUUAUCCUCUCUCUCUCUCCAUCUCUCACCUCUCAUUUAACGUGAGCCAUCUGCAUUUAACAAGGAAAAACCAGUUCCCUCUCUGCAUAAUGGAAUGUGUUUUAUAUAUGUUAGGAUUUUUUUUUAAUUUAAAUGGCUGGAAAUAAUGGAAUAAAUUAUAACAAUUUCUGAAUGUGUUUUACAUAUGUUAGGAUUUUUCUUAAUUUAAAUGGCUGGAAAUAAUGGAAUAAAUUAUAACAAUUUGUAAAUGUGUUUUAUAUAUGUUAGGAUUUUUUUUAAAUUUAAAUUGUUGAAAAUAAUGGAAUAAAUUAUAACAAUUUCCGGAUGUAUUUUAUAUAUUUAAGUUAUUAGGAUUUUAUAAUUUAAAUUGCUGGAGAUAAUGAAAUAAAUUAUAAAAAUUUGUGGAUGUGUUUUAUAUAUUUAAAUUGUUAGGAUUUUUCAGCAAUUUAACGAAGUGCUACCGUUUCCAAACGAGGAAAAUGAGUGGAGGGGCUAUGGAGAUGAAUGCGCGUAGAUCGAGGCUGAGCUGGUGGCCAAUGAGAAUCGUACUUUGCUAACCAAGCUUGUGAAAGGGAGGGAAAAGCACCAACCGCCCAGGAAUGAUGACCAAUUGCUGGGGGUUGAUUUCCUCUUCCUUCUAGAUGAACGGAAAGGGAAGAACGAAGGAGGGGAGUAAACUAAGGACUGGAAAAUCUGGCUGGGGAGGGAGGAGAUAAAAAGCUGAAAUUUGACCUGCUUUCCAUUUCUAAAUUCUUUAUUUUAUUAUUUAUUAUAGACCCACAUAAAACUAAAAGAAGAUUAAAAAAACGCGUGAAACGACAGUGGGAGCUUGCGUUUCUGUCGUCUUUUUAUUUUCUUUGAGUUCGUUUAUCAUUUUUCUAAAAGAGUUAAAAGAAAAGCAAAAGCUGACGAGAUUGGUAAAGACAUAUCAAAAGAAAGACUAAUAGAGCUUUCCCAGCAGCAUUAAUCAUGCUUAAUUGAUAAUAUAGAGGUAAUAAAUGAUUAUAUUUUUGGUGGAAAACAGAAGAGAGCACGUUACAAGAGCCGAUUGCUUUCUUUAUUUUUUGUCAAUAUUAAACCAAAAAUACAGGUCAAUGAAAAAAAUUGAAAAUAACGCACCAUCAAGUCAACCUUGGUGCAGAAAAAUAUUAACAUUUAAUGAACUUAGAGGGAUGAGUUGGGCCAAGUCUUUAAAUCAGCUCUGUCGUGGAAUAUAACAGGAAGAUUAAAAGAAAAAUCAAUCAACUACAACUAGUAUCUAAUAUAAUGUUUUCACGCAUCUUUUAUAAAUUUAUUGGGACACACUAUUUCUGCUAAUUGAAGAAAAUCAAGAAAUGCUGAUUCCGUCAUGGCUUAGUUUCAUGUUAAUGAAAGUUUAAAGCGAUCAGAUUCAUAUUCAUUAAUAUGAUUUUAUACGAAUCCCUGUGUUUGAAUAUAAUAAUGGUUUCAGAAAUGCAUACCUGUUAGUUCUCCAUUUCUUGACUCCGAGGAAAAUUUGACUUGACAGAUGAAGCAAUGUUAUAAGAGGUUUGAUUAUGGGUCAAUUUGUUGCAAGCAUUUCAACAGACGGGUGAUAUGCGUACACAGCUUCUACGCUACCAAUACCAUGCUUACCCCAUAGCUGCUUCCUGUUGUAAAACGUUGCUGACAUGUCAUCAUACUGGACAGACCUUCCGAGGUUAUUCUUCGAAGCGUUUCAUGAUGCCACGUGUACUUGAUUAUUUGACUAAUCACGGUUCACAAGUUGAGUGAGCUACUCACCAGUCACCAAACCACCUUCCUGCUGCAAAGAAUCUUAACUGAACUUUGACUUGGUCAGAAACUCAGAAUUAGUGGUGCACGUGAUGCUUACACGUGAGGACCCAAAUGACGAAUUCCAAAAGCUGAAUGAUGUAUGUGUGAAUUAAAUAUAACUAUUACGCUCUAGUACGUGUAUGUCAUAUGUACACUAAGUGGGUGUAGUGCAACGAAGGUGCUCUAUAAUUUUUCAGUGAACACAAUAUAAUCAUCAAAGUGAAAGAAAAACUUUUGAGGUUUUGGUGUAUUCAUUAGUGAAAUUUGAGCCGAAAAGAAAAAUUUUUAUUUGUAAACAUCAAAACCAAAAUCAUUUGGAUGUAGUUACCGAAAUUGAUUAGGUCAUUAAUCAUUGCAUGAAUGUUUUGAUUUUAAUACCAGUGGCAAUCACGUACAUGUUUAAUGAUUUGAUUAAAUUUGUGUUUAGUUCUAUAAAUGAUUUAACUAAAAAAUUCAAAAAUGUUUAAAUAACAAUUUAACUAAAAACUUAUUAUUAAUUAUUGUUAAUAGAUUAAUUAAUUACAAUACUUUUUAUUAUUCUUAUUAAUAGUAAUUACAAUAAACUAGUAAUUAUAAUUAUAAUUAUAAUCCAUUUAAUAAUUAUUAUAUUUUAUUUAAAUGGAGGGUAGUUUGGGAAUUUUAAAAAUAUAGGGGAUGAAUUUGAUACGUUAAGGGUUUUAAUGAAAUAAAAUAGAGUACAAGGGGCUGAACGAAAUGUUACAAUACAGAAACUUUCAUAUACUUAUUGAUAAAUUGUAAAUACUAUAACGUAAAAGGGGCUGAAAAAUAUUUUACAGUAAGAAUUCAAAAAGACAAAAGCAGCUGUAACUGUAACUUAGAGGAUGCUUAAAGUUUUUAAUGAAAAUCUUUAGUUGUUUAAUUAUCAAAAAAAGCUUUUAAAAAAAAGUUGUAAAUUAAACUUACUUUAGUAACAGGUUUAUUAAACCUAGACUCAUCUACCUUGCAACGGCUGCAAGGUACAACUAAUUUUUUUUUUUUUUUUAUUUUCAUUCCUUUACCUUUGGAUUUAAUGAAAAGUUAAUUUCAAUGGUAGAGAUUUGUCCAUUUGAAUACUAACAUUAUACUCUUGAUAAGUAUUAAAAACACAAAAAAAUGAAAGAGUUAAAAUUUUUAGCACAUAAGUCUUUAUUGUUUCCAAUUUGUAUUGUUUAAUUAGUAGUAAGUCUUAAAAAAAUAUUUUAAUUUUAAUAUUAUAUAUUUGAUUUAAAGAAUGAAUUUUUAAUGUUAUUUAUUUUAUUAAAAAUAAAUAUUAUUUAAUAUUAUUUAUUUUCAUUUUAUUUAAUUUUAUUUAGUGUAUGCUUAUUAUUAUAUUUAUUCCUCAAAAAACUAAAUAAUAUUAAAUAAAAUAAAAUAAUCAAUAGUGAAUCAUAAAAAAUAGAUAUAAUUUUUAAUUAAUAUUAUUUAUUUUAUUUUAUUUAACGUUUUAUAGUCAUAAACUUAUCAUUAUAUUUAUUCUUUCAUAAAACCAAAUAAUGUUAAAUAAAAUAAAAUAAUAGUAAUGUGUCUUAAAAAUUAAUAUUAUUUUUAAUAUUAUUAACUUUAUGUUAUUUAAUAUUAUUUAUCCAUAGGCUUAUAAUUGUAUUUAUUCUUUUAAAAAACUAAAUAAUAUUAAAUAAAAAAUAAUCAAUCGUGAACCUUAAAAAAUAAAUAUUAUUUUUAAUAUUAUUAACUUUAUUUAAAAAAUUAAUAUUAUUUAAUUUAAUUUAAUAUUAUUUAUUCAUAGGCUUAUUAUUAUAUUUAUUUUUUAAAAAGUUAAAUAAUAUUAAAUAAAAUAAAAAAACAAUAUUGAGUCCUAGAAAAUAAAUAUUAUUUAGUUAUAGACUUAUUAUUAUAUUUAUUCUUUUUAAAAAGAUAAAUAAUAUUAAAUAAAAUAAAAUUACAUUUUAAAAAGUCACCAGCCAAAGUAUAUAUAAACUUAUAAAUAAAUAUAAAAAAAUAAUAUUAAAUAAAAUAAAAUUACAUUUUCAAAGGUCACCAGCUAAAGUAUAUAAACUUAUAAAAAAAGGGUAAAUAAGAAGGAUAAUAAGAGGUUAAAUAAAAUUUAACAUACAUAACAUAAGACAAAAAAUAGUGGCACCUUGCAACUGUUGCAAGGUAGCUGGAUCCUAUUAAACCUAUAUGUUAUAAAACAAAUGACAUAGGAUUAUGAUGCAGUGAAAUAGGUGUAUUUUAGAAAAUCUAAUUCUUUUAAAGAGCUCUACAACCUAUCCUCCUAAAAGUCCAAAAUUUAAACUUCUCCUAAUAAAGACAAAAUAAUAUUUUUAAUAAACUCUAUUCAAUUUAUAGCCAAACGAUGCCAAAAAAUAUUCAAAAGAAAAAAGUUACUCUCUUGAUCCAUUAGUAGAGAAAUCAUACAAAAUGGACACUUAAUGGUCAGUUUUUUUUUCCCCCUUUCUUUUUGUAGUUUUACUUUUCCUAUAAACAUUAUUGUUUAGGAAAUAAUAAUAACACUACAUACUCUCCACUAACACAUUAAUUAAUUAAGAGUAUUUCCUCACUAGCACGCAUUUAAUUAUCAAAUGAUUAUCAAAAGUAUGGCUAAACUUUGGUAAUUAAGAAAACAAGUGAUAUUGGUGGCAAACUGGCAAUGACAAGAAAAUUCUAAUACCACAAAAAAAAAUUAUCAGUUACGUAACAACUGAAUAAUUAAUUAUAAAAGUGUUGUACGUACCUUAUCUGUCAAGUCAUUGGCCGUACUUUUAAGUUCAACACCAAUUUAGGACAUCUCACUAUUUGUAAUUCUUUUAAAAAUGGAAAUUCAAAGUGCAGAUCUCCUGUACAGCAGAAGCUUGUGAGAUUUCCAAGAUCUGUUAUCUUUAGAUAUAGUAGCUGAGGGAACAUUACAAUACUAUUAAUCUUGAAUAGGCCACCGCUUAUGAAAUUAGCCUCUGUUUGUAAAAUUAUAAAUUCUUUAAGUUCCCUACCUUCUAAAUGAUUGUAACUCAACUCUACAGUUGAAUAGGCCACCGCUUGUGUCCCAGAGAAGCUUCUCAAAAAAGGCCUUUGUAAUUGUCGUAAAGCAUUCCUCCAUUCAUAGAGACUCUUAUUUUUCAACGCCUUUGCUACGGGUACAAUGGCAAUGGGCAAACCAGCACAUUCCUUGACUAUAUCUGUCGCUACAGAUUUUAGUUCACUAUUUUCUAUGCAAUCACCUGCCAUCUUCUUAAAAAGACUCCAAGCUUUCUUUCUUAUUCAAAAUAUCGACAAAAGAAUUAUGUUGACAAUCCAUCUUACAAGACAACACAUCUAGACUUCUUGCUGUCAGCAGAACUUUACAUCUGCUGUUAUCAUCUGCUAAUGGAAUUCCAACAGCCUCCAAGUCAAGACUCCCCCAAAUAUCAUCCAAGAUUAUAAGGAUCUUCUUCUCUACUUUCAAUCUUUCAUAUAGCCUCCCUGCUCUAACAGUUUCAAUCUCUUCAACUAAUCCCAAACCUAUAUUCUCUGCAAUUUAUUCUUGUAUCUUCUUUAUUUGUGGUGUUUGGGAUACUUGCGCAGAAAUGACCUUCUCAAAGAGAUUAUUUCCCUUGGCUUGCCCAGCGACUUCCUUCACCAACAUUGUCUUUCCAAUGCCACCCAUCCCGUAUACCCCAAUCAUGUUGAAGUUAUGAUUGCUUAAUGAGCCUAGUAUUUCCUUCAAAGUGGAUUUUCUUGAUUCAAAGUGAAUGAAACCUUCGGUAGACUUAAGCCAUAUCUCCUCUGGAAUUGUACGGAAAGAAACGCUGUCAAAUUUCCUUUUUUCAUGGAGUCCAACAAUGGCAUUCACCUCCCUUUCUGCUUUCUUGCUAAGCUGGUAGUGGGUCUUCAAAUUGGGACACAACCCAUUAAAACACCGGUUGUUUGAUUUUUCUUCAACUUCUGUAAGCUUCCUAACUUCACUGAUGACCUUGUCCACACUAAUCAGCCACUCCUCAACGUGCUGUUGAAUUCCGUCCCCUUUGAUUUUGGAAUCAUCUACUUUAUACUGUACACUGUCUCUAGCAUUCUUUAGUUUAUCAACAUCAUUCUUUAGUUUAUAAACCAGAGGUAAUAAAUGAUUAUAUUUUUAGUGGAAAACAGAGUACGUUACAUGAGCUGAUUGCUUUUGUCAAUAUUCAGCCAAAAAUACAAGUUAAUCAGAAUAACCUACCAUCAAGUCAACCUUGGGGCAGAAAAACUAGUAACAUUAAAUGAACAUAGAGGGAUGAGUUGGGCCAAGUCUUUAAAUCAGCUAUGUCAUGGAAAAUAGCAAGAAGAUUAAAAAAAAAAAAAAAGAAUCAAUCAACUAGUAUAUACGGGAUAUCUCGGUGCAAAACAGAGUGCUAAGAGAUAAAAAUUAACCUGGCAUCUUUGCCAGGUGUUUAUAAUUGCUAAGCUUGCUACAUUCCAUUGCCAACUUUGGCCGUCUGGUAGUUGCUUAUUGAAGAAAACAAAGGAAUGCUGAUUCGAUCAUGCAUAGUUUAAUGUUAAUUAAACUUAAAAGCGAUCAGAUUCAUAUUCAUUAAUAUGCUUUUAACGACUUAGUUAAAUUUAUAGCAACUAAUAAGUAUCCAACUUUGCAACCGUAUUUAUUUCUCAUGAUUUGAUUAAACUGAGCACUCCGAAAACAUCAGUUCCUUCCAUUGUUGUAAGCUGAGUGAUACAUGUAUGAUUUGAUUAAACCGUAUUUAUUUAUAUAUUGAAUGCUACUUCAAUGAAUUUUACUGCCGCAAUAAUACUAAAUGAUUUUUCAUUACAAAAAAAUUCAAUAAUUAGAAUGAUUAUAAGUUAAUUUAAUGCUGAAUUUCAUCAUUAACUGCUGAAAUACUCCAGAAAUCCAAAUACAUUUAACUAAACAAAAAUUUAAUCAAAUCAUUAAACACACAAUCUGAAAGCGGAUUCAAAAUAACUUUAAUAAAAAAGCCAAAAGCAGAACAAUCAACAAAGAAACAGAAGAACCUCUCACCAAUGCCAUCUGACCCUUGAUAGAAAGAAAGAGGUCAAGCUCCAUGUAAUAUAACGCCUCACAAAUUACACAAAAAAAUGGCCGCAUUCCAUAUGAUGCAUAGAACGUGGCCUGAAUCCUCUUCGUAAGUUUGGAAUUUCUGGAGAAAAAUACACAAUGAAGGUGAAAUCAGGAAAAUAAGGAUAGUGAUAUUUCGUGCAAUUUUCAUGUAAAUUGCAGGAAUUAGCUUCUAUUUGGUAAGCAGCACAGGAUGCCUAACUGUUAUUAUUACUAUUACUAUUAUUUACACGGAUUGGGUUGGGUGAGACAGGUUGACUAUAAUUAACCCAACCCAACCCAAUUAUUAAUUGGAUUAGAAAAAUUUUACCUAAUUAAGUUCAUAAUAAUUCACUCAAUCCAUAAAAAUUUGAUUAGGUUGGACUGGUUCUUCAGGUUGGAUUGAGUUCAUCGGGUUGGAUUGAGUUUGCCUACCUCUAACUCUUGACCCACAUUAUUUAUUUUUAUUAUUUAGUAAUUUCAUUCAACCAAUAAAUUUAAAUUUUAUCAAUUUGUAUAAAAUAAGUUUAUACAAGAGCUUUUAACUCUAUCAUCACUCAUCAAACAAUGUUAGAUGAAACAAUAAAUAAAAUAUACAAAGGUAUCAUUAAAUCCAAAAGCAUCCAAUGUGUCAAAAAAUAUCCUAUCAUUUGAGAUAAAAUAUUAAAAUAUUAUUUUCAAAAUCAAUAACGAUAUAAUCACAAACAUUUUAAUAACAACUUGUGUAAACAAACUAAUAUGGCAUAAAGACAUUAGCUAGAAGGCGAUAACUAUUAUUUUUGUAAAUUAUGUGGGUCUAUAAUAGUUUUAUACAACCAAUCUUCUCAUGCAACAUCUGUAUGAUAUAUAUAUAUAUAUUUUUUAUAAGGUGGUUGUGGCUCUAUAUAUCCAAGUCGUUGUUCAACUUCAAGAGAUUCAAAUUUUGUGAAAGAAGCCACGAAGAAAUUUUACGCCAUUCAACAGUGUUAUUGCUUAUUAUUUAUCUUUGUGUGCUUGGAUUGUAAAUUUGACAGGAAAAUGGUAGAGACCUUGGAGGAAUUGCAGAAUUUGUUUGAAUAGAUGUUUCAAGGAGACACCAAUGCUUUCGGGCCUAAACUUAUUGUGAUUAUUUCAUCUGUACUUAGAUUUGAACUAAUCGGUUCUAGAUCAGAUGGGUCAUUGUAUCAUCUAGGAAAGAGGGAAAGUAAACUAAGAAGGUUUUUGUGAUGGUAUGUUAGCUUAUAUAAAUUUCCUUUCUUUAAUAAAAUCUCACUUUGUUUUUAGGGGAAAUUAACAAGAUCGGAUGGUGGAUUGUGCUGCUGUGUUAGAUGACAUUUUAAACAAUGUACUUCUGGCUAUGAAAUAACUAGCUAUAAAUGAUGUUUUGAAAGUCACCUAGUAGUGUGUGUUGAAAUGGUUUAAUCUUCAAGGUUUUUUUUUUUUAAUUGCAAAUAUUGAUGCUAGAGAAGAGAACUCGAACCAUUUUUGAUGAUUUAGAAUGUUGUAACCAUAAGAAGCUUCCUUGUCAUAAACUGGUGGCUCAGAUUAUUGAAAUGUUCAAGAGAAAGCUAAUCUUAUUGCCCAUUGUAUAUUAUUAGACUCCCUUUUGUUGCAAUCUUGUGGUUGAGCAGGUCUCAAGAUUCUGACCUUUUUCACCCUGCUUUCUGACUGAAGAAUUUGCCUAUCAUUGUCAAGUGUUUGGCAAUUGGCCACCAUCUGCUGUAUUCAUUAUGAAGGCAUUGUAAAUUUGAUCUCUUAAGAAGGGGAGAAACUGAUCAAGCUGAUUGGUUAUACUCAUUGUAUGCCACAAGUGCUUUAUCAAACCACAACAGGCAACACCCGUGCGAAGGGCGCAAGCCAGAAUUGAUAGCUGCACCAGUAUCACCAAGAUACUCCUUUUCCGGUCCAUCUAUAUCUUACCGAUGGCAUUUUUACUAUUCAUCCUCUGUACUGUUUGUUUCUUUAGCAAAUUUCUUUCUGUAUUAUGAGUCUUAAUAAAAGUUUAAUUGUAGACAGCUUUUUUGCCUUGAAAGUCUAUUUUAAACCUUUCAAACCAAUUAGCUCCAUUGGGAAACUUAUGACUUUAUAGAAAUAUUUGUUGCAUUUUGUCACUGAUGGUCAGUCCAUAAAAUUAGUUGACUGAUAGUGUCAAGCAGUUAGCAGUACAACUUUCUACCAGUGAUAUAAUUCUUUUCAUUCUGUAUUUUGUUCGACAAUUAAUUCGAUUCCAUUAUGUCAUUAUAUGUGCUUGAUUGAGUUGCAUGUUCAUGCACAAUAAUUUCCCAUCGCGGCGUUCCUAAGCUACUUUAUAAGACUUGGAUUUGUCUUUAACUAGGAUAUGGCUUUUUUUGAGUUGAAAAGCCUACUGUGAAAGUUAUCUGCUCAAAGCAAAAAAAAAAUUGUUUCCGUGGGAGGGAAAUUAAAUUUUGGCGAAGUUUGCUUUGGGGAUUUUGAAGAUAACCUGUAAAUUUGUUACACAUAUUGAGUGAUUCAAGGUUUUCAAUACAUUUCUUCCAAGGAAUAAGUUUUGUUUGGCUUCUCAAACUGUGCUUCUAAUCCAAUAUCUUAACUACGGCCGCCAAAAAGCUAUUCACUGUUAUAAUGGAUUGUUAUUGGAAAUAAUCAAAGAAAGCCUAUGAAGAAUUAGAAUAAAAGCUAUAUUUUGUCUUUGUGAAGGGAAUAUCUGACAGCCAAUCCACCGAUAUUUGUUUCUAUUAAAACCUAUACUUAUUAUAGCCUCAAUCAUUUCGAGACAUACCGGAGAAAUCUAAUUUAAAAAGUUGGUAAAUUUUAAUUCAUUCUCCCGAUAGAACAACAAUCUUGAUUUUAUCACCUAAAAGAGUGAAAAUAUCAAUUUAGCCUUCAUUUUCAUUCAAUAAGGUGAGAGUAAAUUGUGGAUGCGUUGAUGGAUUUCUUUUUUUUGGGGGGGGGGGGGGGGGGGAAUAAAAAAGAGAUGCAUGUUCUUUGCAUGGUUGUUUAUGGAGGCAAAGACUUAGCACUGAAUGAUAAGAUCAUUUACCUUCUUAGGGCCAAAGUCGUGAGUUUGAGCCUUAUCCUCCUGGAAGUAAAUCGAAGACUUAUCAUUUUAAGUGAGGGGCAAACUGAAGUUUAUUCUAAAAUGUUAUAUGAAACAACUUUAAGCCUUUUACAUCUAUUAAUUGUCUGCUACUAUUUUUUUUUUAUUCUAAAGUCUUUAUUACUCUUCUCAUAUUAGUAGUUAGCAGAGAUCCUAAAUUUUCUUUUAACAUUUUAUUCUAACAUUCUUUCCCCCGAAAAGGACAAUGGCAAGAUAAUUUGUCCUACCUUGACUGACUUAAUUUGGAUAGCUUGUGAUCAACUCUCUCUCGUUAUUCAUAAAGACGGCUACUUUGAUUUGCACUAUCCUUUCUGUGUCAUUGUGCUCACGUUGCAAGGGAUUCAUCACGCCCGCAGUCGUCAAAUUAAAGUUACAUUACAUUUACAUAAGUUAAAGACUUGUUUGAAUAUUCUCCAUCAUCUUUAUUGACCAUUUUUUAUCUUUUUAUUUUUCCUUGUGUCAAAAGAAUCCUUCACUGAUUGGAAUAUCCAUGAUGACUGGUUGCAAUUGGAAGAGCCCCUGAAAUUCAUCUUUCAUUCGAUCUUAAAUACGUUCUCCGAACAAUUAGAAUACAUUAAGAUUUUAUGAACUUGCUUAGUAGAUCAUUCAACUGCUUAAUUGGUGCUGUUAAUUAAUUGACUAUCUUCCUGGAAACACAUUAAAGACUCUCACGGGGAUUCAUUAAACCUUUUCGCUGGGUCAAUUCUACAAGCAUCAGACGUAAAAGCUUCAUGAUAAGAGCACAAGCCUAUUGUCUUCAGAAGCUCCUUCAAAAAGCGAAGCUAGCUAUUCUCUUUAUUGUCAUUUUCAUCCACUUUAAUUAACCCUCUCUUUUUCAUGUUGUACAACUUUGACUUGACUCUCAAAUGGAGAACAACGAUAUUUAGACAGAAAAAUUUAAUAAAAUAUUUAAAAAUAAAAUAAAAUUAGUGUCGGUUUAUCUUGUACUAGUUUUGCCUUAUUGAUGUCAAUGAUUUUCUAAGAGAAAAAUAAAACUUACAUUAAUUUUACCUUUGUUUCAUGAUGAGGUAAAACAUGAUUUUUUUAUUUUAACUUUUAAAAGAUUUCUUCAAAUGAUUUUCAAGUUGAUUUAUUUGGUUGGACUGUAAAAUGGGUUUGGGCUUAGCCCACCCCUAAUGUUUUUUUUCCAAAUUACCAUAAAAAAGAUUAGGUGUGUUGCAUUGCAAGUGUGGUAUGGAUAAAAGGAUAUAACUAUUUCUUCGUUGGAAAUUUGAAUAAAGAGAUAGAGAAAUUGGUAAACGAGUAGGAAAUAAUUUACGGGAAGGAUAAGUGGAUAAGAUUAGUGCUGGAGCCGUCAUGGAUUCAUUGCUAUGUAGAAUUAAAAAUUCAAGCUUAAACAGUUUUGGUGAAAUUUCUAUAUUGAAAUUCUUGUUAAUUAAUCAUUCACACUUUAAUGAAAGUAUUAAUAGCAGCCGUGUAACGCCCUAUUAAUUAAUUUAUCACACGUUAUAUAUAUAGAGUAGCGUAACGGGAUGGUUUUUUUUUUAAUAUAUAUGUUGAUCUUUUACUCAAUUAAUUAAUUAACAUUUAUAAAAUAGCACUAAGUAUUCAUGAGCUUAAACAUGAAUCAAUAUUUGCUAGUGCAUUGGUGGUUAGCACAAAUAACUUCGAUGAUAGAGAGUGACUAGGAAGCAUUAAGGGGAUGGAUCCUUUAAUGACCUGAUUUUUAAGCAAAUUUCACUUAUAUAUUUAGUGGUUAAUCAAUUAAGAAAUAAAAAUAGUUAAAUUCUAAUCAUACAUUAAUAUUAAAAGGUAAGUGAUAUAAGAUCUUUAAACGUUCAGAAGAGAUCAAGUCAAAAGAGAAUUUUAAUUUGAGAAUCAGAAGAGAUCAAAUCAAAAGAGGAUUUUAAUUUGAGAAUAACUCUUGUAAAGCUUAAGUUUUAUGUGCUCAUGAAAGUACUUGCUAUUAAAGGUAUCUCUUGAAUAUUUAAUGCUUUAACAGAUUAUAUUCUUUAUAGACAGUUUGUAAAUUACUCUCGUCACUACCACCAUGACUUGUAUUGUUGUUGUGACCAGUUUAAUGGAAUGCAAUUUCAAUUUACUUGUUAGAAAAAAAAAAUCAAUUAUAAAUACUAAUUUACCUUAUUGUGCUCUAGAGCAAAAUACAAAGUGGAUCUUUGAUGAUUAUUAAUUUAAUUUACAAUGAUAGAUAUAUCUUAAGUAUACAUAUUAAGAUAUAUAUAUACACACACAUACACGUGCUUGCAUGUGUGUGUGUGCGUGUGCGUGUGCGGGUGUGCCAAGAGACGAACAAAUAUAUGAUAAAUAGAAAUUUCCUUACCUAAAGACUUCAAAUUAAUGGUGAAACAUCUUUGCAAAUUAAACUAAGAAAAAUUGAAAAAGUAUUUUUAUCAUUUUAUGCAUGGAAUUCCACGUCCAUGCAUGCAUCUACCCAACAAAUGCACUUGUAAUUUAGUAUGCAUAUGGUACAUCACAAAAUAUUGUCUUGGAAAAGUCUCAAUGGAUGACUCGUGAUCAUGUCAUUGUACGUACACGCACAACGAAUAAUCCUUGCGACGACUUGCAUAAAACAAAAAAGGGAAUGUCUCUUUGUCCCUGUAGUUUAUGUACCCAUGGAGGAGUCAAUAUAUUUUUAGAAAUUUACUCAAAAAAAUCUACUUAAUUAUUUUCUAUUUUCCAUCCGCUAUAUAUUAAAUUAGUUUCAAUUUUAAAUUUUAUCAUAUAAAAAUUCUGUUUUAGCUUAAAAAAUUUAUGUCCAACAACUAAGAAAGUAAGUAAAGAGAUGUUCUGGAUAAUCUUUUAAAAUAUAAUAUUGACCAAACUAGAUAAUUGACUCAAACUAUGGGGAUUAAAAUAGUAUUUACCUAUUUAACAAAUUUAAAAUUGUUUUCCAAAAAAAAAAAAGUAAAUUAACUUCUAUCUUUAUUAAUAAAAUUAUGACAUAACUAAGUAAUAUUCAUAUUGUGGUGAAAACAACUUCUUGGUUUAGCGAUGGUCUUGCAUGUGGAGGGUUGAAAUCUUUUAUGUUAAUAAUAGUAAUUAAAAGGGAGUGUGUAUGCCACACGCCGGAGACCAAAAAGUGAUUUGUCAAAUCCUCGAACUCAAUGACGAGCCAAAACUGGAUUGGUUAUCCACUCUUGUACGGCUUUGAAUGACUUUUUCUAUUUGCUACAUACUCCGCAUCAAUCGUUGUAACGACGUAAUUACGAAAACAACUAGAAGCUGGCCAAGACGACGGGCAAGCUGAGAACAUAUUCGUUGGCAUUUUCCCUUCAUUUACACCAAAUAAUCUAAAGUUCUGAACUGAAUGAAAGAGGAAUAAGCCAACUUGAAUUACAUUUUUUCCAGCAUUUUUUGGUCGAGCGAACCAUUUCACUUGGAAUCAUAAUGAGUCGUUGCAAGGAAAUGUGUUAUUUUGAUUAUUACUUUGUUUAUUAUUCUUGUUUGCGGCAUUUUAAUUUGAGAGAGAUAUAAGUCUCAAAGGAAUGUCGGAUUCUGUGCUCACAUGAUGAGCUAUAUAAUAUAUGUUGGUUUUACUUAAGGUUGUUGUAAUUAGUAGUUUUUUUUAAAAAAAAAAAUACUAGCACAACUCUAAUUUAUAAUGGAUAAAAAUUCCUAAUUAAUUUGAAUUCAUCUCUCAUUUGUCAUUUAAAAAAGAAAAAAAAAAGAUUCAAUAAUGUUCUUAUUAAUAAACAUAGUAUUUGACACUUUUGUCUACUCGGAAACAAAGACUAACGACAAUAUGCUUUAAACGUUUUGAUGGUUCUGCUCUACCAACAUCAACGUAAAAUCACAGAUCGAGCACAUAAGUCAUGACCAUCAUUUUCAAAAUUUGCAAAUAUAGUCCAAUUUCUCUAUAAUCAUAAUAUUGGGGCAAAUUAAUUUUAUUAAUAUGAGAAUAUUAUAAUUAACUUAGUAAAGAUAUAGUUACAGAAAUUAUCAUUUUCACUUAGUUAUCCUUCGUGCAAUUAAAUUAGAGGUAAAAUAUUUACUAUAUUAAUAAUUAAUUACUGGAUUAUGUCAGAAAUUGAUAUUAAAGGUAGGCUUAAUUAAAAAAAAAUAGUCUAUACUUUUUUGCAAUAGACAAAUAAUAUUACUAUGCGGGGACAAAUUCUUUUUAGACAAGACUUAAAAAAAUUAUAACUUAUUAUAAUAUAUAGUAUAUCCUUAUUUAUAACUACUUAAAUUGAGAUUAAAUCUUUUUUAUAAUUAAAUAAAAAUUAUUUUUAUAUAAAGUAUGACUACAUAGGAGAAAUAUUUUCUUUCUAUAUAAAGGAUAUAUGACUAUAUAGGAGAAAUAAUUUAUUGUAUAUAGCUAUUUCUUUCUCUGUUAUUUCUAUCCACUUCAUGAGCACUGUCUUAGUCUUUUCCCUUUUUUGUAACAAUCUUGGUUUAACUAUGAACUAAAUGUUCUUCUUUUCAAUCAUUAAUUAAUAUUAGGUAGGUAGGUCUACCAACACGGUUGCACCUAAUUACCCACUAUAAAAUUUUAUUAUCAAUCUCCCAUGGAAAAGUGUGCAUGCCUAUAUAUAAUCGGACUUUAUUAUCAGUGUUAUGGAUAAAUGAAUUAUUAAUUUUAAAUUAAUAAUUAUUUUAAUCAAUUUGGCAAUAUAUAUCUUAUCCUUGAUUAAUUUAUAUGAAUGAAUAUCAAGUGUAACGUAAAAUAUUAUUUGUGUUGCACAUGACAUGCGGACAAAAGAAUACAAAGAUUCCUUAAACAAGAUUCAAAGUAAAAUAGAAAGUUGAAUUUAACAAGAUUCAUGUACAGGAAGAAAAAGAAUUAAUAAAGUGAUGAAAAAUUGGUAAUCGUGGCAAGUAAUCUUAUUCAUGUACGCGGCGGCACGACCCAAGACUUGGAAAUUAAAUAGUGAAACUUCUUUGCAAACGAUAGAAACUACAAUUCAUGGAGAGUCUUGACGAGUAAUUUAUCAUUUUAUGCAUGGAAUUCCACGUGCAUGCAUGCUUGUUCUCCACGCUUGGAAAUUUUGCAAAUGGCUUCUCCCUUUAAUCUUUGAAAGUGUCCUCUAACAAGUGUCUCAAUUAUUGGAUAACAUUUGCAGUCCUUGUAAUUCAUUAAUAACACGUCCCUCAACAAUCCAUAUUGCAAUAAAGAUUUUUACGCAAAAAUUCUAUCAUCCAUCAAACUACCAAAUUGGCCAACAAAUAGAUGAUACUUAUGUUUUGAAAAACUAUCAUGUAAUUGAUGAUUAUAUCAAAUUUAACUAUAUGUAUUAUAUAUAUAUAUAUAUAUAUAUAUAUAUAUAUAUAUAUAUAUAUAGUUUAGAGACUUUGUGUAUAAAGACUUGUGUUUUAUUUUAUUUUGUUUGUGUGGUGAAUUUUUACUGGUAGUAAGUCCCGUUUUAGGAUAAGGAUUUCCGCUGAGGGCAAUAAAACCAUACCUGUAGCCAUACUGACAAGACUAGGUAGACCAUAGGUUUUUAUCCAUGGAUUCUCUACUCUGUAGAGUAUCGUCCUUUUCUAGCUCUUCUUCCGGGAAGACUAGCAAAAAAAAAAAAAAAAAAACUCUCUUUCUGGAUCCCAGAAAGAGAGUUUUUUAACUGUAGCGAGCCAAUUAAAACUUGCGCUUGGAGUCACUAAAUUUAAAUUCUGCUUAAAACACAUCCGUCCUUCGAUCCUAUUUCCUUCUGGUAUCAGAGCCAAGGGGAGGAUAGUGUCAUAUAGUUUAGAGACUUUGUGUAUAAAGACUUGUGUUUUAUUUUAUUUUGUUUGUGUGGUGAAUUUUUACUGGUAGUAAGUCCCGUUUUAGGAUAAGGAUUUCCGCUGAGGGCAGUAAAACCAUACCUGUAGCCAUACUGACAAGACUAGGUAGACCAUAGGUUUUUAUCCAUGGAUUCUCUACUCUGUAGAGCAUCGUCCUUUUCUAGCUCUUCUUCCGGGAAGACUAGCGAUUCAAAGAACAUUGUGAAUUCUGAAGAAUUUGUAAUUGAAGAUUUCAAUAAAGCAAUUGAUAAUUGGGAACUUCCAAAGAUUUCUAAAGAAAUGAUUUAUAAAACAAAAAAGUUUGAUUUCUUAAAGAAUGAUUAUGUUAUAAAGACUGAAGAACGUGACAUCACUCUUUCAAAGCCUUUUGAAACAAUCCACUUGUUUUCAGAACAAUCUUUAAAGAAAUUAAAAGAUAAAAAUUUUAAUUAUGUUCAUAUCGACUUGAUCCAAGUCGGCAUAAAGCCUCUUACUAAAGGACUUAAUACCUCCAUUCUUGCUGUCCUAAGAGGUGGGCGAUUCAUCUCUUUUGAUGAUUCUUUGCUAAGUAGCAUAGAAUCGAGUCUUUGUAAAAGACCUAUUUCUUUCAAUUGUUAUCCAAACAUGACAAUUUCCCUUAAAUACAAAAACAUUUUGAAAAGCAUGAUUUUACAAAUAAAAACACAUAAUUACCAUAUGAUUGAGGGAUCUGUCCCAGUUGCAUUAAUUUUUAAAAUUUAUUACAAAACCAUGAUUUCUGCAUUUAGCACACAACACAAAUUCCAGUUAAAAAGAGAUGAGACUCUUCUCUUACAGACUGAUCUGUCCAAAGCCAACACUGUUAUUCCAAAACCGAUCCAAUGGAAAGAUGUCAAUCUUCCAGAUGAAUGGGUCCUUGAAGGAGCCAUUGCCCCAGUGAUUCCAAAACAACUUGAGCCAAAUACAGAGUUACAAAAUGUGACUCAGUAUUCUUAUGGUAAAGUCAAAUUGUCCCUCAGGAGAUCUACUUCGUCUAGAUUUUCUGAUAAAGAUUCUGUCUCAAGUAUUCCUUCACUGGAAAGGAAAUUCUCCAAAGUUCCUUCUGUAAUCAAUCUUCCUUUCCAGAAUCAACCUAGGUUUUCCACUUCGGAUAUACCACUAGUGUUCCAUAUCCGAUCUACACUAGUAGUCAGCAUGAGAAAAGACAGGAAGAGAAAGAACCUUCUCCUCCUACUUCCCCUACGUUUUCUGCAGUCACAGAAAAUAUAACCAAUGUCAUUGAAAAAAUUUUUGAAUUUGAUAAAACUCUUCUUCAUAAUGAUUUUUAUUCUGAUUCGAAUAAAGAAAAAAGACUUUGGUUUUUUAAACAUUUUUUAAAUCAAAGAAAAGAAAUCCAACAAGUUUAUUAUGAAUUUGUUAAUCUGCAUAAAGCUCAUAUAUUAUUUUUUGAUUGGUUUCAAUUAUAUGCUUCAGAAAACAAUAUUUCUUAUCCCUUCAAAGAAUCAAACCCCAUUACUGUUAGAAAGAAAACCACUGAAUGGACUCUUUCUGGUAGUGGUAGAACCAUAGAAUCAGAACAUCCACCUCUUAGGAGCUUGACCAUUGGUCAUGGUGAACCCCCUGUAGAGAUUAAAGCCUCACCCUAUAAAAUCCAUAAAAAUCCAGAAACAGAUUUAGAUAGCAUUAUCCAACAGAACAAUUUCUGUAAUGAUAAUCUAAAUACAAUAGGAAAACAGUUGACUAGGAUAGAAAACCAAUUCCAACAGCCAACUAUAGCUGUUUCUCCUAUACCAAAGCCAGUUACCUCAAAAUCAGAUUCUGACAAAAAGCUUAAAGAACCUAUUUUCAAACCUUUUUAAGUUUCGAAAACUAGUCAAAGGCUUGCCCAAGAGUCAAAAUCAGAUUUUGCCAAAGCCAUUAGGGAACAACUAGACCGAAUAGAAGCUGCUUCUUCUUCUUCUAGUAAGGUCCAAAUAGCCCCUGAUAGUGCCCAAUCUAGCAAGAUUGGUGUACUAGAACAGGACAGUAUAUCCAUAGCCUCUUCUGAUGUAGAAGCCUUCACAGAAGAACCUAUUUCUAAAACCAAUAAAAUCCAUUGGGAAUUAGCCUUACCUACUGUCAAGUCUCCACCUAAUUUGGCCAUAGAUAACAGACCUAGUGCAUUAAACCAAUCCUGAUUUAAUGCAUCAUCUGUCUAUGAGUGGAACAUUGAUGGUAUGUCUGAGUACAACAUCCUAGGGUUAUUGCAACAGAUGACCAUGGCAGCCAAUGCCUAUAAAACCCAAUCGGGAACUUCUGAUAAAGCAAUUGCAGAAAUCCUUAUUGCGGGUUUUACAGGUCAGCUUAAAGGUUGGUGGGAUCACAUUCUCACCAAACAGCAACAAUUAGAUAUACUAGAUUCUAUUCAAACUGACGAGAAUGGAGCCCCCAUUCUUGAUGAAUUCAAUAGUCCGAUUCAGGAUGCAGUUGCCACCCUGAUUGUGACUAUAUCCCUCCAUUUCAUAGGUGACCCCUCACACCUUAGAGACAAAAACGCUGAGUUACUACACAAUCUUCGGUGUAGAAAACUUAGUGAAUUCCAGAGCUAUAAAACCACAUUCUUCACCAGACUUUUCCUUAGGGAUGAUGCAAAUCAUAUAACUUGGAAGGAGAAUUCUUUGCAGGUUUACCUACCCUAUUAGGAGAAAAGGUUAGGAAUUCUAUUAAAGUCUUGUAUGAUAACCGUAUUCCUUAUGACGAACUCACUUAUGGUGAACUAGUCAGUUUUGUUAAUAAGGAAGGUUUAAAGAUUUGUCAAGAUUUGAAAUUACAGAAACGGUUAAAAUGGGAGCUUAAGAAAUCUAAGCAAGAAUUAAGCAGUUUCUGUAAACAAUUCAAUUAUGACCCCUUUAAAACUUCUACUUCCAAAGAUUGUAAUGGUGAGUGUUCUACAAAACCUUACAAGAAACAUUACAAAUCAAGAUCCCAUAGAAAACCCUUUCAAGAUUUUAGAAAACAUUCUUAUAAGAAACCUUCGAGGCCUUAUAAGAAGCCCAAAUUCUCUAAAAAGAAAGAGUUUAGAGCUAAACCAAAAACCCCUUUCAACUAUAAAUAAGCCACAUGUUUCAAAUGUGGACAGAAAGGCCAUACUGCAAAAUUCUGUAGAAUGAGAGGAAGCUCCAUGAGCUUGGUCUUGAUGAUGAUAUAUUUUCUAAGAUCGCCCAUUUACUUGUAGAAUCUUCCGAUUCUGAAUCCUCUAUGACAGGGGAUAGUGAGCCUCUACAAAUUGAUGAGUUAAUUGACUCAGGUACAUCUGUAUCCAGUGAUAGUGAUUCUGAUACGGAAUCCUAUUUAAAGAAAAUCAACGUUUUGACUAAAGAACAAGAAACCUUUCUUGAACUUGUAAAACAUAUUUCUGAUCCUACUCUCCAAAAAGAGUAUCUUGAUAAACUCUUAAAAACACUCGACUUGAGUGAUAAAGCAGGAACUUCUGAAGCCCCAUUGAUCAAAAGGAAUACAUAUGACCUUACUGAAAUUUUGGAUAAAAAGAAAACAAUGAGAACAAUGACUCCUAAUAUCCAAGAUCUUCAGAAAGAGAUAAAAAAUAUCAAACUUGAAAUCAAGGAGUUAAAAGAAAAGCAAAAGAGUGAUUCUGAUACUAUCCAAUUCCUUUUGCAAAAGCAACUCCAGGAUAAUUCUGAUAAAGAAUCCGAUGAUGGUGAUAAUGACGAACAAAGGUUAGAUAACAUUGAGUUUAUACCAAAUGAUUUUCUGUUUGUCUUAAAACAAAUCACCACAAGAAAGUAUUUAAUCAAAAUUACUUUGAUUUUUUCCAAAGAUUUUGAAAUUGACACCAUUGCCCUUUUCGACACUAGUGCUGAUUUAAAUUGCAUUAAAGAAGAUAUUGUCCCCAGAAGGUUUCAUGAGAAGACAAACGAGAGACUUUCUGCAGCCAAUAAUUCAAAACUUAAAGUCAAAUCUAAAGUCGACGCCUCUAUUCAUAACAAUGGUUUUGAAUUUAGGACUUCAUUUAUUCUUACAAAUGACAUACACCAUACUGUCAUUUUAGGAACCCCUUUUAUAAAUCUUAUUACUCCAUAUACUGUCAAUUACGAUAGUAUAUCUUUUAAAGAAAAAAAUAAAAAACUUGUUUUUCCUUUUAUUGGAAAACCCAAAACAAGAAAUUUGAAUAUUGUUAAAGCUUGUUCUGUUUAUCAGAACCAAAUCAAUAUUCUUCUCAAAUCUAAACAAAAUGACCUAGUUUGUUUGAAAAAGGAUUUGAAUUUACAAAGAAUUGAAACCCAAUUACAAAAUGAUUUUAUCAAAAGAAAGAUUUCUGAUUUUAAAUCCUUGAUUGAAAAAGAAAUUUGUGCCGAUUUACCAUCUGCUUUUUGGAACCGAAAACAACAUUUGGUAGAUUUGCCCUAUGAGAGUUCUUUUGAUGAAAAACAAAUUCCCACCAAAGCUCAUCUGAUCCAAAUGAACAUGGAUUUGGAACAACACUGUAAAGAUGAAAUCAAAGAUUUGGAGUCCAAAGGACUCAUUGUUAAAUCUCGAUCUCCUUGGUCUUGUGCCGUAUUUUAUGUUAAUAAAAAUUCUGAAAUUGAAAGAGGGACCCCGAGACUAGUUAUAAACUACAAGCCUCUCAAUAAAGCUUUGAAAUGGAUUAGGUACCCCAUACCUAAUAAAAAAGAUUUGCUCCAAAAACUGCAUUCUACAUUCAUAUUUUCAAAAUUUGAUAUGAAAUCUGGUUUUUGGUAAAUUCAAAUCCAUCCUAAAGAUCGUUAUAAAAUUACUUUUACUGUUCCAUUUGGACAGUAUGAGUGGACUGUAAUGCCUUUUGGCCUGAAGAAUGCACCCUCCGAAUUUCAAAGAAUCAUGAAUGACAUUUAUAGUCCUUUUUCUGAUUUUUGCAUUGUUUAUAUUGAUGAUGUGUUAAUCUUUUCCCAAACGAUUGACCAACAUUUCAAACAUUUAAAGACUUUCUAUCUUGCCACUAGAAAGACUGGAUUGGCCAUUUCUAGCUCCAAAGUUUCUUUGUUUCAAACAAAGAUCAGGUUCCUCGGUCAUUACAUUUCCAAAGGAACCAUUACUCCUAUUGAGCGUUCUCUUGUCUUUGCAGACAAGUUCCCUGACAAAAUCCUAGAAAAAACUCAAUUACAAAGAUUUCUAGGAAGUUUAAAUUAUGUUCUUGAUUUCUGUCCUAAUAUCAAUAGGAUGUUUAAACCCUUGCAUGAUAGAUUAAAGAAAAAUCUUGUUGCAUGGACUGAUGAGCAUACUAGAAUUGUUAAACUUAUAAAGAGUUCUGUUAAAAGCAUCCCAUGUUUAUUUCUUGCAAAUCCUGCAUUACCUAAAAUUGUUGAAACUGAUACAUCUGAUUUAGGUUAUGGAGGAAUACUAAAGCAAAGAGAACAUGAUAAAGAACAAAUAGUGCAAUAUGUUUCUGCCCACUGGAAUGAAUGCCAAAGAAACUAUUCUACUAUUAAAAAAGAAAUUCUUUCUAUUGUUUUAUGCAUUUCUAAAUUUCUAAGUGAUUUAUUAAAUCAGAAAUUUUUACUUAGAAUUGAUUGCAAAGCUGCAAAACAUGUUUUAGAAAAAGAUGUCCAAAACAUUGCCUCAAAACAUAUUUUUGCACGAUGGCAAGCUAUUUUAAGUAUUUUUGAUUUUGAUAUUGAAUUUAUUAAAGGUGAUGCAAAUUCUAUCCCUGAUUUUCUAACUAGGGAAUUUCUCCAGAACAGAUAAAUGCCGUCCAAAAAGAAAGACAAAGGGAAAGAGAUUCUCAAAGACCCUGUGUCCCAAACACCUUCUAAAGCCUCUCAAACCUCACCACCUAAAGAAAAAUUGCUUUCUUCUGCCAUGCCAAUCAAAUCCUGGAUCGACAUGAUAGAAGAUCAAGAAGCCCAGUUUAAAGCUCUUGCUACACAUGAGCAGGUAAAUGAAUGGAUGAAAUCCAUUUCUAAAUCCCCUGAACUUAUGCUCGCUUUACAAAGUUUUUCUCAAAGCCAAAUAUCUCCAAAAGAAGAUAUUGAAAAAGAAAAAUCUGUUUCCAAAGAAGUUUCAAAACCCUCUUCUCAAAAUGUGGUUAUUUCUGGUGAAAGUUCAUCUUCACAAAUUAUUCUUUCCCAGCCAAAGCUUUCAAAGAAAUCUUCUGAUUGGUUUGAUAAAACCCAUUUCCAAAACAUUUUAUCUAUGGAAGAUGGUUUUUACCAUCCUGAUCCUUUUCAAGCUAUUUCAAAGUUUUUCCCUAAGGGCUGGUUUUUCAAACCAUGGGAUUUGACAAAACCCCAGUCCUAUUAUCAAAGCAUUUUGGAAUCCAUUGAGUUGGUAAAAUUCAAACAUUUCUUCCUCAGUGAAACCCAUACAGAGCCAGCCUAUUCCACGGCUACCAUCCUCAAAGUCCUAAGCCCAAAACAGUGGGGUGACCUACUCCACAACCAAAAAUACUUCCCUCAAAAUUUUCAAAUGUGUUUGCCAUAUUGUUUGACCUAUUCCUACUGGGAUUAUCAACAAGCCUGGUAUAACACAUUUUUCAUACAAAACCCAAAGAAAUCCCAUUCCUGGUUAUUUUUCUUCAAUUCAAAGAUAACCGUUCAAAGCCUUCCAAAUUGGUUUCAACAUUGGUGGAACUAUUUUGGUCUAAUACCACAAAUUCUAACUCCAAAUGCCACCAAUUGUCUAAACCUCUUCAAAGCCCAUUAUAUUCCUUCUGACUCAGAGAAAAGAUUUCCCCCCUUUCUCUGUUUUUGUACAAACUUCUUCCUUCCAUGGGUAUGGAUGUGGAAUUUCCGAUAUUAUACCCAAGAAGCCCAGCUCAUCCUACAAAGAACUAUGGCAAAAUGUCCGGUCGGGCUCGGGCUUGGCCAAGCCCUACCCGACCCGAUCAAAAGAAAUGUAAAGCCCGACCCUAAAAAUGCCCGAAUACUAUUUAGUUAGGGUCGGGCCGAGCCCGGCCCGAAUCGGGCCAACAUCGGGUCGAGCCCAACCCGACCCUACCGAAAUAAUUAACCCCACAAUUUAAUUCUCAUUUUCCACCACCAUUUUAACCAAUUCGGUAAUUACUCAACCAUUUCAAACACAAUCUAAUCCACUUUCCACAACUAUUUCAACCAAUUCCACAACCAUUUCAACUCCACACACAAAUCAAUUCUAAAAUCUAACAUGAAAAACACACAAUGUAAUAAAAUUAAAAACACACAAUAUAAUUUCACAACUAUUUUACCCAUACACAAUUCAAUUCAAGAACCCAACAUAAAAAAUAAAAAAUAAAAAACUCAUGUCUUAUACAAAUAAAAAUACAAUGCAAUUAAAUUAAAAACACACAAUAUAAUUUCACAACCAUUUUAGUCAUACACAAUUUAAUUCAACAACACAACAUAAAAAAAAAAAAACUCAUGUCUUGUACAAAUAAAAAUACAAUGCAAUUAAAUUAAAAAGACACAAUGUGUGAUGUUGUGUGUAUGUUAACUUGUGAUAGUUUUUUUUUUUUUUUAAAUAGGGUCGGGUCGGGUCGGGCCGGCAUUAAGCCCUACCCUAACCCUAAAUUUGUUCAGGCCUUAAAAUCUUGGCCCUAACCCGACCCUAAACUUGAAAAUUCGGGCCAAAGCCCUAAAAAUUAGGGUCGGGUCAAUCGGGCCAAAAAUCGGGUCGGGCUAAAUUGCCAAGCCUACAAAGAACCUUUAAAGUUAAGUGGUGGUCAAAGUUUGACGAACAGUCCAAAUUAACUGAUACCCUGAUCCGUAAUUGGCUCUGUUCUAAAGGCUUCAUACCCCCAACAAUUAAAGCUGCCAAAGCCCAAGAAACCUUUCUUACCCAAAAAUCCAAAGCGCAAUCUCUUUUGGCCAGCGCCAAAACUGAAGAAGAAUAUUUUAAAGUUAUGGAGCAGCUCCUCACCUCACGAUCAAAGUCCUCAGUUGCAGACACCUCUGAUGACGAUGAAGAAGAUGAAGAACCAUUUAUUUCUCUUGGAGAUGAAAAUGAAGAUGAUUGUUUCGGAAUUUUCUCUCCAAUAAAGCAUUGUAAAUAGUUAUCGUUUAUGUAUUAAAAAAAAAAUUAAUUAUUCAUCUUUUGUAAUCUCCAUUUGUAUUUUCCUUUUUUCUAUUUGUAUGUAUCUUCGGGUGGUCCCUUGGACACAAGUGAGAGCGCACAUGUCUCUUCACCCGUAUCAUACUCAUAUUUUAAAGCUUGUAUAUUCUAGUUCCAAAGAUUACUGUUCCAAGCUACAGUUUUGCUACAGUGGAGAAGCUACAGACUCGCUACAUUAAAAAACUCAAUUUUGUAUUUAAUUCUGGAGGAAGACUUAGACUCCUCAGAAUUUUUUCCUUUCUCGUUUUAUUCUCUCUCUCUCUUCUCUCUCUCUCUCUCUGUAUUCAAAGAACGUUGUGAAUUCUGGUAUUAGAGCCACAAUUUAGUGAUUUAUUUCUUGCAAAUCCUUCAUUACUUAAAAUUGUUGAAACUGAUGCAUCUGAUUUAGGUUAUGGAGGAAUACUAAAGCAAAGAGAACAUGAUAAAGAACAAAUAGUGCAAUAUGUUUCUGCCCACUGGAAUGAAUGCCAAAGAAACUAUUCUACUAUUAAAAAAGAAAUUCUUUCUAUUGUUUUAUGCAUUUCUAAAUUUCUAAGUGAUUUAUUAAAUCAGAAAUUUUUACUUAGAAUUGAUUGCAAAGCUGCAAAACAUGUUUUAGAAAAGGAUGUCUAAAACAUUGCUUCAAAACAGUUUUUUGCCAGAAGGAAAUAUGAUCGAAGAACGGAUGUGUUUUAAGCAGAAUUUAAAUUUAGUGACUCCAAGCGCAAGUUUUAAUUGGGGUAUGUGGCGUUGUUACCAGAUCGAUGCAGAGCUUAAUCUGCCUUUGGACCCAGAUCUGACUUAGAACAUAUCAAUAGUCCACACGUUCUGUUUUCCAGCCUAUAUAUCUUUAAAUUCUUUGAAAAAUCUUGAUCUUUAAGCAAGCCUAGCAACAGAUCUAAAGGCUCAUAGAUAGUUGAUUGUAUUGGUUUUGAUGUAUUGUAAAAUUUUUGAUUUUAUGGCCAUAUAAUAUAGAUAAUCAAGGUUUAAGUUUAUUCACACACACGCGCACGUACACGCACACACAUACACAUAUAAUUAUAGGAGUGACUAAUGAGCCUUUUUCUUUUCUCAUUUUGAGAAAAUCUCAAGUACAAAAAACGUAUUAUAACCAUUUAGUGAAAUUAGUUAUGACAUACGCACUCUGAUUUUAUUAUACUAUAAUUAUCUUCUUCUUCUUUUUUUUUCCAACUUAAAUGUACACGUACGUGAUCAAUGACUAUGGAUUAUGUAGAGGAGUUUAUCAUUUUAUUGAAAUUCUAAUGAUUGUCACAACAUAUUAAAGGGAGGUUGGCAGUUUCCUUCAUGUAGAAAUUAAUACAUACCAUUUCUCUUUUUAUUGUUUUCAUAAUAAUUAAUAACUUUCAUUCAUCAUAAUUUUAUAGUAUUAUUCUUAUUUUAAGAUAUUUUAAAAUUUAUUUAAUUAUUCAUCUUUAUUAUAAAUUAAAUAAAUUAUAUAAACAGAAAUUGAAAUAAAAAAAUUUAAAUAUUAGAAAUAAGAAAUAUAAUUUUCGGUGUUGAUAAAAAAUUAGUAUGAAUAUAGUUUUCUUUUUUUUUAUCUUUAAACAUAUUUUCUUAUGGUAAAUAUAUAUUUUAUAUUUUUAAAAUAAAAUAUUAAGCAAAUGACCCAUUUACCUUUACUUUCUUUUAAGUUUUUUUUUUAUACGAAGAGAUUAUUAACUAUUAUGAAAAUAAUAGAUGAAUAAAUAUUUUACAUAAAUUUCGACGGAGAGAAACUAGCAAUACCCUUAAACGAUUGAACCUUCAGUAUCUUAGUAGUUGACUGUGAAUGACAUUUUAUUCCACCCCAUUGCAAUUGUUGCUUGUCUUCCACGGAUAUCUUGAUUACGUUUGCAAGCUUAUGUUAUAAGGGCUUCGUCAUUGCCAUUAUUACGAAAUUAAAUAGACUACGAUUGUUGACCUAAUUUGAAAAUUCCUCCAUUGUUUAUUAUUUUUCGCUUUCUAAUUUAUCAACAUCAGCGAUAUCAAGUCAUUCUUUUAAUUAAAAACCUUGGGGAAGACGAAAUAUAUAUUAACUUACUGUCUUUUCUCAACAACUUUUUAGGUGAGAUUAGUUUAAUAAAUUACAUGAUAAAUAAUACUCUUGCUUGAGUCUACAUAUAAUUAUAUAUGAUGUAAAAUUAAGAUUCUUUUUUUUUUUGUCGUAAUACAUAGAAUUGUUCGUACUAUUAUUAUAACAAAAUAAUUAAAAUUUAUGAGUUGAAGUUGUCAGAAAAAUAAACUUAUUUCCAAUGAAUGGCAUUUGGAGGAACAAAAUAAAUCCGAAACUUUUUUACGCGGAAAAAAUCAAUUAACAUUAAUGAAGUCCAAAUGUCCAAAUAUAAUGGGAAAUUGAAUUCUUCAAUACCUUGCUGUUUCUUCAUAUUUCUUUAUAAAUUUACCGAUUCUUUACUCUAAAUUCUAGAAUUUGUCUUCAUACAUACAAUGGAAACUUAUUCUCUAAGAUACUGUAAAAAAACAAAAAAAUUAACAAAACCUAAUCAGUUGGUAAAUUUUGAUUAAUUAUUAUCUAUUAUUAAUAAUUAGGUGGACCUAAACGUUCCAAAUACAUUAAAACAAUCGAUCAUCUACAUUAUUCUAUAUUUUGAGGAGAGAAAAAAAAAAGACAAAAUCUUUUAGAUCAUCCACAUUAUUCUACAUUAAUCUUUUUUUCUUUUUUUUCCUUAUGAAAAAGCAAUUAAAUUAAUAAGUAGAAAUUUCUUUACAUUUUCGCCGGAGAAUCAGAGUCAAAUUCAAAUACAACGACUCAAAGCGCAAAAGCUUAUAAAUAGAGGAGAGCAAAAAUAAAGCCCCGCUCCAGUUCUCUUCUCUGUCAGAGGCUACGGAUUUGAGAGAUUAAAGAACAUCAAUCGAACAGUAAGACUCCGUACUCUGUGACUCAAAGUUGCAAAAACUUUUAGGUAAAAUUUUUUCGAUUAAUUUUUUAAUUUUCGAGAAUAAAGAGAGAGAGAGAGAGAGAGAGAAAAGAGAUGGGAUUAUGUCUGUCUGGGAGUGAUGUGAGGGGAGGGAAACAAGCCAUAGGUGGGGCCCAUCUCCGGCCCACCAGCACGGCUGAUCAGAACAAUGUCUCUGGUCAAAACGACGCCGUUGAUUUCUUCUUCAAAUCUCGCGGCCUUCAUGCCCUUUUCACCCAAAUCGAGGUAUAUGUGUGUACCUGAAUUUUAUGAGUCUUUCACUGCCACUAUUUAUAAACUAUUUUCAGUUAAUUAAUUAAUCAAAAAUUUAUGAUUAGUUUAUAUUUUUUAAUUUAUUUAUAAUUUUUUAUUUUUAUUUUUUAAAUCUAACUUCGUUCAUGUCUGUAAUUGUGAUGGAUUCUCAAAUGGUCAUUCGUUUAAAAAUCUAUUCCUAAAUUAUGUUUGCUAUUAUUAUUUAUUUAAUGACUUGGCAGUGUAACAUCGAACAACUUAAAUCAUCAAUAUUUGAUAAAAGUUAUUUGAUAAUUCGAAUACAAAUAGAGAGUAUAGAUUCCUAUUCAAGAAUCAACCGCAAUCCCAAACAUGCCUUUUUUUAAAUAAUAUAAGAGGAGUAUUUGGAAUUUUGGAGGGCGAAUAUUUUACUUGGUGCUCCUUCAAAGGACAAAGGACUUAAGCAUCUCCUCAAAAGAAUGCCUAUCGGGUGCUUCUUUGAGAAGCAUUUUUUUUUCUUUCUUUUUUUUGAAUUUGUUCUGGUGGCUGAUCUUUUGCUGGUGUUGGUUCGACGGUUUCACACCAAGCAAGUGCUUUUGUUUUGCAUAUGGAGAACAGUAAGUUUAACUGCUUAUACCCAAUGACAACAUUCUGUGGAGUGAAUUUUAGAUUAAGAUUGGUUAAGGUAAAUAAAAAAAGAAUGGUGUUGAAUGCACAAAGGCCUUGUGAACGUUGAGAAAGUUGAUGUUUGAUCCUGUUGAAUGCACAGUGGUUUUCCUGUGUAUCCUCAAAGUUGACUAUUCAGUUAUGCCUCAUUUAUCAAAUUUGACUCAUACCCCUCGUGAUCAAAUUUGACUUGUACCCCUGUGAAGAUUCCCCAUGAUAAUGCUCUCCUGAAUGGAACAUGAUUUUGUGAAUGCUGGUUUGCAUAAGACAAACCAUUAACUUUAUAAAAAAUUGUGGAUUAAGGAUUAUGUUGUUACGAGGAUAAGAAUGUCUUUCCAUAACAUGGACCACCAAGUAAUUGUAAUAUUCCUGUAUUGAUGUGGACCUUACCUGAGGAUCUCCUUGGAAACUUUCCUGGAGAAAAGGAAACAAGUCAUAUGAUAACAAAUUAAAUGUGGUUCAAUGCUUGUAAUUGACGUGUCACAUCCUGUUGUUAUAUAAAACUUAAUUACAUAUAUUAUUGCUUGCUGCUUAUAAGAUUUAAUAUUAGAAGUGAUUCUGUCAGAAUCCGAAAUGAUGGUUUUCUGCAGGUUCUGUUUAUGACAGAUAUAUAUUGCCUGUCAGUUGACCCACAUCGUACUGACAAUUUUCAUUUCGUGCAGCAUACGCAUGGAUUACUCCUUUUCCGCUUUUUCAUGUAUCUGUAUUCGUUCUUAUGUUUUUGAAUAUAAAUUGCAGUUAUCUUUAUCUGCUUCAAAGUUACGUGAUCUUGACAUCGCAUCAAAGGUACACCUUCAUAUUAUUGUUGUCUUAUGUCUAAUAAUGCCAUGUUCAUGCUGUUGAUAGUCUUGGUGAUUGAUUCUCAUGUUAUCUUGUAUCCUCCUUAUAUGAUCUGCUUAUUUGUUCAUAAUGGCCCUGUCAAUAUCCUUUCUCUGUUCAUGAAGGGUCUAGGGAUAUAUGAUCUGAAUAACGCUUAGUGCUGGCACCAAAAUUCUAAACUUAGACAAAGAAGAAUAGUUUGUUAUAUACACUGUCUGUCUCCAAUGUAAUCCAGUAAGGAGCAGUAACUUGAGAGUUCCAGAUAAUGUAUAACAAGUCAUGGUUGGUGGUUUUAUUGUUUUUGCAAUUUUGUGCACUAGUCAAAUAUGUUAUAUGUGCAAGAUAAAAUUCUUUGAUAAUGAACAUUUAUCAGCGGUAUAUCUUUUUACUAGCUGAUACUAGCAUACAUCAAAUGCUGCUGUAUUUUAAUGAUGGAUUACUAACUAUAGUUAUUUAACUAAUAUAUGUUUAUAUUUAUACUCACAAGCAAAUGUAUUUACAUGUCUUUUUGUGUCAUAGAGUGAUCCCAUGGCAGUUGUGUAUGCAAAGAAAAGAGAUGGGAGGCUGGAGGAGAUUGGACGUACAGAGGUGAUUAUGAACAAUCUGAAUCCUGCUUGGAUUGGAAAGAUUUCAAUUGCUUUUCAGUUUGAGAUCGUCCAGCCCUUGGUGUAAGUUUUUAGUGUGUUCUUUUUAAAGUUUUUUUUUUCUUGAUAGGUCAUGUGCUUAUCAUUUCUCAUAAGCCUUGCUUGAUUUGAUAAUAUUUAAUGUUUUCAAAUUUCUUAAUGCUUUUCUUCUUUUUCCAGCUUUCGUGUGUAUGAUGUGGAUACCAAGUACCACAAUAUUCCAGUGAAGGUAUAUAAAAAUUUCUUAAUUAUUAUUUUUUUCUCUCAAUUCAGAUGUAAAUGAUACGCACAUACUUCAGUUCCAAAGUUUAGAGUUAGCCAAGGCAUUUGACUGAUCCAUUUGUUGUCUAAGCAUACGUCUAAACUAAAUUGCAUCAGCAAUAGUUUCUAUCAAUUUCGGGAAAUUUGGGAAUACUUGAUUGAUUAUUAACUAACAUUUAGCAUGGCAAGAAACUUAAAAAGUUGGCUGUCGUAUAACAUAAACAAAUCUUAAGGCCAGGAUAGUUAUUAUGGAACUUUCUGCUAUUGCAUCUUGCAAGGUUUGACAUAUUUGUCCUGCUACCAUAACUGGGAAAGAACAAUUUUUCUGAUGGUCCUUACGGCUAAAUUUUCUUUUUUCCAAAAUGGAAUUUUGAUCUAUGUUGUUAAAAACAAUACAGUUAAAUAGUUGCUGCCAUGACCUAAAGAAGUUUCUGUAAAAAAUGACCAUAUUGUCAGUAUUGGAAUGGAUAAGUAAAUCUUUAGAGCCUAUGAUGUAUUCGUCUGUGGAAUUUGAGUCAAAAUGAAAAAAAUUUGAUGGUUAUAAUCCUAGAAACUGUAAUCAUUUGGAAGAAUUUGCUGAAAACAGUUAGAUAAUCUAAAAAUGUGAUGAUUAUUUAUGUCAAUUGUAAAUGGUAUUAACAUUACUGGGAAAAAUGAUAAAUAUGUAAAUUUAUGCCAGUGGAAAGAGAAAAUGAACAAAUCCAGAUGGAUUCUAAGACAUUAAGUAGGAAAUCUAGUGUUCUUUUGAUUCUUUGCUGCAGUGAUCCCUAAUUACUUUCAAGUCAUUAUUAUCUCAUGACAAAAUAUUUGUUGAAGCGUGAAGUUUAAAGUUCAAGCUUCUUAUUUACGUUGCCCUACAGAUGCUAAAGUUGGAGGAUCAAGACUUCCUGGGAGAAGCUAGUUGUGUUCUCUCUGAGGUAAGUUUCUGGGUUAUAUUUUGUUUGAUGAAUAUAUGUAUUUUCUCUUUAUUCAAUGGGCAAAAUAUGCCCAUCUAAUUUUCUGUAAAAAUCUGUUUCCUAAAAAAAAAAAAAAGGGCAAAAUAUUCUCAGAUGCUUUUUACUAGCAUUCGUCUUCUUCUUAAGCAUUCUUCUUUUUCACUAACAAGUGUCAUAUUUUCCUUUUAAAUGGCAGAUAGUGACCAAACAAAAUCGAACUUUAACCUUAAAACUCCAUAACAAUUACGGGCCUCGAGUUUCAAGAAACUUUGGGACACUCUUUGUCCAUGCUGAGGAAACAGUUGCUUCCAAGAGUGCUGUUGAAAUAGCAUUCCGUUGCUCGCAUUUGCAAAAUGUAGACCUGUUUUCAAAAAGUGUAAGUUCUGACAAAGUAGCUAAGUUUGGAGGUUCACUAAUUAAUCUAUUAAUGUAGAUGCUCAUUCUUCUUCUUCUUAUAUUCUAUAGGAUCCAUUCUUAAGAAUAUCUAGAAUUGUUGAGAGUGGAAAUUCUGUUCCUAUCUACAAGACGGAGGUGAUAAACAAUAACUUGAAUCCCAUUUGGAGACCAAUAACUUUGAGCAUGCAGCAAUUUGUGAGCAAGGUAACCUUAUCAUCUUCUUGUGCUUGUUACUUAAAUGUAUAUUCAGGGCCGGCUUUAGAGUGUUUGGGGCCUUAGCGAAAUUUUUUUAUGAGGCCUCUAUUUGUUUUGCAAUUUCAAUACUCAAAGAAAUAAAAAAAAAAUGCUCAAAAUUUAUUUCAUUUGUAAUUCUUGAAUUUUAAAAAUAAAACCUAAAAAAAAAGUUAAGAAGAUAUUUUUUUAUUCCAUUAAAACUAUUACAAAAUAAACAAUCAAAUAAAUACGAAUAAUAUUAUUUUCAAAUAGGAUAUUUCGAAUGAUAGAACAUAAAAAGUUGAGAUGAUGAAUUAAUGAUCAGAUAAUAGAAAUGGACUUUGUAUUUCUAUAAAUUGAUUUUUUUUAAAUGAACCAAUGAAUAUAGUAUUUUUCUUUCUAGAGAAGUGAGGAAGAAAUUUUUUCAUUUACUGAUUUUUUAGAUUACAAAUUUUUUAAUGGAAAUUAAAAGAAAUACUAAAAGUCAAAUAUUCUAACAUUAAAUAAUUAAUUUUUUUGAGGAAAUUGAAAAGAUAACUAAUUUAAUUUUUUUUGGAAAGACUAAUAAUGAAUGAAUUAAUGAUUAAAUAAUAUUAUUAGUUAUAUCUAUUUAACAUUAAUGUUAUCAAAUAUAGUUUUUUCAUAAAAAAUAAUUCUUAACUAUAUGAUAAUUAAUAAUUAGAGAGAUGUUAAUAAGCUUUUUGAUUUCCUAAAAUACGUAAUUUAAAAAAAUGAGAAUUAUUAAAAAAAAUUCAAAAAAUGAGGCCUUCACAAAAUAUGGGGCCUUAGGCGACCGCCUUGUUCGCCUAUACCUAAAGCCACCCCUGUGUAUAUUAGGUAGUGAAGUUUGGUCAUGGGGAAAUGUUUUUUAGUAUAUGAUUUUCUUUGGUACAGGAAAACCCAUUAAUCAUUGAAUGUUUUGAUUUCAAUACCAGUGGAAAUCACGUACUGAUGGGGUAACUGUUAAAUUUCUUAAUGUCAUUAGCUUCCCUCUUUUAUCCUUUUGCCUUUCUGAUGUCAAGUUUUUCUAUUUCUGUUAUUAGUAAAAUUCAGAAAUCAGUUGGAGACCUGGAGAAACUUCAUCAAGAAAGAACUGGUGCAACUUAUGUUACCAUCAACUCAACGUGGCCAUGACAAGGUGUUUAUUCUUUUUUGUUUUAACUCCACCAAAGGUGUUUGUUCAUGCUUACGGUUUUUGAUAAUUUAAUAUCACUUUAUUGUUUAUCUGACUUUUUCCUAGGUUCUGAAAAGUCAGUUGUUUGUUGAAAAGUUUGUUGAGAAAGAGCAAUAUAGUUUUCUGGAUUACAUAUCUAGUGGCUUUGAGUUGAAUUUUAUGGUUGCAGUCGACUUUACAGGUAAUUAGAAAGACAUUGCUUGUUGGAGAUAAAUUGGCAAUAUAAUCGUUUUGUUUUGUUUAUUUCCUCUUAUUUGGUCCAACUUCAUCUUGCCUCUCGUUAAAUGCAAAAUCAUCCAGCUUCAAAUGGAAAUCCUCGAAAUCCAAAUUCUUUGCACUAUAUUGAUCCUUCAGGCAGAUUGAAUUCUUACCAGCAGGUAAGGUUUUGUUAUGACUCACAUUUUGACAAGUGAUCUCUGAACUCUGAAGGUCAUAAAAUGGUCAUUUUGUCCAGUGUUUUCGACUUAGAAAAUGCAUGUGACUUUCAAGUCUUUCUAUGGCCGUCAUAGGAAAAUAGAUAUUUCAAUAGUUCGUAGAAGUUGAGAGAGAAUAUCACUGAUUAGUUAUUGGCCUCUUAAACCAUUUACAGGCAAUAACGGAAAUUGGGGAGGUCAUACAAUUUUAUGAUUCUGAUAGACGCUUUCCUGCAUGGGGAUUUGGAGGGAAGACAUUUGAUGGCACUGUAUCACAUUGUUUUAACUUGAAUGGAAGAGCAGGUGGCUUUGAGGUAGGGGUAGCUGGAGUUCGCAACUUUGCUGUAAUCCUUAUUUGGUUGGCUUGUCUCCCAUAACUUUUCAUUUUUAAUAACAAACAUUAUAAUAUGUUUCUACAUUUUCUGAAAAUUUCCUUGGAAUUCAUUUUUUUUAUUAACUGCUGGUUUCUUUAUUUAAUAGGUAGAUGGAGUUGAAGGCAUUAUGGCUGCUUAUGCAAGCGCUCUAAACAAUGUUUCUUUGGCAGGACCGACUCUGUUUGGUCAAGUGAUCAACACAGCUGCACGAAUUGCUGGACAGUCCCUCUCAUACGACAGAAGCAAGUAUUUCGUCUUACUCAUUAUAACGGUGAUUACAAUGAUUCUAUAUAUUCACAGUUUUCUCUUUCUAUCAUUCUUUUUGGGUGAUUUGUAAAUUUGCAUGGUCUAUCUAGGAUGGAGUUCUGACAGAUCUCCAAGAAACGAAAGAUGCUUUGGUAAGGGCUUCUGAUCUUCCCCUGUCAAUUCUAAUUGUGGGUGUGGGAGGUGCAGAUUUUACACAAAUGGAGGUACACAAUGUUUUCCAACUAGAAUAUCUUCUUACUAGCAUUGAACUUCUUUUUUCUAUAGUUUGAUAGAUUCAAUUUAGAGUAUAUAUGCAGUGUGGUAUUAUCCCACUUUUGUUGCAGAUUCCUGAUGCUGAUAACUUUGUUGGCAGAUUCUUGAUGCCGAUAAUGGCCGUAGAUUAGAGAGCUCUACCGAUCGGGUAGCUACCAGAGAUAUAGUACAAUUUGUUCCAAUGCGAGAAGUUCAUAGUGAGUGCAUAUGAUUCUUUGAAAAAAUUAGUUCAAACUAUUGAAUUUGGGAGUUAAUUCACAGAAGUUUCUGAAUUUUUUCAUGCCUGAAGAAAGGAACCCAUUGUUUUCUGAACAGGUGGGCAAAUUUCUGUUGUACAAGCACUUUUGGAGGAGCUGCCUGGUCAGUUUUUGACCUACAUGCGCUGCAGAGAUAUCAAACCACUCAAUGUUCAGAUGGCCCAAACAUGCGCUUGAGUAAAUAUUCAUAUAUUUGGAAAGGAUACAAAACCAAGCCAAAUAUAUUAGACAAGACCAAGCCAAACAUAUUAGGCUAUACAAACAUAACAUAGCAGAAAUUGAUAAUGGUACAUUACAUAUGUUAGGAUAUAGCAGUUUUAGAUGAUGGUAAAUUACAUAUGUUAAGAUAGAGUGGUUUGUAACUAACUUUUGAUGGCUUAAUGAAUUGAUUGAAUUUGUAUUUAGAUUCUAUCAAUGAUCUCCUAUCCAUGUCUUUCGAUUUUUAUUAUUCCCUCUACCCACUUGUUUCACAAUUUGUUUGUGUCUGAUGGCCUAAAACUCCAAUUUCUGUACAUGAACAUGUGCUGAAUGUCUACUACAAUGAACAUGUGCUGAAUGUCAACUUUUACUACUACACCAGCAAUCUAACACAUGGCUCACGUGCACACUAGACAAGUCUGAUUCACACAUCUUUAAAGUGUUGUAUUAUAACUCUCUGAAACUGGGUUUGAGUAAUCAAGAAAAGCCAAAAUGUAGAACAAUGACAAUAAAAAAUGAAGACCCUCUUACAGUCUUUAACUUGAUAGAAAAAACACGAGCUGCAUACCAUGUCUGACAAAUUUCAAAGAAAAUUGGCCUCAUUCCUGAUGCUGCACAGAAGGUUGGCCUGAAUCAUCUUUAAGAAAGCUCAUUUAUUACAUUAAUACAUUAUAUCAGUGAGAUGAUGCUACUUUAAUGAAACUCAUGUCUCAAGUUUGGAACAGCUACAUGGGCAUUUCAUCGAACAGUUGAUAUGCUUGGUAGAUAAUCGAAGUUUCCUGGAAGUUGCAAGGGCUGCCGGCAUUUUCAAAAUUGGAAGACCAUUCAAAGGUUUUCAAUAGUUAGUUUGAUAUUACACGUGUGAUAAUCUUGUGAUGAUGAUGAUUUUAUGUGUCUGAUUAUAAGCUAAGCUAAGCUAGUGGAUUUGUAAGUAAGCACACGGCAAAGUAUUUAACCUUCUUAUUGUCGCAUUCUUCUAAUCAAUUAGCUUUCACCAACAAAAAUAAUUAAUAAUAAUGUAAAUGGAGGAACUUGGGAUCAUUAACCAGGGAGGAUCCACAUGUUGUCUACAGUGAGCAAUUGACCAGUAAACUUUUAUUUUUCCAUAAUUUUCUAUAUAAAAUCUUGAUAUUUUCAUGAAAUUACAUAAUUUCUUAUAUAAUUGUCUCCAAAAAAUACCAAUAGGUGCACGAACACAAAUAUGAUGCACACAUCUCUUUAAUUAAUUUAGGGCUUAAAGAGAUUUUAAGAUGACUACAAAUUGAAUAUGGCAGAUCUUGGACACCAUCCAUAAGAAAUAAAACUAGUCUCAAAUUGGAUUUCUAAGUACUCAAACAAAGCUAAAAGCAUAAUAAUGAAUGAAAACUGAAACAAAAAAUCCUCUCACCAACACCAUAUGACUCUUAAUAUCUAGAAAGAACUCAAGCUCGAGCCUUAUCCAAAAUGCUGCACAAGUAGCAUGAAUCGUCUUCAUAAGUUUGGAGACUCUGUAGACAAAGAGUAAAAACACAUUGAAGGUGUAGUUUUCACAUAAUUAAAUUGCACAAAUUAGCAUCUAUUAAGGACACAGAAAUCCUUCAAUUCUCUCUAUAAGCAAUUAAUUUUAUUUUUAUUUAUUUUUUUUUUCGCUAUGUCUUGUCUAACAAAUAAUCCUCAACAUAACAACAUAGCAGAGUAGUUAUAUUUUAAAAAGAUGUACCAAUAUGAUUUAACAAAAAAUUCAACAUAAAUAAAACACUUUUAGUCAGCAAAAUAGAAUCAAAUCAAAACCUCCCGUUUAUCUUACCACUAUUUUUCGCAUCUUUUUCCUUUUCAUUCGCCUCGGCGGACUUCUCAUUCUCUUUUUCCUCCCCUUCCUAAUCAGAUUUAAAAUGAAUUUAUAAAAAAAUUAAUAUGUAUUUUUUUCUUUUUUCUUUUUUAUAUAUAUCUGUUAUUAAAUCAGUAAUUUUUAGAAGAAAAAAAAAUCAACAUCUCAUAGUGAAUGAAUACUUACCUUUUUUCUUUUAAGAUAUACGUAUUGAAUGGUUGUAUUAAGGUCCCGAUCCCAAGCCCCAAGUUUCUUAUCGACUAGGCUCAUCUGCACUUCGUGUAACUUGGGUGUGCUUAAUUCCCCUUCUGAGAAAAUCUUCAUAUUGGGGCAAUCUUCCACCACUAAUGUUUCCAGAGAUGGGAAUUUGAAGUCGCAAUUAUUCCCAGAGCAGCUGAAACUAGUCAGACUUUCUAAGUCCAAAAGAAUCAAUUCCUUUAAAUCGCUGAAAACAAUUUCAUCUUUUUAAUCUCCCUCAUCAUCCUCAUCUGCCACUAUUUCUGUUAUCAUCUCGCAGCAAACUAUGUGCAUUCGUCUCAGUCGCACCAGACUCCUUGCUGUUGAGGAUGUUAGUACGUGUAUCAUUCCGUGGCAAAGACAUACAAUCAAAGUUGUUAGGUUCUGAAACGAUGUCGAGGAUGGCACUAGAUUAGUCAAAUUGUCACAAAAAAGUAUCUUCAGCUGUUCCAAAUUGUUGUUAUUGGUUGACUCUUGUUUGAAAAUCUGCUUCAGUUCACGACGCUGGUUUAUUCCCCUCAUCAUUGCUUCCAUCCCAUUUUCAAGGUUUUCAAAUGAUGUGUCCAAAUCUGCCUCAUUGUUCCCUCCUAUAGAGAGAAUUUUGAUGGUGUGAAAUCUCUGGAGGAAAUCGUCAAGUGAUAAAAUAGUACUUGACUCAUCAAGCCAGACAUCAAGACAUUUAAGUUUGCAAAGCCAGUCUUCUGGAAAUAGGCCUAUGUGCUUUUCAUCAACACUCAAUUUCUCCAAAUUGGGGAACACCUGGGUGAUCAUCAAUCACGAAAAAAGCAAGAUGGAGUUAACACUUCUUUCUUGCGAUUUCACAAAUUAAAGUAAAUACAAAGCAUUCCAAUGAUGCAUAUUGAUGGCCGGACAAAUAUAUACAUAUGCGGAGAGAGUAUGAUUUUCAGCUGUAAAUACAAAGUAAAUACAAAGCAUUCCAUUUAAGUAAUGUGUAUUUUCUUCCAUUCUCUCUUCUUAACUCUUGUCCAGUAGAUAGAUUUUCAAAGUUUAUUAGAUUUGUGCAUAAUCUCUAUGAAAAAGACUUCAAUUAUUCUCAAAUUGCAUUUAAACUUUGAGAUUCUUUUAAUUGAUCCGUUUAUUUGGUUUGAAUUGAAAAUCUUACAAAUUUCUUUUUUUUUUUAAAUAUUGGAGUUUUUAACUUUUUCUUAAAGCAAAAAUGAAUAAAUAAUAUGAAUUUUAAAAGUUUAAUAAUAUAGUAAGAAGCUGGUAUUUCAUUAAUAUUCAUCCAACUCAAUGGAAUUAGAUAUAUUUAUUAUUGUGCAAGAAUGGAUUUUAUUGUACAUAAAGUUUAAUAGAAUAAGAUUUCUUAAUUUGAGUUUUGUCCAUCUUUCUAUAUAUAUUUCAAAAAUAUUAUUUAUGUUAGCACAAGAUGACCAAUUUCUACUUCAACAUCAAAAUUGAUAAUCAUUUUGUAUGUAACAAUACUGUACUAAGGAGUACUAAUUUGGAAAUAGCUCUUGAACGAUUUUCAGGGAAUUAACUAUGGCUUGAAAAACUCUAAAUCUUAUGAGUAUUUUCUUUGUUUGGCUAAUCAAAUGCACUCUCUACCGUGUAUUUAACUAAACAUAUAGACAUAAAAUAAAAAGUAGAGGAAGAAGAAAAACUCUGAUAAUUAAGAGAAAAAAAAUUGAACUAACAUUAUUGAAGAGUGAUAAUUAUGUUUAUUGAAGAUUUAUUGAAUUCAAUAUUCAAUAAUGAGAAGAUUUAUUGAAGAGUGAUAAUUAUGUUUAUAAGGAUAUUAUAAAGUAUAAAUAAAGUGAUUUAUAGAACUAACAUUUUCUUACUAAAAGACAAAGUGAUGAGGGCAAUGACGAAAAGAAAACUCUAAACUCUCAAAGUAGAAAUGCUUUUAAGUACGUAAGAAUUGAACAAUAAUUACAAAAAUCUUGCACGUACCUUUUCAAAAUGCAGAUCUCCUGUGCAGAAGCUUGUAAAAAUCUGCUUCAGAUCUGCUUGAGUGUUAUUAUUGGUAUUGGAGGACUCUCCUUUCAAAAUCUGCUUCAGAUCACGACGCUGAUUUAUUCCUGUUAUCACUACCUUCAUUCCAUUUUCAAACUCGUCAGAUGGAUCUUUCCAAAAAUCAUCGUCAUCGUUUUCUUUUAUAACAAGAACUUUGAUGGCUUGAAAUCUGUGGAGGAAAUCGUCAAGUGAUACAAUAGCAGCUGACUCAUCAAGCCGGACAUGAAGACAUUUAAGUUUGCAAAGCAAGUCUUCUGGAAAUAGACCUAUGUGCUUUUCAUCAACCCUCAAUUUCUCCAAAUUGGGGAACACCUGGGUGAUCAUCAAUCACAAAAGUGGCAAGAUGCAGUUAGCACUUCUUUCUAACGAUUUCACAAAUUAAAGUAAAAACAAAGCAUUCCAAUGAUGCGUAUUGAUGGUCACAGAAAAACACAGGGUGGAGUUGAUCUUCUUUCUAAAAACCUCACAUAUUAAAGUAAAUGCAAAGCAUUCUAAUGAUGAAUAAUAUUGAUGGCCAGACAAUACAUGCAUGGAUAGAUAGAUAGAUAGAUAGAUGCAUACAUACAUACAUACAUAUAUAUUGUUCUCAAUUAUUCUUAAUUUACAUUUAAACUUCCAGAUUCUUUUAAUCGAUCGGUUUAUUUGGUUUGAAUUGAAAAUCAUAUAAAUUUAUUUUUUUUAAAAUUGGAUAUUUUAACUUUUUUUUUUUAACAAAAGCAAAAAUGAAUAAACAGCUUGAAUUGCUAGCACAUAUGAAAAGAAGGAAAAUUUGCACGAAUUUAAAAAACUUAAUAAUAUAGUAAGAAGCUGGUAUUACAUUAAUAUUCAUCCAACCCAAGGGAAUUGGAUAUAGUUUACUAUCGUACAAGAAUGGGUUUUAUUGUAAAUAAAGUUUAAUAGGAUAAAAUCUCUUCAUUUGAGUUUUGUCCAUCUCAGUACAUAUAUUUUUAAGCAUAUUAUUUAUGUUAACAUGAGAUGAACAUUGAUCAUCAUUUUGCAUGUAUGUGGCUUGAAAAUGGCACUCAGAAAUAAUAUGCUUAAAAAUAUUUGAAAAUGGCACUCAGAAAUAUUUUUGAUGUACUGUGGCUUGAAAAACUCUAGAUCGUAUGAUCAUUUUCUUUGUUUGGCUAAUCAAAUGCACUGUCUCUUUCGUGUAUUAACUGAACAUAUAGGCAUAAAAUAAAAAGAAAAAAAGUAGACGAAGAAGAAAAUCUCUUGAAGAGUGAUAAUUAUGUUUAUUGAAGAUUUAUUGAAUUCAAUAUUCGAUAAUGAGAAGAAUUAUUGAAGAAUGAUAAUUAUGUUUAUAAGGAUAUUAUAAAAUAUAAAUAAACUGAUUUAUAUAACUAAAAUUUUGUCACUAAAAGAUAAAGUGAUGAGGGCGAGGAAGACAAUAAAACUCUGAACUCUCAAAGUAGAAAUACUUUUCAGUACGUAAGAAUUGAAAAAUAACUACAAAAAUCUUGCACGCGUACCUUUUCAAUAUGCAGAUCACCUGUGCAGAAGCUUGUAAGCUGCGGAAGAGAACGAAGCUCAAGUGUCCUUAAUUGAGUGAGUUCAAUGACCAAUGGAAAUACAUUUUUCAAUUUAUCACACCCUUCCACCCUUAUGGUCUUUAAUUUGCUAAAAGACUCUGCUGUGAGUGGACCACGACAUAUUUCCUCAAGGUUCCUUAAAUCUCUCAGAAAUAAUGACUCCAAAAGGGGGAAUGCAAUCGUCGGAGCUGGCGUACAAUCCAUUGUGUCAACAAGACGAACAAGGUUGCCAUUAUGUUCGAUUUGGAGACGAUUCAGUUUUGGAAAGACUUCUCUGCCUGGUUCACAAAGAACAUUCUUCAUGUCCGGCAAUCCAUCUAAAGUUAGGUCUUCAAUACCCUUCAAUUGCAUGAUAUGCCCCUCGUUCAAGCAAAUGUUGGCACCAUUGGUGAGCUUCAGUUUGAAUUUUCUAGAAAUCCCAUCCGAUCGGCCAACCGACCACCAGUCAUAUCCUAUCGAUAUCCUGUACCUUUGCAGCAUUUUGAAGAACGACAAGUCUCUUGGUAGAGUCUUUUCAUCUUGGAUGAGUAUUUCUAAAGAGGUCAAUUUAGAUAAAUUAUUCAACUCGUCAAGGCUGGCAUUUCUUCUUUCACCGUCGACUCCUCCAACCUUCCCCCACAUAAUGGGACUCUGACCGAUAUACAAUUCUUCUAAUCGUGAUAAGCUUGAUAUGACAUUUGGUGGAAUAACUUGUAGAUUGAAACAGUAACUCAGAUCCAAUAACCUCAAUUGAGUCAGCUCGCCCAUUUCUUCAACUAGUUUCUCCAUAUCAGAACCUCGAAGUGUAAGUAUUUCUAAUUUCUUCAGGCUCCAAUAAUAGCUAUGUCUCCUAGUAUACAAAAAUCCAGAGACAAUGUUCGAAGGUUUUGUAAGAGACCAAGCGAUGAAGGCAAUGCCAACAAAUGCAUCUCAGUGAAAUCUAAAACUCUAAGCUCUGUCAUCUCAGUAAAAAUGUUAUCUGGGACUCUCAAAGAAGGAUCAUUGCUAAUACGAAAGUAUUUAAGUUGCGGACACUCGAACCCUUGAGGAAGCUCACUAAUAUUAGUAUUAAAUAAGGAGAUUGCGGUGCAAACCUUCAGUGUAUCCUUAUCUGGCCAGCUGGUCUCAUUUUCCACCGCAAACACAUGUUGGACUCUAGAUGCAAUAGAUAUGGCUACAUCACGAACAACAUCAUGCAUUGAAAACCAUUCACUAGUAUCGCCAUCAAGCAACAAACAAGAGUUCUUGAGUUUAUCAAUCAAUGUAUGUGCUCUAUCCCGUGCCUCUUCCAACGUGUUGAUGUUUUGAAACAGACCCAAACCCAUGCCAUAACAGAUCACGUCUUCAACACAAGAGAUGAACGUGUACCCUAUUAGCAAAAAGGUUUGCCUGAGUUCCUCACCUUCUAACUGAUAGUAACUCAACUCUAUAGUUGAAUAGGCGGCCACCGCUUGUGUCCCAGAGAAACUUCUCAAACAAGGCCUUUUUAAUUGAAGUAAAGCAUUCCUCCAUUCAUAGAGACUCUUAUUUUUCAAUGCCUUCGCUACGGGCACGAUGGCAAUGGGCAAACCAGCACAUUCCUUGACUACCUCUGUCGCUACAGAUUGCAGUUCACCAUUUUCCAUGCAAUCACCUGUCAUCUUCUUGAAAAGACUCCAAGCUUCUUUUUCAUUCAGAACAUCAACAAAAAAAUUUUGUUGACAAUCCAUUUUACAAGACAACACAUCUUGACUUCUUGCUGUCAGCAGAACUUUACAUCCGCCGUUAUCAUCUGCCAAUGGAAUUCCAAUCGCCUCCAAAUCGAGACUCCCCAAGUAUCAUCCAAGAUUAUGAGGAUCUUCGUCUCUUUCUUCAAUUGUUCGAGCAGCCUCCAUGCUCUUACAGUUUCACUCUCUUCAUCUAUUUUCAGGCCCAGCUUCUCUGCAAUUUCUCUUUGUAUUUCUUUUAUUUGUGGUGUUUGGGAAACACGUGAAGAAAUGACCUUCUCAAAGAGAUUAUUUUCCUUGGCCUGUCUGCCAACUUCUUUCACCAGCGUUGUCUUUCCAAUGCCGCCCAUCCCGUACACCACAAUCAUGUUGAAGUUACGGUUGCUGAGUGCGUCUAGUAUCUCCUUCAAGGUGGACUUUCUCGAUUCAAAGUGCAUGAAAUCCUGGGUAGACUUAAGCCAUGUCUCCUCUGGAAUGAUACGGAAAGAAACACUGUCGAAUCUCCCUUUUUCAUGGAGUCCAACAAUAGCAUUCGCCUCUCUUUCUGCUUUCUUGCUAAGCUGGUACCGAGUCCUCAAAUUAGGACAUAACCCCUUCAAACACCGGUUGUUUGAAUUCUCUUUGUCUUCAAUAAGUAUUUCGACUUCAUUGAUCUCCUUGUUCGCAGCAAUCAGCCAUUCCUCAACGUGCUGUUGGAUUCCGUCCCCUUUAAUUCUGGAAUCAUCAACCUUAUACUGCACACUGUCUCUAGCAUUCUUGAGCUUAUCAACUUCAUUAUUCAGCUUCUCGAAGUUGGUCUUGUAAGUGCAGCAGUAAGUAAAUGGAUAAAUUAUGGGAGCAACCAAGUACUCUGCAACUUUUGCCGCAACGGAGAUAACAAUUUCCAUUAUCCCUUUCUUUUUUUUCUUUUUUUCUUUUUUCUUUCAAAAGACAGGGGAAAGCAAAACUAAUCAAACUAAGCAGAACUAAUCAAUCAGCUGGUGUUAAGGAAGCCCAUUGAGCAUGUGUGUCAAUGAUGAGUCAGCAGUUAGUUGGGUAAAGAAGCCAACUCAGCAAAUCUGUUAAUCAUGUUUUACGUUCUGUUCUUCAGUUGUUAGUGAAGCUUUUAAUUCUGUUGAGAUAUGAGUUAGUAUAAAUAAGUUGUUAUUGUAUUUUGUAAAUAACAAUGUGAGAUUCAAUAAAAGAAGAAUAGUUUCUAAGGAAAAAUAUUGAUCAUUAUUUUCUUAGCUUCCAAACAACUUUUACAGUCACAAUUCAACUUUCUAACAUGGUAUCAGAGCCAGUAAGAGCAAGCUCUAGUGCUCAGCAAACAAAUCAACAAAGUCAAAUAAAUUUUUCUUUCAACACUCCAAUUAAACUAGAUCGAUCGAACUAUCUACUUUGGCGUUUUCAAGUUUUAGCUUCCAUAAGAGGCAAUCGAUUGGAAGGCUUCAUCAAUGGAACAAAACCAGAUCUUGAAGAACAGUUCACUCAAGUUGGAGCUGAUGGAUCUAUUCAGAAAAUUGAUAAUCCAGAAUAUCAGAAUUGGAGAUCACAUGAUCAAACAUUGCUUGGAUGGAUGCUAUCAUCAAUAAGUGAAGGUACUCUAAAUCUUGUCAUAAAUUGUGGUAGCUCGUUUGAUGUUUGGAGAACUUUAGAAAAGAAAUUUGGUGUGCAAUCUGAAGCUAGGGUUCUUCAACUUAGAUAUGAGUUAAAUACUCUUAGGAAGGAAUCAAUGAGUAUUGAAGAUUACUGCAUCAGAAUGAAAACUGUAGCAGAUAAGCUUGCUAGUGCUGGAAGUCCUAUAACAGAGAAAGAUCUCAUGCUGACAAUUCUUAAUAGCUUAGGAGCAGGCUAUCGUGAUAUUGCUACCUUUAUAACUGGCUCAAAAAUGGACUAUGAUGAUGCUUAUGCAUUAUUAUUAACUCAUGAAACCAGACUUGAACAAGAGCAGAAUGAUAAAAGCAUGUUUAAUGCAAAUUAUGCUUACACAAAUGCCUAUUAUCCAAGGGCAUUCUAUGCCCAAUCUAGAAAUAAUUUUAGAAGAGGAGGAUAUGCUGGUGCUCAGUUUGGUAAUACUGGUAGAAAUCACACUGUUGGAAGAGGAAAUAUUUUUCAGUCUCCAAGGAUGUUUAAUGGCAAUCACAGAGGUGGAUAUGGAAGAUGACACUCAUUUGGCCCAAAUAAUGUUAACUCUUUUCAUGCACCUAGGAAUCCAAUAUAAUUUACUAGGACUGGAGUCACUAAUAUGAAUGGACCUCAAGGAAUUCCAAGUAAUGCAGAAGAAUUAGUUAUCAUACUGCUGAUAUUUGCUGGCAUCGAUUUGUGGAGGAUUAUGUCCCUUCUUCAAGAAGUCUAGGCAGAGGAAAAGGACCAAGAUCAGCAUAUAUUGCUAACUUUGAUGGCUUUACAUAUCCAUAUCAAGGUUAUGAUAACUAUGAUAAUCAUCCUGCAUUUGAGACAAGCUGCUAUUCUGGAAUUGAUAACUAUGCACCUGCAGAAGCUUAUGUGGCUAAUUUUGAAAGCUUUGCUGAUGAUGGCUGGUACUUGGAUAGUGGGGCAACUCAUCACUUGACCAACAACAUGGAGAACUUGCAUUUUAAGGAAGACUACAAAGGUACUGAUCAACUCAUUAUUGGAAAUGGUCAAGGUCUUUCAAUUUCUCAUAUUGGUCAUGCAUUUUUGUCAUUUAGAGCUUCAAAACAUCCUUACACACAUGCCUCCACUAUAGCACUUAAAGAUAUGUUACUUGUUCCUACAAUCAAUAAGAAUUUACUAAGCAUCUCCAAACUUACAUCUGAUAAUUCACUCUCUGUUGAAUUUUGUGGAAAUGUCUGUUAUGUUAAGGACAUGAAGGGACAAGUUCUUCUGCAGGGCCUUGCUGAGAAAGGUCUUUACAAGCUGUUGAUGAAAUCUUCUUCCAUGUCAUCUUCAGCUUAUCAUACAUCACCUGCCUUUCAUCUUUCUCAACUUCAGUCACAGAAACCAAUAUCCAUGCUGUCAUGCUCAAAUGUGUCUUCUAUUUCUCAUCAUUGUAAUUUCUUUGAUAAGACUUGUUUCAGCUCAAUUUCAAAUAAGUGUAACCAGAAACAUGAUGAACUUACCUUGUUACACAGAAAGUUUGGUCAUCCAAGCUCAACAGUAUUGAUGCAUUUGCUUAAGACUUGUAAACAAGUUAAAGUCUCUCAAAAAUCAAUUUUAUCUCCUGAGCAUUCUAUGUGUGAAGCAUGUCAAUUAGGAAAAGCUCACAAGCAACAUUUUUCUACAACCGAAACCAAAACAACUCAAGUAUUAGAACUGAUACAUACUGAUCUGUGGGGGCCUUCACCUACUACAUCUAAAAAUGGUUUCAAAUACUACAUAAGCUUUGUAGAUGAUUACAGUAGGUAGACCUGGAUUUACCCACUCAAACUCAAAUCAGAAGCUUUUGAAGUCUUCAAAUUAUUCAAAAUCCAAGUAGAGAAUCAGUUCAAUACCAAAGUCAAGAUGCUGCAAUCUGACUGGGGGGGAGAAUAUAGAGUUUUUACUAACUUCUUAAACCAGAAUGGGAUCAUUUUCAGACAUUCAUGCCUUACACUCAUCAUCAAAAUGGUUUAGUAGAAAGAAAACAUAGACAUAUAAUUGAGUUAGCUUUGACUCUCUUAGCUCAAGCUCAUCUUCCUUUUAAAUUUUGGUGGGAAGCUGUUCAUACAGCAGUGUAUCACAUAAACAGAUUACCAACACCUGUAUUGAAACUCUUAUCUCCAUAUGAGAAGCUCUUUAAGCAUAAACCAGAUUACAGCCUCCUUAAAUGUUUUGGUUGUCUUUGUUAUCCAUACUUGAGAGAUUUUAACAAACAUAAAUUUGACUUUCAUACCAGCAAGUGCAUCUUUAUUGGUUAUAGCUCAUCUCAUAAGGGAUAUAAAUGUCUUACAAGCUCAGGCCAAGUUCAUAUCCUUAGACAUGUUGUUUUUUAUGAGAAUGUAUUUCCAUACACAACAUUCUCUGUUCCUUCUUCAUCUGAAAAUGUUGUCAACUCAGAAACACCAGUGUCAAAUUUCUCUAAACAGCAAGUCUAUCAUCUUUCAACUCUACCCUUAUUCAACAACAGCUUUGAAGAUACUUUCUCAGCAGGUGUGCCAAGUGAUGAACAAACUCCUGUUUUGCCUGAGCAUACAGAUAAUUUGAAUCAACAAGAAUCAUCUAGUUAUUCUUUAUCAGAACCAUCAAUAUCACAAGUUAUCCCUCAAAUCCCUGAAUCUACUCAAACACAACCUGAACCACAAACAAGCAAUCAACAACACUCUGAAUAUAAUCCAAACAGAAUUCAGAUCUCACAACCUACACACAAAAUGAUUACCAGAUCAAAGUCUGGAAUAUUCAAGCCUAAGUUGUAUACAGCCAUCUUGAUCAACAAAGAACCUGACACAAUUCAAGAAGCUCUGAAUGAUAAAAAUUGGUAUAAGGCCAUGAAAGAGGAAUAUGGAGCUUUGAUCAGGAAUGAGACUUGGUCUCUUGUACCACCUCCAGCUGAAAACAAAAUAGUUGGAAACAAAUGGGUGUUCAGGGUUAAACAAAAUAGUGAUGGCAGUAUAGCAAAGUACAAAGCUAGAUUGGUUGCUAAAGGUUUCCAACAAACUGAAGGGAUUGAUUAUUUCGAAACUUUUAGCCCUGUUGUAAAGGCUUCCACAGUGAGGGUUAUACUAAGCUUGGCUGCAAUGCAGAAUUGGAUGAUCAGACAGGUAGAUGUUAAUAAUACGUUUCUGAAUGGUGACUUAACAGAAGAUGUCUACAUGGGUCAGCCUGAGGGUUUUGUUGAUGAGAAGAAAUCAGGUUAUGUAUGUAAGUUGAAGAAGGCUUUAUAUGGUUUGAAACAAGCUCCCAGAGCUUGGUUUGAUAAACUAAAAGGCUGUUUGGUUGCAAACUGGGGAUUUCAAAAUUCCAGAGCUGAUACCUCACUAUUCUUUAAAGGAAAACAAGAUUCAAUGAUAUUAGUCUUGAUCUAUGUUGAUGACAUACUGAUAACAGGGCCUAACAGUGAUGAACUUAAAAAGUUUAUCUCAAACUUCAGCAAAGUGUUUGCAUUGAAAGAUUUGGGAAGACUCUCAUAUUUUCUGGGUAUAGAAGUAUCUUAUGCUGAGAACAAUAUUUACUUAUCCCAAAGAAAAUAUGUUAGAGACCUGCUAAGCAAAGCUGAUAUGCUUCACUGCAAAGGGUGUGAUACACCAAUGGUUACAGGGACAAAACUUCAAAAGGAAGCUAAGGGAUCUUUGGGUCAGCAUGUUGAAGAUGCAACAAGUUAUAGAAGUUUAAUUGGAGGGCUGCAGUAUUUAGUUCUGACCAGGCCAGAGAUAGCUUUUGCAGUGAACAAGCUAAGCCAAUAUGUUUCUGCACCUACACUACAACAUAUCCUAGCCUGUAAGAGAAUGCUUAGAUAUUUGAAAGAGACAGAAGACUAUGGAUUAAAGUUUUCAGCUGAUGGAGAAAUAAAGUUAACAGGUUUCACAGAUGCAGAUUGGGCAUGUGAUAUUGAUGAUAGGAAAUCAACAGGUGCAUACUGUAUUUACUUGGGAAAUAACUUGAUCUCUUGGUCAUCCAAGAAGCAAUCCAUAGUUACAAGGUCAAGUGCAGAGAGUGAGUACAGAGCUCUUGCUUCUGCAAGUGCAGAAAUUACAUGGUUACAGUCAUUGUUCAAGGAACUCAAGAUUGAAUGUAUUUCAGUGCCUACAAUCUGGUGUGACAAUAUAAGUGCAACUGAGCUGGCCAAAAAUCCUGUCUACCACUCGAGAACCAAACACAUUGAAUUGGACAUGCACUUUAUAAGAGACAAAGUGUUAGCAAGAGAGCUGGAAAUCAAUUACAUUCCCAGUGAAGAACAGAUUGCAGAUAUCCUGACCAAGCCUCUCACAUUCACUCAAUUCAAUUAUCUCAGGAGCAAACUUAAUGUGCAGCCAUGCCCCUUAAGUUUGAGGGGGGCUGUUAAGGAAGCCCAUUGAGCAUGUGUGUCAAUGAUGAGUCAGCAGUUAGUUGGGUAAAGAAGCCAACUCAGCAAAUCUGUUAAUCAUGUUUUACGUUCUAUUCUUCAGUUGUUAGUGAAGCUUUUAAUUCUGUUGAGAUAUGAGUUAGUAUAAAUAAGUUGUUAUUGUAUUUUGUAAAUAACAAUGUGAGAUUCAAUAAAAGAAGAAUAGUUUCUAAGGAAAAAUAUUGAUCAUUAUUUUCUUAGCUUCCAAACAACUUUUACAGUCACAAUUCAACUUUCUAACAGCUGGGAAGAGGGAAAUAAGAAGUUUGGAUAAAUUGCUAAAAUAAGAAGUUGAAUAGAUUUAAGGGAGGAGGCGAGGAAAAGAGUGAAAAAUCUAGAGAUGAAACAAAGGGGGAUCCUUUUUCUGCUAAGAAAAAUUGAAAAGCGAGUACAAUAAAUGAAAGAUUUGCAAAGAAGGUGUAGGAUCGAGGACAAGAACGAUUCAGAAAAGGGAGAUAGAAAAUGAAGAAGAGAUUUCAGAGAACUCUAGAGAUUAGGGAAAUGCAGAGGCAGACAGUUGUCAUCUCAAAUUCAUAUAAGGAGAAGACUCGUGCUUUCAAGUCAACUAAAUUCUCAAUAAUUGAGAUAGAUAGUUACAAGGGUUAAAGUUUAAAAAAAAAACAUAUACAAAUAAAAGGACAAAAGAUGAGACUUAUAGUACCAGUGGCGGGCCCCCUGGGUCCUCAACUUCUUCAAAUGGGCAUUUUAUCCAACAGUUGAUGUACUCGGAAUCCACACUUACACGAGGGUUCGGGGAGUUGCAAGUGCUGCCAGCAUUUUUCAAAUAAUCAAGUGAUUAUUGAGUAAUAUAAGAGUAAUAUAUGAUAAUCAAGUGAUUUUAAUAUGUAAACGGUAGGAUUUUGGGCUCAAAUCUUUAAAUUAAAAUCGUGAUCAUUUUAUCAUUAAACUCCAACUCUAUCUUGAUUAAUAAACAAAUGUUAGAAAUUAGUUGUUAAUAAAAUAUAUCCUGGAUGUAAUGGCUAUUCCCAAAGCUCAAUUGAACCAAGAACAAAAUCUUGAAGGACCCAAGAACAGAUCCCAAACAAGAAGUGACACAAGGCUUAACAAGAGUCAAUGAUUAAACAAUGAACAAAACAAAGAAUAAGUAAAGAAGAAAACUUAGAGCAAGAGUGUUUAAUGAUUUGAUUAAAUUUGUGUUUAUUUCUGUGGAUGAUUUCAUUCCUAUUCUUGCCAUUCAUUUUUAUGAUUUUUUUUUUUUUUUUGGGUUGACUCCCGGAACAAUCAACCUGGGGAUGGGUGGGUUUUAUUUAUUUGUCAUGAUUUGAUUAAGCAGAGCAACUAAUACUUCAAAUCGUAUCACUGUUGUAUUAGAGGCUUCACGUGCUAUGAAUAAUUAGUGACGAUCUAGUAUAUAAACCAAAGUUUAACAUAUCUACAUAUAACUGAAUGAAAAUCUUAUGUAUUAUAUUCAAUCCAUCAAGUAUGAAGCAUAAAAUCAAUUGAUCUACAAGCACUAGACAUAAAAAAAUCGAAUGGUAGAAUAGAAUAUACAAGCAUCAGCAUUAGAUGACAGGAAAAGAGCUCGUUAAUAAAUUAUAUGAGUGAUAAUACUACUUGAAUCAAACUCACGUCCCCAGUUGAGAAGAGUUAAAUUAAAUAAUAUUUUGGUGAUUUCAUGUGCGUAAAAUUAUAAAUUUAUAAUCAUCAAUAUAUCACCAGACUUUGUAAAGUUAAUGUGAAAAUGCAUCACAGUUGUACUUAUUAUCUUUUUCUUUCUUUUCCAAUUAGUCUAAUACCAGUGGCGUGGCCUCGUGGGUCCUCAAAUUAUUCAAAUGGGCAUUUCAUCGAACAGUGGAUAUACUCGGCAUGUGCACUUGGAAGACGCGUUCAAAAGCACUAAAUCAUGUUAAAGUCGACCAAAAAGACAAAACAUAGAAAGCGACAAUCCAACAACUAGGUAAAUUUAUUGGGAAACACUAUUUCUGCUAAUUGAAGAAAAUCAAGAAAUGCUGAUUCCGUCAUGCUUAGUUUCAUAAUCAUUAAUAUGCUUUUAUACGAAUCCUUGUUUUUGAAUAUAAUAAUGGUUUAAGAAAUGCAUACCUGUUAGUUCUCCAUUUCUUGACUCCGAGAAAAAUUUGACUUGACAGAUGAAGUAAUGUUAUAAGAGGUUUCAUACACAGCUUCUACGCGAUCACUACCAUGCUUACAUGUAAAACGUUGCUGCCAUGUCAUCAUACUGGACAGACCUUCAGAGGUUACUCUUCGAAGCGUUUCAUUAUGCCACGUGUACUUGGUUAUUUGACUAAUCACGGUUCACAAGUUGAGUGAGUUACUCACCACACCACCUUCCUGCUGCAAAGAAUUUUAAUUGAACUUUGACUUGGUCAGAAACUCAGAAUGAGUGGUGCACGUGAUGCAUACACGUGAGGACCCAAAUGACGAAUUCCAAACGCUGAGUGAUGUACGUGUGAACUAAAUGUUUUCAUUUUAAUACCAGCGGCAAUCACGUACACGUUUAAUGAUUUGAUUAAAUUUGUGUUUAGUUCUAUAAAUGAUUUCAGUCAUUGUUAUGAUUUUUUUGGGUUGACUCGACGGAGCAACUAAUAAUUUCUCAGUUCUGCUACUAAAUUUAUUUCCCACGAUUUGAUUAAACAGAGCUCCACUAAAACUUCAAUUCAUUUCACUAUUGUAAUAGAGGUUUCAUUCACGUUGAAUACCCAGAAUAAUUACUGAUAGUUAUAUAUUGAAUGCUACUUCAAUGUAGCUUACUGCCGCAAUAAUACUCAAUGACUUUCGAUGACAAAAAAAUUUAUCAUUAGAAUGACUGUAAGUUCAUCUAAUGCCGAGUUUCAUCAUUAACUACCAAAAUACUCCAGAAAUCCAAUACAUUCAACUAAACACUAAUUUAAUCAAAUCGUUAGACACUCAACCUGAAAGCGGAUUCGAAGUAAUAUUAAUAAAAACAAAGAAACAGGGGGACCCCUUGAUCACCAAUGCCAUCUUACCCUUGAUAAAGAGAAAGAAGUCAAGCUCCAUAUAAUAUAAUGCCUCACAAAUUAUACAGAAAAAAAUGGCCUCAUUUCAGAUGCUACAUAGAUGGUUUUCAUGAAUCCUCGUUUUCUGUGAUGAAUGUUGUUUUUUUUUUUACAUUUAAUAGAUUAUACAAAAUAAAAAAAAAAUUUUAAAUUUACUAGAUUGGAUUUCUAAGUUAAAAUAUAAAUCAGUUUUAGAACACUAAAUUGAGGGAGAAUAUUCGAUUUGAUCUUAUUGUAGGCUACUUCAAGAGUGUAAGAAACUGCUCCUGGAGCAUGCUAUUACAUGUUUUGUUUGUGGAAAAUGAUAUUUGUGCUGUCAAUUUUAUGCUGCAAUGGCACUAUAGCAUAAGCAAUACCCAUAUUUCUGCAUGUCUUCCGAAUAUCUUGCAGCUGUUCAAAUAACAAUGCUCUUUGUUUGCCUACAAACCUCUAUUUUCUGUCAACAUAAUCGAGGUAGCAACCCGCUAAUAAUUUUGUAAAUUGAGCCUGGAUGAAAAAUUGAUGAAUGUGUGGGUGAGAAUAAUCAUUACUCAAAUCUUUCACUGAUGUCCUAAAUGAUUUCUCCUUCUAUAGAUUACAGUGGUUGGUUAUAAUCACAAAUUAAGGAUCUUGCUGGAAGCUGUUGUUCAAAAAGAAAGGAAAUUCUGUAAUAUAAUCACAAGCUGAGCUGGUGUUGUGGGCCCGCUGUUAGUUAAAAGCCAUUAUUAUUAGUAGCUGAUUUCAGAAGCAGAGGCAUGCAUAUAUAUAAGGGCUGGCUUGUGGCAGAGUUAACGUGUGAUUUGGUGAGAGAUAGAGUGAGAGAUAGUAAAUUCUGUAAACAAGAGAUUUAAUCUCUGCACUCCAUAGAUUCUUUGUGUAAUCAUCUCCAUUAAUAAAGCUUUAGCCUCCUGCUGUUUUUCAGCCGUGGAUGUAGGUACCUUGGUACUGAACCACGUUAGAUCUUCUGUGUUCUUCUUCUUGUUUUCUUCUUUGUUCUUGGUUAAUCUUGCUACUGUGGUUGGGUUCUGUUCCUUCUUCUUGAUUGUGGUUAGUCAGUUCAGAUUGGUUAACUGGGUUGGGUCAUUUGUGAUUCACCAUUUUCGUCAACAGUUUCUUUAGCAAAUUUCUUUCUGUAUUAUGAGUCUUAAUAAAAGUUUAAUUGUAGACAGCUUUUUUGCGUUGAAAGUAUAUUUUAAACCUUUCAAACCAAUUAGCUCCAUUGGGAAACUUAUGACUAUAGAAAUAUUUGUUGCAUUUUGUCACUGAUGGUCAGGCCAUAAAAUUAGUUGAAUGAUGGUGUCAAGCAGUUAGCAAUGCAACUUUCUACCAAUGAUAUAACUCUUUUCAUUCUGUAUUUUGUUCGACACUUAAUUCGGUUCCAUUAUGUCAUUAUGUGUGCUUGAUUGAGUUGCUUGUUCGUGCACUAGAAUUUCCCAUCGCAGCGAGAGUUCCUAAGCUACUUUAUAAGACCUGGAUUUGUCUUUAACUAGCAUAUGACUUUGUUUGAGUUGAAAAGCCUACUGUGAAAGUUACCUGCUCAAAGCAAAAAAAAAAUGUUUCUGUGGGAGGAAAAUUAAAUUUUGGCGAAGUUUGCUUUGGGAAUUUUGAAGAGAAUUUGUAAAUUUGUUACACAUAUUGAGUGAUUCAAGGUUUUUAAUACAUUUCUUCCAAGGAAUCAGUUUUGUUUGGCCUCUCAAACUGUGUUUCUAAUCCAUUAUCUUAACUAACUUCGGCUGCCUUCUUUUUUAUUUUUUUUUUAUCUUGACAAAAAGCUAUUCACUGGUAUCAUGGAUUGGUAUUGGAAAUAAUCAAAUAAAGCCUACGAAGAAUUAGAAUGAAAGCUAUAUUUUGUCUUUAUGAAGGGAAGAUUUGACAACCAAUCCACCGAUAUUUUUUUUUAUUAAAACCUAUACUCAUUAUAGCCUCAAUCAUUUCGAGAUAUACUGGAGAAAUAUUUAAAAAGUUGGUAAAUUUUAAUUUAUUCUCCUGAUAGAAUGACGAAAAUCUCAAUUUACCCUUCGUUUUCAUUCAAUAAGGUGAUAGCAGAUUGAGGAUGAGGUAGUGAUUUUUUUUUUUUUUUGGGGGAAAAAUAUAAAAAAGAGAUGCUUGUUCUUUGUGGGGUCGUUUGUAGAGGCAAAGGCUUAGCUCGAAUGAUAAGAACAUUGCCUUCUUAGGGCCAAAGACGUGAGUUUGAGCCUUAUCCUCCUGGAAGUAAAUCGAAGACUAUUAAUUGUCUGCCGCUAACUGUUUUUUUUUUUUUUCUAAGUCUUUAUUACUCUUCUCAUAUUAGUAGUUAGCAGACAUUUUAAAUUUUCUUUUAACAUUUUAUUCUAACAUUUUUUCCCCGAAAACGACAAUGGCAAGAUAGUUUGACCUACCUUGACUGGCUUAAUUUGGAUUGCUUGUGUUCCACUCUCUCUUAUGUGUCAUUGUGCUUACGUUGCAAGGGAUUCGUCAGAGUGGUAGUUGUCAAAUUAAAGUUACAUUACAUUUACAUACGUUAAAGACUUUAUACGAAUAUUCUCCAUCGUCUUUGUUGACUCUUUUUUAUCUUUUAUUUUUCCUUGUGUCGAAAGAAUCCUUCACUGAUUGGAAUAUCCAUGAUGACUGGUUGCAAUUGGAAGAGUCCCUGAAAUUCAUCUUUCAUUCGAUCUUAAAAUACUUUCUCCGAACAAUUAGAAUACAUUAAGAUUUUAUGAACUUGCUUACUAGACUUGUUAAUUAAUUGAUUAUCUUCCCGGAAACACAUUAAAGACUCUCAAGGGGAUUCAUUAAACCUUUUUGCUGGGUCAAUUCUACAAGCAUCAGACGUAAAAGCUUCAUGAUAAGAGCACAAGCCUAUCGUCUUCUAAAGCUCCUUCAAAAAGCGAAGCUAGCUAUUCUCUUUAUUGUCAUUUCCAUCCACUUUAAUUAACCCUCUCUUUUUCAUGUUGUACAACUUUGACUUGACUCUCAAAUGGAGAACAACGAUAUUUAAACAGAAAAAAUUAAUAGAAUAUUUAAAAAUAAAAUAAAAUUAGUGUUGGUUUAUCUUGUACUAGUUUUACCUUAUUGAUGUCAAUGAUUUUCUAAGAGAAAAAAAAAUUCAUUAAUUUCACCUUUGUUUCAUGAUGAGGUAAGACAUAAUUUUUUUCUUUUAAUUUUUAAAAGAUUUCUUCAAAUGAUUUUCAAGUUGAUUUAUUUGGUUGGACUGUACAAUGAGUUUGGGCUUAGCCCACCCCUAAUUUUUUUUUUUUUUGGCCAGUUUAGCAUAAAAAAGAUUUUUAUCAAUAGGUGUGCUGCAAGUGAGAUAUGGAUAAAAGGAUAUAAAGAGAUAGAACAAAAAUUGAUAUCAAUCAAUUAGUGGAUAAGAUUAAUUAAUUUUUUUUUAAUGUUGCUCUUUUACUCAAUUAAGUAAUUAACAUUUAUAAAUGAUCACUAAGUAUUCAUGAGUAAGUGAAACAUGAGCUUAAACAUGAAUCAAUAUUUGCUAGUGCAUUGGUGGUUGGCACAAAUAACUUCGAUGAUAGAGAGUGAUUGGGAAGCAUUAAGGGGGUGGAUCCUUUAAUGAUCUAUUUUUAAAGCAAAUUUCACUUAAUAUGUUUAUUGGUUAAGUAUGCAUAGAGAUUUCCAGACCUAAUUAAAGACUUCAAAUUAAUGGUGAAACAUCUUUGCAAAUUAAACUAAGAAAAAUUGAAAAAGUAUUUUUAUCAUUUUAUGCAUGGAAUUCCACGUCCAUGCAUGCAUCUACCCAACAAAUGCACUUGUAAUUUAGCAUGCAUAUGGUACAUGACAAAAUAUUGUCUUGGAAAAGUCUCAAUGGAUAACUCAUGACAUGUCAUUGUACGUACACGCACAACGAAUAAUCGUUGCGACGACUUGCAUAAAACAAAAAGGGAAAUGUCUGUUUGUCCCUGUAGUUUAAGUACCCAUGGAGGAGUCAAUACAUUUUUAGAAAUUUACUAAAUAUAUAUAUAUAUAUAUAUUCUAUAUUUUUUUUUGGAUAAAAUCUACUUAAUUAUUUUCUAUCUUUCAUCUGCUAUAUAUUAAAUAAGUUUGAAUUUUAAACUUUAUCAUAUAGAAUUUUGCUUUGAUAUUUAUGUCCAACAACUAGAAAAGUGAGUAAAAGAGAUGAUCUGGAUAAUCUUUUAAAAUAUAAUAUUGACCAAACUGAGUAAUUGACUCGAACUAUGGGGUUUAAAAUAAUUUUUACCUAUUUAACAAAUUUUAAAAUUAUUUUCCAAAAAAAAAUAAAUUAACUUCUAUCUUUAUUAAUAAAAUUAUGACAUAACUAAGUAAUAUUCAUAUUGUUCUGAGAACAACUUCUUGGUUUAGCGGUGGACCUUACAUGUGGAGGGUUGAAAUCUUUUAUGUAUAUACAUAACAUGGUGUUAAUAAUAGUAAUUAAAAGGGAGUGUGUAUACCACACGCCGGAGACCAAAAAGUGAUUGUCAAAUCCGGCAUUUUUUGGUCGAACGAACCAUUUCACUUGGCAUUUUUUUAUUAUUACUUGUUUAAUACUUUUGUUUGCGGUAUUUUAAUUUGAGAGAGAUAUAAGUCUCAAAGGAAUGUCGGUUUUACUUAAGGUUGUUGUAAUUAGUAGUUUAAAAAAAAUACUAGCACAACUCUAAUAAAUAACGGAUAAAAAUUCCUAAUUAAUUUGAAUUCAUCUCUCAUUUGUCAUUUAAAAAAAAAAGAUAAAAAAAGACUCAAUAAUGUUCUUAUUGAUAAACAUAGUAUUUGACACUUUUGUCUAUUCGGAAACAAAGACUAACGACAAUAUGCUUUAAACGUUUUUUAUGGUUCAGCCCUAUCAACUUCAACGUAAAAUCACAGAUCGAGCACAUAAGUCAUGACCAUCAUUUUCAAAAUUCUCAAAUAUAGUCCAAUUUCUCUAUAAUCAUAAUAUUGAGGUAAGUUAAUUUUAUUAAUAUGAGAAUAUUAUAAUUAACUUAGUAAAGAUAUAGUUACAGAAAUUAUCGUUUUCACUUAGUUAUCCUUCGUGCAAUUAAAUUAGAGGUAAAAUAUUUACUAUAUUAAUAAUUAAUUACUGGAUUAUGUCAGAAAUUGAUAUUAAAGGUAGGCUUAAUUAAAAAAAAAAGUCUAUACUUUUUUUGCAAUAGACAAAUAAUAUUACUAUGCGGGGACAAAUUCUUUUUAGACAAGACUUAAAAAAAUUAUAACUUAUUAUAAUAUAGAGUAUAUCCUUAUUUAUAACUAACUUAAAUUGAGAUUAAAUCUUUUUUAUAAUUAAAUAAAAACUAUUUCUAUAUAAAGUAUGACUACAUAGGAGAAAUAUUUUAUUUGUAUAUAAAGUAUAUAUGACUAUAUAGGAGAAAUAUUUUAUUGUAUAUAGCUAUUUCUUUCUCUGUUAUUUCUAUCCACUUCAUGAGCACUGUCUCAGUCUUUUCCCUUUUCUGUAACAAUCUUGGUUUAACUAUGAACUAAAUGUUCUUCUUUUCAAUCAUUAAUUAAUAUUAGGUAGGUAGAUCUACCAACACGGUUGCACCUAAUUACCCACUAUAAAAUUUUAUUAUCAAUCCUCCAUGGAAAAAUGUGCAUGCCUAUAUAUAAUCGGACUUUAUUAUUAGUGUUAUGGAUAAAGGAAUUAUUAAUUUUAAAUUAAUAAUUAUUUUAAUCAAUUUGGCAAUAUAUAUCUUAUCCUUGAUUAAUUUAUAUGAAUGAAUAUCAAGUGUAACGUAAAAUAUUAUUUGUGUUGCACAUGACAUGCGGACAAAAGAAUACAAAGAUUCCUUAAACAAGAUUCAAAGUAUGAUAUAGAAAGUUGAAUUUAACAAGAUUCAUGUACAGGAAGAAAAAGAUUUAAUAAAGUGAUGAAAAAUUGGUAAUCGUGGCAAGUAAUCUUAUUCAUGUACGCGGAUGCACGACCCAAGACUUGGAAAUUAAAUAAUGAAACUUCUUUGCGAAUCAUAUAAACUACAAAUUAAUGAAGAGACUUUGACGAGUAUUUUAUCAUUUUAUGCAUGGAAUUCCACGUGCAUGCAUGCAUGUUCUCCACGCUUGGAAAUUUUGCAAAUGGCUUCUAUACUAUGGAUUAUGUAGAGGAGUUUAUCAUUUUAUUGAAAUUCUAAUGAUUGUCACAACAUAUUAAAGGGAGGUUGGCAGUUUCCUUCACGUAGAAAUUGAUACAUACCAUUUCUCUUUUUAUUGUUUUCAUAAUAAUUAAUAACUUUCAUUCAUCAUAAUUUUAUAGUAUUAUUCUUAUUUUAAGAUAUUUUAAAAUUUAUUUAAUUAUUCAUCUUUAUUAUAAAUUAAAUAAAUUAUAUAAACAGAAAUUGAAAUAAAAAAAAUUUAAAUAUUAGAAAUAAGAAAUAUAAUUUUCGGUGUUGAUAAAAAAUUAGUAUGAAUAUAGUUUUCUUAUUUUUUUUAUCUUUAAACAUAUUUUCUUAUGGUAAAUAUAUAUUUUAUAUUUUCAAAAUAAAAUAUUAAGCAAAUGACCCAUUUACCUUUACUUUCUUUUAAGUUUUUUUAUACGAAGAGAUUAUUAAUUAUUAUGAAAAUAAUAGACGAAUAAAUAUUUUACAUAAAUUUCGACAGGAAGAAACUAUCAAUACCCUUAAACUGUGAAUGACAUUUUAUUCCACCCCAUUGCAAUUGUUGCUUGUUUUCCACGGAUAUCUUGAUUACGUUUGCAAGCUUAUGUUAUAAGGGCUUCGUCAUUGCCAUUAUUACGAAAUUAAAUAGACUACGAUUGUUGACCUAAUUUGACAAAUUCCUCCAUUGUUUAUUAUUUUUCCCUUUUUAAUUUAUCAACAUCAGCCAUAUCAAGUCAUUCUUUUAAUCAAAAACCUUGGGGAAGACGAAAUAUUUAUUAACUUACUGUCUUUUCUCAACAACUUUUUAGGUGAGAUUAGUUUAAUAAAUUACAUGAUAAAUAAUACUCUUGCUUGAGUCUAUAUAUAUAUAUAAUUAUAUAUGAUAUAAAAUUAAGAUUCUUUUUUUUUUGUCGUAAUACAUAGAAUUAUUCAACCUAUUAUUAUAACAAAAUAAUUAAAUUUAUGAGUUGAAGUUGUCAGAAAAAUAAACUUAUUUCCAAUGAAUGGCAUUUGGAGGAACAAAAUCAAUCCGGAAGUUUUUUACGCGGAAAAAAUCAAUUAACAUUAAUGACGUCCAAAUGUCCAAAUAUAAUGAGAAAUUGAAUUCUUCAAUUAAUACCUUGCUGUUUCUUCAUAUUUCAUUACAAAUCUACCAAUUCUUUUGCUGGUGUUGGUUCGACGGUUUCACACCAAGCAAGUGCUUUUGUUUUGCAUAUGGAGAACAGUAAGUUUAACUGCUUAUACCCAAUAACAACAUUCUGUGGAGUGAAUUUUAGAUUAAGAUUGGUUAAGGUAAAUAAAAAAAGAAUGGCGUUGAAUGCACAAUGGCCUUGUGAACAUUGAGAAAGUUGAUGUUUGAUCCUGUUGAAUGCACAGUGGUUUUCCCGUGUAUCCUCAAAGUUGACUAUUCUGUUAUGCCUCAUUUAUCAAAUUUAACUCAUACCCCUCGUGAUCAAAUUUGACUUAUACCCCUCGUGAAGAUUCCCCAUGAUAAUGCUCCCCUGAUUGGAACAUGAUUUUGUGAAUGCUGGUUUGCAUAAGACAAACCAUUAACUUUAUAAAAGAUUGUGGAUUAAGGAAUAUGUUGUUACGAGGAUAAGAAUGUCUUUCCAUAACGUAGACCACCAAGUGAUUGUAAUAUUCCUGUAUUGAUGUGGACCUUACCUGAGGAUUUUCUUAUGAAAGAUUUUAAUCAUUUGAUCCUAUCAAUAAUUCAGACGUGCGGGAAAAUAAUCAAUUAAAUUGAAUUUCGCUAUAUUUAUAAAUAAAUUAGGAAACCCAAAUUUAUUUAUAAAUGAAAUAGAAAAAGCAAACGAUACCACAUUCUAUCUAUAUACAAAGAGGAUUUUCUUAUGAAUGAUUUUAAUCCUCUAAUCCGAUCAAUGAUUCAGAUAUGCGGGAAAAUAAUCAAUUAAAUUGAAUUUCGCUAUAUUUAUUAAAUAAGCUAGGAAACCCAAAUUUAUUUAUAAAUGAUAUAGAAAAAGCAAUCGAAAUGUUAAAAAUUAAUAAUUUUAAUAAAGAAAAAAUAAAACAAAUUAAAAAUUAAGAGAUCAAAUGAGUAAAAAAUUUAAUAAAGUUAAACAAUUAAUAAAAGACUUCAACAUUGAAGAUCAUGAUAUAUUAAAGUAAGAAAUCAUCAAUAUAAUGAAUAAAAACUCAAUAAAUAUAAGAUUAAACAAGUUAGAGAUUUAAUUAGAUAGAAACUUGGUACUGAAUUUGCUAUAAAUAUAAAUGAAAAACUUAAAAAAUUGAAGUACAAUUGCAGUGCAGCUUGGUUGUAGUUUGGGGUUUAAAAUAAAAUUUUAAAAUUUAUUAACUUUUUCAUAAUUAUUAACUUUUCGAAGGAUUAAAAAAAAUAUAUAUAUGUAACGUACGUUAGUUGUAACAUAAGCUUUGCCCACAAAAUAUUGUCUUGGAAAAGUCUCAAUGGAUAACUCAUGACAUGUCAUUGUACGUACACGCACAACGAAUAAUCCUUGCGACGACUUGCAUUAAAAAAAGUCUGUUUGACCCUGUAGUUUAAGUACCCAUGGAGGAGUCAAUAUAUUUUUAGAAAUUUACUCAAAAAAAAAAAAUUCUAUAUUCUUUUGUUAAAAUCUACUUAAUUAUUUUCUAUUUUUCAUCUGUUAUAUAUUAGAUUAGUUUGAAUUUUAAAUUUUAUCAUAUAGAAAUUCUAUUUUAAUUUUAAAAAUUUAUGUCCAACAACUAAGAAAGUAAGUAAAGAGAUGUUUUGAAAAAAUUUUUAAGGCCAAUGCUAUGUUACGUUCAACGUAACAUAGGGUGAUCCAUCUUUUAAAGGUUCAUCUUUUAAAAUAUAAUAUUGACCAAACUGGGUAAUUGACUCGAACUAUGGAGCUUAAAAUAAUUUUUACCUAUUUAACAAAUUUUAAAAUUGUUUUCCAAAAAAAAAAGUAAAUUAACUUCUAUCUUUAUUAAUAAAAGUAUGACAUAACUAAGUAAUAUUCAUAUUGUGGUGAAAACAACUUCUUGGUUUAGCGAUGGUCUUACAUGUGGAGGGUUGAAAUCUUUUAUGUAUACAUGGUGUUAAUAGUAAUUAAAAGGGAGUGUGUAUACCACACGCCGGAGACCAAAAAGUGAUUGUCAAAUCCGGCAUUUUUUGGUCGAACGAACCAUUUCACUUGGGAUCAUAAUGAGUCGUUGCAAGGAAAGUGUUAUUUUGAUUAUUACUUGUUUAAUACUUUUGUUUGCGGUAUUUUAAUUUGAGAGAGAUAUAAGUCUCAAAGGAAUGUCGGAUUCUGUGCUCACAUGAUGAGCUAUAUAAUAUAUGUUGGUUUUACUUAAGGUUGUUGUAAUUAGUAGUUUUUUUUUAAAAAAAUAAUACUAGCACAACUCUAAUAAACAAUAGAUAAUAAAGAUAGGCUUAAUUAAAAAAAAAAAGUCUAUACUUUUUUGCAAUAUACAAAUAAUAUUACUAUGCAGAGACAAAUUUUUUUUAGACAAGACUUAAAAAAAUUGUAACUUAUUAUAAUAUAGAGUAUAUCCUUAUUUAUAACUAACUUAAAUUGAGAUUAAAUCUUUUUUAUAAUUAAAUAAAAAUUAUUUUUAUAUAAAGUAUGACUACAUAGGAGAAAUAUUUUAUUUCUAUAUAAAGUAUAUAUGACUAUAUAGAAGAAAUAUUUUAUUGUAUAUAGCUAUUUCUUUCUCUGUUAUUUCUAUCCACUUCAUGGGCAUUGUCUUAGUCUUUUCCCUUUUCUAUAACAAUAUUGGUUUAACUAUGAACUAAAUGUUUUUUUUUUUCAAUCAUUAAUUAAGAUUAGGUAGGUGCAUCUACCAACACGGUUGCAACUAAUUACCCACUAUAAAAUUUUAUUCUCAAUCCCCAUGGAAAAGUGUGUAUGCCUAUAUAUAAUCGGACUUUAUUAUCAGUGUUAUGGAUAGAGGAAUUAUUAAUUUUAAAUUAAUAUUUAUUUUAAUCAAUUUGACAAUAUAUAUCUUAUCCUUGAUUAAUUUAUAUGAAUGAAUAUCAAGUGUAACGUAAAAUAUUAUUUGUGUUGCACAUGACAUGCGGACAAAAGAAUGCAAAGAUUCCUUAAAUUAACAAGAUUCAAAGUAUGAUAUAGAAAAGAAUUUAAAAUUUAAAAAAAAAAGUAAAAUAGAAAGUUGAAUUUAACAAGAUUCAUGUACAGGAAGAAAAAGAAUUAAUAAAGUGAUGAAAAAUUGGUAAUCGUGGCAAGUAAUCUUAUUCAUGUACGAGGCGGAGGCGGCACGACCCAAGACUUGGAAAUUAAAUAAUGAAACUUCUUUGCAAACGAUAGAAACUACAAUUUAUGGUGAGACUUGACGAGUAUUUUAUCAUUUUAUGCAUGGAAUUCCACGUGCAUGCAUGCAUGUUCUCCACGCUUGGAAAUUUUGCAAAUGGCUUCUAUACCUUUAAUCUUUGAAAAUGUCCUCUAACAAGACAAGUGUCUCAAUUAUUGGAUAACAUGUGCAGUCCUUGUAAUUCAUUAAUAACACGCCCCUCAACAAUCCAUAUUGCAAUAAAGAAUUUUACGCAAAAAUUCUAUAAUACAUCAAACUACCAAAUUGGCCAACAAAUAGAUGAUACUUAUGUUUUGAAAAAUUAUCAUGUAAUAUUGAUGAUUAUAUCAAAUUUAAUUAUAUAUAUUAUAUAUACAUUAGUUGAUUAUAUUAGUUUUGAUGUAUUAUAAAAAUUUUGAUUUUAUGGGCAUAUAAUAUAGAUUAUUAAGAUUUAAAUUUCUUCACAUGUGCGCGCGCACACGCACACAUAUAUAUAAAAGUGACUAAUGAAUCUUUUUCUUUUCUCAUUUUGAGAAAAUCUCAGGUACAUAAAACGUGUUAUAACCAUUUAGUGAAAUUAGUUAUGACAUAUGCAUUCUGAUUUUAUUAUACUAUAAUUAUCUUCUUCUUUUUUUUUUCCAACUUAAAUGUACACGUACGUGAUCAAUGACUCUGGAUUAUGUAGAGGAGUUUAUCAUUUUAUUGAAAUUCUAACGAUUGUCAUAACAUAUUAAAGGGAGGUUGGCAGUUUCCUUCAUGUAGAAAUUAAUACAUACCAUUUCUCUUAUUGUUUUCAUAAUAAUCAAUAACUUUCAUUCAUCAUAAUUUUAUAGUAUUAUUCUUAUUUUAAUAUAUUUUAAAAUAUAUUUAAUUAUUUAUCUUUAUUAUAAAUUAAAUAAAUUAUAUAAACAAAAAUUGAAAUAAAAAAUUUAAAUAUUAGAAAUAAGAAAUAUAAUUUUCGGUGUUGAUAAAAAAUUAAUAUGAAUAUAAUUUUUUCUUAUUUUUUUUAUCUUUAAACAUAUUUUCUUAUAAUAAAUAUAUAUUUUUUUUAUACGAAGAGAUUAUUAACUAUUAUGAAAAUAAUAGACGAAUAAAUAUUUUACAUAAAUUUUGACAGGGAGAAACUAUCAAUACUCUUAAACGAUUGAACCUUCAGUAUCUUAGUAGUUGACUGUGAAUGACAUUUUAUUCCACCCCAUUGCAAUUGUUGCUUGUUUUCCACGGAUAUCUUGAUUACGUUUGCAAGCUUAUGUUAUAAGGGCUUCGUCAUUGCCAUUAUUACGAAAUUAAAUAGACUACGAUUGUUGACCUAAUUUGACAAAUUCCUCCAUUGUUUAUUAUUUUUCCCUUUUUAAUUUAUCAAUAUCAGUCAUAUCAAGUCAUUCUUUUAAUCAAAAACCUUGGGGAAGACGAAAUAUUAACUUACUGUCUUUUUUCAACAACUUUUUAGGUGAGAUUAGUUUAAUAAAUUACAUGAUAAAUAAUACUCUUGCUUGAGUCUAUAUAUAUAUAAUUAUAUAUGAUAUAAAAUUAAGAUUCUUUUUUUUUUGUCGUAAUACAUAGAAUUGUUCGUACUAUUAUUAUAACAAAAUAAUUAAAAUUUAUGAGUUGAAGUUGUCAGAAAAAUAAACUUAUUUCCAAUGAAUGGCAUUUGGAGGAACAAAAUAAAUCCGAAACUUUUUUACGCGGAAAAAAUCAAUUAACAUUAAUGAAGUCCAAAUGUCCAAAUAUAAUGGGAAAUUGAAUUCUUCAAUACCUUGCUGUUUCUUCAUAUUUCUUUAUAAAUUUACCGAUUCUUUACUUUAAAUUCUAGAGUUUGUCUUCAUACAUACAAUGGAAACUUAUUCUCUAAGAUACUGUAAAAAAAAAAAAAAAAUUAACAAAACCUAAUCAUUUCAUAGUGCGCAAGCUAAUAUCAUAGCUAAAAUGAAGUUGGUAAAUUUUGAUAUAACUAUCUAUUAUUAAUGAUAAUUACGUGGGCCUAAACGUUCCAACUUCCGAAUACAUUAUUCUAUAUUUUGGAGAGAAAAAGGAAAAGGCAAAAUCUUUUAGAUAAGAAAAAAAAAUUUUUUUUUUCCUCAUGAAAAAGCAAUUGAAUUAAAAAGUAAAAAUUUCUUUACAUUUUCGCCGGAGAAACAGAGUCAAAUUCAAACACGACGACUCAAGCGCAAAAGCCUAUAAAUAAAAGCCCGGCUCCAGUUCCCUGUCAGAGGCUACGGAUUUGAGAGAUUAAAGAACAUCAACCGAACAGUGAGACUCCGUACUCUUGACACAAACUUGCAAAAACUUUUAGGUCAUUUUUUUCGAUUAAUUUUUUAAUUUUCGAGAAUAAAGAGAGAGAGAAAAAAAAAAAAACAGAUGGGAUUAUGUUUGUCUGGGAGUGAUGUGAGGGGAGGGAAACAAGCCGUAGGUGGGGCCCACCUCCGGCCCACCAGCGCGGCUGAUCACCACAAUGUCUCUGGUCAAAAUGACGCCGUUGAUUUCUUCUUCAAAUCUCGCGGCCUUCAUGCCCUUUUCACCCAAAUCGAGGUAUAUGUGUGUACCUGAAUUAUAUGAGUCUUUCACUGCCAUUAUUAAUAAACUAUUUUCAGUUAAUUAAUUAAUUAAUUAAAAAUCUAUGAUUAGUUUAUGUUUUUUAAUUUAUUUAUAAUUUUUUAAAUCUGAUUUCGUUCAUGUUGGUAAUUGUGAUGGAUUCUCAAAUGGUCACUCUUUUGAAAAUCUAUUAUCAAAUUAUGUUUGUUAUUAUUACUUAUUUGAUGACUUUUCAGUGUAACAUCGAACAACUUAAAUCAUCGAACAACUUAUUAUUACUUAUAUGAACGAAUUUAAUUUAUCGAACAACUUCAAGAAUCAACAGCAAUCCCAAACAUGCCUUUUUUUUGAAUUUGUUCUGGUGGCUGAUCUUUUGCUAGUGUUGGUUCGACGGUUUCACACCAAGCAACUGCUUUUGUUUUGCAUAUGGAGAACAGUAAGUUUAACUGCUUAUACCCAAUGACAACAUUCUGUGAAGUGAAUUUUAGAUUAAGAUUGGUUAAGGUAAAUAAAAAAAGAAUGGUGUUGAAUGCACAGUGGCCUUGUGAACAUUGAAAAAGUCGAUGUUUGAUCCUGUUGAAUGCACAGUGGUUUUCCUGUGUAUCCUCAAAGUUGACUAUUCUGUUAUGCCUCAUUUAUCAAAUUUGACUCAUACCCCUCGUGAUCAAAUUUGACUUAUACCCCUCGUGAAGAUUCCCCAUGAUAAUGCUCCCCUGAUUGGAACAUGAUUUUGUGAAUGCUGGUUUGCAUAAGACAAACCAUUAACUUUAUAAAAGAUUGUGGAUUAAGGAUUUUGUUGUUACGAGGAUAAGAAUGUCUUUCCAUAACGUAGACCACCAAGUGAUUGUAAUAUUCCUGUAUUGAUGUGGACCUUACCUGAGGAUCUUCUUGCAAACUUUCCUGGAGAAAAGGCAACAAGUCAUAUGAUAACAAAUUAAAUGUGGUUCAAUGCUUGUAAUUGACGUGUCACAUCCUGUUGUUAUAUAAAACUUAAUUACAUAUAUUAUUGCUUGCUGCUUAUAAGAUUUAAUAUUAGAAGUGAUUCUGUCAGAAUCCGAAAUGAUGGUUUUCUGCAUGUUCUGUUUAUGACAGAUAUAUAUUGCCUGUCAGUUGACACACAUCGUACUGACAAUUUUCAUUUCGUGCAGCAUAUGCAUGGAUUACUCCUUUUCCGCUUUUUCAUGUAUCUGUAUUCGUUCUUAUGUUUUUGAAUAUGUAUUGCAGUUAUCUUUAUCUGCUUCAAAGUUACGUGAUCUUGACAUCGCAUCAAAGGUACGCCUUCAUAUCAUUGUUGUCUUAUGUCUGAUAAUGCCAUGUUCAUGCUGUUGAUAGUCUUGGUGAUUGAUUCUCAUGUUAUCUUGUAUCCUCCUUAUAUGAUCUGCUUAUUUGUUCAUAAUGGCCCUGUCAAUUUCCUUUCUCUGUUCAUAAAGGGUCUAGGGAUAUAUGAUCUGAAUAACGCUUAGUGCUGGCACCAAAAUUCUAAACUUAGACAAAGAAGAAUAGUUUGUUAUAUACACUGUCUAUCUCCAAUGUAAUCCAGUAAGGAGCAGUAACUUGAGAGUUCCAGAUAAUGUAUAACAAGUCAUGGUCGGUGGUUUUAUUGUUUUUGCAAUUUUGAGCACUAGUCAAAUAUGUUAUAUGUGCAAGAUAAAAUUCUUUGAUAAUGAACAUUUAUCAGCCGUAUAUCUUUUUACUGGCUGAUACUAGCAUACAUAAAAUGCUGCUGUAAUUUAACAAUGGAUUACUAACUAAAGUUAUUUAACUGAUAAAUGUCUAUAUUUAUAUGACAACUAAAGUUAUUUAACUAAUAUAUGUCUAUAUUUAUAUGACAUAAGUGGAUACAUACCCAUAUGCCUUCUGUUUUUUUUUUUUAAUUUUUAUAUUCACAAGGAAAUGUAUUUACAUGUCUUUUUGUGUCAUAGAGUGAUCCCAUGGCAGUUGUGUAUGCAAAGAAAAGAGAUGGGAGGCUGGACGAGAUUGGACGUACAGAGGUGAUUAUGAACAAUCUGAAUCCUGCUUGGAUUGGAAAGAUUUCAAUUGCUUUUCAGUUUGAGAUUGUCCAGCCCUUGGUGUAAGUUUUUAGUGUGUUCUUUUUAAAGUUUUUUUUUUCUUGAUAGGUCAUGCGCUUAAGCCUUGCUUGAUUUGAUAAUAUUUAAUGUUUUCGAAUUUCUUAAUGCUUUUCUUCUUUUUCCAGCUUUCGUGUGUAUGAUGUGGAUACCAAGUACCACAAUAUUCCAGUGAAGGUAUAAAAUUUCUUAAUUAUUUUUUUUCUCUCAAUUCAGAUGUAAAUGAUACGCACAUACUUCAGUUCCAAAGUUUAGAGUUAGCCAAGGCAUUUGACUGAUCCAUUUGUUGUCUAAGCAUACGUCUAAACUAAAUUGCAUCAGCAAUAGUUUCUAUCAAUUUCGGGAAAUUUGGGAAUACUUGAUUGAUUAUAAACUAACAUUUAGCAUGGAAAGAAACUUAAAAAGUUGGCUGUCAUAUACCAUAAACAAAUCUUAAGGCCAGGGUAGUUAUUAUGGAACUUUCUGCUAUUGCAUCUUGCAAGGUUUGACAUAUUUGUCCUGCUACCAUAACUGGGAAAGAACAAUUUUUCUGAUGGUCCUUACGGAUAAAUUUUCUUUUUUCCAAAAUGGAAUUUUGAUCUAUGUUGUUAAAAACAAUACAGUUAAAUAGUUGCUGCCAUGACCUAAAGAAGUUUCUGUAAAAAAUGACCAUAUUGUCAUUAUUGAAAUGGAUAAGUAAAUCUUUAGAGCCUAUGAUGUAUUCGUCUGUGGAAUUUGAGUCAAAAUGAAAAAAUUUUGAUGGUUAUAAUCCUAGAAACUGUAAUCAUUUGGAAGCAUUUGCUGAAAACAGUUAGAUAAUCUAAAAAUGUGAUGAUUAUUUAUGUCAAUUGUAAAUGGUAUUAACAUUACUGGGAAAAAUGAUAAAUAUGUAAAUUUAUGCCAGUGGAAAGAGAAAAUGAACAAAUCCAGAUGGAUUCUAAGACAUUAAGUAGGAAAUCUAUUGUUCUUUUGAUUCUUUGCUGCAGUGAUCCCUAAUUACUUUCAAGUCAUUAUUAUCUCAUGACAAAAUAUUUGUUGAAGUGUGAAGUUUAAAGCUCAAACUUCUUAUUUACAUUGCCCUGCAGAUGCUAAAGUUGGAGGAUCAAGACUUCCUGGGAGAAGCUAGCUGUGUUCUCUCUGAGGUAAGUUUCUGGGUUAUAUUUUGUUUGAUGAAUUUAUGUAUUUUCUCUUUAUUCAAUGGGCAAAAUAUGCCCAUCUAAUUUUCUGUAAAAAUCUGUUUCCUAUCAAAAAAAGGGCAAAAUAUUCUCAGAUGCUUUUUACUAGCAUUCGUCUUCUUCUUUAGCAUUCUUCUUUUGCACUAACAAGUGUCAUAUUUUCCUUUUAAAUGGCAGAUAGUGACCAAACAAAAUCGAACUUUAACCUUAAAACUCCAUAACAAUUAUGGACUUCGAGUUUCAAGAAACUUUGGGACACUCUCUGUCCAUGCUGAGGAAACAGUUGCUUCCAAGAGUGCUGUUGAAAUAGCAUUCUGUUGCUCGCAUUUGCAAAAUGUAGACCUGUUUUCCAAAAGUGUAAGUUCUGACAAAGUAGCUAAGUUUGGAGGUUCACUAAUUAAUCUAUUAAUUUAGAUGCUAUUUCUUCUUCUUCUUAUAUUCUAUAGGAUCCAUUCUUAAGAAUAUCUAGAAUUGUUGAGAGUGGAAAUUCUGUUCCUAUCUACAAGACGGAGGUGAUAAACAAUAACUUGAAUCCCAUUUGGAGACCAAUAACUUUGAGCAUGCAACAAUUUGUGAGCAAGGUAACCUUGUCAUCUUCUUGUGUUUGUUACUUGAAUGUAUAUUAGGUAGUGAAGUUUGGUCAUGGGGAAAUGUUUUUUAGUUUAUGAUUCUCUUUGGUACAGGAAAACCCAUUAAUCAUUGAAUGUUUUGAUUUCAAUACCAGUGGAAAUCACGUACUGAUGGGGUAACUGUUAAAUUUCUUAAUGUCAUCAGCUUCCCUCUUUUAUCCUUUUGCCUUUCUGAUGUCAAAGUUUUCUAUUUCUGUUAUUAGUAAAAUUCAGAAAUCAGUUGGAGACCUGGAGAAACUUCAUCAAGAAAGAACUGGUGCAACUUUUAUGUUACCAUCAACUCAACGUGGCCAUGACAAGGUGUUUAUUCUUUUUUGUUUUAACUCCACCAAAGGUGUUUGUUCAUGCUUACAGUUUUUGAUAAUUUAAUAUCACUUUAUUUUUUAUCUGACUUUUUCCUAGGUUCUGAAAAGUCAGUUGUUUGUUGAAAAGUUUGUUGAGAAAGAGCAAUAUAGUUUUCUGGAUUACAUAUCUAGUGGCUUUGAGUUGAAUUUUAUGGUUGCAGUCGACUUUACAGGUAAUUAGAAAGAGAUUACUUGUUGAAGAUAAAUUUGCAAUAUAAUCUUUUUGUUUUGUUUAUUUCCUCUUAUUUGGUCCAAUUUCAUCUGGUCUCUCAUUAAAUGCAAAAUCAUCCAGCUUCAAAUGGAAAUCCUCGAAAUCCAAAUUCUUUGCACUAUAUUGAUCCUUCAGGCAGAUUGAAUUCUUACCAGCAGGUAAGGCUUUGUUAUGACUCACACUUUGACAAGUGAUCUCUGAACUCUGAAGGUCAUAAAAUGGUCUUUUUGUCCAGUGUUUUCGACUUAGAAAAUGCCUGUGAUUUUCAAGUCUUUCUAUGGCCAUCAUAGUGAAAUACAUAUUUCAAUAGUUUGUAGAAGUUGAGAGAGACUAUCACUGAUUAGUUCUUGGCCUCUUCAACCAUUUACAGGCAAUAACGGAAAUUGGGGAGGUCAUACAAUUUUAUGAUUCUGAUAGACGCUUUCCUGCAUGGGGAUUUGGAGGGAAGACAUUUGAUGGCACUGUAUCACAUUGUUUUAACUUGAAUGGAAGAGCAGGCGGCUUUGAGGUAGGGGUAGCUGGAAUUCGCAACGUUGCUAUAAUCCUCAUUUGGUUGGCUUGUCUCCCAUAACUUUUCAUUUUUAAUAACAAACAAUAUAAUAUGUUUCUACAUUUUUUUUAAAAUUUCCUUGGAAUUAUAUCCUAAAAGAUGUGUAUUUUGUCCUCUUCCAUUUUUUCAUUAACUGCGUUUCUUUAUUUAAUAGGUAGAUGGAGUUGAAGGCAUUAUGGCUGCUUAUGCAAGCGCUCUAAACAAUGUUGCUUUGGCAGGACCGACUCUGUUUGGUCAAGUGAUCAACACAGCUGCACGAAUUGCUGGACAGUCCCUCUCAUACGACAGAAGCAAGUAUUUUGUCUUACUCAUUAUAACGGUGAUUACAAUGAUUCUAUAUAUUCACAGUUUUCUCUUUGUAUCAUUCUUUUUGGGUGAUUUGUAAAUUUGCAUUAUCUAUUUAGGAUGGAGUUCUGACAGAUCUCCAAGAAACAAAAGAUGCUUUGGUAAGGGCUUCUGAUCUUCCCCUGUCAAUUCUAAUUGUGGGUGUUGGAGGUGCAGAUUUUACACAAAUGGAGGUACGCAAUGUUUUCCAACUGGAAUAUCUUCUUACUAGCAUUGAACUUCUUUUUUCUAUAGUUUGACAGAUUCAAUUUAGAGUACAUAUGCAGUGUGGUAUUAUCCCACUUUUGUUGCAGAUUCUUGAUGCUGAUAACUUUGUUGGCAGAUUCUUGAUGCUGAUAAUGGCCGUAGAUUAGAGAGCUCUACUGAUCGGGUAGCUACCAGAGAUAUAGUACAAUUUGUUCCAAUGCGAGAAGUUCAUAGUGAGUGCAUAUGAUUCUUUGACAAAAUUAGUUCAAAAUAUUGAAUUUGGGAGUUAAUUCACAAAAGUUUCUGAAUUUUUUCAUGCGUUAACAAACGAACACAUUGUUUUCUGAACAGGUGGGCAAAUUUCUGUUGUACAAGCACUUUUGGAGGAGCUGCCUGGUCAGUUUCUGACCUACAUGCGCUGCAGAGAUAUCAAACCACUCAAUGUUCAGAUGGCCCAAACAUGCGCUUGAGUAAAUAUUCAUAUGUUUGGAAAGGAUACAAAACCAAGCUAAACAUAUUAGACAAAACCAAGCCAAACAUAUUAGGCUAUACAGACAUAACAUAGCAAAAAUUGAUAAUGGUACAUUACAUAUGUUAGGAUAUAGUGGUUUUAGAUGAUGGUAAAUUACAUAUGUUAAGAUAUAGUGGUUUAUAACUAACUUUUGAUGGCUUAAUGAAUUGAUUGAAUUUGUAUUUAGGUUCUAUCAAUUAUCUCAUAUUCUUCCCAUCCAUGUCUUUCGAUUUUUAUUAUUCCCUCUACCCACUUGUUUCACAAUUGUUUGUGUCUGAUGGCCUAAAACUCCAAUUUCUAUUGCUGUAUUAUCAUCUUUGUUGAAUAUUUACUACAAUGAACAUGUGCUGAAUGUCUACUUUUACUACUACACCAGCAAUCUAACACAUGGCUCACGUGCACACAAGACAAGUCUGAUUCACACAUCUUUAAUUUAGAUUCUUAUAUAGUCUUUCAAGAUGUCUGAAACAGCAUAGAUGAAGGACCCUUCCACCAUUCAACCUGGAAUGAUGUGAGUGAAAGAAAUUUCCGAAAGUGUUGUAUUAUAACUCUUUGAAAUUGGGUUUGAGUAAUCAAGAGAAGCCAAAAUGUAGAACAAUAACAAUAAAAAAUGAAGGCCCUCUUACCGUCUUAACUUUGAUAGAAAAUUCACGAGCUGCAUACCAUGUCUCACAAAUUUCAAUGAAAAUUGGCCUCAUUCCUGAUGCUGCACAGAAGGUUGGCCUGAAUCAUCUUUAUGAUUUUGGACUUCCUGUAAACAACGAACAAAACAAAUUGAAGGUGAAAGCAGGAGCAACAGUUUUCAAAUAAAAUGGGAGUGCUUAAUCUAAUUGAACACUAACUUUUGGGUCUCUCAGUAAUGGAUACGUACCUUUGUUUCAAGAUAUAUCUGUUGUAUGGUAGAAUUAAGGUCGCCCUUCCAAGUCCAAUACUCACAAGACAGCCAGUGUUUCUCUACUUCGUGUAAACUGGGAGUGCUUAAUUCUUUUCCAGAGAAAAUCUUCAUAUUGGGGCAUUUAUCCACACUUAAAUAUGUCAAAGCUGGGAACUUGAAGGCGCAGUUGCCAGAGCAGAAGCUUGUAAGUCUUCUUAAAUCACAAAGCUCCAAGUACAUCAACUCGCUGAAAACAAUUUCAUCUUUAGCAGCAUCUCCCUCAUCAGUUGCCACUACUUCUGUUAUCAUGCUGCAGUCAACGAUACUCAUCUCUGUCAGUCGUACCAAACUCUUUGCUGUCGAGGAUGUUAGCACAUUUAUCAAUCCUUUGCAUCUCCACACCUUCAAAGUUGUCAGAUUCUGAAACGAUGUUGAAGGUGGCACUAGAUUAAUCAAAUGGUCACAGUACUCAACUGUUAGAUGAACCAAAUUGUCCAUUUUGGACUCCUGGAUUAAAAUAUGCUUCAGAUCACAACAAUUGUGUAGAUUCCUUAUGAUUGCCUUUGUCCAAUUUUCUACUCCAUAUGAUGGCUUAACGCCCCCAACAUAUCCUCCUCCCCUUAUUGUGAGUUCUCUUAUGCUGUGAAAUCUCCGAAGGAAAUCAAGUGAUGAAAUAGUAGAUGACUCUUCAAAUAUAACAUCAAGAAAGUUGAGUUUGCAAAACAUGUCCGCUGGAAACUCAGCUGCCAUUGGUAUCUUCUUUCCUUCAAUGGUCAAAUAUUUCAAAUUGGGGAAUACCUGGUUGGAUGCAUGAUAAAUCAGGACCAAAAAGAAAACGUAACGCCAAUUAUUAAGAGUAAAUUUUAAAUCUUGUACGUACCUCUUUUGUCAAGUCAUGAGCAGUUAAAAGGAAUUCAGGACACCUUAUUACUUCUAAAUUUUCCAAUGUUGGAAAUUCAAUGUGCACAUCUCCUGUGCAGAAGCUUGUGAGCCUUUCGAGAUCUACCAUCUUUAGAAAUUGUAACUGAGGGAACACAACAUUCUUCCUUUCUUGCUGGUCUAUGACUAUUAUCUCUUCCAAAAUAGGGCACUCAUCUAUCUCAAGGUGUUGGAGUCGAAUAAAGCUGUUAACUAUAGAAGAUGAAAACAGACAUCUUAAUUCCCCACAGCCAUACAAAAUCAACCGGGUUAAAGUUUGAAUGCCACAAGACAUGGCUGGAAGUUGGCUUUUCCAAAUCCUCUCCACAUUUACAUUAUACAGCUCCAAGGUCUGCAAGUUUGGUAACCCACCCUGUUCACAAAACUUUCCAACCGUUAUUAUGAGGGGAGCAAAGUUAGUAUAUAAGUGCAUUCAGAGUACUUUUUCUUUCAUCGGAGAAUGUAUUUGUUACACCUACGUUACUCGGGAUGAAAAUUUUAAUAUAAUUAUGAAAUAUGUUCGUUAAUCCCUGAUUCACUCUAGCCUAUAUUUCCUAGGAAAGGAGAAUAUAUAAUAAAGCAGCAAAAAAAAAAAAGGAAAAAAUCAUAAGAAUAUGACCAUUGGAUCAUUAAUAUCCGACCUUGAGGAAAAAUGUAUUAGGAACGUUGACAUGGUCCUCCAAAAUGAUUUCAUUCGAUCGCGUUUCACUUGUCGAUUCCUUGCAUCUCUGUUUAGAACAUAGUCAUACUCAUUAGAAAUGAAGAAUCUGUUUUUGCACUGGCUGCUUUGAUAUGUUCGAAAUUUAGGAAGAUCAUAUCAUACCUUUGACUCUUUCGGACUGGGGGCUUGACAACCUUCGACCCAGAGAUGCUUCAGUUGGGAAGAAUUAGAGCCCAAUUUGUUAUUAACUAAUUCAAUGAUAUCUUGGUCUGGCAAUCCAGAUAAACAAAGGUCUUCAAUUCGCUGAAGUUGCACGAUAUGCCCACUCUUGAAGCUGAUACAAUUGUCGGUGCCAAGGAGGAGUCUGAAUGUUCUAGAACACGUAGGUGAGGUAUCCUCCCAACACCAACGUCCAAUACAUAUUCUGUACCUUUCCAGCUUCUCGAAGAACAGCCCCUUCGGCAGAGUGUUGACAUCUGGGAUGCAUAAUUCUAAGGUGGUCAAGUUAGGCAAACGCUUCAACUCUUCAAGGCUUGCAUUCUUGACCCCUGCAGCUUCCACCUCCACCUCCCACUUAUUAAAGCUACGAAUGUAUAAUUCCUCCAAAUGGGAUAAAUUUGAUAAAACAUUUGGGGAAUAACCUGUAGUCUGUCACAGUCUCUCAAAUCAAGCGACCUUAACCAAGUCAAUUGGCCUAUUUCCACAGGCAACUGCUCAAUAUAAGAACCCCUUAAGCAAAGGAUUUCUAGGUUCUUUAAUUCUCCUAUAACAGCUAUAUCUUGCAAUUCGCUGCAAUACAAACACAAUGUUCGAAGGUUUGUUAGGAGACCAAGUGAUGAAGGCAGUAAUGAUAGAUGCAUAUAAGUCAAGUCUAAAACUCUGACUUGCGUCAACUUCCUGAAAAAAUUGUCUGGAAGUGUGAUUAAUGAAGAUUUCUCAGUCCACAAAGAGAGAAGUUGCAGUUGAGGACAUUCCAAAACUUCAGGAAGAAGAACAUUCAUCUUGCUGUCGUGUAAGACAAUCGAAGUGUAAAACUUAAGCGCACCUUCAUCUAGCCAUUCCCGUGAAUUAACCAGUUCAUAUCUCAUCGUAAGCACAUUUUGUUCUCUGGUUGCAAUUGCUAUGGCAACAUCACGAACAACAUCAUGCAUAGAAAACCAAUGUUCAUUUUUGCUUCCAUGCUCAAGCAACAUACAAGAAGCCUUGAGUUUGUACACCAAUGUAUACACUCGAGCUCGUGCUUCUUCCAUCCUAUUGAUGCCUUGAAACAAACCCAAACCCAUGCCAUACAUUAACACGUCAUUAAUGGACGAUAUGUAGGUGUAGCCUAUUAGCAAAAAGAUCUUCUUGAGCUCCUCUCCUUCUAAUUUGUUGUAACUCAACUCUAUAGCUGAAUAAGCAGCCGGCUGUAUAUCUUUAAAGUUCGUUGAGGAAGGCCUUCUUAACUGUCCCAAAGCAUCCUUCCAUUCAAAUAAUCUCUUAUUUCUCAACGCCCUCGCUACUGUUACAAUGGAAACAGGCAAACCUGCACAUUCAUUUGCCACCUCCGUUGCCACCCCUUUGAAUUCACUACUUUCGAUGUACUCCCCUGCCAUCUUCUCAAAUAGACUCCAAGCUUCGUCUUCUCUUAGAACGCCAACUGAGAAAUUAUGUCGGCAAUCCAUCUUGCCAGACAAUAUAUCUUCACUUCUUGCCGUCAUCAAUAUUUUACACCCCUUGUGAUUAUCUCCGUGAGGAAUUCCUACAUCCUGCAAAUCAACACUUUCCCAAACAUUAUCUAAAAUUACAAGGAUUUUUUUCUCAUCCUUCAAUCGAUUAUAAAGACUCCUUGCCCUUCCAGAUUCGGUCUCUUCGAAAAAUAUGAGACCUAAUUUAUCAGCGAUUUCUCCUUGAAUCUUUCUUAUGUCUGGAAUCUGGGGCACCUCCACAAAAAUCACUUGAUCAAAUAGCUGGUCUCUCUUGAACUGAAUAGCAACCUCUUUUGCUAGUGUCGUCUUUCCGAUGCCGCCCAUACCAUAAAUCCCAACCAUGUUCACAUCAGGAUCUUGUAAUGCACGAAGUGCAUUAUUCAAAGUGGAGGUUCUUGAUUCAAAUGCCUCGUAGUCUUUGUUAGAUAUAAGCCUUAUGUCCUCCAGAGCUUUACGGUAGGAAAUUCUAUCAAAUCUCCCAGCUUCCCGAAGUUUGACAAUAGCUUCGAAUUGCCUCACCGCUUCCUUGCUAAGCUGAUGGCGGGUCUUCAAAUUUGGACACAGCCCCAUGAAACAACGCUUGUUUGCUUUAUCUGCAUCGCCUGUAAAUUUCUCAGCCUCAGUAAUGAUGUUGUUGACACUUGCAAGCCAUUUCUCAACGUUCUUUUCGAUCUCUUCUCCUUUUCUUUUAGCCUCAUCAACCCCGUGCUGCAUACUGGCACCGUCAUCCUUGAGCUUCUCAAGUUCAGUCUUGAGAUUCUCAAAGUUGCUCCUGUAGUUGCGCACAUAACUCAAUUGUCUUUCAGUGGGAGGACCCAAGCACUUUGCAACUUCUAACACAACAGUUACUAUGCUUUCCACCAUCUUCAAUUCUUUCCCUUUUCUCUCUUUUUUUUUUUUUGGGUCAAAUUUUAGAAUUUUGUAAAGUAUGUAGAUGUGAAGUGAAGCGAACCAAAAGGAAACUGAACAGAGACAACAACUAAAAAGAUGUAGAGAUGAAGAAGAAGAGAAGGGAUUUAUUGACAGAGUAAAAAAAUACAGAAGAGUAGAUACAGAACAAAACAGAGACAAGUGGACAGGGAACAGAGCAAAAAUAAAUAAAGAAAACAGAUACACGUACGAUUCGUAUUAAUGUUGAGAUCCGAAGAUUGUAAUAACCAAAGGUGUUGCUUGAUCCAGUGAAAGGUCCAAAGAGUUGAUGGCGGAAAGGAGCAAAGCUGAAGAAUAAAAAUAAUCAAGAUGAUUGAGAAUGUUGAUUGAGAUGGAGAAAGACUUGCAUGGUUGGGAGAUGUGCGUCGGACAAAUGGUAGCCAAUUAUUUGAUUUCUACCGCGGGAUUCACUGACUUUAUAUUUUAAAAAAUUUAAGUUAGCAGAAUUAAUUCUUUUCAGUGAAAUGAACGCAAAGAGUGUAGAAAGAAUGUGAAAAAGUUAUGCGAAACGUGAGGUGACGAGAUAGACAAGUUCACUGAGGGAAAUCUGUGGUGCAAUUGUGGUAUCGUAUUACAGUUGUAUUUUAUAAUUAGAUGUCAAUGGACUCCAUAAUCUAAGUGUAUUUAACGGCUAGAUACAACUGUAGCACAAUUACACCGUAGCCUGAUCCAAUUCACUUAUGCUCAAUAGUCAAUUUUAUUAAAAAUAAAAAAUAAAAAACUAGUGAGAAUCCGAAAGUCGAAAGCCAAUAGAUUUCAUAAUGGGAUUCAUUCAUUAUUCCAUCACGGAACCGAACACCAAUAGGUUAUCCCACCAGCCACCACCUCAGCUUCCACGCAAGUUUCCCUCAUAUUUGAAUAGUUGGCCCACUCCUCAAGUCUUUGUCGUUUCAGUCAACAAAAUACCACUGAAAACUAAUUAAGGCCAAAAGUUAAAACGAACAGACCCCAUCCGCCCAUGUGCUUUUUAGGAGUAUUUAUAGAUCGGAUUUUACAUAUUGGACCUCAAUCUAUAUUUGAUUUAUAUUUUUGUGGAUUAUUAUAUAGUAUUAAUGUAAUUACAUUUUAACUUAGUUAUUUACUAAUAAGUACUAAUGUCAUAUUUAUAAAUUUUAAUUUUUAAUUAAAAAAUAUUUUUUAUUUUUUACAGAUUCGUAGAUUUUUGAGAAUUUACAAAAGUAAAUUCAUAUUCAAUCUAUCGAUUACGGAUUAUCAAAUUUUCAAUCUAAUCCAAUCCAUAGAUCAAAUUUUUACGGAUUGAGCAGAUCGGAUUAGAUUACGAACACCCUAAGUGCUUCUAAAUAUAAAAUCUUCGCCUAAUUUUCAAGAUUGAUAAUUGAAAUAAAAUUUGAUUAAAAAUUGACAAAAAUAUACUUAGAAUAAUGUCAUUUUAAGUGAAUUUUAAAAAAACAAAACGAUAUUACCUUGAAUAUUUUUUAUUAAUUUCAUUUUUCAAUUUUGAAACAAGUAAUUCUUAUUCAAUCGUUACAUUUUCUUUUCUCAAAAGUAAACGAAAUUGAAAUUAAGAAAAAAAGAAAAAGUAAACGAUGAAACUCGGGUGGAUCACAACUUGUAUAAAGAUUCCUGACAGUUGCUAAUGCUGCCGACAUGAUCUUCCAACUUGGAACUUGUAAGAUCGGUCAAGCUUUCUAGUUUCUACAGUAGCGUUUAAUUAAUGAAUAAUGACGACGUUAGUACAAUGAGAGUAUUUGAGGUAAUUGAUCAAACAAAAAGAUUGCCCACUCAUGAUCUAAUUGCCUAAAUUAAUAAAAAUGCUUAGCCUCAGCUGACUUGUUCCAAAUCACUAAACAAUUUUUUGAUUCUUUUACUUAUUAAAUAUAUUAGUUUUUGCUAAUGGAUACUAAGUUGAAUGCCAAAGACGAAUAACUGCAUUUGAAUUAAAAAUAUUUCGAUAUUAAUUUGAAGGAAAAGUCUAGUAUUAUUCUUAAAAUAUGUACAAACUUAGAGCUUGUAUGACUUUUUUGUAAGGUGAAAAUAUUUCUAACCCACGCGCUCUAUAAAAAUGGAUGCCUUUCUUUCUUAUUUUUUCCCUACUUAAAUGACAAUUAUUGAAUAAUCAAUCAUGAAUGAUUUUAGGUUACGAGUGUAGUAUAUAUAGUAAAGUUUAAUAAUUAUGAUCAAUUACUGAAAUAUUACCACGGGCAUUAGAUGACAGGAAAAGAGCUCAUUUAUUCCAUUGUUACAUUAUUUGAGUGAUACAGUAUCACUUUAAUCAAACUUCUGUCCCAAGUUGGGAACAGCGAAAUGGGCAUUUCAUCGAACGGUUGAUAUACUACGCAUCUGCACUUAAUGUUGCUGGUUGUUGCAAGUGCUGCCGGCAUUUUCAAAGUUGAAAGACCAUUCAUAGCUUUUCAAUAAUUUGCUUUGAUUAUUAAAAUUAAAAUUAACUAGCUUUUCAAUAGUUGUUAAUAAAAUUAACAAAAAAAAAAAAAAACACAUAUGUUGACAGCACAAGAAUAAUAAUGUUUACUUAUUUAUUAAAUUUAAACUCUGUUCAAGAGAGGACCCAACUUUUAUAUAUUUUAUUUUAAUGGCUUAAAGAAAUUACAAAGUUGAUGGCACAAUUUAUAGUUUUUUUUUUUACCUUUAAAAAAUCUUUGGAUUAACCGACAAUCAUCAUCAAUCCUCACCUAGGGUCGGGGGAGGAUCAAGAUGGUGCCUACAGUGAGCAAACAUGAUGGCAGAUGGUGUCCAAUUGAUCCCCGAAACUUUUCUAUUUUCAUUGAUAUUGUCAUGAAGUUACAUAAUUUCUUACAUAAUUGUCUCCAAUAAAUACCAAUAGGUAUACGAACGCAAUUACGCAAACAUGAUGCACGCAUCUCUUUAAUUAAUUUAAGGCGUAAAGAGACUUUCAGAGAUGCCUACAAAUUCAAUAUGGCAGCUCUCAUGAGAGAUAAAACUAGCUUCAAAUUGGAUUUCUGAGUACUCAAAUAAAGCUAAAAGCAUACUAAUGAAAUGAAAACUAAAACAAAAAAUCCUCUCACCAACGCCAUCUGACUCUUAAUACAUAGAAAGAACUUGAUGCCUUAUUCAAGAUGCCGCACAGAAGGUUGGCCUGAAUCGUCUUCAUAAGUUUGGACUCCCUGUAAACAAAGAGCAAAAACACAUUGAAGGUGCAGUUUUCACAUAAUUAAAUUGCACAAAUUAGCCUCUAUGAAGGAUACAAAAAUCCUUCAAUUCUCUCUGGAAGCAAUUAAUUUCAUUUUAUUUAUUUAUUUAUUGCCAUGUUUGUCUAACAACUAAUCUUCAACAUAACAAUAGAGCAGAGUAGUUAUAUUUUAGAAAGAUAUACCGAUAUGAUUUAACUAAAAUUUCAAUAUAAAUAAAACGUUUUUAGUCAGCACAACAAAAUCAAAUCAGAACCUCCCAAACUGUAUAGAUUCUAACUUACCAGUAUCUUUCCCAUCUUUCUCCUUUUCAUUCACUUUGGCGGACUUCUCAUUCUCUUUUUCCCUCUCUUCCUAAUCAGAUUUAAAAUAAAUUUAUAAAAACAUUAAUAAUCACUUUUUUCUUUUUCCUUUUAUAUAUAUAUCUGUCAUUAAAUCAGUAAUUUUUAGAAAAAAAAUCAACAUUUCAUAGUGAGUGAACACGUACCUUUGUUGUUGAUAUAGGUAUUGAAUGGUUGUAUUAAGGUCGCGAUCCCAAACGCAAACUCUUUCAUCAAACCUCUUCAGCUGCACUUUGCGUAAAUUGGGUGUGCUUAAUUCUCCUCCUGAGAAAAUGCUCAUAUUGGGGCAAUCUUCCACCACUAAUCUUUCCAGAGAUGGGAAUUUGAAGGCGCAAUUAUUGACAGAGCAGAAACUUGUCAGACUUUCUAAGUCCGAAAGCAGCAAUUCCUUCAAUUCGCUGAAAACAAUUUCAUAGUUUGCUGCAUAAUUGUCUCGCUCAUCAUCGUCAUCUGCCACUAUUUUUGUUAUCAUCUUGCAGUCAAAUAUCUUCAUUUGUUUUAGUCGCACCAGACUCUUUGCUGUCGAGGAUGUUAGUAUGUUUAUCAUUCCAUAGCAAAAAUCUACGGCCAAAGUUGUUAGAUUCUGAAACGAUGUCGAGGAUGGCACUAGAUUAAUCAAAUUGUCACAUCCAUAUAUAUCCAGUACUUCCAAAUUGUUCGCAUGGGAGGACUCUUGUUUCAAAAUCUGCUUCAGAUUAGGAUGGAAGUUUAUUCCCUUUAUCAUUGCAUUCACCCCAUUUUCAACCGUUUCAAAUAGUUCUUCCCCAUCAUAAUCGUAUCCUUCGAUACAGAGAACUUUGAUGGUGUGAAAUCUCUGAAGGAAAUCGUCAAGUGAUAAAAUAGCAGUUGACCCAUCAAGCCAAACAUUAAGACAUUUAAGUUUGCAAGGCAAGUCUUCUGGAAAUAGACCUAUGUGCUUUUCAUCAACACUCAAAUAUUCCAAAUUGGGAAACACCUAGGUGAUUACCAAUCAAAAAAAAAAAAAAAAAAAAAGCAAGAUGGAGUUAGAUCUUCUUUUUAACAAUUUGACAAAUUAAAGUAAAUGCAAAGCAUUCCGGUGAUGAAUAUUGAUGGCCUAUCGUGUAUGUGUGUCUCUAUGUGUGUGAGUGUGUAGCAUAUGAUCUUUCUAACAAUCACAGAAAAAACAAGGUGGAGUUGAUCUUCUUUGUGACAAUUUCACAUAUCAAAGUAAAUGCAAAGCAUUCUAAUGAUGAAUAAUAUUGAUGGCCAGAUAAAUAUAUAUAUAGCAUACGAAAAAGACGUCAAUUAUUCUCAAUUUACAUUUAAACUUCCAAAUUCUCUUAAUCGAUCGAUUUAUUUGGUUUGAAUUGAAAAUCUUACAAAUUUCUUUUUUUUUUUUUUUUUGAAAAUGGAUAUUUUAACUUUUCUUUUCUUUUUAUCAAAAGUAUAAAUGAAUAAAUAACUUGAAUUUAAAAAGUUUAAUAAUGUAGUAAGACGCUCGUAUUUAAUUAAUAUUCAUCGGAUUGGAUAUAUUCACUACUGUACAAGAAAUGAUUUUAUUAUGUAGAAAAUUUAAUAGGAUAAGAUUUCUUCAUUUGCGUUUUGUUCAUCCCUCUAUAUAUAUUUUUAAGAAUAGUAUUUAUGUUAACACGAGAUGACCAUUUUCUUCUUCAACAUCAAAAUUGAUAAUAAUUUGUAUGUAACAAUAUUAAUUGUUAAGGCAUACUAAUCUAAAAAUAGCUCCUAAAAAUUAUCUGGGAAUUAACUGUGGCUUGAAAAACUCUAGAUCUUAUUAGAAUUUUCUUUGUUUGGGUAAUCAAAUGCACACUCUCUUUCAUGUAUUAAGUAAACAUAAGAGACAUAAAAAAAAAGUAAAAAGUAGAGGAAGAAGAAAAACUCAGAUAAUUAAGAGAAAACAAUUGAACUAGAAUUAAAAAAAAUUGUUUACUAACAUUUUGUUAAACUGAUUUAUGUUUAUGAGGAUAUUAUGAAGUAUAAAUAAACUGAUUUAUACAACUAACAUUUUGUUACUAAAAGACAAAGUGAUGAGGGCGAUGAUGAUGACAAUAAAACUCUGAACUCUGAAAGUAGAAUUACUUUUAAGUACGUAAGAAUUGAACAAUAAUUACAAAAGUCUUGCACGUACCUUCUUGGUGGACUCAUGAAUAGUGCUUUUAAAUUUCACUUGGGGACGUUCCAGUAUUUUUAAUUGUUCCAAUGAUGGAAAUUCAAAAUGCAGAUCUCCUGUGCAGAAGCUUGUAAGCUGCGGAAGAUAACAAAGUUCAAGUGUUGUUAAUUGAGUGAGUUCAAUGACUUGCGUGUUACUAUUGCUGGAUUCAUCUCCUCUCUCGGCAGCAAAAAUCACUUCCAAAUUCUGGCAUCCAGUCACUUCAACGGACUGAAGUUGUUGAAGGCCUCUGCCAAUGACCAAUGGAAAUACAUUUUUCAAUUUAUCGCACCAUUCCACCCUUAUGUCCUUUACUUUGCAAAAAGACUCUGCCGCGAGUGGACCGCGACAUAUUUCCUCAAGGUUCCUUAAAUCUCUCAGAAAUAAUGACUCCAAAAGGGGGAAUGCAGUCGUCCGAGCUGUUGCUCUAUCCACUAUGUCGACAACACAUAAAAGGUUGCUAUUUUUUACGACCUCGAGACGCUUCAGCUGUGGAAAACCUUCUCCGUCUGAUCCAUAAAGAACACUCUUCAUGUCCAGCAAUCCGCCUAAACAUAGGUCUUUAAUACCCUUCAAUUGCAUGAUAUGCCCCCCGUUCAAGCAAAUGUUGGCACCACUGGCGACCAUCAGUCGGAAUAUUUCAGAUAUCUCACUCGAUACGUAAUCCCACGUCCACUGACUUCCUAUCAAUAUUCUGUACCUUUGCAGCAUUUUGACGAACGACAAGUCUCUUGGUAGAGUCUUUUCAUCUUGGAUGAGUAUUUCUAAAGAGGUCAAUUUAGAUAAAUUAUUCAACUCAUGAAGGCUGGCAUUUCUUCUUUCACCGUCGACUCCUUCAACCUUCCCCCACUCAAUGGGACUCUCACCAACAUAUAGUUCUUCUAAUCGGGAUAAGCUCGAUAAGACAUUUGAGGGAAUAACUCGCAGUCGGUAACAUCGGCGCAAAUUCAACAACCUCAAUUGAGUCAGCUGGCCUAUCUCUCCAACCAGUUCCUCCAUAUCAGAACCUCGAAGCGUAAGGAUAACUAAUUUCUUUAGGUCUCUAAUAAUAGCCAUGUCUCCUAGUUCACAAUAAUCCAGAGACAAUGUUUGAAGGUUUUGUAAGAGACCAAGAGAUGAAGGCAAUGCCAACAAAUGCAUCUUAGUGAAAUCUAAAACUCUAAGCUCUGUCAUCCCAGUAAAAAAAUUAUCUGGGAUCCUCAAGGAAGCAUGACAGCCAAUACAAAGGAAUUUAAGUUGCGGGCAUUCGAACCCUCGAGGAGGCUCACUAAUAUUACUAUUCUUUAAGGAGAUUGCGGUGCAAACCUUCAGUGCAUCCUUAUCUGGCCAGCUGGUCGGCGGAACAACCUCAUUUUCCACCGCAAAAACAUGUUGGACUCUAGAUGCAAUUGAUAUGGCUACAUCACGAACAACAUCGUGCAUAGAAAACCAUUCACUAGUAUUGCCAUCAAGCAGCAAGCAAGAGUUCUUGAGUUUAUCAACCAAUGUAUGUGCUCUAUCCCGUGCCUCUUCCAACGUGUUGAUGUUUUGAAACAGACCCAGACCCAUGCCAUAAUAGAUCACGUCUUCAACGCAAGAGAUGAACGUGUACCCUAUUAGCAAAAACGUUUUCCUGAGUUCCUCACCUUCUAAAUGAUAGUAACUCAGCUCUAAACUUGAAUAGGCGGGCCCCAAAAAAGACUUAUUUUUCAAUUGUCGUAAAGUAUCCUUCCAUUCAGACAAUCUCUUAUUUCUCAAUGCCCUCGCUACGGGUACAAUGGCAAUGGGCAAACCAGCACAUUCCUUGACUAUCUCUGUUGCUACAGAUUUCAGUUCACCAUUUUCUAUGCAAUCACCUGUCGUCUUUUUGAAAAGACUCCAAGCUUCUUUUGCAUUCAGAACAUCAACAAAAAUAUUUUUUUGACAAUCCAUCUUAGAAGACAACACAUCGUGACUUCUUGCCGUCAGCAGAACUUUACAUCCGCCGAUAUCAUCUGCCAAUGGAAUUCCAAUUACUAAGAAAUCAGAAAAAAGGAUGUUUGGAAGCUGAGAAAAUUUAAGAACUGAAAGCUUUUAGCUCACACGAUUUUAUUCAUCUAAAACUUACUUAUGAAACUAUACACAGAGAUGCUUAUAUACACAACUGAUGCUCAGCUCAAUUAGUUAACUAAUUACAAAACUAAUUCUAGCUAGCUAUAACAACUUCAACUAAUUAUCACGUGAACAAGUGAUUACAUAACCACCAGGUGCCAGCUGGCAUGCCAUGUCAUCAACUCUUAACUGUAAGCUGGAGCUGCUGCUAUCCUCUGCUUUACAGUCUAUGCUACUGAUGUGUGCUUCCUUAACAUCCCCUCUCAAGCUCAAAGGUCUACUAACGACAUUGAGCUUGGAUUUAAAAAAGCUGAAUUUAGAAAAAGAUAAGGGCUUAGUCAGAACAUCAGCUACUUGUUCUUCAGUAGGAAUGUAUCUAACCUCCAAUUCUUUUCCAAGCACUUUGUCUCUAACAUAAUGAACAUCCAACUCUAUGUGCUUAGAUUUUGAGUGAAACACAGGGUUACGAGCUAGCUCCCCUGCACUUUGGUUAUCACACCAAAGAACUGGAGUAGGUAGUUUAGCAAUGUUGAGUUCUGAAAAUAAAGACUGCAACCAAGAAAUUUCUGAGCAUGCUGCUGACAGGGCUCGAUAUUCACUUUCUGUGCUUGACUUUGCUACAAUUGCUUGCUUUUUGGAAGACCAUGAAAUCAGAUUGUUACCCAAGUAUAUACAAUAGGCUCCAAUUGAUUUUCUGUCGUCAAGAUCACAAGCCCAGUCAGCAUCUGUAUAGCCUGUUAUUCCAAUUUCCAGAGUUGCUUCCUUUCUAAGAUAGAGACCAUAGGUGAUGGUUGACUGGAGAUAUCGAAGAACUCUUUUGCAGGCUAACCAGUGCUGAACAGUAGGAGAACUGAGGUAUUGACUGAGCUUAUGAACUGAAUAAGCUAUAUCCGGCCUGGUGAGAAUUAGAUAUUGUAACCCUCCAACUAUGCUUCUGUAUUGUGUUGGAUUUUCGAACUCCUGACCCAAAGGACCCCUGACAUUUCUUUCUAGCUUCAAACCAGUACUAAGAGGAGUAUCAGACCCUUUGCAAUUCUCCAUAGAUGCUUUACUCAGCAAGUCUUUAAUAUACUUUGUUUGAGAUAGAUGCAUACCUUCAUCAAAGUAACUAACUUCAACACCUAGGAAGUAAGCAACUAAUCCCAGAUCUUUCAAGGCAAAUGUCUGACUGAGUUUAACAAUAAAAUCCUCUAGUAAAGCAGAAUCUGGUCCAGUGACUAGAAUAUCAUCCACAUAGAUCAAUACUAUGAUUAAGCCCCUUGUAUCAUGUUUAAUGAAUAGAGUUGUAUCAGCCUUUGAAUUAAGAAAUUGCCAAGUAGUUAGACAACCCUUCAAUUUUUCAUACCAGGCUCGUGGAGCUUGUUUUAGACCAUAGAGAGCUUUAUUGAGUUUGCAGAUGUACCCUUCCUUAGUUACAAAGCCUUCUGGUUGUGUCAUAUAUACGUUCUCAGAAAGAUCUCCAUUAAGGAAUGCAUUAUUUACAUCAAUUUGUCUGACUUUCCACCCUUUUAUAACUGCCAAGCUGAGUAUAACUCUAACUGUUGAAGACUUCACCACUGGACUGAAAGUUUCUGAAUAAUCUACCCCUGCUGUUUGGUGAAAUCCCUUUGCAACCAAUCUAGCUUUAUACUUGCUGACAGUUCCAUCUGUGUUAUACUUUGUUCUGAAUACCCACUUACAACCAACUAGCUUGUAUGUAGAAGACAUUGGCACAAGAGUCCAAGUGUUGUUGUGAAUAAGAGCAUCAUACUCAGUUUGCAUUGCAUCUUUCCAUUUAGGAUCUGAUAAUGCCUCAGGGACAGUGGAUGGUUCUAAGCUGUUGUGAGUUGUUAGAAAGGUCUUUGGUUUGAAAAUACCAGCUCUAGCUCUGGUUAUCAUAUGAUGGGUGGAAGUAGAAGGUUUAGGCUGAGAUGUUUGUGUUGUGCAGGGUAUUUGUGGUGCUGGUGACUGGGGUGCAGGUGAAGGCAAAGAUGUAGAGGUCUGAUUUGUGGGUGACUGAGAUUGAGGUGAAUUUGAUGAUAAAGAAUGAUUGACAGGGAAUUGAUCUGCUGCAGUAGCUUCAAGACUGUUCAGAUUGCUAUUAGGAACUGACAGAGUAAACCUUUGAAAAAGAUUAUAUUGAAAAUCAGAGGAAGUGUGUUUAGAAGAGGAAGAAAAAUUUGGAUCUGAAAUGUAAGGGAAAGUGGUUUCAUCAAACAAUACAUGACUGGCAAUAUAAAUUUUGCCUGAUGAAUGUAGACACUUAUAGCCCUUAUGUGAAGGACUAUAUCCUAAGAAGACACACUUUGAAGUAUGGAAAUGGAAUUUAUGGUUAUUGUAUUCUCUGAGAAAAGGAAAACAAGAACAUCCAAAUGUUCUUAGAAAGUUAUAGUCUGGUUGAUGAUGAAAGAUUGAUUCAUAUGGAGUUUUCAUUGCUAGAAUAGGUGUUGGUAAUCUGUUAAUGAGAUAGGCUGCUGUAUGAAAAGAAUCCCACCAGAAUUUGAUACGUAAUUUAGCUUGUGCAAGAAGAGUAAGACCUGAUUCAGUAAUGUGUCUGUGUUUCCUUUCUACCAAACCAUUUUGGUUAUGUGUAUAAGGACAAGAGUGUCUAAAUUCUAUCCCUUCUUCUUGAAGAUAUUUGCUAAAGGAUCUGAAUUCCCCUCCCCAGUCAGAUUGAAGACAUUUAAUGGGCUGUUCUAAUUGUUUUUCAACUUGAGCUUUGAAAAUUUUGAACACAUGAAGAGUUUCAUCUUUGGUUUUCAGGGGAAAUAUCCAAGUGAAUCUGGUAAAAUCAUCCACAAAGCUCACAUAAUAUUUAUAACCUUGUGUGGAAACCACUGGAGCUGGUCCCCAUAAAUCAGUAUGUAAAAUGGCUAAAGGUUGUUUUGUUUUUGUUUCAGUUGCUGGAAAGUGUAAUCUAUGCAUUUUCCCAAAUUUACAAGCAUCACAUGAAUCAAACUCUUUAUUUCCAUUGAUAGGUUUGAAAGAGGAACAAGAUUGUAUUACAUGGUUUAAGAUCUUAGAGUUAGGAUGACCUAGCCUCUGAUGUAAUACAGAAGUGCUUAAAAGACACUUAGAGUUCAUACAAGGUUCUGCUGCCACAUUUUGCAAGCAGUGAUUAUUUGACUGACUGAGAUUGACAGUUGAUAGCAUUGACAAAGGAACAAAUGACUGAAAAGAAGACUCAAUAUUUGCAACAUGACCUUGAAAGGAAGACUGAGCAGAAGUUUUAUUUGAGGACACUAAUAGCAAUCUGUACAAGCCUUUUUCAGCCUUGCCCUGCAGUAUGAUCAAAUUCUUCACCUUGUCCUUCACAAAACAAGAUUUGUCAGUAAACUCAACUGUGAUAUUGUUGUCUUUGGUUAGCUGAGAAAUGCUUAUAAGGUUCUUGGUUAUUUGUGGAACUAAAAGUAUAUUGUUUAGUUUAAUCACAGUGGAAUCAGUGCAGUUGUGCAAUCUCAGAACAGCUUUUCCAAUAUUUGUAAUAUUCAAGCCAGUACCAUUACCAAUAAUGAGUUUAGAUGUACCUGUAAAUGAUUCAGAAAUCUGCAUAUUGUUCAUGUCAUUUGUGAGAUGGUGAGUGGCACCACUGUCAAGGUACCAAUUUGUAUCAGAUGAUCCUUCCAUGUUUGCCAGAUAUGCAGAUUUCGGAUUCCUGUUUGGAGGUGGUCUAUAAGCUCCUGAAGCAAUAAAUUCUUCCAGCUUCCAGCAUACAUUAGCUGUGUGGCCUAUUUUGAGACAAACUUGACAUGUAGGCUUAGAAGGAUUCCACUGAGAUUUAGGAUUUCCAGGUGUUUUGCCAUUAUUGACAGCAUUAUUAUUAUUCCAGUUUCCUCCUCCUCCUCCUCCAUAGUUUCCUCUGUAACCAUUAUUUCCAGCACUUCCAACAGCAAAACCAGAUGAUCUAUAAUUUCCUCUGUAACCACUAUUUCCAGAAUUUCCAGCAUUAUUGUAGCCUGUAUUAUAUCCAAGACUACCAAAACCUUUUCCUCCUGAGAAGUUUCCUCUCUUAGGUCCUCUAUUUUGUGCAAAGUUAGCUUCUAAAUUGUGUUUAACAUCCAUAUUAGCAAGCAUAUGAGUUUGUUGAUCAAUCCUAGCCUCUUGAGUUAACAGCAUAGCAUAAGCCUCAUUAACAUUCAUUUUUCCAGUUCCUACUUGUCCAGUGAUGUAAGUAGCAACAGAAUUAUAAUCAGGACCUAGACCAGAGAGUACAUGUAAAAUCAAAUCAUCAUUGCUUAAUGCACUUCCUGCUGCAGCCAUGUUAUCAGCAAUAGAUUUCAUUUUAAUGAAGUAUUCAGUCAUUUUAAGAUCAUCCUUUCUAGUGGAAUUCAUCAAAUAUCUCAAAUGUAAUAACCUAGACUUUGAUUGAGAUCCAAAUUGAGUUUCAACAGCUUUCCAUACCUCCAAUGAAGUCUCAAGAUUGAACACCAAACUGAUGAUACCUUCACUCAUGGAUGAAAGAAGCCAACCGAGAAGUAUUUGAUCUUGUGCUCUCCAGGUUGCAAAUUCUGGAUUCUCCACAGAUCUAAGCUCAUCAUCAUAUCUCUGAGCAAUAUGAGAAGGAGGUGGAGUGAUUGACUCAUCGAUAAAUUUCUCAAGUCUAUUUCCUCGAAUUGAAGCAAGCACUUGAGAUCUCCAGAUCAAAUAGUUUGAUUGAUCAAGUUUAACGGGAGUAUUGAAAGUGAAAUUGACUGUUGUUGAAUGUGCAGCGGUAUUAUGAACUUGAUUUAAGGAAGAGGCAAGAUUCACAGAUGCCAUUGUGGCUCUGAUACCAACUAAGAAAUCAGAAAAAAGGAUGUUUGGAAGCUGAGAAAAUUUAAGAACUGAAAGCUUUUAGCUCACACGAUUUUAUUCAUCUAAAACUUACUUAUGAAACUAUACACAGAGAUGCUUAUAUACACAACUGAUGCUCAGCUCAAUUAGUUAACUAAUUACAAAACUAAUUCUAGCUAGCUAUAACAACUUCAACUAAUUAUCACGUGAACAAGUGAUUACAUAACCACCAGGUGCCAGCUGGCAUGCCAUGUCAUCAACUCUUAACUGUAAGCUGGAGCUGCUGCUAUCCUCUGCUUUACAGUCUAUGCUACUGAUGUGUGCUUCCUUAACAGCCUCCAAACCAAGACUCCCCCAUAUAUCAUCCAAGAUUAUAAGGAUCUUCGUCUCUUUCUUCAAUCUUUCAAGCAGCCUCCCUGCUCUUCCAGUUUCACUCUCUUCAUCUAUUUUCAGGCCCAGCUUCUCUGCAAUUUCUCUUUGUAUUCCUUUUAUUUGCGGUGUUCGGGAUACAUGUGCAGAAAUGACCUUCUCGAAUAGAUUAUAUUCCUUGGCCUGCCUGCCAACUUCUUUCACCAGCGUUGUCUUUCCAAUGCCACCCAUGCCGCACACCCCAAUCAUGUUGAAGUUACGGUUGCUGAGUGCGUCCAGUAUCUCCUUCAAAGUGGAAGUUCUCGAUUCAAAGUGCAUGAAACCCUGGGUAGAGUUAAGCCAUGUCUCCUCUGGAAUGGUACGGAAAGAAACACCGUCGAAUCUUCAUUUUUCAAGAAGUCCAGCAAUAGCAUUCGCUUCACUUUCUGCUUUCAUGCUAAGCUGGUACCGGGUCUUCAAAUUAGGACACAACCCCUUCAACCACCGGUUGUUUGAAUUCUCUUUGUCUGCAAUAAGUGUUUCGACUUCAUUGAUGGCCUUGUCCACAGUAAUCAUCCACUCCUCAACGUGAUGUUGAAUUCCGUCCCCUUUAAUUCUGGAAUCAUCAACCUUAUACCGCACACUCUCUCUAGCAUUCUUGAGCUUAUCAACUUCAUUAUUCAGCUUCUCGAAGUUGGUGUUGUAAGUGCAGUAGUAAGUAAAUGGAUGAAUAAUGGGAUCAACCAAGUACUCUGCAACUUUCGCAACUGCGGAGGUAGCAAUAUCCAUUAUCCCUUUCUUUUUUUUAUUUUUCGCUUUCAGAAUACAGGGGAAAGCAAAACUAAUCAAACUAAGCAGAACUAAUCAAUCAGCUGGGAAGAGGGAAAUAAGAAGUUCCGAUAAAUUGCUAAAAUAAGAAGUUGAAUAGAUUUAAGGGAGGAGGAGAGGAAAAGAGUGAAAAAUCUAGAGAUGAAACAAAGGGGGAUCCAUUUUCUGCUAAGACAAAUUGAAAAGCGAGUACAAUAAAUGAAAGAUUUGCAAAGAAGGUGUAGGAUCGAGGACAAGAACGAUUCAAAAAAGGGAGACAGAAAAUGAAGAAGAGAUUUCAGAGGACUCUAGAGAUUAGAGAAGAGGGAUGAUUAGGAAAAUGCAGAGGCAGACAGUUGUCAUCUCAAGUCUCAAGGGUAAUCUGAACUUUAUGAUUUUUUAUUUUUUCAAGAAAUAGAUGUACAAAUAAAAUGAAAAAAAAAAAAAAAAAAACCUGUUGUGUGGUCGUGUGGGUUCCUCGAAAUCACUUCGGCAUUUAAUCGAACGGUUGGAUGUACUCAGCAUCUACACUUGCACGAAGGUUCCUGGAAGUUGCGAGUGCUGCCGGCAUUUUCAAACUCGGAAGGUUUCAAUAAUUCUUUUUCUUUGAAAGAAAGGUUUCAAUAAUUAGCUUUGAUAAUUGUGUAAUAUACGAUAAUCUAGUGAUGAUGAUGACUUAUUUAUGUGAUUAAAAGCUAAGCUGGUGGAUUUGUAAGUAAGAACACACGAGCAACCAUUUUUGUUGAUGCGGGAUUCCGGUUCUCCUCGUUCUACGACCAGGAUCUCUGCCCGAUCAACUUCUUCACGACCAGGAGGUCUCCUCGUGAGGCUUCUUCUCCAGAGGUUCCUGCGCACACAGACAAGUCAGAGUACGCCGGUUGUUUUCCCGGCGCAAACCCUCCGACGCUCAAGUCAGAUAUGAAGGUUCGGGGAAUGCUUGCCACAGAUCUUAUGGCUUUUUCGUGGUUUUCUCUUCUUUUGAAUUUCUUUUCUAAUCUCAAAAAUGCUAACCCUUUUACCUUCGUUGGCUACCUUUUUAUAGGCUUCCCCCGAAUCCUAGUUUUCCGCUUUUUUCGAGACGGUAUGGGACUCUGACUGCUGCGUUAUGGGCAAACGUGGGAUCUUGCGUGUUACGCCACGGUUCUGGGGAAAGCGUGGCUGUCGUGGUUCUGUGAGAUCUUGCGUGUUACGCCACGGUUCUGGGGAAAGCGUGGCUGUCGUGGUUCUGUGAGAUCUUGCGUGUUACGCCACGGUUCUGGGGAAAGCGUGGCUGUCGUGCCUAGAUUCUCGGGCUGGAGAGCAUGUCUUGCCAACUGCCGUCGACCGGGUCUCCUCGCCUCUCGACCUCUAGCCGGAAUGGCCUUAUGCCUCUUACAGGAAAUUGGCCUCGCGGAUGACGUGCUCGUGGACGAGCAGGAUAUUUCUGCUCCUGUUCCCCCGCGCACCAGGCUUUUACGGAACACACCGGUUCGCAGAACUCUGCCAUCAGAUAUCUGCUCACCAUGCCUGGUCUCGUCGACGUAUUUCUCCCAAACACCGGUGACGUAUUUCUCCCAAACAAUUUUUAUCUUCUUAUUGCCACAUUCUUCUAAUCAAUUUGCUUUCACCAACAAAAAUAAUUAAUAAUUUGUAAAUAGUUGGAUCUUAAGCUCAAAUUUUGACAAUACAUGAAUGAUAAUGUAUACUUAUUUUUCAAGGGUAAACUCUAUUCAAGAGAGGAUCUCAAUUUUCUAUUAGUUUCUUCAAAUGGGCAUUUUAUCCAACAGUUGAUGAACUCGAAAACUUACACGAAGGUUCCAGGGAGUUGCAAGUGCCGCCGGCAUUUUUCAAGUAAUCAAGUGAUUAACUUUGAUGUGUAAUAAAUAACUUUGAUUAUUGAGUAAUAUAUGAUAAUCAAGUGAUUUUAAUAUGUAAACGGUAGGAUUUUGGGCUCAUAUCUUUAAAUUAAAAUCAUGAUCAUUUUAUCAUUAAACUCGAACUCUAUCUUGAUUAAUAAACAAUUGAGGAUUUUUCAGGAAUAAAUCUUCAAGAAACUAAAUAUGCUUGGCCUAAUGGAAGUUAUUAAAAUGUCAAAAUUAAACCCUUUUAAAUAUAUUAGGGAUUGUAAAGAAUUUCGGAUAGAUUUGAGUGUUACUGAUAUCAAUUGAGGAUAAUGGGGUGAUAAAUUUAUGGAGGAAACUACCAAAAUCUCUCUGUUGUUCUGCGAAAUUGACUAUUUCUUCUUUCUCGUUUUCCUUCAAAAUUUCGCUUACGUACAUGGAUAAAAUAUUUCAUUUUUCAACAGGUGAUGUAAGAUAAUUUUACCUUUUUAAUUUUCCUUGGGAAUUUUAUAUCUAAAUCAUGUUAAAGUGGACCAAAAAGACAAAACAUAGAAAGCGACAAUCCAACAACUAGGUAAAUUUAUUGGGAAACACUAUUUCUGCUAAUUGAAGAAAAUCAAGAAAUGCUGAUUCCGUCAUGCUUAGUUUCAUAAUCAUUAAUAUGCUUUUAUACGAAUCCUUGUUUUUGAAUAUAAUAAUGGUUUAAGAAAUGCAUACCUGUUAGUUCUCCAUUUCUUGACUCCGAGGAAAAUUUGACUUGACAGAUGAAGCAAUGUUAUAAGAGGUUUCAUACACAGCUUCUACGCGAUCACUACCAUGCUUACAUGUAAAACGUUGCUGCCAUGUCAUCAUACUGGACAGACCUUCAGAGGUUACUCUUCGAAGCGUUUCAUUAUGCCACGUGUACUUGGUUAUUUGACUAAUCACGGUUCACAAGUUGAGUGAGUUACUCACCACACCACCUUCCUGCUGCAAAGAAUUUUAAUUGAACUUUGACUUGGUCAGAAACUCAGAAUGAGUGGUGCACGUGAUGCAUACACGUGAGGACCCAAAUGACGAAUUCCAAACGCUGAGUGAUGUACGUGUGAACUAAAUGUUUUCAUUUUAAUACCAGCGGCAAUCACGUACACGUUUAAUGAUUUGAUUAAAUUUGUGUUUAGUUCUAUAAAUGAUUUCAGUCAUUGUUAUGAUUUUUUUGGGUUGACUCGACGGAGCAACUAAUAAUUUCCCAGUUCUGCUACUAAAUUUAUUUCCCACGAUUUGAUUAAACAGAGCUCCACUAAAACUUCAAUUCAUUUCACUAUUGUAAUAGAGGUUUCAUUCACGUUGAAUACCCAGAAUAAUUACUGAUAGUUAUAUAUGGAAUGCUACUUCAAUGUAGCUUACUGCCGCAAUAAUACUCAAUGACUUUCGAUGACAAAAAAAUUUAUCAUUAGAAUGACUGUAAGUUCAUCUAAUGCCGAGUUUCAUCAUUAACUACCAAAAUACUCCAGAAAUCCAAUACAUUUAACUAAACACAAAUUUAAUCAAAUCGUUAGACACUCAACCUGAAAGUGGAUUCGAAGUAAUAUUAAUGAAAACAAAGAAACAGGGGGACCCUCUUGAUCGCCAACGCCAUCUUACCCUUGAUAAAGAGAAAGAAGUCAAGCUCCAUAUAAUAUAAUGCCUCACAAAUUAUACAGAAAAAAAUGGCCUCAUUUCAGAUGCUACAUAGAUGGUUUUCAUGAAUCCUCGUUUUGUGUGAUGAUUUUUUUUUUUUUUUGACAUUUAAUAGAGUAUACAAAAUAAAAAUAAAAAUUUAAAAUUUACUAGAUGAGCCAAUAAAGUAUAGUAGUGUUCAGAAAUUUUUUUUUUUCUAGAAUGUAAAUAACCCACCCAAAGUAAUUUUAUCUUAUUAGACUGAGGUUCUCCCCCCUCCCCCACAAAAAAAAAAAAGCUGCUUCUUGGUUUUUAAUGCAAACACGAUUACACGAAGAGCUUUCGUUAAUAGUGCUUUUAGAUUGGAUUUCUAUGUUAAAAUAUAAAUCAGUUUUAGAACACUAAAUUGAGGGAGAAUGUUGGAUUUGAUCUUAUUGUAGGCAACUUCAAGAGUGUAAGAAACUGCUCCUGGAGCGUGCUAUUACAUGUUUUGUUUGUGGAAAAUGAUAUUUGUGCUGUCAAUUUUAUGCUGCAAUGGCACUAUAGCAUAAGCAAUACCCAUAUUUCUGCAUGUCUUCCGAAUAUCUUGCAGCUGUUCAAAUAACAAUGCUCUUUGUUUGCCUACAAACCUCUAUUUUCUGUCAACAUAAUCGAGGUAGCAACCCGCUAAUAAUUUUGUAAAUUGAGCCUGGAUGAAAAAUUGAUGAAUGUGUGGGUGAGAAUAAUCAUUACUCAAAUCUUUCACUGAUGUCCUAAAUGAUUUCUCCUUCUAUAGAUUACAGUGGUUGGUUAUAAUCACAAAUUGAGGAUCUUGCUGGAAGCUGUUGUUCAAAAAAUUGCAGAAUUCAAAGUGAAACCAAACAGAACACUUAUUUCUGUUCGAAUAGCCGCCGUAAAGUUUGAAUUGGGCAAUUUUUUGGACAAUAUGUUUCCAGCAAGAUCCUCAAAUUUGUGAUUAGAACCAACCAGUGUAGCCUAUGGAAGCAAAAACAACCAUUUAGGAGAUUAGUGAGAGACUUGAGUAGUGAUCUAGUUCCGCACUGGUCUCAGCCUUCUCUUCAGUCUCUUGCUCUUUUGCUUUCGUCUCAGAAACUCCGCGCUGAAUGCCCGUACUUUCACUCUUCCGCUUCUCUGUUUCUGCCUUGAUAUCAUCAAAGAUGGCAUUAAUCGUAGAAUAAGCAGAUAACAAUCUAAAGUGAAGGAGGCCAAAGGAAAGUGAGAUUAAAAAACAAACAGAAGCGAGGGUUUUUUUCAGACGAAAACGGAAACAAGAAAAGGACCAAUUCGAAGAGCUGACAGAACGGAUGACUGAAUAAGAAGUGAGUUGAUUAUUUUAUACAGCCAAUUCAUGUAAUGACAGAUCUGGUUUCGAUCUUUGUAAUUUAAAUGUAUUAUCAGUACGAGGUGAAGGACUUUUUUGUCGACUCAGUCCAACACAAAUUCAAAUUACUAAAGCAACGUGAUACUGGUUUUGAUCUCUGUAAAUUAAGCACAUCAAUACGAGGUGACUCUCACAAGACUUUUGAUGUGCUAUUGCCAGUCAAAUAUGAGACGAAAUCUGAAUAGACUCACUUAGUUGUGUUAUUAUUUAGGAGGUCGAGUCCAGAUAACAUCCAGCUCACUUGCUUUCUCAAUGACCAACAUUUUGUGAGCCAAGCGUUCGACUUCAAACCACUUAGUGCCUGUUUGGUAUGGCUUAUUUAAGAGCCAUAAGUGCUUAUUUAAUCGUAUAAGCACUUUUUAAAAUUUUUUAUGGUGUUUGGUUAUUUUUUUAGUAGAGUUUUUUUAGCUUAAAUAAGCUAAUUUACCUCUACUAACAAAAGCCCAAAAUUUGAGCUUUUGGGAGUAGAGGUUAUAAAGCUUUUCUAAAAAUAUCUAAUAUAAAAAAUAUCACACAAUUUAAUGGUUCAAAAGUACUUUUUUUAUUGACAACCAAACACCCAAUGACUUUUUGUCCAAAAGCUCUAUUGGUAUAAGCUCUAGUGCUAUAAGCUCUACUGUUAUAAGCUUUACUGUUAUAAGCUCUAUUUAAUAAGCUGUACCAAACGGAGCCUUAAUCUGAUUAGAUGAAUUUUCAAGCCGAAAAACAUGCUUUAAUUAAAAACAGAGACAGCAGGUGCCCUGUACUCAGGAUCCGAUCAUACAUAUACAAAGAAUAUCUGCUAUUAAGAAUUUCACAUCUCAAGUAGUUGAAAUUUAGUUUCGAAAGAAAAGAAUGGAAUAAUUGAUAAUAACAAUAAAUUACUAUAUCGCAUGCAUGUUCAGGUGACUUAAUUUGCAUUUACUCUUGCAAUGCCUGACGUGCGCACGUGAUCACAAAAAUAAACUUGAAUAGAAUCUCUCACAUUCACCAGAAAAUUGUUGCACAUAAUAAUAAUACAAGGGAUGCACAGAAAUGGUAAGUUCACACAUCUUUAGUUAAGAUGAUCAAAUGAAGGAAUUGCACACCUAUUUUUACGCUUCCAAAGCUGUAGCGACAGCGUGUAAGUUAAAAUACAAUUGAGGGUGCGUUUGGGAUUGAGGUUGGGCAGCUGUAGCUUAAAAGCUACAGCACUAAAAUGUUUGGUAAACACUAGCUGCUGUAGCUUUUAAGCUAUGUUGAUAUGAUUUUUCACUUGUAUAAUAUAAAAUUUAUUAUAUCUUUAAUAAUUUUAUCAAAAUUAUUAUUUAAAAUUUAUAUUUACUAUAUAUUAUUAACUUUUGUUUCAUAAUUACAGCUUUUUUUUCACAGCAACUGUAGCUUAAAAGCUACAGCACCUCAAUCCCAAACGCACCCUGAAACUAGUUUAGUCGAAGCUCUCAACAUGUGAUGUUUCGCAGAACGAAUACCAGUUUCAGAGAAAUAUUAUCUAAUUUUACACACCUUUCACGGAAUACCAAAAAAUAAAUGAUCAAAUAAAAGAUUACUACAAAAAUACAUUCCUAUCAAUCAUCAUAUAAUUUCAAACUAUAUCUAUUUUUUUUUUUUAGGUUAAUCGAAGGUUCCUGGAAGUUGCAAGUCCCUGCCGGUGUCAAAGGGAAGGUACCAAUCUCGUGUUCGUCCUUCCAAUGUCAAAGGGAAUACUCUGCACCUCUACGCUGGUGUUAGCCCCUGCACUCCAGUCAUGUCGUUGAAGUGCUCGACGUGCACCAGCGGACCACUUUUUCCUGAGUAUUUGAGGUCGAGAAAAUGAAAAUUUCUUGGCAUCAUAGUGCCCAUGAUUUCAGCUGAAAGCCGAGAUUAAUCAUCCAGCAUUAUUCUCCAACUGAGGGGCUUUCUCCUACCCUGCAUUUCGUCUAUUAUUUGUGCCAAUCACCAUACUUCUCCCUCCAGUUCCAAGGCUCGAGCAUGUGCUGCCUGAGCUCCCUUUUUUCGGUAUUCGCUCCUCUGCUACAACUUCCUAAGAUUCGUCCGUUGUGUAAUUGAUCUCUCCCUUCAUGCUCACAUUCUCUCAAAGUAUGAGUUCCAACUCCAUUGUUAGGCACCCCAUUGAGUUGUCCCCCUUAUUGAAGGGAUCUCCUCAUUUCUAUUCCUCCGAUGACUGGGCUUUGUGGCUGUUAAAGAUAUAAAUGUAAAGAAUAUUCUUGUAAUGGUUUUGCUGAUGUGGCAGCUGAGUAAGCAAGGUUGUUAUUGUUAGUUUGUAAGUUUGUUAUAGAGCUGGGAAAGUUAGUUAAUCACAACUUAUUCUUUACACGUGUGUGAGCAAAUGUAGAAGGUUCUGGAUCUCAGUAUAUAAGCUCACUUUCUAUACUCAUAAUUAGUUGAAUAAGAUUUGAUCUGUUUUUCUUAUAUUUUCUCUUAAUGCUCAUUAAAUUUUCCCUCACUUUCUCUGCAACCAAACAAGCACAAAUAACUUGAUUAAACUUCAAUUUGGUAUCAGAGCUAGAUUUAGUCUAAUCUCGUGGCGUUAUCACGCUUGAACACAAACAUCUCAUCUUCAGCCACAACCUUUACCUUCACACCUCCAAUAAAACUUGACUGAUCAAAUUACUUAAUCUGGAAAUCUCAAAUCCUAUCUUCAGUUCGAGCAAAUGAACUUGAAAGUUUGCUUGAUGGAUCCAGAAUCUGUCCAGAUCAAUUUCUCUCAAGCACUCAAGGAAAUGCAGAUGCUAUCUUCAAUGCUUCUGUAAGUUCAAUUGUUGCUUCACGAGAGAAUCCUGAGUUUGCUGUGUGGAGAAAGCAAGAUCAGAUGUUACUGAGCUGGCUGUUAUCCUCCAUCAGCGUUGAAAUCCUCAGUCUUGUGGUAAACUCUAAAACUUCCUAUGAACUGUGGUCUAGUUUAGAGCAACAAUUUGGAUCUGAAACUGUUGCUAAGAAAGUUCAUCUCAAAAUGAUGUUGAAUAAUUUGAAGAAAGGAUCUAUGACUAUGACAUAAUAUUUUAGUAAGUUGAAGUCAGUUACUGAUGAGCUUGCUAUUGCUGGAAGUCCUGUUAGUUCUUUGGAUUUUAUAACUCAUCUCAUCUCUGGAUUAGGUCAGCCUUAUUAUCCAGUAGUUGUGUAUAUUGAAGCAAAUGUUCUAAAAAUGAUUAUUAAUGAGGCUUAUUCAAUGUUGUUGACACAUGAGGCACGUUUAGAAAGUAAUCAAUCUAAUGCUUUCAAGGAAGUGAAACACAACUAUGCUGCUAACUUAGCUCAGGCUGGAAACAAUCAAAAGAAAAUUAAUAAUCAGGGAGGCUAGAAUAACAAUAAUCAAGGAGGCUGGAAUGGAAACACUGGAAACAAAACUGGAUUUAAUAACUAGAAUGGAAAUUUUACAAACAGAGGAGGUUUCAAUCCAGGAAGGGGGCAAAAUUCAGGCAGAGGACAAUGGACUAAUAACUGGAAUAACUGGAAUGGAAAUCAAGGUAGAGAUAAUUUUGCUGGUGCUGUUGGAAAUUUUUCUGGUGGAUUUCCUAGUGGUUUUAAUGGAUUUGGAAGAGGAGGAGGCAGAGGAAGUAUUGUUUGUCAGAUUUGUUUCAAGCACAAUCAUACUGCAGCUGAUUGUAAAGACAGAUUUAACAAAAACUUUGUUCCAAAUUUUUCUGUGCAAGGAAAUUUUCCAGGUCAGAAUCAAACUUCCAGAGUUGCUUUCACGGCUACAUCAGAAGGAGUUGCUGACCAAGGAUGGUAUCUAGAUAGUGGAGCAACACAUCAUCUUACAAACAAUGUAGAGAACUUAGCUGAAGGUAAACCUUAUUUUGGAUCUCAGUUGCUGUUAGUUGGUAAUGGACAAGGUCUUAGAAUCACUUACAUAGGCAAUAUAUGUCUCUUUAUAUCCUUAGGUAAUCAGUUAAACCUUUCUAAUGUUAUGUGUGUUCCCAAAAUUACCAAAAAUCUCAUUAACUUGUCUAAACUUCUCUCUGACAAUCAUAUAACCAUUGAAUUUGUUUCUAAUCUUUGUUUCAUUAAGGACAAGAUGCAAGGAACUUUGCUGGCACAGGGAAUUGCUGAAGAUGGUCUCUUUAAGCUAUUGCCUCAAGAUACACCUAUUCCUGAUUCUAAAGCUUCGGGUUUAAAACCUAGUUCAAUGUUGUCUGUUUUUUCAAAUAAAGAGAUUUUACACUCUUUGAAAGAGUUGAAUAACCAAACAAAUGUCUGUUCCAAUUUGAUCAAUUCUAAUAAUGAGAAUUCUGUCAGUUUUUUAGCUUCUAGUAGUGAGUCUAUGCAGUUGUUGCAUAAUAGGUUUGGUCAUCCAACCAAACAUGUUUUGCAAACAAUAAUGAUAAGUCUCCCCAUGCAUUCAAUCCAUUCUCAAUCUCUUAACUUUUGUGAUGCUUGUCAAUAUGGCAAAUUACAUCAAUUUCAUUUUCCAGUCACUGAUAUAAAAUCAAAAUUCCCUUUCCAACUCUUAUAUGCUGACUUAUGGGGUCCAGCUUCUGUGUUGUCCAUGGAUGGAUACAAGUACUAUAUUUCCUUUGUUGAUGAUUUCACAAGAUAUUGUUGAAUAUUUCCACUCACACUUAAAUAUGAGGCAUUUGAAACCUUCAAACACUUCAAGUCCCUUGUAGAAAAACAAUUUUCUUUAUCCAUCCAAACACUACAAACUGAUAUGGGGGGUGAGUUUAUAGCUUUCAAAUCAUUUCUACAAUAAGAAGGUAUUCAGUUUAGAUAUAGUUGCCCCCAUACUCACCAUCCAAAUGGUGUAAUUGAAAGGAAGCAUAAGCAUAUUGAUGAAACUGGACUCACACUCUUAGCUCAAGCUCACUUACCUCUCUCUUUUUAGUGGGAAGCUUUUCAUACAGCCACCUACUUAAUUAAUAGAAUGCCAACACCUAUUCUCAACAAUUUCUCUCCUUUUUAGAAACUAUACAAUCAGCUUCCAGAUUACAAAUUUCCUAAAGUGUUUGGUUGCUCAUGUUUUCCUUUUCUUCGACCUUAUAAUCAUCACAAGCUAGAUUUUCAUACUAAAAAAUGUGUCUUCAUUGGUUACAGUCCCAUUCACAAGGGCUACAAGUGUCUUGAUUGAACUGGGAAAGUUUUUGUUGCCAGACAUGUUACCUUCAAUGAACUGGAAUUUCCGUAUUCUGAACUGUUUUUGAAAAACAAGUCAAACAUAUUCUCUCAUUCUGAUAUCUCCACUCCAUCUUCAGUUCAUUUCUUUCUUCCUCAAACACCUAUUCUCAGUAAUAGUAGCAAUGAAGAGCCAUGAGCUGCAGUCUCCAGUCCUGCUUUGUCUUCUGCAUCAGAGUCUCAUUCCUUGCAAAAUUAUGUUCAUUCACAAUCCCUUGAUCUAUCUUCAAGACCUUCAAAUUCUUCUCAACCAGUACUCUCUACUCAUCAUAUGGUUACCAGAUCUAAAGCUGGUAUCUACAAACCCAAAACCUAUCUAGCUGUUUCUCAAGACCUUGAACCAUCCAAUGUCAAAACGGCAUUGGCAGAUCCUAGGUGGUACUCAGCUAUGAAAGAAGAAUUUGAAGCUCCCCAAAGAAAUCAAACUUGGUCAUUAGUGCAACAUCAUCCGUUGUCGCAUUUGCAUCAUAAGCCCUUCUUUGCUCGUUCCUUAACUCAUGUAAGAUGGCGGUGAGGGUCUCCAUCUGCCUCUCCAUACACUUUAUUCGCUCAUGCAUCACUCUUUCCCGUGCCUCAUUUACCAUCUCUCUUAGAGUGAUCGUCUCACUGGUCUCAUGCUUGUCUCCUUGGGCACUAUUCCUUCCUAUAUCCAUGUCCACACGCCUGCUUUUCCCUAUGAGUUGCUUUGCUAGUGGUAGCUUUUUGUUCAACUCCCCACAGACGAUGCCAAAAUGUUGAUGCUGAAAUAUGGUCGUACGUGGAAGGGUAACCAGGUUGUCUCGUCAACGCUUAAGUUUGCUCUGGGUGAGGCGCGAAGCUGCUUGUUCUCUCUCCAAUCAAAUGGGUUUAAUGACCUCAACUAACCUUGCUCCUUCUCUUCUGACCUGUACUCACACGAUUAGAUCAAAGGUGCCGGCGGUUUUUCCAGCGAGAACUCUCCAAUACUUAAGUUAGUAUGCAGGGUUUCGGAAAAAAAAAAAACGUUGAAUUAUCAAUCUAUCAAAACUAACAAUUCUUAAAUGAAGGAAGUGUUUCAGAAAGCUUUUUGGAAAUAAGUUCUAGAUCCAAAAUGGCAGAGUUUUCCCCCAUUUUUCCUUUUUUUUUCUUUUUUCCUUUUGUUAUUUUUUUUGGGUUUUUAUAGGCAGCCUCCCCAUGUAUCUAGAACAUCCCCACGUCUUCCAUAUUCGGGCCUUCAUGGGUUUAGAGGAUUUGUGAAAAUCGUGCAUCCGUUAUCGUGCCUUUUCCCGCAUGGUCGGGAAAUGGCGAAACCGUCGCCUAGAUAUGGUAUUGUAUCUGAUAUUUAAGGAAUAGUUCUCUGGUCGACUUUUAGCCAUACAUCAAAGAGGACCCUAGUACUAUUGUGUCUGCUCAUAAUACACCGACCCGAGGAGAUUCUUACCUCGACCAGGCGAAAGCAUGUGUGGCUGGUGCUCUGGUAGUAUAAUCACCCUAACAAAGACGAUUGAGUAUGUUGAUUGAGAUGGAGAAAGACUUGCAGAGUUGGGAGAUGUGCGUCGGCCCAAUGGUAACCGAUUAUUUGAUUUGUACAGCGGCAUUCACUGACUUUAUAUUUUUAAAAAAUUAAGUCAGCAGAACUAAAUGAACUGAGGUAGUGUGUUCGAUUAUAUUAAUUUCUUUUUCUUUUUCAUUGAAAUGAACGCAAAGAGUGGACGAAGAAUUAAAAAAACUUGCGCGAAAUGUGAGGUGAUGAUAAGAGUGAGAAUCCCAAAAUCGGAUCAUAAGUAGACCAAUAGAUUAUCCCACCAUCCAUAGAUUUCAUGAUGGGAUUCGUUUAUUCCAUCACGGAACCGAGCACCAGUAGAUUGUGCCACUGGCCACAACCUCAGCUCCCACGCAAAAGCUUAUCUCAUAUUUGAACAGUUGGCCCACUCCUUGAGUCGUUGGCUUUUCAGUCAACAAAAUAUCACAGAAAACUAAUUAAGGCCAAAAGUUAAAACGAAGAGGCCCCAUCCACCCAUGUGCUUCUAAUUAUAGAAUCUUCACCUAAUUUUCAAGAUUGAUAUUUGAAAUAAAAUUUGAUUAAAAAUUGACAAAAAUAUACUUAAAAUAAUGUCAUUUUAGGUGAAUUUUUUUUUCUAAAUUAGAACCAGAACGAUAUCAUUUUCAAUUUAUAUUUUUUAAAAUUCAAUUUUGUGCCUUAUUUUAGUCUUCCAAUCAUUUUUCAAAUUUCAAACAAAUGAUUCUUAUCUUAUUCAAUCUUUACCUUUUCCUUUUCUCAAAAGUAAACGAAAAUGAAAUAAAAAAGGUUAAAAAAAAAUAGUAAAUGAUGAGACUCGGAUCGGGUGGCUCGCAACUUGGAUGAAGAUUCCUGACAGUUGCUAAUGCCGUCCACAUCUUCCAACCUGCAAUUUGGAAGACCGUUCAAGCUUUCUACAGUAGCUUUUAAUUAAUGACGAUUAAGUUUUGAUUAUUUGACGUUCUUCGUAAAAUGAGAGUAUUUUGAGGUAAUUGAUCAAAUGAAAGAUUACCAUUCAUGAUCUAAUUCCCUAAAUAAUAAAAACACUUGGUCUCAGCUGACUUGCUUCAAAUCAUUAAAUAAUUCUUUUACUUGCUAUUAUUGUUCAUAAAAUAUAUACAAAAUUAGAGCUUGUGUGACUUUUUUUUAGGGUGAAAAUAUUUCUAACUCACACGCUUUACAAAAACUGAAGCCUUUCUUCUUCUUUUUCUCUUCCCCCCCCCCCCCCCCCCCCCCCCUUUCUUAAAUGACAAUUAUUGCAUAAUUGUGAACGAUUGCAUAUUUAAGCCUAAUUUCUUAAUGAUCUAGGUUACGAGUGUAGUAUAUAUACUAGAAUUUAAUAAUGAUGAUCUAUUAUUGAAAUAUAACAAUGGACUUUAGAUAAUAGGAAGAAAGCCCAUUUAUUACAUUAAUACAUUAUAUCAGUGAGAUGAUGCUAAUUUAAUGAAACUCAUGUCCCAAGUUAGGAACAGCUACAUGGGCAUUUCAUCGAACAGUUGAUAUGCUUGGCAGAUAAUCGAAUUUUCCUGGAAGUUGCAAGUGCUGCCGGCAUUUUCAAAAUUGGAAGACCAUUCAAAGGUUUUCAAUAAUUAGCUUUGAUAUUACACGUGUGAUAAUCUUGUGAUGAUGAUGAUUUUAUGUAUCUAAUUAUAAGCUAAGCUUAGUGGAUUUGUAAGUAAGCACACGGCAAAGUAUUUAACCUUCUUAUUGUCGCAUUCUUCUAAUCAAUUAGCUUUCACCAACAAAAAUAAUUAAUAAUAAUGUAAAUGGAGGAACUUGGGAUCAUUAACCAGGGAGGAUCCACAUGUUGUCUACAGUGAGCAAUUGACCAGUAAACUUUUAUUUUUCCAUAAUUUUCUAUAUAAAAUCUUCAUAUUUUCAUGAAAUUACAUAAUUUCUUAUAUAAUUGUCUCCAAAAAAUACCAAUAGGUGCACGAACACAAAUAUGAUGCACACAUCUCUUUAAUUAAUUUAGGGCUUAAAGAGAUUUUAAGAUGACUACAAAUUGAAUAUGGCAGAUCUUGGACACCAUCCAUAAGAAAUAAAACUAGUCUCAAAUUGGAUUUCUGAGUACUCAAACAAAGCUAAAAGAAAGAUAAUGAAUGAAAACUGAAACAAAAAAAUCCUCUCACCAACACCAUAUGACUCUUGAUAUAUAGAAAGAACUUGAGCUCGAGCCUUAUCCAAAAUGCUGCACAAGUAGCGGAAAUCCUCUUUAGAAGCUUGGACUAUCUGUAAACAAAGAGUAAAAACACAUUGAAGGUGCAGUUUUCACAUAAUUUAAUUGCACAAAUUAGCCUCUAUUAAGGACACAAAAUCUUUUAAUUCUCUCUGUAAGCAAUUAAUUUCUUUUUUUAUUUUUCGCUAUGUCUGUCUAACAACUAAUCCUCAACAUAACAACAGAGCAGAGUAGUUAUAUUUUAAAAAGAUGUACCAAUAUAAUUUAACAAAAAUUUCAAUAUAAAUAAAACAUUUUUAGUCAGCAAAAUAGAAUCAAAUCAAAACCUCCCAAAUUAUAUAGAUUUUAUCUUACCACUGUUUUUCGCAUCUUUCUCCUUUUCUUUCGCCUUGGCGGACUUCUCUUUCUCUUUUUCCUCCUUUUCCUAAUCAGAUUUAAAAUGAAUUUAUAAAAAAAUUAAUAUGUACUUUUUUCUUUUUACUUCUUUAUAUAUAUCUGUUAUUAAAUCAGUAAUUUUUAGAAAAAAAUAAAUAAAUCAACAUCUCAUGGUGAAUGAAUACUUACCUUUUUUCUUUUAAGAUAUACGUAUUGAAUGGUUGUAUUAAGGUCGCGAUCCCAAGCCCAAAGUUUAUUAUCAAACACGCUCAGCUGCACUUUCUGUAACUUGGGUGUGCUUAAUUCCCCUUCUGAGAAAAUCUUCAUAUUGGGGCAAUUUUUUACCACUAAUGUUUCCAGAGAUGGGAAUUUGAAGUCGCAAUUAUUCCCAGAGCAGCUGAAACUAGUCAGACUUUUUAAGUCCCAAAGCUUCAAUUCCUUUAAUUCGCUGAAAACAAUUUCAUCUUUUGCUGCAUAAUUAUCUCCCUGAUCAUCCUCAUCUGCCACUAUUUCUGUUAUCAUCCUGGAUGAUUGUAUACUCAUUUUUCUCAGUCGCACCAGACUCCUUGCCGUUGAGGAUGUUAGAACGUUGAUCAUUCCACGGCAACCACAUACCUUCAAAGUUGUUAGGUUCUGAAAGGAUGUCGAGGAUGGCACUAGAUUAGUCAAAUUGUUACACAUGAAUAUCUCCAGCUGUUCCAAAUUGUUGGUAUUGGUUGACACUUGUUUGAAAAUCUGCUUCAGUUCACGACGCUGGUUUAUUCCCCUCAUCAUUGCUUUCAUCCCAUUUUCAAGCUUUUCAAAUGAUCUGUACAAAGGCCCAUUGUCCCCUCUUAUAGAGAGAAUUUUGAUGGUGUGAAAUCUAUGGAGGAAAUCGUCAAGUGAUAAAAUAGUACUUGACUCAUCAAGCCCGACAUCUAGAUAUUUAAGUUUGCAAAGCCAGUCUUCUGGAAAUAGGCCUAUGUGCUUUUCAUCAACACUCAAUUCUUCCAAAUUGGGGAACACCUGGGUGAUCAUCAAUCACGAAAAAAGCAAGAUGGAGUUAACACUUCUUUCUUACGAUUUCACAAAUUAAAGUAAAUACAAAGCAUUCCAAUGAUGCAUAUUGAUGGCCGGACAAAUUUAUAUAUAUGCGGAGAGAGCAUGAUUUUCAGCUGUAAAAACAAAGCAUUCCAUUUAAGUAAUGUGUAUUUUCUUCCAUUCUCUCCUCUUAACUCUUGUCCAGUAGAUAGAUUUUCAAAUUUUAUUAGAUUUGUGCAUAAUCUCUAUGAAAAAAGACUUCAAUUAUUCUCAAAUUGCAUUUAAACUUUGAGAUUCUUUUAAUUGAUCCGUUUAUUUGGUUUGAAUUGAAAAUCUUACAAAUUUCUAUAUAUUUAAAAAAAUAUUGGAGUUUUAACUUUUUCUUAAAGCAAAAAUGAAUAAAUAAUAUGAAUUUUAAAAGUUUAAUAAUAUAGUAAGAAGUUGGUAUUUCAUUAAUAUUCAUCCAACUCAAUGGAAUUGGAUAUAUUUACUAUUGUGCAAGAAUGGAUUUUAUUGUACAUAAAGUUUAAUAGAAUAAGAUUUCUUAAUUUGAGUUUUGUCCAUCUUUCUAUAUAUAUUUCAAAAAUAUUAUUUAUGUUACCACGAGAUGACCAAUUUCUACUUCAACAUCAAAAUUGAUAAUCAUUUUGUAUGUAACAAUAUUGUACAAAGGAGUACUAAUUUGGAAAUAGCUCUUGAACGAUUUUCAGGGAAUUAACUAUGGCUUGAAAAACUCUAGAUCUUAUGAGUAUUUUCUUUGUUUGGCUAAUCAAAUGCACUGUCCCUUCCGUGUAUUUAACUAAACAUGUAGACAUAAAAUAAAAAGUAGAGGAAGAAGAAAAACUCUGAUAAUUAAGAGAAAAAAAAAAUUGAACAAGAAGGAAAAAAAUAAUUGUUUACUAUAUAUCUUUUUUUUUUUCAUUCGGUCUAACUGACAUCCAAAAAAAAAAAAAUUAUGUUUGUAAGGAUAUUAUAAAGUAUAAUUAAAUAAACUGAUUUAUAGAACUAACAUUUUGUUACUAAAAGACGAAGUGAUGAGGGCGAGGAAGACAAUAAAACUCUGAACUCUCAAAGUAGAAAUACUUUUCAGUCCGUAAGAAUUGAAAAAUAAUUACAAAAAUCUCGCACGCGUACCUUUUCAAUAUGCAGAUCACCUGUGCAGAAGCUUGUAAGCUGCGGAAGAGAACGAAGCUCAAGUUUCCUUAAUUGAGUGAGUUCAAUCACUUCAGUACCGUUAUUAUUGCUGGAUUCGUCUCCUCUCUGGGCAGCAAAAAUCACUUCCAUAUUUUGGCAACUACUCACUUUGAAGGACUGAAGUUGUUGAAGGCCUCUGCCAAUGACCAAUGGAAAUACUUUUUUCAAUUUAUCACACCCUUCCACCUCUAUGGUCUUUAAUUUGCAAAAAGACUCUGCUGUGAGUGGACCACGACAUAUUUCCUCAAGGUUCCUUAAAUCUUCCAAAAAUAAUGACUCCAACAGGGGGAAUGCAGUCGUCGGAGCUGGCGUACAAUCCAUUGUGUCAACAAGACGAACAAUGUUGCCAUUACGUCGGAUUUCGAGACGCUUCAGAUGUGGAAAACCUUCUCUGCCUAGUUCACAAAGAAUAUUCUUAAUGUCCGGCAAUCCAUCCAAACUUAGGUCUUCAAUACCCUUCAAUUGCAUGAUAUGCCCCUCGUUCAAGCAAAUGUUGUCACCAUUGGUGAGCUUCAGUCUGAAUAUUCUAGAAAUCCCAUAAGAUGGGCCAACCGACCACCAGUCAUAUACUAUCAAUAUCCUGUACCUUCGCAGCAUUUUGAAGAACGACAAGUCACUCGGUAGAUUCCCUGCAUCUUGGAUGAAUAUUUCUAAAGAAGUCAAUUUAGAUAAACGAUUCAACUCAUGAAGGCUGGCAUUUCUUCUUUCAUCGUCGACUUCAUCAACCUUCCCCCACUCAAUGGGACUCUCACCAACAUAUAGUUCUUCUAAUCGGGAUAAGCUCGAUAAGACAUUAGGGGGAAUAACUCUCAGUCGGUAACAUCGGCCCAAAUCCAACAACCUCAAUUGAGUCAGCUCGCCCAUUUCUUCAACUAGUUUCUCCAUAUCAGAACCUCGAAGUGUAAGUAUUUCUAAUUUCUUCAGGUCUCCAAUAAUAGCUAUGUCUCCUAGUAUACAAAAAUCCAGAGACAAUGUUUGAAGGUUUUGUAAGAGACCAAGCGAUGAAGGCAAUGCCGACAAAUGCAUCUUAGAGAAAUCUAAAACUCUAAGCUCUGUCAUCCCGGUAAAAAUGUUAUCUGGAAUUCUCAAAGAAGGAUCAUUGCGAAUAUGAAAGUAUUUAAGUUGCGGACACUCGAACCCUUGAGGAAGCUCACUAAUAUUACUAUUCUUUAAGGAGAUUGCGGUGCAAACCUUCAGUGUAUCCUUAUCUGGCCAGCUGGUCAGCGGAACAACCUCAUUUUCCACCGCAAACACAUGUUGGACCCUAGAUGCAAUUGAUAUGGCAACAUCACGAACAACAUCAUGCAUAGAAAACCUUUCACUAGUAUCGCCAUCAAGCAGCAAGCAAGAGUUCUUGAGUUUAUCAACCAAUGUAUGUGCUCUAUCCCGUGCCUCUUCCAACGUGUUGAUGUUUUGAAACAGACCCAGACCCAUGCCAUAAUAGAUCACGUCUUCAACGCAAGAGAUGAACGAGUACCCUAUUAGCAAAAACGUUUUCCUGAGUUCCUCACCUUCUAAAUGAUAGUAACUCAGCUCUAAACUUGAAUAGGCGGGCCCCAAAAAAGACUUAUUUUUCAAUUGUCGUAAAGCAUCCUUCCAUACAUAGAGACUCGACUUAUUUUUCAAUGCCUUUGCUACGGGUACAAUGGCAAUGGGCAAACCAGCACAUUCCUUGACUAUCUCUGUUGCGACAGAUUUCAGUUCACCAUUUUCUAUGCAAUCACCUGUCAUCUUCUUGAAAAGACUCCAAGCUUCUUUUUCGUUCAGAACAUCAACAAAAAAAUUUUGUUCACAAUCCAUUUUACAAGACAACACAUCUUGACUUCUUGCUGUCAGCAGAACUUUACAUCCGCCGUUAUCAUCUGCCAAUGGAAUUCCAAUGGCCUCCAAAUCAAGACUCCCCCAAAUAUCAUCCAAGAUUAUCAGGAUCUUUGUCUCUUUCUUCAAUCGUUCAAGCAGCCUCCCUGCUCUUACAGUUUCAUGACUCUGUUCAGCCAAUUCUAAGCCUAUCUUCUCUGCGAUUUCUCCUUGUAUUUCUUUUGUUUGCAGUGUUUGGGAAACACGUGAAGAAAUGACCUUCUCAAAGAGAUUAUUUUCCUUGGCCUGUCUGCCAACUUCUUUCACCAGCGUUGUCUUUCCAAUGCCACCCAUCCCGUACACCCCAAUCAUGUUGAAGUUACGGUUGCUGAGUGCGUCUAGUAUCUCCUUCAAGGUGGACUUUCUCGAUUCAAAGUGCAUGAAAUCCUGGGUAGACUUAAGCCAUGUCUCCUCUGGAAUGGUACGGAAGGAAACACUGUCGAAUCUCCCUUUUUCAUGGAGUCCAACUAUAGCAUUCGCUUCUCUUUCUGCUUUCUUGCUAAGCUGGUACCGAGUCUUCAAAUUAGGACACAACCCUUUCAGACACCGGUUGUUUGACUUCUCUUUGUCUUCAAUAAGUGUUUCGACUUCGUUGAUUGCCUCGUCCACAGUAAUCAGCCACUCCUCAACGUGCUGUUGAAUUCCGUCCCCUUUAAUUCUGGAAUCAGCAACCUUAUGUUGCACACUGUCUCUAGCAUUCUUGAGCUUAUCGACUUCAUUAUUCAGCUUCUCGAAGUUGGUCUUGUAAGUGCAGCAGUAAGUAAAUGGAUGAAUUAUGGGAGCAACCAAGUACUCUGCAACUUUUGCAGCAACGGGGAUAACAAUAUCCAUUAUCCCUUUUUUUUUUUUUUUUUUUUUUUUUCUUUCAGAAAACAGGGGAAAGCAAAACUAAUCAAACUGAGCAGAACUAAUCAAUCAGCUGGGAAGAGGGAAAUAAGAAGUUUGGAUAAAUUGCUAAAAUAAGAGGUUGAAUAGAUUUAAGGGAGGAGGAGAGGAAAAGAGUAAAAAAUCUAGAGAUUAAAGAAAGGGGGAUCCUUUUUCUGCCAAGACAAAUUGAAAAGCGAGUGCAAUGAAAGAUUUUCAAAGAAGGUAUAGGAUCGAGGACAAGGAUUAUUAAGAAAAGGGAGACAGAAACUGAAGAAGAGAUUUCAGAGAACUCCAGAGAUUAGAGAAGAGGGAUGAUUAGGAAAAUGCGGAGGCAGGCAGUUGUGAUCUCAAGUCUCAAGGGUCAUCUGAAUAAUGCAAAAAAGCCAAACUAAAUUCAAACAGGGAGAAGACUCGUGCUUCCAAGUCAACUAUAGAUUCUUAAUAACUGAGAUAGAUGGUUAUAGUUGCAUGUAGAUAGUGUCAAAGUUAUAGGUCAAUUGGACAGCGCAAGGUGGCCUUUUGGCAUUUCAUUGAAUUUUCUUGUUACCAGUAAGUGCUAUGCUGCCGUUGCCGGCCUUUAUGAUUUUUUUUUUUGAAUUUUUAUUGAAUUUUCUUGCGCUUUUCUAAUAACUCCGCUAUAAAGCCCAUGUUUCGGGCCUUUAUGAUUUUUUAUUUUUUUUAAGAAAUAGAUAUACAAAUAAAAUGAAAAAAAAAAAAAAAAACCUGUUGCGUGGUCGUGUGGGUCCUCGAAAUCACUUCGGCAUUUAAUGGAGCGGUUGGAUGUACUCAGCAUCUACACUUCCACGAAGGUUCCUGGAAGUUGCGAGUGUUGCCGGCAUUUUCAAACUCGGAAGGUUUCAAGAAUUUUUCUUUUCUUUGAAAUAAAGGUUUCAAUAAUUAGCUUUGAUUAUUAUGUAAUAUACGAUAAUCUAGUGAUGACGACGACUUAUAUAUGUGAUUAAAUGCUAAGCUGGUGGAUUUGUAAGUAAGAACACAAGGCAAAGCAUUUUUAUCUUCUUAUUACCACAUUCUUCUAAUCAAUUUGCUUUCACCAACAAAAAUAAUCAAUAAUUUUAAAUAGUUGGAUCUUAAGCUCAAAUUUUGACAAUACAUGAAUGAUAAUGCAUACUUAUUUUUCAAGUGCAAACUCUAUUCAAGAGAGGAUCUCAAUUUUCUAUUAUAGAAGAUCUAUUCGAGAGAAGAUCAUAGUUAAAGCUUUGCGUUGAUUGGGGAACAUCAAAUACAAACAAAGACCACGCUAAAAGAAAAGCAAAAGCUGGCGAGAUUGAUAAAGAAAGACUAAUAAAGCUUUCCUUAACAGCAUUAAUCAUGAUUAUUUGAUAAACUAGAGGUGAUCACUGACAUUCAUGAGAAAUUUAACGGUAGGAAAAAGAAGUUAAAAAAAAUGGACAUUCGUGGGAAACCGGCCUUGAUGGUUAAUGUGCAACCGGAUGUGAGCAAAAGGUCACGUAGUGAGGGCAUUGUCACAUGGUUGGAGAAAUUGACAGCAUUUUUAAUUGUUGUCAAUGAGGUUGGUGAAGGUAGGAAAAGAACAAAUUUGGGUUAUUCCAUUGUUUUGGGAAAAACAUUGAAAGCGGUGAAAGAAAAUGUCAAUGAAAAUUGGUCGGAGCAGUACAAAGAUCAGUUAUGAAGAAUAUUAGGGAAAUGAAAAACUGAAAAAACAAAAAUCAAGAAAUAUGAAGAGACCAGUGAAGGGGACAUGGCAGAGGCCAAUUUAUAAAAGUAAUUGCAGAGGCGAAUUUGUAGAACUGAAAAUAGGGAGAUGAGUUGUAGGUGGGAAGAUAUGAAAAAUAAUAUACUUAAAAUUAUAUCAUUUUAGGUUAAUUUUUUUAAAAAUAAAACCAAAACCACAUCAUUUUAAAUAUAAUUCUUUAUCAAUUUAUUUUUUUUGUCUCCAAUCAUUUGCUAAACCAUAUCAAACAGGUACUUAUUCAAAUUUUACAUUUUCUGUUCUCAAAAGUAAACGAAAAUGAAAUGAAAAAAAGAAUGAGACUUGGCUCGGGUGGCUAAUGCUGACAGUGGCUAAUGAUGCCGACAUCUUCCAACUUGCAACAACGUUAAAAAUACGUAGCCUUAACUAAUUGCCUAAAUAAUAAAAAUACUUAGCCUCAGCUGACUUGUUCCAAAUCAUUAAAUAAUUCUUUUAAUUAUUAAAUAAGUUUGCUCUUGCUAAAUGCUAAUGGAUACUGAGCAGAAUGUCAAAGACGAAUAACUGCAUUUGGAAUAAAAAUAUUUCGAUAUUAGUUUGAAGGAAAAGUCUAGUAUUAAAUUGUUCUUCAAAUAUGUACAAGCUCAGAUCUUGUAAUUUGUAUGACCUUUUUUCGAAGAUGAGAAUAUUUCUACCUUACACGCUUUAGAAAAACUAGGUGAUAGGAAAAGAGUGUAGGAUAUAAAUUAAAGCUUAAUAAUAUUAUGAUCAAUUACUGAAAUAUUACCAUGGGCACUAGAUGAUAGGAAAAUAGCUCAUUUAUACAUUAAUAGAUUAUAUUAGUGAUAUAAGGACUUUUAAUCAAACUCAUGCCCCAAGUUGGGAACAGCUAAACGGGCAUUUCAUCGAACAGUUGAUAUUUGUAAGUAAGCAAGCACACGGCAAAGCAUUUGAGCAAAUAUUUUUAUCUUCUUAUUGUCGCAUUCUUCUAAUCAAUUAGCUUUGACCAACAAAAAUAAUUAAUAAUGUAAAUGGAGGAACUUGGGUUCAAAUCUAUAAAUUAAUAUCGGUAAACUACAACCCUAUUUUGAUCAAAGUUUUCAACUCAACAAAUAUAGAUUAGAGAUUAUUUGUUAAUAAAAUAUAAAAGAGCCCAAACAAAAAAAGAUUUGACAGUAUACGAAUAAUAAUUUAUACUUAUUUAUUGAAUAUAUCUUAUUUUAAUCGCUUAAGGAAUUACAAAGUUGAUGAAAAAAAAUUUAUUUUUUUUAUUUUUCACUUCUUAAAAAUUUUUGGAUGAAGAGAAUCCUCAAUCUUCAUUUACGUUCAGUGGUGGAUCCACACGGAGCCUAUAGUGGGCAAUUAAUUGACUCCCGUAAAUUUUUUUUUCCAUAAUUUUCUAUUUAUUUUUGAUAUUUUCAUGAAAUUACAUAAAUACUUGCAUAAUUGCCCCUAAUAAAUACAAAGUCUAUCAAUUUCAUUAAUUUUUUUUUAAUUAUUGUGUUGUCCCUUGUAAGCCAAAUUUUUAGAUCCGCCCUUUAAAUAGGUUGUUACAUUUAUUGUUCUCAAAAGUGAUGACUUCUCCUAGUAUGAAGCUCCUACCAUAAGAAAAAGGUCUCCAUAAAACAUUUCGAGCUUUAACUAUGAUCUUCGGUACUGAUCUAACUUUUUUUAGUCCCCCCCAAAAAAGAAGCCUAUAUAUAUAUAUAUAUGUAUAUUGUAACACAUUAGGACAUGAACUUGAAGCUUCUCAAGUGUUUAUGCAAUCCGGUUAACAUAUACAAGUUAUGAUAGGUAAAAUUGCUAAUAAAUUUAGAAGCCUAAAAUAUGGAAUUUGAUUAAGACUUACUAAUUAUUGGAGCAUUUUUUUCAUCUAGUUUUUGGAGAUUGAAAGAACUUAAAAUUACAGGUGAUCAUAUCUUAAUUGGCAGACUCUUGAUGCUGAUAAAUGACAAAAGUCGUAGAUUAGAGAGUUCUACGGAUUGAGUAGCGACUUGAGACAUUGUACAAUUUGUUCCAAUGCGAAUGAUUCAUAGUGACUGCACAUAUGGCACCUUUUUGUCGAAAUGACACAAUUUCUCUUCAUUGUGCUAGAGAAAGGUGGGUAGAUUUCUGUUGUACAAGCAUUAUUGGAAGAGAUAUCAAGCCACUCAAUGUUCAGAUGGUCCAAACAUGUGUUCAGGAGGCACUAACAUAGCAGAAAUUGAGAUAGUUUUAGUUUCAUCAUACACUAAAAAAAUAUACACCAGAGAUGGAGCGAGGUGUAGCGGAAGCGAAAAUUGAUAGGAUAGGAAACACUAGUUAUCAUUUUAGUACAGGAUUAAGCCAACGCGAUUAGGUUAUACUCUAAUCGAAGCGUGAUUAGAUAUCGUUUUAAUCCAAACGACUCAAUGGGAUUUUUAAUAACACGUGAUGUGAGAUUAGAUGACGCUCUAAUCCAAACGACUCUACAAGAGAGAUUUUGAUAGAUAAUCCCAGAGGGAAUUAUAAAAUGGGAGUUUUAUUGAAUAAUUGAAUCUGAAGUGCUCAAAACAAUGACAAGAUCUCUCUAGUUAUAAUAGAGGAAACCCACUUUCCUAAAUUAACCUAAAAGGGAAACUGAAUCACAAUUAGAAUGGAAAUAAAAGACUAAGAUACAUACCAUAAUUGACUCAAACUAAAAUAGGAAAUCCUAAAACAAUAAAUAUUCUAGAAUCCUAAAUUACCUAAAAUAACGUAAAUUAACUUCCUACAUCAUUCUUCCCCUCUUAAAAGAAACUCGUCCUUGAGUUUGAAUACAGUCUGGAGGAUGAAACUUAUAGUGUAUGAGCAAAUCAUCUUGUAAUUUGAACUUGUAGCCUUGCUCAUCAAUCUUCCUCGAAACUUUGAAGUAUCCUAACUUCAUCAACUUCCUUCGCUUGUACAUUCUUCGAGUCGAUGACGACUUUCAAGAACGAACAAUGAUCAAAUAACUCUUGCACUUCCCCAAUUGUCGCUCAAUGCGCUCGCCAAUAAGUUUCACCUUUUCAACCAAAUCUUCUUCAAGCACAAUCUUUUUUUCUUCAAUGUGAAUAGGCAGAACCAUUUCAAUCAUUUCAACUUCUUCACCUUGAUUUUGUUGUACAACCUCGAUCGUAUUGUUAAGCUCACUGCUUAAAUUAAGUGCAGAUUAUAUAUCUUCUUUAAAAAUAUCAAAUAGAUCAAUAAUAUCAUCAUCUUCAACACUUAUCUUCUCUUCCAAGGAAACAUCACGCACAUUCUUGAACAACUUGUCAGAUUGAAACCUUAAAUCAAUAACAAAUUGUACAUUUUCUUCUGGCAACUCAUGCGAGUCUUCUUCCUUAACAAUAGGAGAACUCAUUGGUACAUCUUUGGGCACUUUCAUGGUGACACGCCAUUUCUUGCUUAAAUUCUGGAUUUCGUCAAGUUUUUUAAUCACAUCAUCAAAGUUUCUUUGACGUUGCGACUUAAUUUGCGAUUCGAUUUUCUUGGCUAAAUGAAUUGCAUGCUGUAAAUUAUAGAUAGUGUAUAUAGGCAUCCUUUCUUGAAUAUGCAAAUCAAGCCCUUUAAUAAAUCUUGUAAUUGUAUUCUCUUCAGGCUCAUAAUAAUAAUGGCAUCCAUAAAAUCGUUCAAACUCAUAAGCACAAGCAGAAACAGAUCUCGUACCUUACUGUACCAAACAAUAAUCAAGAGGAAUAAACUCAGAUCGCAAAAUAUGCUUCAUACGGUUCCAUGAUUGAACUUUGCAUUUGCCUUGGUCAAGUCGAGAAAUUUGCAACUCAUCGCACCAUUCUGAAGCACUUAUGCUUAAUCUACUGGCAGUAAACGAGACUUGCUUUUCUUUAGGAGUGUGCCAAAAUAGAAACUAGUGCUUAACCUUGUCCAACCAAUCAAGAAAUUUGUUUGGACGUGUAUUUUGUAAAUAAUAUCGGCACAUGAUAAAUAGGAGGGCAAUGAUGGUAGCUUGCCAUUUAAGUUUCCACACAAUGGCAAAAUUGUAAUUAAGGCUCAACUCUCGGGUUUGGUAUGGUCGGCAGCUGGUGGCCGUGAUUGGGACCAGAGGGUAUCGGAUCUGGGAGAUUUGGUGAUAAGGAACUCGAUGAUGGUCGUGGAUCGGGCAGAUUCGCUGCGUUUUGGUCGGAAAUCUGACUUAAAGUGGCGGCUGAUUUUGGUGAUGUGGCUUUUGGUUUAUGGCGGCCUUACGGUGGCGGACGGCUGGAUUUAUGGUCGCCGAUUGCUAGGGAUUAUGGUGGUGGUAGUGCAAAUUGACCGAAAAAGGGGGUGGUUUGGUGGCGGCGCAUGUGGGAAGCACUCGUGGGUUGUCGUUUCGUGUGGUGGCUGCGGGCGGCGAUCAAGGGCUGAAGUUGGUCGGUGUUUUGGUUAGUGGAGGCCUGCAAGCUUGUUGGUAGAGGUGGUUGGCUGUGAAAGUGGCUGAAUGGUGGUGGAUUGCUUGGUGGAGCCGCGGGUUUGGGUUGGUGAUUUGCGGCGGUUGAGGCGGCGAUGGUUGAGGCUUGGUCGGCAGUGGCUAGCGAGGUUUGUGGUGGUGUUGGCUGGCUGAUCGGUGGUGGAAGUUGAUGUGGUGGCUAGGGUUUUCAAAUUUGUAAAGUUUUGAUUUAUUUUAUUUUAUUUAUUUAUUUUUUGUGAUGGAUCUGAUGUGGAUGGAUAUGGGUAGUCAGGAAAGUUGUGCAAUUCGCACAAAACUGCUCUAAUACCAACUAAUGGAGCGAGGCGUAGCGGAAGCGGAAAUUGAUAGGAUAUGAAAUACUAGAUAUCGUUCUAGUACAGGACUAAGCCAACGCGAUUAAGUUAUGCGCUAAUUGAAGCAUGAUCAGAUAUCGUUCUAAUCCAGACAACUCAAUGAGCUUUUUAAUAACGCGUAAUGCGAGAUUAGAUGACUCUUUAAUCCAAACAACUUUACAAGAGAGAUUUUGAUAGAUAAUCCCAGAAGGAAUUAUAAAAGAGGAGUUUUAUUGAAUAAUUGAAUUUGAAAUGCUCAAAACAAUGACAAGAUCUCUCUAUUAGAGGAAACCCAAUUCCCUAAGUUAACCUAAAAAAGAAACUAAAUCACAAUUAUAAUAGAAAUAAAAGACUAAGAUAUAUACCAGAAUUGACUCAAACUAAAAUAGAAAAUCCUAAAACAAUAAAUAUUCUAGAAUCCUAAAUUAUCUAAAAUAACGUAAAUUAACUUCCUACAUUAUUCAAUACAUCAAUAACAAGUGCACAAACACAAAUAUGAUACACUCAUCUCUUUAAUUAAUUCAAGGCUUAAAUACUCUUUCGGUUGAAUCCAAAUUGAACAUGGUAGCUCUUGGACACCAUCCAUGAGAAAUAAAACUAGCUUCAAAUUAGAUUUCUAAGUACUCAAACAAAGCUAGAAGCAUAAUAAGUUAGAUUUCUAAUUACUCAAACAAAGCAAGAAGCAUAAUAACGAAAUGAAGAAAGAAACAAAAGGUCCCCUCACCAACGCCAUCUGACUCUUAGUAUAUAGAAAGAACUCGAGGCCUUAUUCUAGAUGCUGCACAGAAGGUUGGCCCGCAUUGUCUUCAUAAGUUUGGACUCUCUAUAAACAAAGAGCAAAAACACAUUGAAGGUGUAGUUUUCACAUAAUUAAAUUGCACAAAUUAGCCUCCAUCAUAACCAGUUAAUGCUUAAGAACACAGAAAUCCUUCAAUUCUCUCUAUAAGCAAUUACUUUCAUUUUUUUCAAUUUCUUGUUCGCUAUAUCAUAUCUAAUAGCUAAUCUUCAACAUAACAAUACAGCAGAGUAGUUAUGUUUUAAAAAGAUGUACCAAUGUGAUUUAACAUAAAUAAAACGUAUUUAAUCAGCACAAAAAUAAAAUCAAAACCUCCCAAUUUGUAUGGAUUUUACCUUGCCACUGUCUUUUGCAUCUUCCUUCUUUUCAUUAGCCUUGUUGGGCGUCUCAUUCUUUUUUUUCCUUCUCUUCCUAAUCAGAUUUAAAAUGAAUUUGUCAAAAAUUUGAUGGGUACUUUUUCUUUUUCCUUUUUUAUAUAUAUCCGUUAUUGAAUCAAACUUUUACAAAAAAUCAACAUCUCGUAUUGAAUGAAUACAUACCUUUUUUUUUAAGAUAUAGGUAUUGAAUGGUUGUAUUAAGGUCGCGAUCCAAAGUCCAACAUUCUUCAUCAUCCCACCGUUUAAGCUGCACUUGGUGUAACUUGGGUGUGCUUAAUUCUCCUCCUGAGAAAAUGUUCAUAUUGGGGCAAUUAUCCACCACUAAUCUUUCCAGAGAUGGGAAUUUGAAGGCGCAAUUAUUGCCAGAGCAGAAUCCUGUCAGACUUUCUAAGUUCCAGAGCAGCAAUUCCUUCAAUUCGCUGAAAACAAUUUCAUUUUUUGCUGCAUAAUUAUCUCCCUCAUCACCGUCAUCUGCCACUAUUUCUAUUAUCAUCUUGCAUCUACCUAUGCCCAUUUCCCUCAGUCGCACCAGACUCUUUGCAAUUGAGGAUGUUAGUACAUUUAUCAAUCCUAUGCAAUUAUAUACCAUCAAAGUAGUUAGAUUUUGAAACGAUGUCGAGGAUGGCACUAGAUUAAUCAAAUUGUGACAGUCACAUAUGUCCAGGUUUUCCAAAUUGUUGGCAUUGGAGGACUCUUGUUUCAAAAUUUGCUUCAGACCACGAUGCCGGUUUAUUCCUCUUAUCAUUGCCUUCAUCCCGUUUUCAACCUUUCCAAAUAGUCUAAAAAUAUACUCGUCUCCUCCUAUAAUGAGAACUUUGGUUGUGUGAAAUCUCUGGAGGAAAUCGUCGAGUGAUAAAAUAGCUGUUGACUCAUCAAUCCAGACAUCAAGAAGUUUAAGUUUGCAAAGCAAGUCUUCUGGAAAUAGACCUAUGUACUUUUCAUCAAUACUCAAAUCUUCCAAAUUGGGGAACAUCUGGGUGAUCAACAAUCACAAAAAAAAAAAAAAAAAAGCAAGAGGGAGUUAAAUCUUCUUUCUAACGAUUUCAAAAAUUAAAGUAAAUACAAAGCAUUUCAAUGAUGAAUAUUGAUGGCCGGACAAAUUUAUGGAUAUGUAGAGAGAGUAUGAUUUUCAGCGGUAAUUAUUUUCUUUUUUUUUUCAAAUAUAGUAAGUGAUGUGUAUUUUUUUUUUCAUCCUCUCUUCUUAACUUUCAAAUUUUAUUAGAUUUGUGCAUAAUGUCUACAAAAAAGACUUCAAUUAUUCUCAAAUUGCAUUUGAACUUCUAGAUUCUUUUAAUCGAUCCGCUUAUUUGGUUUCAGUUGAAAAUCUUACAAAUUUCUUUUUUUUUUUUUUAAAUUGGUUUUUUUAACUUUUUUCUUUUCAAGAGCAAAAAUGAAUAAAUAACUUGAUUUUAAAAAGUUUAAUAAUAUAGUAAGAAGCUGGUAUUUCAUUAAUAUUCAUCCAACUCAAUGGAAUUGGAUAUAUUUACUAUUGUACAAGAAUGGAUUUUCUUGUACAUAAAGUUUAAUAAGAUAAGAUUUCUUCAUUUGAGUUUUGUCCAUCUCUCUCUUUAUAUUUUUAAAAAUAUUAUUUUUGUUAACACAAAAUGACCAAUUUCUUCUUCAACAUCAAAAUUGACAAUCAUUUUGUAUGUAACAAUACUGUAGUAAGGACUACUAAUUUUAAAUAGCUCUUAAAAGAUUAUCAGGGAAUUAACUGUGGCUUGAAAAACCGUAGAUAUUUUGAGUAUUUUCUUCGUUUGGCUAAUCAAAUGCAGAGUCUCUUUCGUGUAUUUAACUAAACAUAUAGACAUAAAAUAAAAAGUAGAUGAAGAAGAAAAAAACUGAUAAUUAAGAGAAAAAAUUUGAACGAGAAGGAAAAAAAAAUACUAAAUAAUUUUGUAUUCAUUCUUUCUAACUGACAUCCAAAUCCAUCUAUGGUUGUAGCCAAUUCAAUAUUCGAUAAUAAGAAGAAUUAUUGAAGAAUGAUAAUUAUGUUUAUAUCGAAUAUUGAUAAUUAUGUUUAUAAGGAUAUUAUAUUAGUAUAAAUAAGCUGAUUUAUAGAACUAACAUUUUGUUACUAAAAGACAAAUUGAUGAGGGCAAUAUAUGGCGACAAUAAAGCUCUAAACUCUCAAGUAGAAAUACUUUUAAGUACGUAAGAAUUGAACAAUAAUUACAAAAGUCUUGCACGUACCUUUUUGGUGGUCUCAUGAAUAGUGCUUUUAAAUUUCACAUGGGGACAUCCCCUUAUUAUUAAUUGUUUCAAGGAUGGAAAUUCAAAAUGCAGAUCUCCUGUGCAGAAGCUUGUAAGCUGCGGAAGAGAACCAAGUUCAAGUGUCCUUAAUUGAGUGAGUUCAAUCACUUGAGUGAUAUUAUUGCUGGAUUCAUCUCCUCUAUCGGCAGCAAAAAUCACUUCCAUAUUCUGGCAUUUUGUCACUUCAAUGGACUGAAGUUGUUGAAGGCCUCUGCCAAUGAGCAAUGGAAACACAUUUUUCAAUUUAUCACACCUUUGCACCCUUAUGUUCUUUAAUUUGCAAAAGGACUCUGCUGUGAGUGAACCACGACAUAUUUUCUCUAGGUUACCCAAAUCUUCCAGAAAUAAUGACUCCAAGAGGGGGAACGCUGUCAGCGCUGUUGCACAAUCCACUGUGUCAACAACACAAAAAAGGCUGCGAUUAUCUCGGACUUCGAGAUGCUUCAGCUGUGGAAAACCUUCUCUGCCAGGUUCACAAAGAACAUUCUUCAUGUCCAGCAAUCCAUGUAAAGAUAGGUCUUCAAUACCCUUCAAUUGCAUGAUAUGCCCCUCGCUCAGGCAAAUGUUGGCACCAUUGGUGAUCUUCAGUUUGAAUUUUCUAGAAAACCCAUCCAAUAUUGGGUCAUCCGACCACAGAUAUCCUAUGAAUAUCCUGUACCUUUUCAGGAUUUUGAAGAACAACAAGUCGCUUGGUAGAGUCUUUUCAUCUUGGAUGAGUAUUUCUAAAGAGGUCAAUUUAGAUAAAUGAUUCAACUCAUGAAGGCUGGCAUUUCUUCUUUCACUGUCGAGCCCUUCAACCUUCCCCCACUGAAUGGGACUCUCACCAAUAUACAGUUCUUCUAAUCGAGAUAAGCUUGAUAUAACAUUUGGUGGAAUAACUUUUAGUUCGAAACACUUGCUCAAAUCCAACAACCUCAAUUGAGUCAGCUGGCCCAUUUCUCCAACCAGUUUCUCCACAUCAGAACCUCGAAGUGAAAGGAUUUCUAAUUUCUUUAGGUCUCCAAUAAUAGCGAUGUCUCCUAGGUUGCAGUAAUCCAGACACAGUGUUUGAAGGUUUUGUAAGAGACCAAGCGAUGAAGGCAAUGGCAAUAAAUGCAUCUCAGUGAAAUCUAAAACUUUAAGCCCAGUCAUCCCAGUAAAAAAAUUAUCUGGGAUUCUCAAAGAUGGAUCAUUGCCAAUACGAAAAUAUUUAAGUUGCGGGCAUUCGAAACCUUGAGGAAGCUCACUAAUAUUACUAUAAAUCAAGGAGAUUGCGGUGCAAACCUUUAGUUUUUCCUUAUCUGGCCAGCUGAUCUGCGGAGCAACCUCACUUUCCACCACAAACACAUGUUGGUCUCCAGAUGCAAUUGAUAUGGCUGCAUCACGAACAACAUCAUGCAUAGAAAACCGUUCACUUGUAUUACCGUCAAGCAACAAACAAGAUUUUUUGAGUUUAUCAACCAAUGUAUGUGCUCUAUCCCACGCCUCUUCCGACGUGUUGAUGUUUUGAAACAGACCCAAACCCAUGCCAUGAUAAAGCACGUCUUUAACGCAAGAGAUGAACGCGUACCCUAUAAGCAAAAACGUUCUCUUGAGCUCCUCCCUGUUUAAAUGAUUGUAACUCAGCUCUAUACUUUUAUAUGCCACCUCCAGUGUUCCACUGAUGUUUCUGAAGGAAGGCCUUCUUAAUUCCAGCAAGGAAUCCUUCCAUUCAAACAAUCUCUUAUUUCUUAGUGCCCUGGCUACGGGUACAAUGGCAAUGGGCAAACCAGCACAUUCCUUGACUAUCUCUGUUGCUACAGAUUUCAGUUCACCAUUUUCUAUGCAAUCACCUGUCAUCUUCCGGAAAAGACUCCAAGCUUCUUUUUCAUUCAGAACAUCAACAAAAAAAUUUUGUUGACAAUCCAUCUUACAGGACAACACAUCUUGACUUCUUGCUGUCAGAAGAACUUUGCAUCCGCUGUUAUCAUCUGCCAAUGGAAUUCCAAUCGCCUCCAAAUCAAGACCCCCCCAAAUAUCAUCCAAGAUUAUAAGGAUCUUUUUCUCUUUCUUCAAUCUUUCAAGCAGCCUCCCUGCUCUUACAGUUUCAUGACUCUGUUCAGCCAAUUCUAAGCCUAUCUUCUCUGAGAUUUCUCCUUGUAUAUUUUUUAUUUGCGGUGUUGGCGAAACACGUGAAGAAAUGACCUUCUCAAAGAGAUUAUUUUCCUUUGCCUGUCUGCCAACUUCUUUCACCAGCGUUGUCUUUCCAAUGCCGCCCAUCCCGUACACUCCAAUCAUGUUGAAGUCACGGUUGCUGAGUGCGUCUAGUAUCUCCUUAAAAGUGGACUUUCUCGAUUCAAAGUGCAUGAAAUCCUGGGUAGACUUAAGCCAUGUCUCCUCUGGAAUGGUACGGAAAGAAACACUGUCGAAUCUCCCUUUUUCAUGGAGUCCAACAAUAGCAUUCGUCUCUCUUUCUGCUUUCUUGCUAAGCUGGUACCGAGUCCUCAAAUUAGGACAUAACCCCUUCAAACACCGGUUGUUUGAAUUCUCUUUGUCUUCAAUAAGUGUUUCGACUUCAUUGAUCUCCUUGUUCGCAGCAAUCAGCCACUCCUCAACGUGCUGUUGAAUUCCGUCCCCUUUAAUUCUGGAAUCAUCAACCUUAUACUGCAUACUGUCUCUAGAAUUCUUUAGCUUAUCGACUUCAUUAUUCAGCUUCUCGAAGUUGGUCUUGUAAGUGCAGCAGUAAGUAAAUGGAUAAAUUAUGGGAGCAACCAAGUACUCGGCAACUUUUGCAGCAACGGAGAUAACAAUUUCCAUUAUCCCUUUCUUUUUUAUUUUUCGCUUUCAGAAAACAGGGGAAAGCAAAACUAAUCAAACUAAGCAGCAGUAAUCAAUCAGCUGGGAUGAGGGAAAUAAGAAGUUUGGAUAAAUUGCUAAAAUAAGAGGUUGAAUAGAUUUAAGGGAGGAGGAGAGGCAAAGAGUGAAAAAUCUAGAGAUGAAACAAAGGGGAUCCUUUGUAAAGGCAGAAAAUGAAAGCUUUGCAAAGAAGGUGUAGGAUCGAGGACAAGAACGAUUCAGAAAAGGGAGACAGAAAAUGAAGAAGAGAUUUCAGAGAACUCUAGAGAUUAGAGAAGAGGGAUGAUUAGGAAAAUGCAGAGGCAGACAGUUGUGAUCUCAAGUCUCAAGGGUAAUCUGAAUACUGCAAAAAAGCCAAACUAAAUUCAUACAAGGAGAAGACUCGUGCUUCCAAGUCAACUAGAUGCUUAAUAACUGAGAUAGAUGGUUAUAAUUGCAAGUAAAUAAAGGGGGAUCCUUUCUCUGCUAAGAAAAAUUGAAAAGCGAGUGCAAUGAAAGAUUUGCAAAGAAGGUGUAGGAUCGAGGACAAGAACGAUUCAGAAAAGGGAGACAGAAAAUGAAGAAGAGAUUUCAGAGAACUCUAGAGAUUAGGGAAAUGCAGAGGCAGACAGUUGUCAUCUCAAAUUCAUACAUGGAGAAGACUCGUGCUACCAAGUCAUUAGAUUCUUAAUAACUGAGAUAGAUGGUUAUAGUUGCAUGUAAAUAGUGUCAAAGUUAUAGGUUAAUUGGACAGCGCAAGGUGGCAUUUUGGCAUUUCAUUGAAUUUUCUUGUUACCAGUAAGUGCUAUGCUGCCGUUGCCGGACUUUAUGAUUUUUUUUUUUUGAAUUUUCAUUGAAUUUUCUUGCGCUUUUCUAAUAACUCUGCUAUAAAGCCCAAGUUUGCGGACUUUAUGAUUUUUUAUUUUUCAGAAAUAGAUAUACAAAUAAAAUGAAAUUAAAAAAAACUGUUGCGUGGUCGUGUGGGUCCUCGAAAUCAUUUCGGCAUUUAAAUUUAAUGGAACAGUUGGAUGUACUCAGCUCUACACUUCCACGAAGGUUCCUGGAAGUUGCAAGUGCUGCCGGCAUUUUCAAACUCGGAAGGUUUCAAUAAUUUUUCCUUUUUACUUUGAAAGAAAGGUUUCAAUAAUUAGCUUUGAUAAUUGUGUAAUAUACGAUAAUCUAGUGAUGAUGAAGAUUUAUGUGUGUGAUUAAAAGCUAAGCUAGUGGAUUUGUAAGCGAGCCCACGGCGAAGAAUUUGAGCAAGUAUUUUUAUCUUCUUAUUGUCACAUUCUUCUAAUUAAUUUGCUUUCACCAACAAAUAUAAUUAAUAAUUUGUAAAUAGUUGGAUCUUAAGCUCAAAUUUUGACAAUACAUGAAUUGUAAUGUAUACAUAUUUUUCAAGUGUAAACUCUAUUUAAGAGAGGAUCUCAAUUUUUAAUUAGAGAAGAUCAUAUUUAAAGCACACAAUGCGAGAAUAAUAAUGGUUGCGCUGACUAACAUCAAAUACAAACAAGGAAGAAAGACUAUUUAAGCUUUCCUUACAGCAUUAAUCAUGAUUAUUUGAUAAACUAGAGGUGAUCACUGAUUUAUAUUUUUAGUGCAAAACAGAAUACACUGCAAGAGGUGAUGGCUUUCUUUGCUGUCCUCAUAUUGUCACAAAUUUUGUAGCUUUCUCAUUUUGAUAAGUCGUUCGCUCAAUAACUUAAAUGGGUUAGGGUCUCGAGGCUGAAAUAUUUAAAUUGAAAUUGUCAUCAUUUCAUUCAUGAUCCAAGAUUCUAUCGUGUAUAAUGGGUAAGACAAUCUUUUACUUCAAAAAUUUUACAUAAAUUUUUGUAGUUUGAUGGCGUCAAAUCCGAUGGAAACGAAAUAAGUGACUUGAAAAGAUCAAUUGAUCAGUGAUUUGUCAAACGUUUACUGAUAUUAUUACCCUGUGACAAGAUUUUAAGCUUUAUAUCCAGGCUAAGGUGACAAAUAACGUAGCACUACAAUCGUCAAUAUUACUUAGAUAUAAUUAUUUUUUUCUUCUUGUUGUCAUAUUCUUCUAAUCAAUUGUUUUCUUGUUUAUCAACAGAUAUAAUUAAAAAUGUGAAUGUUAGGAUCUUGGACUGAAAUCUUUAAAUUAAAUCGUGAUCAUUUUAUCAGUAAACUACAACUAUAUCUCGAACACAGUUUUCUCCGAAACAAACAAAGAAUAGUGAUUAGAUGUUAAUAAACAUAAAAAUAAUGAUAAUACACGAAUAAUAAGGUAGACUAAGCGAUUAGGCUAAAAAAAAAUGCAGAAGCACAUGUUUGAUAUCAAGACUCAAUGGGUAAUCUGAAUAAUGCAAAAAUGCCAAACUAAAUUCAUAUGAGGAGAAGACUCGUGCUUCCAAGUCAACUAGAUUCUCAAUGAUUGAGAUAGAUAGUUAUAAGGGUUAUUAUGGUUUCAUUUUAAAAAAUAAAAAAUUAUAAGAUAUAAAAUAACUAUAAGAAGUAUUGGUGUUAUCAUUUUAUAAGUGUAUCUUUAAAAAAAAAACCUUUUAUUUUGUAAUAUUUUUGUUAAAAUUGUGAGUCCAAAACUAACGUCAUACUAAUAUCAAAGGCCUAAAAGUGUCUUUACAUUCAAAACUAUGAUAAAAUUGUAUGCAAAUUAACAUUACAAGGGCGGCAUAUUUAUUAUUGGUUAAGAAAGAGGGAAAAAAAAUUGGAAUCUCAAAUAUCUAGCGUCAUCAUUAUCUUUUUUUUUCUUCAUUUUUUUUCUUUUUCCAGACAGUGGUCUACCAUCUUUGAAAAAUUAUUGGCACUUUCGAAUGGGUAUUAAGCCAUGCAUUGGCAUUGAGGGUCUCAUCUGAAAGAGGAAUUUUGGUAGCAGCAGUGGCUGUGUAAUUUUUUUUUUUUAAAUGAUUUAUCUCUAGGAAUGCAGGAUCAAUUUAAAAGUGAAUUUUAUAUUAAAUUUCUUUGAGAUUGCUUUUCUGUUGAUCUGUUUGAUUUGGCUAUGGAAUGAUGGUUUUAUUACUAUGAGUUUGAAGGAUUUAUGAAAUAGAAAUUAAGAUUGAUAGAAAACAUAUUGAUCUCCGAGCUUUAAUGGCAGUUUAAACUUGUUAUCUUCAAGCCUCACCGGUGGUUUCAAUUUGAUACUUUGAUGAGAGCAAAAUUAGCAAUUUAGCACUAGAGGAAGAUAUUUAAUCACAAGUAUAAGAAGUUUUGACAGCGAAGAGAGGUAUUCUUCAACUGGGGUUAAUUUUUUAUUUUUGUUUUCUUAUUUUUUAUUAAAAAUUUAAUUAAUUUUUAAAAUAAGGUCAUACUUGGUAUUUUACCAGUUAACUAACAAUGAUAAACAGAAAUAUAAUAAAAUGAAAGAUUUUACAAAGAUACAGUAAUAAAAUGCUAAACAUUAAUAUUUUUUUUUUGUUAUUUGAUGCUUCAUACUUUAUAAUGUAGUCAAGCAAUAAUAACCCUAGUUACAAUUACAUGUAGAUGGUGUUAAUUGGGCAUUUUUCAACUUGUAGGUCUAAGGCUUCUCAAGCAAAUUUUAUGGUAGCUUCCAUUAAUUUUAAGUGUUAAUAAAAUAUUUUACUACUGUAAUUUAAAAAAUUACAGUUGAUAAGCAAUAAUAGCAGAGAGAGAAAAUUAAAUAGAUUGAGAAUGAUUUUUGAUUCAGGGCAAGUUUUCGAGUGCUUUACGAACAAUCAAAAUGCUAAUCCUGUUAGCCAAAAAACACAAGCGCUUUGUAAAGAACAGUACGGGAAAAACCCUCUAUUUAAAUAACAAUCGUGUAAUUACGGAGGGGGUAUCUUAAUUACAUGGCAGUUACAUUCAAUAACAACAAUAUUACUUAAAAAUUUUCUAUUAGCAAUGAGUGUGUUGGCGGUAGGAUAAAAAAAUCUGAAGACUUUGCAAACUUUUUGUGAAAAUGCAUCGCAGUUGUCUUGUUCUUUCGCUGUUGAUAAUCGCAAUGAACUGAUGAAGGCCAAGAGACCCAAAGUGAAGUGACCUAUGUGCUUUUCUAAUUACCCUCCUACAAACUGUAAAGCCGAAGUUUGCGGACUUUAUUAUCAUUUUUUUUUUUAAAAAAAAAAAGAUAUACAAAUAAAAAAGACAAAAGAUGAGAUGAGACUUAUAGUACCAGUGGCGGGCCCCCUGGGUCCUCAAAUUAUUCAUAUGGGCAUUUCAUCGAACAGUGGAUAUACUCGGCAUCUGCACUUGGAAGACGUGUUCAAAAGCUCUAAAUCAUGUUAAAGUCGACCAAAAAGACAAAACAUAGAAAGCAACAAUCCAACAACUUGGUUAAAAUAUUCGCUAUCACAAAUGGUUGCGUUAACAUGUCCAACAACGAUUAUUAUGAAAACGGGACCAGAAGACGUAUAAGGGAUUUCGGAGAAUUUGCGAGAGGUGGGAUGAUUAAGAAAAUGCAGGAGCAGGAUAUUUAUGACCUCUAUUAGUAAUUUGAUUUCGUGAAUCAUUUUCAAAAGGAAAAUAACGCACCAUCAAGUCAACCUUGGUGCAGAAAAAUAUUAACAUUUAAUGAACAUAGAGGGAUGAGUUGGGCCAAGUCUUUAAAUCAGAUCUGUCGUGGAAUCUAACAGGGAGAUUAAAAGAAAAAUCAAUCAACUAGUAUAUAAUAUAAUGUUUUUACAUUUAACUAAUUAGGAGACUGAUACACUAGCAAUCAGCAUUAAUCAAUUAUUUGAUAAACCAGUAAAUAUUGGAUAUCUCGGUGCAAAACAGAGUGUUGAGAGAUAAAAAUUAACCUGGUGUCUUUGGCAGGUGUUUAAUAUAAUUGCUAAGCUUGCCACAUGCCAUUGCCAACUUUGGCCAUCGGCUAGCUGCAUAAAGCAGCCGUCGUGAGAUCAAGCACAACAAGCUUGUGAUGUGAUCACCGAUCAUGCAUCCAGGACAAUUUUAUAUUUAUUUAACUCCAAUAAUCAUAAUAAACUAUUGAAUUAAUAAAAAGGUAAUUUCAAUGGUAGAGAUUUGUCCAUUUGAAUACUAACAUUAUAUUCUUGAUAAAUAUUAAAAAUUUUAGCACAUAAGUCUUUAUUGUUUCCAAUUUAUAUUGUUUAAUUAGUAGUAAGUCUUAAAAAAUAUUUUAAUUUUAAUAUUAUAUAUUUUAUUUAAAAGAAUAAAUUUUUAAUGUUAUUUAUUUUAUUAAAAAUAAAUAUUAUUUAAUAAUAUUUAUUUUCAUUUUAUUUAAUUUUAUUUAGCAUAUGCUUAUUAUUAUAUUUAUUCUUUAAAAAACUAAAUAAUAUUAAAUAAAAUAAAAUAAUCAAUAGUGAAUCAUAAAAAAUAGAUAUAAUUUUUAAUUAAUAUUAUUUAUUUUAUUUUAUUUAACGUUUUAUAGUCGUAAACUUAUCAUUAUAUUUAUUCUUUCAUAAAACUAAAUAAUGUUAAAUAAAAUAAAAUAAUAGUAAUGAGUCUUAAACAUUAAUAUUAUUUUUAAUAUUAUUAACUUUAUUUUAUUUAAUAUUAUUUAUCCAUAGGCUUGUAAUUGUAUUUAUUCUUUUAAAAAACUAAAUAAUAUUAAAUAAAAAAUAAUCAAUAGUGAACCUUAAAAAAUAAAUAUUAUUUUUAAUAUUAUUAACUUUAUUUUAAAAAAUUAAUAUUAUUUAUUUUAUUUUAUUUAAUAUUAUUUAUUCAUAGGCUUAUUAUUAUAUUUAUUUUUUAAAAAGUUAAAUACUAUUAAAUAAAAUAAAAAACAAUAUUGGGUCCUAAAAAAAAUAUUAUUUAGUCAUAGAAUUAUUAUUAUAUUUAUUCUUUUUAAAAAGAUAAAUAAUAUUAAAUUAAAUUAAAUUACAUUUUAAAAAGUCACCAGCCAAAGCAUAUAAACUUAUAAAUAAAUGUAAAAAAAUAAUAUUAAAUAAAAUAAAAUUAUAUUUUCAAAGGUCACCAGCUAAAGUAUAUAAACUUAUAAAAAAAAAAGGAUAAAUAAGAAGGAUAGUAAGGGGUUAAAUAAAAUUUAACAUGCAUAAUAUAAAACAAAAAAUGGUGGCACUUGCAACUGUUGCAAGGUAGUUGGAUCCUAUUAAACCUAUAUGUUAUAAAACAAAUGAAAUAGGAUUAUGCAUGCAGUUAAAUAGGUGUAUUUUAGAAAAUCUAAUUCUUUUAAGGAGCUCUACAACCUAUUCUCCUAGAAGUCCAAAAUUUAAACUUCUAAUAAAGACAAAAUAAUAUUUUUAAUAAACUCUAUUCAAUUUAUAGCCAAACGAUGCCAAAAAAUAUUGAAAGGAAAAAAUUAAUCUCUUGAUCCAUUAGUAGAGAAAUCAUACAAAAUGGACACUUAAUGGUCAAUUAUUUUUCCCCCCUUUUUUUGUAGUUUUACUUUUCCUAUAAAAAUUAUUGUUUAGGAAAUAAUAAAAACACUACAUACUCUCCACUAACACAUUAAUUAAUUAAGAGUAUUUCCUCACUAGCACGCAUUUAAUUAUCAAAUGAUUAUCAAAAGUACGGCUAAACUUUGGUAAUUAAGAAAACAAGUAAUAUUGGUGGCAAACUGGCAAUGACAAGAAAAUUCUAAUACCACAAAAAAAAAUUAUCAGUUAUCUUUAGAUAUAGUAGCUGAGGGAACAUUACAAUAUUAUUAAUCUUGCUUUCUUCUUGGUCAUCCACGACUAUUAAUCUUGUUUCCAAAACAGUGUUCACUCCCUCAACCUCCCACUGAAUGGGACUCUCACCAAUACACAGUUCUUCUAAGCGGGGUAAGCUUGAUAUGACAUUUGGUGGAAUAAAUUCUAGUUUGAAACAAUUGCUCAGGUCCAAACCCUUCAACUGGGUCAGCUGGCCUAUUUCUUCAACCAGAGUCUCCAUAUGAGAACCUCGAAGCGUAAGGAUUUCUAAUUUCUUCAGGUCUCCGAUAAUAGCUAUGUCACCUAGUUUGCAAUCAUCUAGAGACAGUGUUUGAAGGUUGUGUAAGAGACCAAGUGAAGAAGGCAAUGGCUUCAAAUGCAUCGUAGUGAAAUUUAAAACUCCAAGCUCUGUCAUCUCAGUAAAAAUGUUAUCUGAGAUUCUCAACGAAGGAUCACUGCCAAUAGAAAAGUAUUCAAGGUGUGGACAUUCCAACUCUUGAGGAAGCUCACUAAUAUCACUAUUAUUUAAGGAGAUUGCAGUGCAAACCUUUGGUUUAUCCUUAUCUGGCCAUUUGAUCUGCGGGACAACAUCAUUAUCCACAACGACUACAUGUUGGUCUCUUGAUGCAAUUGAUAUGGCUACAUCACGAACAACAUCAUACAUAGCAAACCAUUCACUUGUAACACCAUCAAGCAACAAGCAAGAGUUUUUGAGCUUAUCAACCAAUGUAAGCGCUCUAUCUCGUGCUUCUUCCAACGUGUUGAUGUUUUGAAACAGAGCCAAACCCAUGCCAUAACAGAGCAAGUCUUCAACACAACAGAUGAACGAGUACCCUAUUAGCAAAAAUGUUUCUUUAAUUUCCCUACCUUCUAAAUGAUUGUAACUCAACUCUACAGUUGAAUAGGCCACCGCUUGUGCCCCAGAGAAGCUUCUCAAAAAAGGCCUUUGUAAUUGUCGUAAAGCAUUCCUCCAUUCAUAGAGACUCUUAUUUUUCAACGCCUUUGCUACGGGUACAAUGGCAAUGGGCAAACCAGCACAUUCCUUGACUGUAUCUGUGGCUACAGAUUUUAGUUCACUACUUUCUAUGCAAUCACCUGCCAUCUUCUUAAAAAGACUCCAAGCUUCUUUCUUAUUCAAAAUAUCGACAAAAAAAUUACGUUGACAAUCCAUCUCAGAAGACAACACAUCUAGACUUCUUGCUGUCAGCAGAACUUUACAUCUGCUGUUAUCAUCUGCUAAUGGAAUUCCAACAGCCUCCAAAUCAAGACUCCCCCAAAUAUCAUCCAAGGUUAAAAGGAUCUUCUUCUCUACCUUCAAUCGUUCAUGUAGCCUCCCUGCUCUAACAGUUUCAAUCCCUUCAACUAAUCGCAAGCCUAUCUUCUCUGCAAUUUCUUCUUGUAUCUUCUUUAUUUGUGCUGUUUGGGAUACUUGCGCAGAAAUGACCUUCUCAAAGAGAUUAUUUCCUUGACUUGCCUACCAACUUCCUUCACCAGCAUCGUCUUUCCAACGCCACCCAUCCCGUAUGCCCCAAUCAUGUUGAAGUUAUGAUUGCUUAAUGAGCCUAGUAUUUCCUUCAAAGUGGAUUUUCUUGAUUCAAAGUGAAUGAAACCUUCGGUAGACUUAAGCCAUAUCUCCUCUGGAAUUGUACGGAAAGAAACGCUGUCAAAUUUCCUUUUUUCAUGGAGUCCAACAAUAGCAUUCACCUCCCUUUCUGCUUUCUUACUAAGCUGGUAGUGGGUCUUCAAAUUGGGACACAACCCAUUAAAACACCAGUUGUUUGAUUUUUCUUCAACUUCAAUAAGCUUCCUAACUUCACUGAUGACCUCGUCCACACUAAUCAGCCACUCCUCAACGUGCUGUUGAAUUCCAUCCCCUUUGAUUUUGGAAUCAUCUACUUUAUACUGUACACUGUCUCUAGCAUUCUUUAGUUUAUCAACAUCAUUCUUCAGCUUCUUGAAGUUGGUCUUGUACGUGCAGCAGUAAGUAAAUGGAUGAAUAAUGGGAGCAACCAAGUACUCUGCAACUUUUGCAACAACGGAGGUAACAAUUUCCAUUAUCCUUUUUUAUUUAUUUUAUUUUUAUUUUGCCUUGAGAAAACAGGGGAAAACAAAACCAAUCGCAACAAGAAAUAAGAGACAAGGAGGGCAAGGAAUGAAAAAGCUAGAAAUAAAAAAAGGGAGUACAGUGAAAGAUCUGCAAAAAAGGUUUAGAAAAAGGAUGAUUAAGAAAAGGGAACCAGAAAAUGUAUAAGGGAUUUUCAGAGAAUCUGAGAAAAGUUGGAUGAUUAAGAAAAUGCUGGAGCAGGACAUUUAUGACUUCUGUUAGUAAUUUGAUUUCGUGAAGCAUUUUCAAAAAGAAAAUAAUGCAAACAAUUCGAGAUUUGGUGAUGAUAAUGAAAGAUUAAGUAAGCUAUUCCAUAAUUUAUAUGCAUGUAAAGCAGCAAUCCAAUAACUUAAAAAGAGUUAAAAACAUUUGCUAUAGGAAAUGGUUGUGUUGACGUGUAUUUCGGGGAUCAUGAAAUAUAAACAAAGACCGCGUUAAAAGAUGUUCAAGCAAUCCUUUUUCUCUCUUGACCUCCGUGACUGGUUAUGCUUCAAUUUGGGCAAGGCUGGUAUCAAUAAGGUUGUGGAUGAAUGGGCCUGCUUAUUUGGCGUUGCUGUUUGGAAAAUUUGGUUCUGGCGCAACCAAUUUAUCUUCACUCACAAUGCCCCUUGCUGCACUCAAAUGGUCACGGAAAUUAGAACGUGGGUUCAUGAUAUCCAUAUUGCAAGAGUAGGCCUCAAUGUUGUUCGUACCAGUAAAACCAUCAAAGAAAUUGGCUGACAAGCUCCCUCGGAAUCCUUUUUCAAAUUGAAUACAGAUGGUUCUCGAUUAAAAAAUGGGUUGGCAAGUGCUGGAGGAUUGGUGAGGGACUGUUCUGGCAAAUGGCAGUUUGGAUUUGGCAUGAACAUUGGUCUCUGUUCGGUGACUUCUGCUGAAUUAUGGGGUUUGUUUCAAGGUCUUCAUCUUGCGUGGAAUCGGGGUAUCCGGUACUUGGUGGCAGAGGUGGACAGCCAAUGUAUCUUUCAACUUAUCUCUUCCACAAGAACAGAGCCUAAUGCACAUCUUUCACUUAUCAAUGCCAUCAAGGAGUUGAUAAAUAGAGAUUGGAAAAUUACAAUAAAGCAUAUAUAUCGGAAAGCAAAUUUUGCUGCUGAUUUCAUGGCCAAGUUGGCAGGAUCUUUACCUCUCGGUUUUCAUAAUUUUGAUAACCCACCAGAGGGUAUUGGAUAUUGGUUAUGUAAUGAUAUGUAUGGGAAUAGUAUUCCCCGCUCUGUUUUGUCCUAAUCUUUAUUAGGCCCCAUUGUAUCAAAAAAAAAAAAAAAAAAGACCGCGUUAAAAGAUAAGCAAAAGUUGGCAAGAUUGGUAAUGAUAUAUUAAAAGAAAGACUAAUAAAGCUUUCCUAGCAGCAUUAAUCAUGAUCAUUUGAUAAACUAGAGGUAAUAAAUGGUUAUAUUUUUAGUGGAAAACAGAGUACGUUACAUGAGCUGAUUGCUUUUGUCAAUAUUCAACCAAAAAUACAAGUUAAUCAAAAUAACCUACCAUCAAGUCAACCUUGGGGCAGAAAAACUAGUAACAUUAAAUGAACAUAGAGGGAUGAGUUGGGCCAAGUCUUUAAAUUAGCUAUGUCAUGGAAAAUAACAAGAAGAUUAAAAAAAAAAAGAAUCAAUCAACUAGUAUUUAGUAUAAUGUUUUCACAUUUAAUAAACUAGGAGACUAAUACACUAUCACUCAGCAUUAAUCAAAAUUAUCUGAUAAACUAGUAUAUAUUGGAUAUCUCUGUGCAAAACAAAGUGCUAAGAGAUAAAAAUUAACCUGGUGUCUUUGCCAGGUGUUUAUAAUCGCUAAGCUUGCCUCAUACCAUUGCCAACUUUGGCCAUCUGGUAGUUGCUUAUUGAAGAAAACAAAGGAAUUUCUCGGCAAACAUAACAUAGCGACUGAAGUGAAAGAAAAACUUUAAUUUUUGGUGUAGUCAUUAGUAAAAUUUGAGCCAAAAAGAAAAAUUCAUAUUUGUAAACUUAGAAACAAUAAUCAUUUGGAAGUAGUUGCUGAAAUUAAUUAGGUGAUUUUAACCUCAAAUUUGAGACCAUAAAUCAAUUGAAUGUUUUGAUUUCAAUACUAGUGGCAAUCACGUACACGUUUAACGACUUAGUCAAAUUUAUAGCAACUAAUAAGUAUCCAACUUUGCAACCGUAUUUAUUUCUCAUGAUUUGAUUAAACUGGGCACUCUGAAAACUUCAGUUCCUUCUAUUGUUGUAAGCUGAAUGAUACAUGCACGAUUUGAUUAAACCGUAUUUAUUUAUAUAUUGAAUGCUACUUCAUUGAAUUUUACUGCCGCAAUAAUACUAAAUGAUUUUUCAUGACAAAAAAUUCAAUAAUUAGAAUGAUUAUGAGUUAAUUUAAUGCUGAAUUUCAUCAUUAACUGCUGAAAUACUCCAGAAAUCCAAAUACAUUUAACUAAACACUAAUUUAAUCAAAUCAUUAAACACACAAUCUGAAAGCGGAUUCAAAAUAACUUUAAUAAAAAAGCCAAAAGCAAAACAAUCAACAAAGAAACAGAAGAAACUCUCACCAAUGCCAUCUGACCCUUGAUAGAAAGAAAGAAGUCAAGCUCCAUGUAAUAUAACGCCUCACAAAUUACACAGAAAAAUGGCCGCAUUCCAUAUGAUGCAUAGAACGUGGGCCGAAUCCUCUUCGUAAGUUUGGAAUUGCUGGAGAAAAAUACACAAUAAAGGUGAAAUCAAGAAAAUAAGGAUAAUGAUAUUUCGUGCAAUUUUCAUGUAAUUUGCAGGAAUUAGCUUCUAUUUGGUAAGCAGUACUGGAUGCCUAACUAUUAUUACUAUUACUAUUAUUUACAUGGAUGGGGUUGGGUGAGACAGGUUUAUCAUAAUUAACCUAACCCAACCCAACCCAACCCAAUUAUUAAUUGGAUUCUAAAAAAUUACCUAAUUAACCCUAUAAUAAUUCACUUAAUCCAUCAAAAUUUGAUUGGAUUAGAUUGGGUUGGACUGGAUUCGUCGGGUUGGAUUGAAUUCACCGGGAUUGGAUUGAGUUUGCCUACCCCUAGCUCUUGACCCACAUUAUUUAUUUUUAUUAUUUAGUAAUUUCAUUCAAUCAAUAAAUUUAAAUUUCAAAUUUGUAUAAAAUAAGUUUAUACAAGAGCUUUUAACUCUAUCAUCACUCAUCAAACAAUGUUAGAUGAAACAAUAAAUGAAAUAAACAAAGGUAUCAUUAAAUCCAAAAGCAUCCAAUGUGUCAAAAAAUAUCCUAUCAUUUGCAAUAAAAAUAUUAAAAUAUUAUUUUCGAAAUCAAUAAUGAUAUAACCACAAACAUUAAGAACUUGUGUAAACAAACUAACGUGGCAUAAAGACAUUAACUAAAAAUGGAUAACUAUUAUUUUUCUAAAUCAUGUGGGUCUAUAACAGUUUUAUACAACCAAUCUUCUCAUGCAACAUAUGUAUGAUUUUUUUUUUUACAUGGUGGUUGUGGCUCUAUAUAUCCAAGUCGUUGUUCAACUUCAAGAGAUCCAAAAUUUGUGAAAGAAGCCACGAAGAGAUUUUACGCCAUUCAACAUGCCUAUUCUGCUGUUAACCUUACUAAAUUCCAAAAUUUUAAUUCUUAUUUAUUUAUUUAUUUAUUAUGCAUGUAAUUUGUAGUAUACAAUAAGAAAUAAAAUUGUAAUCUUUUUUAUAAUGACGGAUAAUUAUCGGAUUCACGAGAUGUUGUUUUCCUUCUUCUCUCUUCAAGUUCUAUCCGAUGCCAACAAGAGGUUCUUGUACUAUGUAGGAGUCUAUGAUAGUGAUGAUGAAAAAAAUAAUAUGAGCUCCAAUUUUGCGUGCGCGCGCGUGUUGAGUGUUAGAAAAUGCAUAUUUAUAAAGGAGAAAACCGUCAUUUUACAUUUCAAGUCUUAUUAACAACCCUUACUUUUAUGUAUUUAACCUUCUUGUGAUUUAAUUACAUGUGUUUUAUUUUAAUUAAGUAUUUUAUGUAUUUUAGGGGCAUUAUAGUCAUUUCACAAUAAAGGAGAGAUCAGAUGGCAAAACGGACAUCACUUUUGAAUUCAGGACGGUCGAAAACCUUAGGAGGGGCAUAAAAGGAAAAAUGGUACUAUUCACAUGUACGGUACUAUUCACGUAUACGGUACUGUAUAUGUUACUGUUCACGGCACUGUUCAUAUAGACGGAUCGAUGACGUGGCAUUGACCGAUGAUGUGGCAUUGACUGAUGAGGUGUCACGAUCCUGUUGGACUAAAAUUCUUAUGUACUGUUGAUGGUGACGUGGCAGCAUAUCAGUGGACGAAAAAUCUCGCGUACGGUGCAUGCAUCACACAGGAUUAUUUUCAACCAAACCGUGUUACUGUUCAUCCGCGUGGUCAAACCGUGGACUGUUGACUGAUGACGUGGCGCAAUCCUGAGCGUCCAAACUGUUUUUAAUCCGAUGGCCAUGAUUUACUCCAUGUAUCUAUAAAAAGGGGGCCUCCCCCCCCUAAUUUGAUAGCUCUGAAUCCAUUUUUGGGAUUCAUUUUCUGUAAUUCCUUCUCCAUCUUGUAUUUUCUUCGUAUUUUAAUAAAUUCCCAUUUUGCCCCUAGUUCAAUUAUGAGUGGCUAAUUUUCUUUCAAGCUUGGGUUGAAGGUGAAGUCUCAACAUGUGUCAUGGGCUUAAUUUGGUAAAUUUAUUUUCUCUUCCCCUCUAGUUUUUGUGGAUGUUUUGACUUAUCGUCGACAAAUAAUACUGAUCUUGUCUAGAUACCGCCUUGGUUACACCGGCUCUCUAGUAUAAGGUUAUUAUUAUUUGGCACGAUAAGCCCUUAGCACCAUAUUGAUUAGAGCGUGGUUCAUGAGGUGUGGAUUCCCCCCUCAUGAUUUAAUUGGCAUUAAUACGGAUUAUUUAGCCCAUGAUGCAUGUUGAUACGGAUCCAGAUACCCAAGUACGUCAUUUCAAUAGAAUUCUCUUCAAUUUAUUCUCGCCAUUUUAAUUUAAGUUUUAGCAUAUUCCAAAUCAUUUCCACCACAAUUCCAACCGCCCAUUUACAAAAUUAAUUCUAUAUAUAAUUAAAAAUCCACCUCCUCGUGGGAUCGACACUCGUCACCAUUAGUCUACACUACAAUAGAUUCGUGCGCUUGCGAGUACAUUAAAAUUUGCACAACAAGUUUUUGGCGCCGUUGCCGGGGAGGUAAGUAAUUUUAAUUCAUAGAAUUAAUUUUUGUGAAUAAUUUAUUUUAAAUUGUUUUCUUGUAUUUUUUAUUAUAAAAAAAAGAAAAAAAAGAGUAAAUCUACAUUUAAAGGUUAGUAUUUCUUUUCUUUUUCUCUUCUUUAAAAUUUUGUAAUUUAUUUUUCAAUUUAUUUUUUUUCUUUCUUUGUAAUUUUUUGUUUAUUUUAUUAAUUUAAUUUUUAGUUAAUUUAUUUCACGUAUUUUUUUUUGUGUAUUUUUAUAGAAAGGUUGUAAUAACGCAAUAAGGUUAGUAUCGUAAUUUCUCCCUCUUCUUUAUUUUUAUUUGUUUUGUUGCCAUCUUUAUUUUUAUUUUAUUUGUUUUGCAUGCAUGGUCGUAGGUCAUUAUUACCUAAUCUUGAACCUAUAGACCUUGAACUUGAGAAAACACUUCGCACACAAAAGCACAUUAAUAAAUUUGGAAUGGAUUUACAAGCACCACAGGAGAGGCCAUUUAAGGACUAUUUUAGUCCCUUAGCUAAUUUGAGCACAUCAUGCAUAAGAUACCCAAAUGUAGCUGCUAGGAGUUUUGAAUUAAAACCUAGUGUGCUAAAUUGUCUCCCCACAUUCUAUGGCUUAGAAAAUGAGGACCCAUAUAAUCAUCUGAAUGAUUUUCAUACCAUUUGUCAAAAUUUUAAAUAUGAAAAUUUUUCAGACGAUGAUGUUAAACUCAGAUUAUUCCCAUUUUCUUUAAAGGAUAGAGCUCGUUCAUGGUUAAAUACUUUGCCUGCUAAUAGCAUUGCAUCAUGGGAACAAAUGGUUACAAAACUUCUAAAUAAAUAUUUCCCAGUGCAUAAAACCAAUUCUAUUCGCAGGGAAAUUUCAGAGUUUACACAAAGAGAGGACGAGCAGUUUUUCGAAACAUGGGAGCGAUUCAAUGGGCUACUCUUGAAGUGUCCACAUCAUGGGUACGAAAAAUGGAACCAAUGUCAAUACUUUUUGGAGGGAUUACUACCAAAUGUGCAAGAAUGGCUAAUGGCAACAAGUGGAGGAGAGCUAAUGUCAAAAAGUGCAUCAGAAAUUUGGGAGUUUUUCCAGCGACAAGCGGACAAUUCCCAACAACGGAGUCGAUCACUCAGGAAUACUAAAAGAAUUAAAGGAGUGAAUGAGGUUCACAUUGGCGAGUCAAGUUCAGAAAUUAAAGAAGUCAAAGCAAUAAUUGAAGGUCUCUCUCGACAAAUAGCAUCGUUAUCGACUGCUAAAUCAACAGAGCCACAUGACCAUGACUCAUACUCAGAUCAAGCCAAUGCCAUAGGUGUAAUGAGAAAGCCAUCUAAUUACAACCCAUACUCCAACACAUAUAACCCUGGAUGGAGAGACCACCCCAAUUUUUCAUGGUCUCAAGGAUUCCAACAGAAUGGACCAGCAGCUCCAGCUCCACAAAUUCCUCAAAAUCCUCAAGCCUCUCAGCCCCCAUUUAGACCAUUCAAUCAGAACCAGAACUACUCUCAACCCAGACCAUGGAGGAUUCAUUCCAGAAUUUCAAGAAUGCUACUCACUCUACGAUUGAGCAACAGAACCGCACCAUUGAUGGACUACGAAAUGAGUUGAGAGCAGGCUUCAACUCACAAGCCCAAUCAGUUUCAAGCCUUGAGAAGAUGGUGGGACAACUCGCUUCUUCAGUUCAGACCUUGGCAAUGACUGUUGAGAAAGGUAAAUUUCCAAGUCAACCAGUGCCUAACCCUAAAGGAGUACAUGAAGCAAGUACCAGUUCACCACAGCAGCAUGGAGAGGUCAAAGCAGUAAUGACCUUGCGAAAAGGAAAGGAAGUCGACAACAAAGUGGAGAUGCCGGUGACCAAAGAAAAUCAAAUUGUACCUGUGAAUGUUGAGGACUCACCACCGGAGGAGAAAGAAGAAACCAACCCACGAGAAUACAUUCCGAAAGCUCCAUUUCCUCAGAGGUUAGCGAAAGGAAAAAAGGGAAAAUCCACAGGUGAGAUUCUUGAAAUCUUUAAACAGGUAAGUGUUAACAUCCCUUUGCUUGAUGCUAUUAAACAAGUUCCAUCUUAUGCCAAGUUUCUUAAAGACCUUUGUACUAAAAAGAGAAAUAUGCAUGUUCAAAAGAAGGCAUUUUUAACAGAAAACGUUAGUUCUAUACUCCAACAUAAAAUUCCUUUAAAAUGCAAAGACCCAGGCUCCCCCACUAUCUCAUGUAGUAUAGGGAACCACACAAUUGAGAAUGCUUUGUUGGAUUUAGGAGCUAGUGUAAAUUUGUUGCCUUAUUCAGUAUUUGUGAAACUUGGACUGGGAGAAUUACACCCAACUCCAGUGGUGUUACAGCUUGCAGAUCGGUCCACGAAAAUACCUCGUGGUAUUGUGGAGGACGUGCUUAUCCAGGUAGACAAGUUUUAUUUUCCUGUUGAUUUCAUUGUAAUUGACACUCAACCAAUACAGGACUCAAGGAAGCACAUCCCCAUUAUUCUAGGCCGACCUUUCUUGGCAACUGCAGAUGCUCAUAUUCAAUGUAGGACCGGAAAUAUGCAAUUGUCCUUCGGCAACAUGACUAUGGAGCUAAACAUUUUCAACAUUGCCAAACAACCUCACAGUGCAGAUGAUGGAAUUGUUGAUGUGGAUUUAAUAGAAACAAUAGUUGAUAAUACUUUUCUUUCAAACCUUAGUGAUGAUUCUUUACAAACAUGUUUAACUCACUUUGGUUUGGAUUUUGAUAUUGACAGAUCGGUCGAAGAGGUCAACGCCCUACUUGACUCAGCACCAUCCAUGGACACUAAUAAAUGGAAGUCAAGAGUUGAACAACUAGCACCAUCAGAGAAGAAACUCAUUCCAUCAUCAGAAUCACCACCGAAACUCGAGCUCAAACCAUUACCCAACACUCUGGAAUAUGCAUUUUUGGGAGAAGAAAGUACUCUGCCGGUAAUCAUCUCAUCAUCCCUAAAUGACGAACAAAAAGGUAAGUUGUUGGAUGUUUUAAAAGAGCACAAAGGGGCAUUAGGAUGGACCAUAGCAGACAUAAAAGGUAUAAACCCAGUAGACUGCAUGCAUUACAUUCACCUUGAUGAAAAUGCUAAAACUACUAGGGAGAUGCAACGUCGGUUAAAUCCUAACAUGAAAGAAGUUGUUAGAACUGAAGUCCUUAAGCUAUUAGAUGCAGGUAUCAUUUACCCAAUUUCUGAUAGUUCAUGGGUCAGUCCUGUACAAGUUGUCCCCAAAAAGUCAGGAGUCACAGUAGUUACCAAUGCUGAUAAUGAAUUGAUACCAACUAGAGUAACUACAGGAUGGCGUGUAUGCAUUGAUUAUAGAAAGUUGAAUUCUGUCACACGUAAAGACCAUUUUCCUUUACCAUUUAUUGAUCAAAUGCUUGAUAGAUUAGCAGGCCAUGAAUUUUAUUGCUUUCUAGAUGGCUACUCAGGAUAUAAUCAAAUUCCCAUAGUACCAAAAGAUCAAGAGAAAACUACUUUCACUUGCCCUUUUGGCACUUUUGCAUAUAGGAGAAUGCCAUUUGGAUUAUGUAAUGCACCUGCUACAUUCCAACGAUGCAUGUUGAGCAUUUUUUCUGAUAUGGUUGAACGAUUCCUUGAAGUCUUUAUGGAUGAUUUUUCUGUCUUUGGUGACUCGUUUGAUCAAUGUUUACAUCAUCUAACACUAGUUCUACAGAGAUGUAUCGAGAAGAGCUUAGUCUUAAAUUGGGAGAAGUGCCAUUUUAUGGUAAAACAAGGUAUUGUUCUCGGUCACAUCAUUUCGAACAAAGGUAUUGAGGUUGACAAAGCCAAGGUGGAUCUCAUUUCUAAUCUUCCUCCACCCAAAACAGUCAGAGAAGUAAGAUCUUUCCUUGGACAUGCUGGUUUCUAUCGACGUUUUAUUAAAGAUUUUAGUAAAGUUUCUAGACCCUUAUGCAAUUUACUUGCUAAGGAUGUACCUUUUAUCUUUAAUGAUUCAUGUCUUAUGGCUUUUGAAAAAUUAAAGCAAUUGUUGACAUCAUCACCCAUCAUUCAGGCCCCAAACUGGAGCUUACCAUUUGAGCUCAUGUGUGAUGCAUCUGAUUAUGCAGUAGGAGCAGUAUUAGGACAAAGAGUUGAUCGAAUUCCUCACGUUAUUUACUAUGCUAGUAUGACAUUGAAUGAUGCACAGUUGAAUUAUUCAACUACUGAAAAAGAAAUGCUAGCAGUAGUGUUUGCAUUAGAAAAAUUUCGAUCUUAUCUCAUUGGUUGUAAAAUAAUUAUAUUCACAGAUCAUGCUGCUCUUAAAUAUCUUCUCACAAAGAAAGAUGCAAAAGCUAGACUAAUUCGUUGGGUGUUACUUUUGCAGGAAUUUGACUUGGAAUUCAAAGAUAAAAAAGGGACAGAAAAUGUUGUGGCGGACCACCUCUCUCGUCUCCAUUUUGACACAAUUACAGAGCCAUUAAUAUUAAAUGAGUCAUUUCCAGAUGAACAAUUGAUGAAUGUGGAAGUAUUACCUUGGUAUGCUGAUAUAGUUAAUUAUCUUGUUACAGGUAAACUUCCAGAGCAUUGGACCAAGCAAGACAAGGCUAAAUUCUUUGCGGAAAUAAAGAAUUUCUUUUGGGAUGACCCAUAUUUGUUCAAGUAUUGUGCAGACCAAAUUGUUAGACGAUGUGUCCCUGAAAGUGAAAUUCAGAAUAUCCUUUCAUUCUGCCAUGCACAAGCUUGUGGAGGCCACUUCAGUGCUAAGAAAACCGCGACUAAAGUUUUACAAUGUGGUUUCUAUUGGCCAACUAUAUUUCGAGACGCUUACACUUUCUGUUCUUCAUGUGAUAGGUGUCAACGAAUGGGGAGCAUUACACGAAGGAACAUGAUGCCACUAAAUCCAAUUUUAGUGGUUGAGAUUUUUGACGUAUGGGGUAUCGACUUCAUGGGACCCUUUCCCCAUUCUUUUGGCCAUCAAUACAUAUUGGUUGGUGUUGACUACGUCUCGAAAUGGGUAGAAGCAAUUCCAUGCAGGACCAAUGAUCACAAAGUGGUGAUAGGAUUUUUGAAAAGCAACAUUGUUUCACGCUUUGGAUUCCCUCGAGCGAUAAUCAGUGAUGGUGGUGCCCACUUUUGUAACAAAGCAUUCAAAGCUCUUUUGACAAAGUAUUCAAUCACACACAAAGUGGCGACCCCGUAUCAUCCGCAAACCAGUGGCCAAGUUGAGAUCUCCAAUCGAGAAAUCAAGCACAUAUUAGAAAAAACGGUGAGGCCAGACAGAAAAGAUUGGUCAUUAAGACUUGAUGAUGCAUUAUGGGCAUAUAGAACGGCUUUCAAAACCCCGAUUGGGAUGUCACCCUACAGGCUAGUGUAUGGAAAAGCUUGCCACCUACCUGUGGAACUCGAGCAUCGUGCAUAUUGGGCCAUCAAGAAAUUCAACUUUGACAUGCAGCAAGCUAGCUCAGAAAGAAGAUUACAACUGGCAGAACUUGAAGAAAUUCGCAAUGAUGCAUAUGAAAAUGCCAAAAUUUACAAGCAGCGGAUGAAAGUCUUCCACGACAAGCAAAUUAUGAGAAAAUCGUUCACUCCAGGUCAGAAAGUGCUUUUAUUCAAUUCUCGCUUACACCUAUUCCCAGGUAAGUUACGCUCUCGUUGGUCUGGCCCAUUUAUUGUACAUACUGUUUUUCCACAUGGGGCAAUUGAAAUUAAAGACCCAAAGAACGGUGUCACGUUUAAAGUUAAUGGUCAAAGAUUAAAGCCAUAUCUAGAAUACCAACCACAUGGAGAAGACACCGAAAUAAAUUUGAGUGACCCACCAGAUUUGAAUUAAUUUUUUUUUCUUUUCGUUGAUUUGAUUUUGUUUUCUUUCUUUAUAUUAUUCUUUUGCUAAUUGAAAUUAUUUUUGCAUAAGUGUGUUUGUUUAACAAUUGAGUUUUCUCUUAUCAUUUUUAAUCAUGAGUACCUUACUUAGACCGUUCCUCCUGAACAUUCUUAAACCACUUCAACGUGUCAAAACUCAUCUCAAAAAGCAGAUUCAAUUUUGUAAAACACAACGCAUUUGGGCUCUACAACCACCAGAGUUAGUAGCCUAUGUUGAGGGUUUAGAACGCCAACUUAGAGACAUUGAGAGAAGUGUUUACGACAUCCAGUUGGAGCUUGAGGUAAAUUCAAUAAGAGGACGAUUUUAAUUUUCUUUGUGUGUUUUAAUUUGUUUUUCUGUUUGUGUGCUUUAGUUUGUUACCCCGGUGAAGUGGCGGAUAACGGUACUCCGUGACAAUCAAGUCGGUUAACUUCAGUUUCCCAUAAUAACUGACAUUCUGAGGCGAAAGUAUGGACAGAAACGAGAUUCUAGCGAAGCUUCACAAGCGAUUCCCUUCACUUCCUCAGAAUGCCCUCCUUACGAUCUAUAAAGCUCGAUCUGAACGCAUGCGAUUACUCAUGAGGAAUAACAUACCUGCUGACAUCCGUUGGUUAAUCGAGGCUAAAAUACGAUCGGCAGGUGAGUUACCUCCAAAAUUUAUUGCAUUCAUGCCUGGUUGUGGUAAAGGAAAUUAUGCAAGAAAACGACGAGCUCGAAGAAUUUCUGUUGCUUGUCAUAAGUGUGCCAGAAUGAGUUGCGAUAGAAACCCAUGUUCUUUAGGAAUGGUGUCUGAUAACAGGGAAGAUAAGAUUCAAUUCAUUAGGGAUGGCUUGAAUAAGGAGUCAUUGGAUGAUAUCCUUUUGUCUCUUGAAACGCAUCCCAGUGGAUAUGUGCAAGGAGCGAUUCUCCGGUUAUGGCCAUUAUUCCAGAAAGAGCAUGCACGAUAUAGUCUCGGGAAUCUGACUAUAAACGACCCUGUUUGCCAGUUUAUAAGAAAACUGGAUGGGAAGCCCAUCCUCGACCCAUAGAGGGCGUUCAAGCCGUUUCUGGACGUAAAACCAGAGGAAGAUGUGAGCCACAGUCGCAACUACGUGUAAAUAUCCUUUUACUUUCUGUUAUUUUAUUUCACUAUUGUUUUAUCGUUUGCAUUAUUGCCUUUAAUAAUUUUAUUACUGUUUGCUUUUUCCUUUUUACUGUUUUCUUUUUGACUCGCGAGCCACGUGCUUUACGCGUUAUUUGACACUGACAUAUUACCUCAUUCACAGCUGUGAUCCACUGUCACCAAGAUUCUUAAAUGUGAUUUACUUUUUGUCUAGCACUCACAAAUUAUUUUUGAGAAGUAUCACAAUGGCAGCCACUCCCAAUAGACAAUUCAAGAACAUUUGUGUGCUUUCUGGAUUUACCUAUGGAAAACAUAAAGAGUUCGUUGAGGCAGCCAUAGAUCUUGGUCGAAGCAUAGCAGCGAGAAAAUUACACUUGGUGUAUGGAGGAGGUAACCGAGGGUUAUCAAAAAUGGUCUCAGAAGCAGCUUUUAUCAGAGGAAGUCAAGUGUUAGGCAUCAUCCCAAGAGUCCUAAAACCAUUGGGCAGUUCGUCUGACUCAUCAACUGGAGAAGAGUUAGUCGUCUCAGGUAUGCAAGAAAGAAUAACUGAAAUGCUUAAUCAUGCUGAUGUUUUUAUUUUCCUUCCAGGAGAUCUUGCAACACUAGAGGCACUUAUGACACUAGCAUCUUGGGCCCAUCUGCACAUCCACCAGAAACCCAUCGGUUUGUUAAAUGUCAAUAACUUUUAUGAUGGCUUUAUCGCAUUUCUUAACCAUGCAAUAAAAAACUAUUUCAUUCCUUCUAAUGUAAAAAAACUUUUUAUUUGUGCUCACACUGCUAAUGAGCUACUUGAUCUGUUACAAGCUUAUAAACCGGAGCCAGACCCCUGGACCUUUGUGUUGGAGCGCCCAAAUAAUGAUGGUAACAGUAGCCGCAGUAAGAAGUACAAAUUAGAUUUAACUCUCCGCCUGUAAAUAUUUUCUUCUGUGUUGCACCACCCAGGUGAUGUCUUCUAAACUCUACUUCUUUCCUUUAAAACAUUGAGGACAAUGUUUCGUUCUGGUUGGGGGGAGGGAAUAGUCGACAAUUGUGGAAUCUUGGUUAAGUUUUUACUGAUUUUUUGUUGUAGAAACUAACUGUUGCUAACGUUUUAUGUUGAAGAUGGCUGAAUAUGGAGUGUAGUUACUUUAGAAACGCAUCUUCAUCGUUUAAAAAAAAAAAAAACAAAAACAAAAAAAAGAAAAAAAAAAAAGACAAAAAAAAAAGACAAAAAAAAAAAAAAAUCGUUUUCUUCCUCUUUCUCCUUUAUAAAUAUAUAGUUUCAAAUUUUUGAGUCGAAGAUGGCUGAAUAUGGAGUGUAGUGCCUCUAGAAACGCAUCUUCUUAAUUUAAAAAAAAAAAAUUCUUUUUCUAAUUAAUUUUUUUACAUCAUUUUCACAUUUCUGCAUGCAUAUUUUCCUUUCAUGUUUAGAAUAGGUUGGGGGGUAGAAUGUUGUUUAAAAAAAAAAAAAAAAAAAAAAUUUGUGUUAUUUGUUUUAAUAUUGGUUGACAUGAUUAAUUUCAAAUUUUAGUAUUUGUAUUAUCUUUGGUCUUAAGUGAUGUUACGCUAUGUUUGCUACUUUACAUGUUGAUGUCGGAGACAAAUAUGAGUUGCUUGAAAGAAUGAACAUGUCAUAAAUAAAUGCCAAGUGAGUUGUUGAGCCUAUUAUUUUCUUGGAGAGUAACCCUUUUGCCCAUUCUCUAUACAGCUUAGCAGUUUAUUAUUUUAUACACGAUCUCUAGAUUUCUUUUGAGUUAACCUUUAAAAAAAAAAAAUGGUAAAAUAAAAAAAAAAUGUGUGUUGCUACAUUGGGAGGCCCAUCUAACUAGUAGAUAUGGAUGAUUAUUUAGAGCCCUAAAAGACGAUGGAAAGGCCAUCUUUGAUCCGUUUGAGCCUUUCUAGCCAUCCCUUUUAUUAAAAAUCCAUAGUUAACCCUUUUGAGCCUUUAAAAAAAAAAAAAAAAAAAAAAAAAAAAAAAAAAAAAAAAAAAAAAAAAACCUUUUCUUUGUCAACUUAUCAUCUUGACCCACUCCGAUUUGGAGUAUUACCCGAUGUCUUAUAAGUUCCAUCACCUAUUUAUGUUUGAGAAAAUGUAAAUAAUUAUGUUGUUCAGUGACGUUAUGCCAAAUAAAAGCAAAAAGAAAAAAAAACAAAAACAAAAGUUGUUGUUUCAAAAGAAUAAAAAUAACAAUAAUAGGUGAAAUCCACCUUGCAAGUUCCAAAAAAAAAAAAAAAAAAAAAAAUUCUGCAUUUUUCUCAAACAUACACUUUGUUUUCCUUAUUUCCUUUCUUUGUUAGCCAUAUCCCUAGCCUACGUUACGUCCUAAUAAAAGUCCUUCUUGAUUUUAGGGAACUAUAGUUUGAAGUAGAAGCUAGUUAUAUGGGCUAAAAAGAUGUAGUGAUGCAUAAUAAAAAAAAAAGGAUAAAUAAAGUGGGUUGACUAGCAUUUUUUUGACUUGAGAUCAUAUUAUUUCUAAGCUGAGGGCAUAUUUAUUUCAUCUUAGUGAGAGCAUGUGAUAACACUUCUUUAUUAUUUUCUCUCUCAAUUACCAUUCAUUGGAGUGACUAUUUUUUAUUGGGUUUAAUUUAUUUGUGAGAGUGUCACUAUUUCCAGUGAGAUUUUUGGGUUUGACAUGUCAUUCUUGAAAGUAACUAUAACAAAGUCUACUAGGCUAAUUCAUGUGGAUGGUUGAUAUAGGUGUGAUGUUGCUUUAGACUUGAGAUAAUGCUUAUACUUUUAUUUGAUUGCUAUCAUCAAUCUGAUUGAAUAAACAUGAGUGUUUCUAUCAAAAAUAAAAAAAAAAAAAAAAAAAAUCAUUUUGAAUUUGAAUUUUGUUUUCGCUUUAUUUGCUAGGGACUAGCAAUAAGCUGGUUGGGGGGUGUGUUGAGUGUUAGAAAAUGCAUAUUUAUAAAGGAGAAAACCGUCAUUUUACAUUUCAAGUCUUAUUAACAACCCUUACUUUUAUGUAUUUAACCUUCUUGUGAUUUAAUUACAUGUGUUUUAUUUUAAUUAAGUAUUUUAUGUAUUUUAGGGGCAUUAUAGUCAUUUCACAAUAAAGGAGAGAUCAGAUGGCAAAACGGACAUCACUUUUGAAUUCAGGACGGUCGAAAACCUUAGGAGGGGCAUAAAAGGAAAAAUGGUACUAUUCACAUGUACGGUACUAUUCACGUAUACGGUACUGUAUAUGUUACUGUUCACGGCACUGUUCAUAUAGACGGAUCGAUGACGUGGCAUUGACCGAUGAUGUGGCAUUGACUGAUGAGGUGUCACGAUCCUGUUGGACUAAAAUUCUUAUGUACUGUUGAUGGUGACGUGGCAGCAUAUCAGUGGACGAAAAAUCUCGCGUACGGUGCAUGCAUCACACAGGAUUAUUUUCAACCAAACCGUGUUACUGUUCAUCCACGUGGUCAAACCGUGGACUGUUGACUGAUGACGUGGCGCAAUCCUGAGCGUCCAAACUGUUUUUAAUCCGAUGGCCAUGAUUUACUCCAUGUAUCUAUAAAAAGGGGGCCUCCCCCCCCUAAUUUGAUAGCUCUGAAUCCAUUUUUGGGAUUCAUUUUCUGUAAUUCCUUCUCCAUCUUGUAUUUUCUUCGUAUUUUAAUAAAUUCCCAUUUUGCCCCUAGUUCAAUUAUGAGUGGCUAAUUUUCUUUCAAGCUUGGGUUGAAGGUGAAGUCUCAACAUGUGUCAUGGGCUUAAUUUGGUAAAUUUAUUUUCUCUUCCCCUCUAGUUUUUGUGGAUGUUUUGACUUAUCGUCGACAAAUAAUACUGAUCUUGUCUAGAUACCGCCUUGGUUACACCGGCUCUCUAGUAUAAGGUUAUUAUUAUUUGGCACGAUAAGCCCUUAGCACCAUAUUGAUUAGAGCGUGGUUCAUGAGGUGUGGAUUCCCCCCUCAUGAUUUAAUUGGCAUUAAUACGGAUUAUUUAGCCCAUGAUGCAUGUUGAUACGGAUCCAGAUACCCAAGUACGUCAUUUCAAUAGAAUUCUCUUCAAUUUAUUCUCGCCAUUUUAAUUUAAGUUUUAGCAUAUUCCAAAUCAUUUCCACCACAAUUCCAACCGCCCAUUUACAAAAUUAAUUCUAUAUAUAAUUAAAAAUCCACCUCCUCGUGGGAUCGACACUCGUCACCAUUAGUCUACACUACAAUAGAUUCGUGCGCUUGCGAGUACAUUAAAAUUUGCACAACAGCGCGCGCGUGUGUGUGUGUGUGUGUCUCUCUCUCUCUCUCUCUCUCUCUCUCUCUCUCUCUCUCUCUCUCUCUCUCUCUAUAUAUAUAUAUAUAUAUAUAUAUAUAUAUAUCUUGUUUUCAUUUCAUCUUUAACUUUUUAAUGCGCUUUUGUUGCUUUGAAGAUACAUGAAAAUUAACUCCUACAAGAAGGGGGGGGGGGGGGGGGGUGGGGAACGGGGGAGGAUUUUAUUACAUGAGACUUUUUAGUUUUGUUUUGAGGGAAUGGGAGAUUUCUUGAAUGAAAUGGCUGUGAUGAUGAGCCAAACACAAACUAAUGUAAGCAUUCUUCAAUGCAUAUUUAUGUUUUCUAUAGAAUAAUUUGAGAAUUGUGUUUGGAAAUUCCUAGGCAUUAUUUAGCUUUUUCCAAGCUUUAGUUAUGGCUUUUACUUUGCUGGUUGGCAAAAGAAUGACGGUAUUUUGAUUUCUCCUAAUCAGAUUGCAAAUGGGUCAUUUAGUCACAAGGGCAACAUAUUUUAAUCUAUUUUUAUUUUUAUCCUCAGUGUGUUCAUGCUCUGAAAAGUAGUGAUUCAUGGUGCCUAGUUUUGGUCUUGUUCAAUGGCGAAUUACAUAUAAGUUCUAUUGUUGGGAAAUUGAUUGGUGAAGCAGACACGCAAUUAAAGUGAAAUUGAGAAAUAAUGAGACAGCAGAAUCACACAGGGACACCAGGAUUUAAGUGGUUCGGCUUUUAACCUAGAUUCACGGGUGAAAACAGAAGAAAAAUAUUUUACUAGUGAUAUGAGAAUUACAAGUAUUGUAAUAUUUUGUCUCACUAUCCAGAACCCCAAUGUACCCAAUCGCUUACUCACUAAUCUCUCAAGCCAAGAGUUUAUUAAAUUCUUAAUACUCUCAACUCCCUAAAUGUAGGAAAUGCUUCUCUCAAACUGGAUGUUGAAAUGAGGAGAAGCAUCCUUUAUAGCCAAAAAUUGGCUUCGGUUCAUGCCUAUUAUUUUUAUUUAUUUAUUAGUAUUUUAUUAUUAUUAUUUCCGCUGAGCGGCCCGCCACUUUCUUUUCUUCUUCUUCUUCUUAUUUCUUCUUUUUUUUUUCUUUUUCCUUUGCGGUUGAGCACUAGCAGUGCCCACUGCUUACUUUUUGACAUCUAUGUGGGCCCCACAAAAGUUGUUCUUGGAGGAAUUGAAUAACUGAAUUAUUCAAACCUGACUUAAUCUUCCAGCAGUGUUAUUGCUUGGUAUUUAUCUUUGUAUGCUUUGAUUGUAAAUUUGACAGGAAAAUGGUGAGGAGACCUUGGAGGAAUUGCAGAAUUUGUUUGAAUAGAUGUUUAAAGGAGACACCAAUGCUUUCGAGCCUAAACUUAUUCUGAUUAUUUCAUCUGUACUUAGAUUUGAACUAAGAAUUUUUUUGUGAUGGUAUGUUAGCUUUUAUAAAUUUCCUUUCUUUAAUAAAAUCUCACUUUGUUUUUAGCGGAAGUUAAUAAGAUCGGAUGGUGGAUUGUAUUGCUGUGUGUCAAAUGAAAUUUUAAACAACGUGCUUCUGGCUAGAGACCUCGAACCAUUUUUUAUGAUUUAGAAUGUUGUAACCAUUAGAAGCUUCCUUGUCAUAAACUGGUGGCUCAGAUUAUUGAAAUGUUCAUGAAAGCUAAUAAUCUGAUUUCCCAUUGUAUAUUAUCAGAUUCCCUUUUGUUGCAAUCUUGUGGUUGAGCAGGUCUCAAGAUUCUGACCUUUUUCACCCCGCUUUCUGACAGAAGAAUUUGCCUAUCAUUGUCAAGUGUUUGGCAAUUAGCCACCAUCUGCUGUAUUCAUUAUGAAAGCAUUGUAAAUUUGAUCCCUUAAGAAGGGGAGAAAUUGAUCAAGCUGAUUGGUUAUACUCAUUGUAUGCCACAAGUGCUUUAUCAAACCACAACAGGUAACACCCGUGCGAAGGGCGCAAGCCAAAAUUGAUAGCUGCACCAGUAUCAUCAAGAUACUCCUUUUCCGGUCCAUCUAUGUCUUACCGAUGGCAUUUUUACUAUUCAUCCUCUGUACUAUUUGUUUCUUUAGCAAAUUUCUUUCUGUAUUAUGAGUCUUAAUAAAAGUUUAAUUGUAGACAACUUUUUUGCCUUGAAAGUAUAUUUUAAACCUUUCAAACCCAUUAGCUCCAUUGGGAAACUUAUGACUUUAUGGAAAUAUUUGUUGCAUUUUGUCACUGAUGGUCAGUCCAUAAAAUUAGUUGACUGAUAGUGUCAAGCAGUUAGCAAUACAACUUUUUACCAAUGAUAUAACUCUUUUCAUUCUGUAUUUUGUUCGACACUUAAUUCGGUUCCAUUAUGUCAUUAUCUGUGCUUGAUUGAGUUGCAUGUUCAUGCACAAGAAUUUCCCAUCGCGGUGUUCCUAAGCUACUUUAUAAGACCUGGAUUUGUCUUUAACUAGGAUAUGGCUUUUUUUGAGUUGAAAAGCCUACUGUGAAAGUUAUCUGCUCAAAGCAAAAAAAAAAAAAAAAAAAUUCGUGGGAGGGAAAUUAAAUUUUGGCGAAGUUUGCUUUGGGGAUUUUGAAGAUAACUUGUAAAUUUGUUACACAUAUUGAGUGAUUCAAGGUUUUCAAUACAUUUCUUCCAAGGAAUCAGUUUUGUUUGGCUUCUCAAACUAUGCUUCUAAUCCAAUAUCUUAACUACGGCUGGCAAAAAGCUAUUCACUGUUAUAAUGGAUUGUUAUUGGAAAUAAUCAAAUAAAGCCUAUGAAGAAUUAGAAUAAAAGCUAUAUUUUGUCUUUGUGAAGGGAAUAUUUGACAACCAAUCCACCGAUAUUUUUUUCUAUUAAAACCUAUACUUAUUAUAGCCUCAAUCAUUUCGAGACAUACCGGAGAAAUCUAACUAAAAAGUUGAUAAAUUUUAAUUCAUUCUCCCGAUAGAACAACAAUCUUGAUUUUAUCACCUAAAAGAGUGAAAAUAUCAAUUUAGCCUUCAUUUUCAUUCAAUAAGGUGAGAGCAUAUUGUGGAUGCGGUGAUGGAUUUCUUUUUUUUUUUCUUUGUAUGGUUGUUUAUACAAAAACUUAGCAUAUAUACCAAAAACUUAGCACUGAAUGAUAAGAGCAUUGCCUUCUUAGGGCGGAAGUCGUGAGUUUGAGCCUUAUCCUCUUGGAAGUAAAUCAAAGACUUAUCAUUUUAAGUGAGGGGCAAAUUAAAGUUUAUUCUAAAGACUAAAAUGUUAUAUGAAACAACUUUAGCCAUUUACAACUAUUAAUUGUCUGCUACUAUUUUCUUUUUUUAAUUCUAAAGUCUUUAUUACUCUUUCUCAUAUUAGUAGUUAGUAGACAUUCUAAAUUUUCUUUUAACAUUUUAUUCUAACAUUUUUUCCCCGAAAACGACAAUGGCAAGCUAAUUUGACCUAUCUUGACUGACUGAAUUUGGAUAACUUGUGUUACGCUCUCUCUCGUAAUUCAUAAAGACGACCACUUUGAUUUGCACUAUCCUUUCUGUGUCAUUGUGCUCACGUUGCAAGGGAUUCGUCACGCCCGCAGUUGUCAAAUUAAAGUUACAUUACAUUUACAUACGUUAAAGACUUUAUUUGAAUAUUCUCCAUCGUCUUUAUUGACCCUUUUUUAUCUUUUAUUUUUCCUUGUGUCGAAAGAAUCCUUCACUGAUUGGAAUAUCCAUGAUGACUGGUUGCAAUUGGAAGAGUCCCUGAAAUUCAUCUUUCAUUCGAUCUUAAAUACUUUCUCCGAACAAUUAGAAUACAUUAAGAUUUUAUGAACUUGCUUAGUAGAUCAUUCAACUGCUUAAUUGGUGCAGUUAAUUAAUUGAUUAUCUUCCCAGAAACACAUUAAAGACUCUCACGGGGAUUCAUUAAACCUUUUCGCUGGGUCAAUUCUACAAGCAUCAGACGUAAAAGCUUCAUGAUAAGAGCACAAGCCUAUCGUCUUCAAAAGCUCUUGGAAAAAGCUAGCUAUUUUCUUUAUUGUCAUUUCCAUCCAUUUUAACCCUUUCUUUUUCAUUUUGUACAAUUUUGACUUGACUCUGAAAUAGAGAACAAUGAUAUUUAGACAGAAAAAUUUAAUAGAAUGUUUAAAAAUAAAAUAAAAUUAGUCUCGGUUUAUCUUGUACUAGUUUUACCUUAUUGAUGUCAAUGAUUUUCUAAGAAAAAAAGAAACUUCGUUAAUUUUACCUUUGUUUCAUGAUGAGAUUAGUGCUGGAGCCGUCAUGGACUCAUUGCUAUGCAGAAUUCAAAAAUCAAGCUUAAACAGUUUUGGUGAAAUUUCUAUAUUGAAAUUCUUGUUAAUAAAUCAUUCACACUUUAAUGAAAGUAUUAAUAGCAGCCGUGUAACUCACUAACUCCCUAUUAAUUAAUUUUUAUAAAUUGCUACCGGUAACUCCGUAUUAAUUAAUUUAUCACGCGUUGUAUAUACAGAGUAGCGUAUGUUGAGAAUCAAAUAAAACGACAUUGAAUGAAGUUUUCAAAGACAGAAUCUGCACUUGUCAAAGGGGUAAUCUACACUUGUCAAAGACAAGAUCCGCGCCGAACGGAUUGACACAUUUCCUUCCGUAUUCACAUAUGUAAUCUUUGAAAAAAUGUAGCCUCUGCAUUUAUAAAUAACUCUCAAUGUAUAAUGUUUUUUUAAGAAAUGAAAACACGUUUCUUCAUGGUAUCAGAGCCAUGAAUACGCUCAACUUUCUUCAAGUUCCGCUGCUCUGUUUGUAACAAAAACAGAGGAAACCAAAUUCCUCCCACAACCAUUUUUCCCACCAUUUUCUUUCUUAAACCCAUUCUUCCCAUUACAGAUAUCCAUGCCGAUCAAGAAACAAGCCACCCAUACGUAAAAAACUUGAGUUUACAAAUUUAUCAACAAUCCCAUCAAUUUUCCAAGAGUGUGUUCUUCAAAAACCAAGAACACCAUCAAAUUUUUCAGUUUUCAGUGAGGAAACUGUAAAAAUUUCACAUUUAAACACAUUUGCACGCCCUCACACGCGCCACCCGAAGCCACGGCCAGUCAACCACGCGCCUCUGUCAUUAUUCACGCGCUAUCACGCGCUCCAGAGGUUGAAGAAGACGUCAACCGACAUGUCGUUUUUAUCUCAGAAGUGCAGCAGUAAAAAUCGACUUGUCGUUUUUUUGUUAUAUAAACACCGACAGGUCGUUUUGAAAUUUGAGAUAAAACGACGUGACGUUUACUCUCCAGAAGUGCAGCAGGAUUUAAACGACAUGUCGUUUAUAUUCCACCAUAACCGACAUGUCGGUUGGUCAAGCAGUGGCCAAACGACUUGUCGUUUUGUUAUCUAAAAAGGUUUUUUUUUUCUUCUUUCAAUCUAGACAAAAAAAAAAAAAAUACAAAAAAAAGAAAAAAAAAGAAAAGAAAAGAAAAAAAAGAAAAAGAAAAAAAACAAAAAAAUGGAGAAAACUCCAACUGAAUCUAUUCAUGUUGUCAUUCAAUCUGUUCAAUCUGAUGGAGUAUUUAAUGCUGGAAUUAUCCUCACUGAGACAAACUAUGAUGUUUGGUCUCAAAUAAUGGAGAUGCAUCUUGCAGAAAGAGAAAAACUCUCAUAUAUUCGUAGCAGCACAAAGCCAUCUGAGGAAUUUUCAAAGGAAUAUGAGAAAUGGUAUAGUGAGAACCAAAAAGUAAAAAGAUGGUUACUAAUAUCCAUGUCUCCGGAGAUCAUGAAGCGAUAUUUACGAAUUCCUACAGCCUACGAAAUCUGGGAUGCAUUAUCAAAAGCCUUCUAUGAUGGAAGCGAUGAAUUACAAGUUUUCACUCUAAAGCAGAAGGCAUUCUCUACCAAGCAAAAUGGACAACCACUCUCUAAAUUCUAUGGAGAAUUGAUCGAAAUAUUUCGAGAACUUGAUCACCGAGAUAAAGUGGUCAUGAAGGAUCCAGAAGAUGUUGUAAUAUACAGAAGGUCUGUUGAAAGAUUGAGAGUGCACAUUUUUCUUGCUGGGCUAGAUGAAGAAUUUGACCAAGUUCGUGGAGAAAUUCUACGAAAAGAUAUUAUCCCAGACUUAGAAGAAUGUUAUUCUCUGAUCCGAAGAGAAGAUAUACGGCAAAGCAAACUAAACAAGAAGGUCGACUCAGAAACGUCUACUAUGAUAGCACGACAGCAACCUCAAAGGAAGUUUGUUGACAAGUCAUCACUCCAUUGCACUCAUUGUAGAAAGAAGGGUCAUACAAAAGAACAAUGUUUUGAAAUCAUUGGAUAUCCUGACUGGUGGGAUACUCGAAAGAAGAACACCAAGCAUGGAUCAAAUACUGCAGUAGCUGAAUCCACAUCCACUACAGAUCUUAGAAAAGAAUCUUCAGUGCAAAUCGCAACCUCUGUCAGUCCAGGUAAAGCCCUUAAAACUCUUACACCUGUUAUUAAUAGUACAUGGAUAAUUGAUUCUGGGGCAACUGAUCAUAUGACUUUUGAUUCUCGACAAGUUUCUCAAUUGAAACCAUCUUCACAAAAACAUAUUUCCACUGCAAAUGGAACCACAACCUCAGUUAUUGGGGAAGGAUCUUUACGACUCACAAAUGAAUUAAAUUUAGACACUGUGUUAAUUGUUCCAUCUUUAGAUUAUAAUCUUUUAUCUGUGUCUCAAUUAACCACUUACUUAUCAUGUGUUGUAAUUUUUUGGCCUGAUCAUUGUGUGUUUAAGGACAUCCAAACGAAGCAAACGAUUGGUUAUGGUAUUAGACGAGGCAACUUGUACUACUUGGAGAUGUCAUCAACAAACACUAGAAAGCUAAGCCCCGCACUAGUCGCAGAUAGUUUCAUAAAAAAAAGGAAAUCAGAAAUUUGGUUAUGGCAUAGACGUUUAGGGCAUGUGUCGUUUGGUUACUUAAAAAAAUUAUUUCCUAGUUUGUUUAUGAAAUUUGAUGUUUGUAACUUUAAAUGUGAUGUUUGUGAACUUUCAAAAAGCCAUCGAACUACUUUUCCAUUGUCCUUAAAUAAAAAUCCAGUUCCUUUCAUGGUAGUACAUUCUGAUGUAUGGGGGCCAUCUAAAGUUUCUACAAUUGGAGGUGCUCGUUGGUUUGUUACAUUUAUUGAUGAUUGUAGCAGAAUGACAUGGAUUUUUCUGAUGAAAUCGAAAGACGAAGUAAACUCUUUAUUUCAAAGAUUUCAUAAGAUGGUGACAACUCAAUUUCAGACACAAAUUCAAGUUCUACAUACUGAUAAUGGAGGCGAGUAUAUGAGCACUGCAAUUCAACAGUUUCUGAAAUCACAAGGAUCUGUCCAUCAAACCACUUGUGUGGGGACACCCCAACAAAAUGGCGUUGCUGAACGAAAAAACAGACAUUUACUAGAAGUUGUUCGAGCAUCACUAAUCCAAGCCCACAUGCCAUUAUCUUAUUGGGGAGAAGCACUAGCAUCCGAAGCAUACUUGAUCAAUCGAACACCUUCAAGCUCCCUUGGAUUCCAGACUCCUUUCCAAGUUCUGAAUGAUGCAAUUAUGUCACAAAAUGUGCCGAAUCUGCCCCUACAUGUGUUUGGUUGUGUUGCCUUCGUUUAUUUGCGGCAACAAGACAAAUUAUCUCCUUGAGCGCUACGUUGUGUGUUUGUAGGGUAUGCCUUACAUCAAAAGGGAUACCGAUGCUAUCAUCCACCAUCAAGAAAAAUAUACAUCACCAUGGAUGUCGUUUUUCAUGAAGAUAUCAUGUACUACUUGUCAGAGUCUGAAUUUCAGGGGGAGUAUAAUGAAGAGGAAAUUCAUACUCUUACAUAUCUUCCACCUGAAGAAAGUCAAUCUUCCAUUGAGAUAGUAAACCUUCAAGAUACUGGAAAAGAAAAUGGUGAUGAUUCUCAGGCUGAGAUAAGUGAAGACACAUUUGGGGAGCACAAUAACUUAGACACAACUGCAAUCGAGAAUGAGUCACAUGAAGAAAUACCUAACCAAUCGUCUGCAGAGGAUGUUCCUACCACAAGUCCAAUCAGAAGAAUUCUUCCCCAGCGUCAAAAUAGAGGUAUACCUAAACCCACAUAUGAGCCUGACUUCUCUAGCAGAGUCAAAUACCCUAUGAGUCAUUUUGUGUCUAACCAUCGCUUGUCAGAAUCAAAUUAGUCAUUUGUGAAUCAAUUAUCUGUUGUAUCUAUUCCUAACAGUGUGCAGGAAGCUUCCUAACACAACUGCAAUCGAGAAUGAGUCACAUGAAGAAAUACCUAACCAAUCGUCUGCAGAGGAUGUUCCUACCACAAGUCCAAUCAGAAGAAUUCUUCCCUAGCGUCAAAAUAGAGGUAUCCCUAAACCCACAUAUGAGCCUGACUUCUCUAGCAGAGUCAAAUACCCUAUGAGUCAUUUUGUGUCUAACCAUCGCUUGUCAGAAUCAAAUCAGUCAUUUGUGAAUCAAUUAUCUGUUGUAUCUAUUCCUAACAGUGUGCAGGAAGCUUUAAAAGACCCAAAGUGGAAAGCGGCUAUGAAUGAUGAAAUGAGAUCUCUUCAGAAAAAUCAAACAUGGGAACUAGUUGAUCUUCCACCAGGAAAGAAACCAGUGGGUUGUCGAUGGAUUUACACUAUAAAAUACAAAGCAGAUGGCUCUAUUGAACGAUACAAAGCAAGACUCGUAGCUAAGGGUUACACCCAAACCUACGGGAUUGAUUAUACUGAUACGUUUGCACCGGUAGCAAAAAUUAAUACUAUUUGUAUCUUAUUAUCAUUAGCAGUCAACUUGGAUUGGCCAGUGCAACAGUUCGAUGUAAAGAAUGCUUUCCUCCAUGGAGACCUGUCUGAAGAAAUUUAUAUGGAUCUGCCACCAGGAUGCAGUAGACCAGAACGACUCAAUUAGAAAGUAUGCAAAUUGAAGAAAUCAUUGUAUGGGUUGAAGCAAUCCCCAAGAGCAUGGUUCGGGAAAUUCACAAAGGUUAUGGUUCGUUUUGGGUAUAACCAAAGCAAUUCAGAUCAUACCUUAUUCAUUAAAAAACGACAAGGUAAAAUCACUGCCCUUAUUGUCUAUGUGGAUGAUAUGGUAGUUACAGGCAACGACGAGGAAGAAACAGAGGCUCUUCAGAAGUACUUGUCAAGAGAGUUUGAGAUGAAGGAUUUAGGUGCCUUAAAAUACUUUCUUGGAAUUGAGGUUUCUCGAUCUAAGGGAGGAAUCUUUCUGUCUCAAAGGAAAUAUGCCUUAGAUCUAUUGCAUGAAACGGGAAUGACAGCUUGUCAGCCUAUUGACACCCCAAUAGAAGAAGGACUGAAGUUUUGUAUUACUUCAGACCAAGUUCCAAUAGACAAAGGAAGAUAUCAAAGGCUGAUUGGAAGAUUGAUGUACUUGUCCCAUACAAGGCCAGAUCUUGCUUAUGUAUUGAGUGUUGUAAGUCAGUUUAUGCAUAAUCCCAGAGAACAACACAUGAAAGCAGUAAUGCGGAUCCUGAGGUACCUGAAGACAAAUCCAGGAAAAGGAAUCCUAUUUUCCAAAAAUGAAGAUUACAGCAACAUAGAAGUUUAUACUGAUGCAGAUUGGGCCGGGUCAGUUAGUGAUAGACGCUCUACUUCACACUUUACCUUUGUGGGAGGCAACCUUGUCACAUGGAGAAGCAAGAAACAACAUGUCGUUGCCCGUUCGAGCGCUGAAGCAGAAUAUCGAGGCAUGGCCCUUGGGAUAUGUGAAGGGCUAUGGAUAAGUUUUAUCUUAAACGAUUUGGGCUAUCCAUCACAACAACCAAUACAACUAUACUGUGACAACAAAGCUGCACGAGAUAUUGCUCAUAACCCAGUUCAACACGAUCGAACAAAACAUGUGGAGGUAGAUAGAUUUUUCAUCAAGGAGAAAUUAGAUGAAAAAAUCUUAGAACUGCCGAAAAUUCGAUCAGAAGAUCAACUUGCAGAUAUUUUAACGAAGGCCAUUUCAAGCAGGGCAUUUACAAAAUUCCUAGACAAGUUGGGUAUGCAAGACAUCUAUGCACCAACUUGAGGGAGAGUGUUGAGAAUCAAAUAAAACGGCAUUGAAUGAAGCUUUCAAAGACAGAAUCUGCACUUGUCAAAGGGGUAAUCUGCACUUGUCAAAGACAAGAUCCGCGCCGAACGGAUUGACACAUUUCCUUCCGUAUUCACAUAUGUAAUCUUUGAAAAAAUGUAGCCUCUGCAUUUAUAAAUAACUCUCAAUGUAUAAUGUUUUUUUAAGAAAUGAAAACACGUUUCUUCAGCGUAAUGGGAUUUUUUUUUUUAAUGUUGAUCUUUUACUCAAUUAAUUAAUUAAACAUUUAUAAAUGAUCACUAAGUAUUCAUGAGUAUGUGGCACAUGAGCUUAAACAUGAAUCAAUAUUUGCUAGUGCAUUGGUGGUUAGCACAAAUAACUUCGAUGAUAGAGAGUGACUGGGAAGCAUUAAGGGGAUGGAUCCUUUAAUGACCUGAUUUUUAAGCAAAUUUCACUUAUAUGUUUAUUGGUUAAUCAAGUAAGUAAUAAAAAUAGUUAAAUUUUAAUCAUACAUUAAUAUUAAAAGGCAAGUUAUAUAAGAUCUUUAAACGUUCAAAAGAGAUCAAAUCAAAAGAGGACUUAAAUUUGAGAAUAACUCUUGUAAAAUUUAAGUUUUAUGUGCUCAUGAAAGUACUUGUUAUUAAAGGUAUCUCUUGAAUAUUUAAUGGUUUAACAAAUUAUGUUCUUUAUAGACAGUUUGUAAAUUACUCUCGUCACUGCCACCAUGACUUGUAUUGUUGUUGUGAGCAGUUUAAUGGAAUGCAAUAUCAAUUUACUUGUUAGAAAAAAAAUCGAUUAUAAAUACUAAUUUGACUUUAUUGUGCUCUAGAGCAAAAUACAAAGUGGUUAUUUAGUGAUUAUUAGUUUAACUUACAAUGAUAGAUAUAUCUUAAAUAUACAUAUUAAGAUAUAUAUAUACACACACAUAGAUGUGCGUGCGUGCGUGUGUGCGUGCGCUUGUGCCAAGAGACAAACAAAUAUACGAUGAAUAAAGAUUUCCAAACCUAAAGACUUCAAAUUAAUGGUGAAACAUCUUUGCAAAUUAAACUAAGAAAAAUUGAAAAAGUAUUUUAUCAUUUUAUGCAUGGAAUUCCACGUCCAUGCAUGCAUGUACCCAACAAAUGCACUUGUAAUUUAGUAUGCAUAUGGUACACACAAAAUGUUGUCUUGGAAAAGUCUCAAUGGAUGACACGUGAUCAUGUCAUUGUACGUACACGCACAACGAAUAAUCCUUGCGACGACUUGCAUAAAACAAAAAAGGAGAUGUCUCUCUUUGUCCCUGUAGUUUAUGUACCCAUGGAGGAGUCAAUAUAUUUUUAGAAAUUCACUCUAAAAAAAAUAUAAAUUCUAUAUUCUUUUUUGGUUAAAAUCUACCUAAUUAUUUUCUAUUUUCCAUCCGUUAUAUAUUAAAUUAGUUUUAAUUUUAAAUUUUAUCAUAUAAAAAUUCUGUUUUAGCUUUAAAAAUUUAUGUCCAACAACUAAGAAAGUAAGUAAAGAGAUGUUCUGGAUAAUCUUUUAAAAUAUAAUAUUGACUAAACUGGAUAAUUGACUCAAAUUACUCAAUGACGAGCCAAAAGUGGAUUGGUUAUCCACUUUUGUACGGCUUUGAAUGACUUUAUUUUCUACAUACUCCGCAUCAGUCGUUGUGACGACGUAAUUACGAAAACAACUAGAAGCUGGCCAAGACGACGGGCAAGCUGAGAACAUAUUCGUAGGCAUUUUCCCUUCAUUUACACCAAAUCUAAAGUUCUGAACUGAAUGAAAGAGGAAGCCAACUUGAAUUACAUUUUUUUCCAGCAUUUUUUGGUCGAACGAACCAUUUCACUUGGAAUCAUAAUGAGUCGUUGCAAGGAAAUGUGUUAUUUUGAUCAUUACUUUGUUUAAUAUUCUUGUUUGCGGUAUUUUAAUUUGAGAGAUAUAUAAGUCUCAAAGGAAUGUCGGAUUCCGUGCUCACAUGAUGAGCUAUAUAAUAUAUGUUGGUUUUACUUAAGGUUGUUGUAAUUAGUAGUUUAAAAAAAAGUACUAGCACAACUCUAAUAAUGGAUAAAAAUUCCUAAUUAAUUUGAAUUCAUCUCUCAUUUGUCAUUUAAAAAAGAAAAAAGGAAAAAAAAAGAUUCAAUAAUGUUCUUAUUGAUCAACAUAGUAUUUGACACUUUUGUCUACCCAGAAACAAAGACUAACGACAAUAUGCUUUAAACGUUUUGAUGGUUUAGUUCUACCAACUUCAACGUAAAAUCACAGAUUGAGCACAUAAGUCAAUAAGUCAUGACCAUCAUUUUCAAAAUUCUCAAAUAUAGUCCAAUUUCUCUAUAAUCAUAAUAUUGAGGUAAGUUAAUUUUAUUAAUAUGAGAAUGUUAUAAUUAACUUAGUAAAGAUAUAGUUACAUAAAUUAUCGUUUUCACUUAGUUAUCCUUUGUGCAUUUAAAUUAGAGGUAAAAUAUUUACUAUAUUAAUAAUUAAUUACUGGAUUAUGUCAGAAAUUGAUAUUAAAGGUAGGCUUAAUUAAAAAAAAAAGUCUAUACUUUUUUGCAAUAGCCAAAUAAUAUUAUUAUGCGGGGACAAAUUCUUUUUAGACAAGACUUAAAAAAAUUAUAACUUAUUAUAAUUUAGAGUAUAUCCUUAUUUAUAACUAACUUAAAUUGAGAUUAAAUCUUUUUAUAAUUAAAUAAAAAUUAUUUCUAUAUAAAGUAUGACUACAUAGGAGAAAUAUUUUAUUGUAUAUAGCUAUUUCUUUCUCUGUUAUUUCUAUCCACUUCAUGAGCACUGUCUUAGUCUUUUCCCUUUCCUGUAACAAUCUUGGUUUAACUAUGAACUAAAUGUUUUUUUUUCAAUCAUUAAUUAAUAUUAGGUAGGUGCAUCUACCAACACGGUUGCAACUAAUUACCCACUAUAAAAUUUUAUUCUCAAUCCCCCAUGGAAAAGUGUGCAUGCCUAUAUAUAAUCGGACUUUAUUAUCAGUGUUAUGGAUAAAGGAAUUAUUAAUUUUAAAUUAAUAAUUAUUUUAAUCAAUUUGGCAAUAUAUAUAUUAUCCUUGAUUAAUUUAUAUGAGUGAAUAUCAAGUGUAACGUAAAAUAUUAUUUGUGUUGCACAUGCGGACAAAAGAAUGCAAAGAUUCCUUCAACAAGAUUCAAAGUAUGAUAUAGAAAAGAAUUUAAAAUUAAAAAAAAAAGUAAAAUAGAAAGUUGAAUUUAACAAGAUUCAUGUACAGGAAGAAAAAGAAUUAAUAAAGUGAUGAAAAAUUGGUAAUCGUGGCAAGUAAUCUUAUUCAUGUACGCGGAUGAGCCUUUUUCUUUUCCCAUUAUGAGAAAAUCUCAAGUACAUAAAACGUAUUAUAACCAUUUAGUGAAAUUAGUUAUGACAUACGCAUUCUGAUUUUAUUAUACUAUAAUUAUCUUCUUCUUCUUCUUUUUCCAACUUAAAUGUACACGUACGUGAUCAAUGACUAUUGAUUAUGUAGAGGAGUUUGUCAUUUUAUUGAAACUAUCAAUACCCUUAAACGAUUGAACCUUCAGUACCUUAGUAGUUGACUGUGAAUGCCAUUUUAUUCCACCCCACUGGAAUUGUUAAAUGUUACUUGCUUUCCACAGACAUCUUGAUUACGUUUGUGUGCUUAUGUUAUAAGGGCUUCGUCAAGAAGCUCAUUGCCAUUAUUACGAAAUUAAAUAGACUACGAUUGUUGGGAUCAGGCUACGGUACCACAAUGGUACCGUGACACAUCAUUUGUCUUUUAUGGCUCCAAUAUUAUAAAUUUUCAUAUAACCCCCUUUUAUUCGUUUUUAUUUAAACUUUAAUUCACAAAUAUUAAGUUAAUAUCUAUUACAUCCACAUGGACAUUUUAGUUAGCACCUUAUACUAUUUAUUAUUUACAAAUUCUUAUUAUAUAUUGCACUUAUAUCACAAUACCCCCUCUGUGAACCAAAAUGCCCAUGCCGAACCCACAACCCGACCCGGAUGCUAUUUCCAUUUCUGGCCACUUCACCGGCCAAGGUUGGUACCGAUCGGAAGAUCGUGCGAUGCCGGUCAUCUCCAUGCCAAUCUUGUCGCCGAAAAGCGUUCGGAAACCUCCCGAUUGAAGCCGUGAAAAGCCGCAGAACCGCCGCUUCAAUUCGCCGCGAUUUCUCCGGUUUCCGGUGAUGCUAUCACUUGAGUUUUGCUCCCCACGAUUCCCUCUAUAUUUUCCGACCAAUCACAGCCACCGAGGGGAGCCGAUUUGCCGUUGAUCGGUCAUUGAAGGAUUCACGGCUUUGGGAGCUCGAUCCGGCGCCAUCACCACGCGUGAGAGGUCACCACCAUCACCGUUGGACUCAGCUCGGCCAAAAGUGUCUAACUGGAGUUUCCCGUCGCCGUCAAUUGAAAUCCGGUCACCGUUGGUCGGCAUGGGUAUUUCGGUAAUGUUCACAUGGAUGCAGUUGAAAUUAGUUUAAUAUUUGUAAAGUAAAGUUUAAAUAAAAAAGAGUGAAAGGGGUUAUAUGAUAAUUUGCCACAAAAGACAAAAGGAAGUGGCAUGGUGCCACUGUGGUACUGCAGGCUGAUCCCGAUUGUUGACCUAAUUUGAAAAUUCCUCCAUUGUUUAUUAUUUUUCCCUUUUUAAUUUAUCAAUAUCAGUCAUAUCAAGUCAUUCUAUUAAUCAAAAACCUUGGGGAAGACGAAAUAUAUAUUAACUUACUGUCUUUUCUCAAUAACUUUUUAGGUGAGAUUAGUUUAAUAAAUUACAUGAUAAAUAAUACUCUUGCUUGAGUCUAUAUAUAAUUAUAUAUGAUAUAAAAUUAAGAUUCUUUUUUUUUUGUCGUAAUACAUAGAAUUGUUCGUACUAUUAUUAUAACAAAAUAAUUAAAAUUUAUGAGUUGAAGUUGUCAGAAAAAUAAACUUAUUUCCAAUGAAUGGCAUUUGGAGGAACAAAAUCAAUCCGGAAGUUUUUUUACGCCGAAAAAAAUCAAUUAACAUUAAUGACGUCCAAAUGUCCAAAUAUAAUGAGAAAUUGAAUUCUUCAAAACCUUGCUGUUUCUUCAUAUUUCUUAACAAAACCUAAUCAGUUGGUAAAUUUUGAUAUAAUUAUUAUCUAUUAUUAAUAAUUAGGUGGACCUAAACGUUCCCAAUACAUUAAAACAAUCGAUCAUCUACAUUAUUCUACAUUAAUCUUUUUUUCUUUUUUUUCCUUAUGAAAAAGCAAUUAAAUUAAUAAGUAGAAAUUUCUUUACAUUUUCGCCGGAGAAUCAGACUCAAAUUCAAAUACAACGACUCAAGCUAGCGCAAAAGCUUAUAAAUAGAGGAGAGCAAAAGUAAAGCCCCGUUCCAGUUCUCUUUCAGAGGCUACGGAUUUGAGAGAUUAAAGAACAUCAAUCGAACAGUAAGACUCCGUACUCUGUGACGCAAAGUUGCAAAAACUUUUAGGUAAAUUUUUUUGGAUUAAUUUUUUAAUUUUCGAGAAUAAAGAGACAGAGAGAGAGAAAAGAGAUGGGAUUAUGUCUGUCUGGGAGUGAUGUGAGGGGAGGGAAACAAGCCGUAGGUGGGGCCCAUCUCCGGCCCACCAGCGCGGCUGAUCAGAACAAUGUCUCUGGUCAAAACGACGCCGUUGAUUUCUUCUUCAAAUCUCGCGGCCUUCAUGCCCUUUUCACCCAAAUCGAGGUAUAUGUGUAUACCUGAAUUUAUGAGUCUUUCGCUGCCACUAUUAAUAAACUAUUUUCAGUUAAUUAAUUAAUUAAAAAUUUAUGAUUAGUUUAUGUUUUUUAAUUAAUUUAUAAUUUUUUAUUUUAAUUUUUUAAAUCUGAUUUUGUUCAUGUCUGUAAUUGUGAUGGAUUCUCAAAUGAUUACUCGUUUGAAAAUCUAUUUCCAAAUUAUGUUUGCUAUUAUUAUUUAUUUAAUGACUUGUCUGUGUAACAUCUAACAACUUAAAUCAUUUAUAUUUGAUAAAAGUUAUUUGAUAAUUUGAACAUAGAGAGUAGAUUCCUAUUUAAGAAUCAACCGCAAUCCCAAACAUGCUUUUUUGCUUUUUUUUAAAUAAUGUAAGAGGAGUAUUUGAAAUUUUGGAGGGCGAAUAUUUUACUUGAUAGAAAAAACAUAACAUAGCAGGAUAUAUUAGACAAGACCAAGCCAAACAUAUUAGGCUAUACAAACAUAACAUAGCAGAAAUUGAUAAUGGUACAUUACAUAUGUUAGGAUAUAGCAGUUUUAGAUGAUGGUAAAUUACAUAUGUUAAGAUAGAGUGGUUUGUAACUAACUUUUGAUGGCUUAAUGAAUUGAUUGAAUUUGUAUUUAGAUUCUAUCAAUGAUCUCAUAUUCUUCCCAUCCAUGUCUUUCGAUUUUUAUUAUUCCCUCUACCCACUUGUUUCACAAUUUGUUUGUCUGAUGGCCUAAAACUCCAAUUUCUGUACAUGAACAUGUGCUGAAUGUCUACUACAAUGAACAUGUGCUGAAUGUCAACUUUUACUACUACACCAGCAAUCUAACACAUGGCUCACGUGCACACUAGACAAGUCUGAUUCAAACAUCUUUAAAGUGUUGUAUUAAUAACUCUCUGAAACUGGGUUUGAGUAAUCAAGAAAAGCCAAAAUGUAGAACAAUGACAAUAAAAAAUGAAGACCCUCUUACAGUCUUUAACUUGAUAGAAAAAACACGAGCUGCAUACCAUGUCUCACAAAUUUCAAAGAAAAUUGGCCUCAUUCCUGAUGCUGCGCAGAAGGUUGGCCUGAAUCAUCUUUAAGAAAGCUCAUUUAUUACAUUAAUACAUUAUAUCAGUGAGAUGAUGCUACUUUAAUGAAACUCAUGUCUCAAGUUAGGAACAGCUACAUGGGCAUUUCAUCGAACAGUUGAUAUGCUCAGUAGAUAAUCGAAGUUUCCUGGAAGUUGCAAGUGCUGCCGGCAUUUUCAAAAUUGGAAAACCAUUCAAAGGUUUUCAAUAGUUAGUUUGAUAUUACACGUGUGAUAAUCUUGUGAUGAUGAUGAUUUUAUGUAUCUGAUUAUAAGCUAAGCUAAGCUAGUGGAUUUGUAAGUAAGCACACGGCAAAGUAUUUAAUCUUCUUAUUGUCGCAUUCUUCUAAUCAAUUAGCUUUCACCAACAAAAAUAAUUAAUAAUAAUGUAAAUGGAGGAACUUGGGAUCAUUAAUACCAGUAAACUACAACUUCACCUAGGCUUCAGGGAGGAUCCACAUGUUGUCUACAUUGAGCAUUUGACCAAUAAACUUUUAUUUUUCCAUAAUUUUCUAUAUAAAAUUAUGUAUUUUCAUGAAAUUACAUAAUUUCUUAUAUAAUUGUCUCCAAAAAAUACCAAUAGGUGCACGAACACAAAUAUGAUGCACACAUCUCUUUAAUUAAUUUAGGGCUUAAAGAGAUUUUAAGAUGACUACAAAUUGAAUAUGGCAGAUCUUGGACACCAUCCAUAAGAAAUAAAACUAGUCUCAAAUUGGAUUUCUGAGUACUCAAACAAAGCUAAAAGAAAGAUAAAGAAUGAAAACUGAAACAAAAAAAUCCUCUCACCAACACCAUAUGACUCUUAAUAUAUAGAAAGAACUCGAGCUCGAGCCUUAUCCAAAAUGCUGCACAAGUAGCAUGAGUCGUCUUCAUAAGUUUGGAGACUCUGUAGACAAAGAGUAAAAACACAUUGAAGGUGCAGUUUUGACAUAAUUAAAUUGCACAAAUUAACCUCUAUUAAGGACACAUAAAUCCUUCAAUUUUCUCUGUAAGCAAUUAAUUUCAUUUUUUAUUCUUUUAUUUUUCGCUAUGUCUAUAUAACAACUAAUCCUCAACGUAAAAACAGAGCAGAGUAGUUAUAUUUAAAAAAGAUGUACCAAUAUGAUUUAACAAACAAUUCAACAUAAAUAAAACAUUUUUAGUCAGUAAAAUAGAAUCAAAUCAAAACCUCCCGUUUAUCUUACCACUGUUUUUCGCAUCUUUUUCCUUUUCAUUCGCCUCGGCGGACUUCUCAUUCUCUUUUUCCUCCCCUUCCUAAUCAGAUUUAAAAUGAAUUUAUAAAAAAAUUAAUAUGUAUUUUUUUCUUUUUACUUUUUUAUAUAUAUCUGUUAUUAAAUCAGUAAUUUUUAGAAAAAAAAAAAAUAAAUCAACAUCUCAUAGUGAAUGAAUACUUACCUUUUUUCUUUUAAGAUAUACGUAUUGAAUGGUUGUAUUAAGGUCCCGAUCCCAAGCCCCAAGUUUCUUAUCGACUAGGCUCAUCUGCACUUCGUGUAACUUGGGUGUGCUUAAUUCCCCUUCUGAGAAAAUCUUCAUAUUGGGGCAAUCUGCCACCACUAAUGUUUCCAGAGAUGGGAAUUUGAAGUCGCAAUUAUUCCCAGAGCAGCUGAAACUAGUCAGACUUUCUAAGCCCAAAAGAAUCAAUUCCUUUAAAUCGCUGAAAACAAUUUCAUCUUUUGCUGCAUAAUUAUCUCCCUCAUCAUCCUCAUCUGCCACUAUUUCUGUUAUCAUCUUGCAGCAAACUAUGUGCAUUCGUCUCAGUCGCACCAGACUCCUUGCUGUUGAGGAUGUCAGUACAUGUAUCAUUCCAUGGCAAAGACAUACAAUCAAAGUUGUUAGGUUCUGAAAGGAUGUCGAGGAUGGCACUAGAUUAGUCAAAUUGUCACACUCGACUAUCUCCAGCUGUUGCAAAUUGUUGGUAUUGGUUGACUCUUGUUUGAAAAUCUGCUUCAGUUCACGACGCUGGUUUAUUCCCCUCAUCAUUGCUUCCAUCCCAUUUUCAAGGUUUUCAAAUGAUGUGUGCAAAUCUGCCUCAUUGUUCCCUCCUAUAGAGAGAAUUUUGAUGGUGUGAAAUCUCUGGAGGAAAUCGUCAAGUGAUAAAAUAGUACUUGACUCAUCAAGCCAGACAUCAAGAUAUUUAAGUUUGCAAAGCCAGUCUUCUGGAAAUAGGCCUAUGUGCUUUUCAUCAACAAUCAAUUCUUCCAAAUUGGGAAAUACCUGGGUGAUCAUCAAUCACGAAAAAAGCAAGAUGGAGUUAACACUUCUUUCUUACGAUUUCACAAAUUAAAGUAAAUACAAAGCAUUCCAAUGAUGCAUAUUGAUGGCCGGACAAAUUUAUACAUAUGCGGAGAGAGUAUGAUUUUCACCAGUAAAUACAAAGUAAAAACAAAGCAUUCCAUUUAAGUAAUGUGUAUUUUCUUCCAUUCUCUCUUCUUAACUCUUGUCCAGUUGAUAGAUUUUCAAAUUUUAUUAGAUUUGUGCAUAAUCUCUAUGAAAAAAGACUUCAAUUAUUCUCAAAUUGCGUUUAAACUUUGAGAUUCUUUUAAUUGAUCCGUUUAUUUGGUUUGAAUUGAAAAUCUUACAAAUUUCUUUUUUUUUUAAAUAUUGGAGUUUUUAACUUUUUCUUAAAGCAAAAAUGAAUAAAUAAUAUGAAUUUUAAAAGUUUAAUAAUAUAGUAAGAAGCUGGUAUUUCAUUAAUAUUCAUCCAACUCAAUGGAAUUAGAUAUAUUUAUUAUUGUGCAAGAAUGGAUUUUAUUGUACAUAAAGUUUAAUAGAAUAAGAUUUCUUAAUUUGAGUUUUGUCCAUCUUUCUAUAUAUAUUUCAAAAAUAUUAUUUAUGUUAGCACAAGAUGACCAAUUUCUACUUCAACAUCAAAAUUGAUAAUCAUUUUGUAUGUAACAAUACUGUACUAAGGAGUACUAAUUUGGAAAUAGCUCUUGAACGAUUUUCAGGGAACUAAAAUUAAAGUGAUUUAUGGAACUAACAUUUUCUUACUAAAAGACAAAGUGAUGAGGGCAAUGACGAAAAGAAAACUCUAUACUCUCAAAGUAGAAAUGCUUUCAAGUACCUAAGAAUUGAACAAUAAUUACAAAAAUCUUGCACGUACCUUUUCAAAAUGCAGAUCUCCUGUGCAGAAGCUUGUAAAAAUCUGCUUCAGAUCUGCUUGAGUGUUAUUAUUGGUAUUGGAGGACUCUCCUUUCAAAAUCUGCUUCAGAUCACGACGCUGAUUUAUUCCUGUUAUCACUACCUUCAUUCCAUUUUCAAACUCGUCAGAUGGAUCUUUCCAAAAAUCAUCGUCAUCGUUUUCUUUUAUAACAAGAACUUUGAUGGCUUGAAAUCUGUGGAGGAAAUCGUCAAGUGAUACAAUAGCAGCUGACUCAUCAAGCCGGACAUGAAGACAUUUAAGUUUGCAAAGCAAGUCUUCUGGAAAUAGACCUAUGUGCUUUUCAUCAACCCUCAAUUUCUCCAAAUUGGGGAACACCUGGGUGAUCAUCAAUCACAAAAGUGGCAAGAUGGAGUUAGCACUUCUUUCUAACGAUUUCACAAAUUAAAGUAAAAACAAAGCAUUCCAAUGAUGCAUAUUGAUGGUCACAGAAAAACACAAGGUGGAGUUGAUCUUCUUUCUAAAAACUUCACAUAUUAAAGUAAAUGCAAAGCAUUCUAAUGAUGAAUAAUAUUGAUGGCCAGACAAUAGAUACAUGGAUAGAUAGAUAGAUAGAUAGAUACAUACAUACAUACAUACAUACAUAUAUAUAUAUUGUUCUCAAUUAUUCUCAAUUUACAUUUAAACUUCCAGAUUCUUUUAAUCGAUCGGUUUAUUUGGUUUGAGUUGAAAAUCAUACAAAUUUCUUUUUUUUUUUUAAAUUAGAUAUUUUAACUUUUUUUUUAACAAAAGCAAAAAUGAAUAAACAGCUUGAAUUGCUAGCACAUAUGAAAAGAAGGAAAAUUUGCACGAAUUUAAAAAACUUAAUAAUAUAGUAAGAAGCUGGUAUUACAUUAAUAUUCAUCCAACCCAAGGGAAUUGGCUAUAGUUUACUAUUGUACAAGAAUGGGUUUUAUUGUACAUAAAGUUUAAUAGGAUAAAAUCUCUUCAUUUGAGUUUUGUCCAUCUCUCUACAUAUAUUUUUAAGCAUAUUAUUUAUGUUAACAUGAGAUGAACAUUGAUCAUCAUUUUGCAUGUAUGUGGCUUGAAAAUGGCACUCAGAAAUAAUAUGCCUAAAAAUAUUUGAAAAUGGCACUCAGAAAUAUUUUUGAUGUACUGUGGCUUGAAAAAUUCUAGAUCGUAUGAUCAUUUUCUUUGUUUGGCUAAUCAAAUGCACUGUCUCUUUCAUGUAUUAACUGAACAUAUAGGCAUAAAAUAAAAAGAAAAAAAGUAGACGAAGAAGAAAAUCUCUUGAAGAGUGAUAAUUAUGUUUAUUGAAGAUUUAUUGAAUUCAAUAUUCGAUAAUGAGAAGAAUUAUUGAAGAAUGAUAAUUAUGUUUAUAAGGAUAUUAUAAAAUAUAAAUAAACUGAUUUAUAUAACUAACAUUUUGUCACUAAAAGAUAAAGUGAUGAGGGCGAGGAAGACAAUAAAACUCUGAACUCUCAAAGUAGAAAUACUUUUCAGUACGUAAGAAUUGAAAAAUAACUACAAAAAUCUUGCACGCGUACCUUUUCAAUAUGCAGAUCACCUGUGCAGAAGCUUGUAAGCUGCGGAAGAGAACGAAGCUCAAGUGUCCUUAAUUGAGUGAGUUCAAUGACCAAUGGAAAUACAUUUUUCAAUUUAUCACACCCUUCCACCCUUAUGGUCUUUAAUUUGCAAAAAGACUCUGCUGUGAGUGGACCACGACAUAUUUCCUCAAGGUUUCUUAAAUCUCUCAGAAAUAAUGACUCCAAAAGGGGGAAUGCAAUCGUCGGAGCUGGCGUACAAUCCAUUGUGUCAACAAGACGAACAAGGUUGCCAUUAUGUUCGAUUUGGAGACGAUUCAGUUUUGGAAAGACUUCUCUGCCUGGUUCACAAAGAACAUUCUUCAUGUCCGGCAAUCCAUCUAAAGUUAGGUCUUCAAUACCCUUCAAUUGCAUGAUAUGCCCCUCGUUCAAGCAAAUGUUGGCACCAUUGGUGAGCUUCAGUUUGAAUUUUCUAGAAAUCCCAUCCCAUGGGCCAACCGACCACCAGUCAUAUCCUAUCGAUAUCCUGUACCUUUGCAGCAUUUUGAAGAACGACAAGUCUCUUGGUAGAGUCUUUUCAUCUUGGAUGAGUAUUUCUAAAGAGGUCAAUUUAGAUAAAUUAUUCAACUCGUCAAGGCUGGCAUUUCUUCUUUCACCGUCGACUCCUCCAACCUUCCCCCACAUAAUGGGACUCUGACCGAUAUACAAUUCUUCUAAUCUUGAUAAGCUUGAUAUGACAUUUGGUGGAAUAACUUGUAGAUUGAAACAGUAACUCAGAUCCAACAACCUCAAUUGAGUCAGCUCGCCCAUUUCUUCAACUAGUUUCUCCAUAUCAGAACCUCGAAGUGUAAGUAUUUCUAAUUUCUUCAGGUCUCCAAUAAUAGCUAUGUCUCCUAGUAUACAAAAAUCCAGAGACAAUGUUUGAAGGUUUUGUAAGAGACCAAGCGAUGAAGGCAAUGCCAACAAAUGCAUCUCAGUGAAAUCUAAAACUCUAAGCUCUGUCAUCUCAGUAAAAAUGUUAUCUGGGACUCUCAAAGAAGGAUCAUUGCUAAUACGAAAGUAUUUAAGUUGCGGACACUCGAACCCUUGAGGAAGCUCACUAAUAUUAGUAUUAAAUAAGGAGAUUGCGGUGCAAACCUUCAGUGUAUCCUUAUCUGGCCAGCUGGUCUCAUUUUCCACCGCAAACACAUGUUGGACUCUAGAUGCAAUAGAUAUGGCUACAUCACGAACAACAUCAUGCAUUGAAAACCAUUCACUUGAACGGCCAUCAAGCAACAAACAAGAGUUCUUGAGUUUAUCAACCAAUGUAUGUGCUCUAUCCCGUGCCUCAUCCAACGUGUUGAUGUUUUGAAACAGACCCAAACCCAUGCCAUAACAGAUCACGUCUUUAACGCAAGAGAUGAACGCGUACCCUAUUAGCAAAAAUGUUCUCCUGAGUUCCUCACCUUCUAACUGAUAGUAACUCAACUCUAUAGUUGAAUAGGCGGCCACAGCUUGUGUCCCAGAGAAACUUCUCAAGAAAGGCCUUUUUAAUUGUCGUAAAGCAUUCCUCCAUUCAUAGAGACUCUUAUUUUUCAAUGCCUUCGCUACGGGCACGAUGGCAAUGGGCAAACCAGCACAUUCCUUGACUACCUCUGUCGCUACAGAUUUCAGUUCACCAUUUUCUAUGCAAUCACCUGUCAUCUUCUUGAAAAGACUCCAAGCUUCUUUUUCAUUCAGAACAUCAACAAAAAAAUUUUGUUGACAAUCCAUUUUACAAGACAACACAUCUUGACUUCUUGCUGUCAGCAGAACUUUACAUCCGCCGUUAUCAUCUGCCACUGGAAUUCCAAUCGCCUCCAAAUCGAGACUCCCCCAAAUAUCAUCCAAGAUUAUGAGGAUCUUCGUCUCUUUCUUCAAUUGUUCGAGCAGCCUCCAUGCUCUUACAGUUUCACUCUCUUCAUCUAUUUUCAGGCCCAGCUUCUCUGCAAUUUCUCUUUGUAUUUCUUUUAUUUGUGGUGUUUGGGAAACACGUGAAGAAAUGACCUUCUCAAAGAGAUUAUUUUCCUUGGCCUGUCUGCCAACUUCUUUCACCAGCGUUGUCUUUCCAAUGCCGCCCAUCCCGUACACCCCAAUCAUGUUGAAGUUACGGUUGCUGAGUGCGUCUAGUAUCUCCUUCAAGGUGGACUUUCUCGAUUCAAAGUGCAUGAAAUCCUGGGUAGACUUAAGCCAUGUCUCCUCUGGAAUGGUACGGAAAGAAACACUGUCGAAUCUCCCUUUUUCAUGGAGUCCAACAAUAGCAUUCGCCUCUCUUUCUGCUUUCUUGCUAAGCUGGUACCGAGUCCUCAAAUUAGGACAUAACCCCUUCAAACACCGGUUGUUUGAAUUCUCUUUGUCUUCAAUAAGUAUUUCGACUUCAUUGAUCUCCUUGUUCGCAGAAAUCAGCCACUCCUCAACGUGCUGUUGGAUUCCGUCCCCUUUAAUUCUGGAAUCAUCAACCUUAUACUGCACACUGUCUCUAGCAUUCUUGAGCUUAUCAACUUCAUUAUUCAGCUUCUCGAAGUUGGUCUUGUAAGUGCAGCAGUAAGUAAAUGGAUAAAUUAUGGGAGCAACCAAGUACUCUGCAACUUUUGCAGUAACGGAGAUAACAAUUUCCAUUAUCAUUUUCUUUUUUAUUUUUCGGUUUCAGAAAACAGGGGAAAGCAAAACUAAUCAAACUAAGCAGAAGUAAUCAAUCAGCUGGGAUGAGGGAAAUAAGAAGUUUGGAUAAAUUGCUAAAAUAAGAGGUUGAAUAGAUUUAAGGGAGGAGGAGAGGAAAAGAGUGAAACAAAUGGGGAUCCUUUUUCUGCUAAGAAAAAUUGAAAAGCGAGUACAAUAAAUGAAAGAUUUGCAAAGAAGGUGUAGGAUCGAGGACAAGAACGAUUCAGAAAAGGGAGACAGAAAAUGAAGAAGAGAUUUCAGAGAACUCUAGAGAUAAGGGAAAUGCAGAGGCAGACAGUUGUCAUCUCAAAUUCAUACAAGGAGAAGACUCGUGCUUCCAAGUCAACUAAAUUCUCAAUGAUUGAGAUAGAUAGUUAUAAGGGUUAAAGUUAUAAGGGUUAUUAUGGUUUUAUUUUAAAAAAUAAAAAAUUAUAAGAUAUAAAAUAAUUAUAAAAAGUAUUGGUGUUAUCAUUUUAGUAGUGUAUCUUUAAAAAAAUCUUUUAUUUUAUAAUAUUUUUGCUAAAAUUGUGAGUCCAAAACUAACGUCAUACUAAUAUUAAAGGCCUAAAAGUGUCUUUACAUUAAAAACUAUGAUAAAAUUGUAUGCAAAUUAACAUUACAAGGGCGGCAUAUUUAUUAUUGGUUAAGAAAGAGGGAAAAAAAAUUGGAAUCUCAAAUAUCUAGCGUCAUCAUUAUUUUUUUUUUUCUUCAUUUUUUUUCUUUUUCCAGACAGUGGUCUACCAUCUUUGAAAAAUUAUUGGCACUUUCGAAUGGGUAUUAAGCCAUGCAUUGGCAUUGAGGGUCUCAUCUGAAAGAGGAAUUUUGGUAGCAGCAGUGGCUGUGUAAUUUUUUUUUUUUAAAUGAUUUAUCUCUAGGAAUGCAGGAUCAAUUUAAAAGUGAAUUUUAUAUUAAAUUUCUUUGAGAUUGCUUUUCUGUUGAUCUGUUUGAUUUGGCUAUGGAAUGAUGGUUUUAUUACUAUGAGUUUGAAGGAUUUAUGAAAUAGAAAUUAAGAUUGAUAGAAAACAUAUUGAUCUCCGAGCUUUAAUGGCAGUUUAAACUUGUUAUCUUCAAGCCUCACCGGUGGUUUCAAUUUGAUACUUUGAUGAGAGCAAAAUUAGCAAUUUAGCACUAGAGGAAGAUAUUUAAUCACAAGUAUAAGAAGUUUUGACAGCGAAGAGAGGUAUUCUUCAACUGGGGUUAAUUUUUUAUUUUUGUUUUCUUAUUUUUUAUUAAAAAUUUAAUUAAUUUUUAAAAUAAGGUCAUACUUGGUAUUUUACCAGUUAACUAACAAUGAUAAACAGAAAUAUAAUAAAAUGAAAGAUUUUACAAAGAUACAGUAAUAAAAUGCUAAACAUUAAUAUUUUUUUUUUGUUAUUUGAUGCUUCAUACUUUAUAAUGUAGUCAAGCAAUAAUAACCCUAGUUACAAUUACAUGUAGAUGGUGUUAAUUGGGCAUUUUUCAACUUGUAGGUCUAAGGCUUCUCAAGCAAAUUUUAUGGUAGCUUCCAUUAAUUUUAAGUGUUAAUAAAAUAUUUUACUACUGUAAUUUAAAAAUUACAGUUGAUAAGCAAUAAUAGCAGAGAGAGAAAAUUAAAUAGAUUGAGAAUGAUUUUUGAUUCAGGGCAAGUUUUCGAGUGCUUUACGAACAAUCAAAAUGCUAAUCCUGUUAGCCAAAAAACACAAGCGCUUUGUAAAGAACAGUACGGGAAAAACCCUCUAUUUAAAUAACAAUCGUGUAAUUACGGAGGGGGUAUCUUAAUUACAUGGCAGUUACAUUCAAUAACAACAAUAUUACUUAAAAAUUUUCUAUUAGCAAUGAGUGUGUUGGCGGUAGGAUAAAAAAAUCUGAAGACUUUGCAAACUUUUUGUGAAAAUGCAUCGCAGUUGUCUUGUUCUUUCGCUGUUGAUAAUCGCAAUGAACUGAUGAAGGCCAAGAGACCCAAAGUGAAGUGACCUAUGUGCUUUUCUAAUUACCCUCCUACAAACUGUAAAGCCGAAGUUUGCGGACUUUAUUAUCAUUUUUUUUUUAAAAAAAAAAAAGAUAUACAAAUAAAAAAGACAAAAGAUGAGAUGAGACUUAUAGUACCAGUGGCGGGCCCCCCUGGGUCCUCAAAUUAUUCAUAUGGGCAUUUCAUCGAACAGUGGAUAUACUCGGCAUCUGCACUUGGAAGACGUGUUCAAAAGCUCUAAAUCAUGUUAAAGUCGACCAAAAAGACAAAACAUAGAAAGCAACAAUCCAACAACUUGGUUAAAAUAUUCGCUAUCACAAAUGGUUGCGUUAACAUGUCCAACAACGAUUAUUAUGAAAACGGGACCAGAAGACGUAUAAGGGAUUUCGGAGAAUUUGCGAGAGGUGGGAUGAUUAAGAAAAUGCAGGAGCAGGAUAUUUAUGACCUCUAUUAGUAAUUUGAUUUCGUGAAUCAUUUUCAAAAGGAAAAUAACGCACCAUCAAGUCAACCUUGGUGCAGAAAAAUAUUAACAUUUAAUGAACAUAGAGGGAUGAGUUGGGCCAAGUCUUUAAAUCAGAUCUGUCGUGGAAUCUAACAGGGAGAUUAAAAGAAAAAUCAAUCAACUAGUAUAUAAUAUAAUGUUUUUACAUUUAACUAAUUAGGAGACUGAUACACUAGCAAUCAGCAUUAAUCAAUUAUUUGAUAAACCAGUAAAUAUUGGAUAUCUCGGUGCAAAACAGAGUGUUGAGAGAUAAAAAUUAACCUGGUGUCUUUGGCAGGUGUUUAAUAUAAUUGCUAAGCUUGCCACAUGCCAUUGCCAACUUUGGCCAUCGGCUAGCUGCAUAAAGCAGCCGUCGUGAGAUCAAGCACAACAAGCUUGUGAUGUGAUCACCGAUCAUGCAUCCAGGACAAUUUUAUAUUUAUUUAACUCCAAUAAUCAUAAUAAACUAUUGAAUUAUAGACCAGAAGUUCUAUCUACAUAAUUAGAAGGCACAAACACUAUUUCUGCUUAUUGAAGAAAAUCAAGAAAUGCUGAUUCCGUCAUGCUUAGUUUCAUAAUCAUUAAUAUGCUUUUAUACGAAUCCUUGGUUUUGAAUAUAAUAAUGGUUUCAGAAAUGCAUACUACCAUGCUUCCAUGUAAAACGUUGCUGCCAUGUCAUCAUACUGGACAGACCUUCAGAGGUUACUCUUCGAAACGUUUCAUUAUGCCACGUGUACUUGAUUAUUUGACUAAUCACGGUUCACAAGUUGAGUGAGCUACUCACCACACCACCUUCCUGCUGCAAAGAAUCUUAACUGAAUUUUGACUUGGUCAGAAACUCAGAAUUAGUGGUGCACGUGAUGCUUACACGUGAGGACCCAAAUGACGAAUUCCAAACGCUGAAUGACGUAUGUGUGAAUUAAAUAUAACUAUUAAUCAUAUGAUAAUUUUUUAAAAGAAAUCCAUAUAUGUCACAUGUAUACUAAGUGGGUGUAGUGCGACGAAGGUGCUCUAUAAUUUUUCAGUGAACACAAUAUAAUCAUCAAAGUGAAAGAAAAACUUUUGAGGUUUUGGCGUAUUCAUUAGCGAAAUUUGAGCCGAAAACAAAAAUUCAUAUUUGUAAACAUCAAAACCAAAAUCAUUUGGAAUUACUUGCUGAAAUUGAUUAGGUCAUUUUUAACCUGAAAUUUAAGGCCGUUAAUUAUUGCAUGAAUGUUUUGAUUUUAAUACCAGUGGCAAUCACGUACACGUCUAAUGAUUUGAUUAAAUUUUUUUUGGGGGAAAAAUAUAAAAAAGAGAUGCUUGUUCUUUGUGGGGUCGUUUGUAGAGGCAAAGGCUUAGCUCGAAUGAUAAGAACAUUGCCUUCUUAGGGCCAAAGACGUGAGUUUGAGCCUUAUCCUCCUGGAAGUAAAUCGAAGACUAUUAAUUGUCUGCCGCUAACUGUUUUUUUUUUUUUUUCUAAGUCUUUAUUACUCUUCUCAUAUUAGUAGUUAGCAGACAUUUUAAAUUUUCUUUUAACAUUUUAUUCUAACAUUUUUUCCCCGAAAACGACAAUGGCAAGAUAGUUUGACCUACCUUGACUGGCUUAAUUUGGAUUGCUUGUGUUCCACUCUCUCUUAUGUGUCAUUGUGCUUACGUUGCAAGGGAUUCGUCAGAGUGGUAGUUGUCAAAUUAAAGUUACAUUACAUUUACAUACGUUAAAGACUUUAUACGAAUAUUCUCCAUCGUCUUUGUUGACUCUUUUUUAUCUUUUAUUUUUCCUUGUGUCGAAAGAAUCCUUCACUGAUUGGAAUAUCCAUGAUGACUGGUUGCAAUUGGAAGAGUCCCUGAAAUUCAUCUUUCAUUCGAUCUUAAAAUACUUUCUCCGAACAAUUAGAAUACAUUAAGAUUUUAUGAACUUGCUUACUAGACUUGUUAAUUAAUUGAUUAUCUUCCCGGAAACACAUUAAAGACUCUCAAGGGGAUUCAUUAAACCUUUUUGCUGGGUCAAUUCUACAAGCAUCAGACGUAAAAGCUUCAUGAUAAGAGCACAAGCCUAUCGUCUUCUAAAGCUCCUUCAAAAAGCGAAGCUAGCUAUUCUCUUUAUUGUCAUUUCCAUCCACUUUAAUUAACCCUCUCUUUUUCAUGUUGUACAACUUUGACUUGACUCUCAAAUGGAGAACAACGAUAUUUAAACAGAAAAAAUUAAUAAAAUAUUUAAAAAUAAAAUAAAAUUAGUGUCGGUUUAUCUUGUACUAGUUUUACCUUAUUGAUGUCAAUGAUUUUCUAAGAGAAAAAAAAAUUCAUUAAUUUUACCUUUGUUUCAUGAUGAGGUAAGACAUAAUUUUUUUCUUUUAAUUUUUAAAAGAUUUCUUCAAAUGAUUUUCAAGUUGAUUUAUUUGGUUGGACUGUACAAUGAGUUUGGGCUUAGCCCACCCCUAAUUUUUUUUUUUUUUGCCAGUUUAGCAUAAAAAAGAUUUUUAUCAAUAGGUGUGCUGCAAGUGAGAUAUGGAUAAAAGGAUAUAAAGAGAUAGAACAAAAAUUGAUUGAAGACAAAAAUUGAUAUCAAUCAAUUAGUGGAUAAGAUUAAUUAAUUUUUUUUUAAUGUUGCUCUUUUACUCAAUUAAGUAAUUAACAUUUAUAAAUGAUCACUAAGUAUUCAUGAGUAUGUGAAACGUGAGCUUAAACAUGAAUCAAUAUUUGCUAGUGCAUUGGUGGUUGGCACAAAUAACUUCGAUGAUAGAGAGUGAUUGGGAAGCAUUAAGGGGAUGGAUCCUUUAAUGAUCUAUUUUUAAAGCAAAUUUCACUUAAUAUGUUUAUUGGUUAAGUAUGCAUAGAGAUUUCCGGACCUAAUUAAAGACUUCAAAUUAAUGGUGAAACAUCUUUGCAAAUUAAACUAAGAAAAAUUGAAAAAGUAUUUUUAUCAUUUUAUGCAUGGAAUUCCACGUCCAUGCAUGCAUCUACCCAACAAAUGCACUUGUAAUUUAGCAUGCAUAUGGUACAUGACAAAAUAUUGUCUUGGAAAAGUCUCAAUGGAUAACUCAUGACAUGUCAUUGUACGUACAAGCACAACGAAUAAUCGUUGCGACGACUUGCAUAAAACAAAAAGGGAAAUGUCUGUUUGUCCCUGUAGUUUAAGUACCCAUGGAGGAGUCAAUAUAUUUUUAAAAAUUUACUAAAAAUAUAUAUAUAUAUAUAUAUAUAUAUAUAUAUAUAUAUAUAUAUAUAUAUAUAUAUAUAUAUAUAUAUAUAUAUAUUCUAUAUUUUUUUUUGGAUAAAAUCUACUUAAUUAUUUUCUAUCUUUCAUCUGCUAUAUAUUAAAUAAGUUUGAAUUUUAAACUUUAACAUAUAGAAUUUUGCUUUGAAAUUUAUGUCCAACAACUAGAAAAGUGAGUAAAAGAGAUGAUCUGGAUAAUCUUUUAAAAUAUAAUAUUGACCAAACUGAAUAAUUGACUCGAACUAUGGGGCUUAAAAUAAUUUUUACCUAUUUAACAAAUUUUAAAAUUGUUUUCCAAAAAAGAUGUAGAUUAAUUUCUUUCUUUAUUGAUAAAAUUAUGAAAUAAUUAAGUAAUAUUCAUAUUGUACUGAGAACAACUUCUUGGUUUAGCGAUGGUCUUACAUGUCGAGGGUUUGAAUCUUUUAUGCAUAUACGGUGUUAAUAGUAAUUAAAAGGGAGUGUGUAUACCACACGCCGGAGACCAAAAAGUGAUUUGUCAAAUCCUCGAACUGAAUGACGAGCCAAAAGUGGAUUGGAUUGGUUAUCCACUUUUGUACGGCUUUGAAUGACUUUAUUUUCUACAUACUCCGCAUCAGUCGUUGUGACGACGUAAUUACGAAAACAACUAGAAGCUCGCCAAGACGACGGGCAAGCUGAGAACAUAUUCGUAGGCAUUUUCCCUUCAUUUACACCAAAUCUAAAGUUCUGAACUGAAUAUGAAAGAGGAAGCCAACUUGAAUUACAUUUUUUCCAGCAUUUUUUGGUCGAGCGAACCAUUUCACUUGGGAUCAUAAUGAGUCGUUGCAAGGAAAAUGUUAUUUUGAUUAUUACUUUGUUUAAUAUUCUUGUCUGCGGUAUUUUAAUUUGAGAGAGAUAUAAGUCUCAAAGGAAUGUCGGAUUCUGUGCUCACAUGAUGAGCUAUAUAAUAUAUGUUGGUUUUACUUAAGGUUGUUGUAAUUAGUAGUUUUUUUUUUUUAAAAAUAAUACUAGCACAACUCUAAUAAAUAACGGAUAAAAAUUCCUAAUUAAUUUGAAUUCAUCUCUCAUUUGUCAUUUAAAAAAGAAAAAAAAAGAAAAAAAAAGAUUCAAUCUUGGUUUAAUUAUGAACUAAAUGUUCUUCUUUUCAAUCAUUAAUUAAUAUUAGGUAGGUAGAUCUACCAACACGGUUGCACCUAAUUACCCACUAUAAAAUUUUAUUAUCAAUCCCCCAUGGAAAAAGUGUGCAUGCCUAUAUAUAAUCGGACUUUAUUAUCAGUGUUAUGGAUAAAAGAAUUAUUAAUUUUAAAUUAAUAAUUAUUUUAAUCAAUUUGGCAAUAUAUAUCUUAUCCUUGAUUAAUUUAUAUGAAUGAAUAUCAAGUGUAACGUAAAAUAUUAUUUGUGUUGCACAUGACAUGCGGACAAAAGAAUACAAAGAUUCCUUAAACAAGAUUAAAAAAAAAGUAAAAUAGAAAGUUGAAUUUAACAAGAUUCAUGUACAGGAAGAAAAGGAAUUAAUAAAGUGAUAAAAAAAUUGGUAAUCGUGGCAAGUAAUCUUAUUCAUGUACGAGGCGGCACGACCCAAGACUUGGAGAUUAAAUAAUGAAACUUCUUUGCAAACGAUAGAAACUCCAAUUUAUGGAGAGACUUGACGAGUAUUUUAUCAUUUUAUGCAUGGAAAUCCACGUGCAUGCAUGCAUGUUCUCCACGCUUGGAAAUUUUGCAAAUGGCUUCUCCCUUUAAUGGGAUGCACAGUUUUCGUACAUCAAUAUUGAAAAUGUCCUCUAACAAGUGUCUCAAUUAUUGGAUAACAUGUGCAGUCCUUGUAAUUCAUUGAUAACACGUCCCUCAACAAUCUAUAAUACAUCAAACUACCAAAUUGGCCAACAAAUCGAUGAUACUUAUGUUUUGAAAAACUAUCAUGUAAUUGAUGAUUAUAUAAAUUUAACUAUAUAUAUUAUAUAUACAUUAGUUGAUUGUAUUGGUUUUGAUGUAUUGUAAAAUUUUUGAUUUUAUGGGCAUAUAAUAUAGAUUAUCAAAAUUUAAGUUUCUUCACAUAUGCGCGCGCACACACAUACACACACAUAUAUAUAGGAGUGACUAAUGAGUCUUUUUCUUUUCUCAUUUUGAGAAAAUCUCAAGUACAUAAAACUUAUUAUAACCAUUUAGUGAAAUUAGUUAUGACAUACGCAUUCUGAUUUUAUUAUACUAUAAUUAUCUUCUUCUUUUUUUUUUUUCCAACUUAAAUGUACACGUACGUGAUCAAUGACUAUGGAUUAUGUAGAGGAGUUUAUCAUUUUAUUGAAAUUCUAACGAUUGUCAAAGCAUAUUAAAGGGAGAUUGGCAAUUUUCUUCAUGUAGAAAUUAAUACAUACCAUUUCCAUUUCUCUUCUUAUUGCUUCUAUAAUAAUCAAUAACUUUCAUUCAUCAUAAUUUUAUAGUAUUAUUCUUAUUUUAAGAUAUUUUAAAAUUUAUUUAAUUAAUCAUCUUUAUUAUUAAUUAAAUGAAUUAUAUAAACAGAAAUAUAUAUUUUGUCUUUAAACAUAUUUUCUUAUAGUAAAUAUAUAUUUUAUAUUUUUAAAAUAAAAUAUCAAGUAAAUGACCCAUUUACCUUUACUUUCUUUUAAGUUUUUUUUAUACUAAGAGAUUAUUAACUAUUAUGAAAAUAAUAGACGAAUAAAUAUUUUACAUAAAUUUCGACAGGGAGAAACUAUCAAUACUCUUAAACGAUUGAACCUUCAGUAUCUUAGAAGUUGACUGUGAAUGACAUUUUACUCCAUAAGAGCAUUUUAUUCCACCCCAUUGCAAUUGUUGCUUGUUUUCCACGGAUAUCUUGAUUACGUUUGCAAGCUUAUGUUAUAAGGGCUUCGUCAUUGCCAUUAUUACGAAAUAAAAUAGACUACGAUUGUUGACCUAAUUUGAAAAUUCCUCCAUUGUUUAUUAUUUUUCCCUUUUUAAUUUAUCAAUAUCAGUCAUAUCAAGUCAUUCUUUUAAUCAAAAACCUUGGGGAAGACGAAAUAUAUAUUAACUUACUGUCUUUUCUCAAUAACUUUUUAGGUGAGAUUAGUUUAAUAAAUUACAUGAUAAAUAAUACUCUUGCUUGAGUCUAUAUAUCAUAUAAUUAUAUAUGAUAUAAAAUUAAGAUUCUUUUUUUUUUGUCGUAAUACAUAGAAUUGUUCGUACUAUUAUUAUAACAAAAUAAUUAAAAUUUAUGAGUUGAAGUUGUCAGAAAAAUAAACUUAUUUCCAAUGAAUGGCAUUUGGAGGAACAAAAUCAAUCCGGAAGUUUUUUACGCGGAAAAAAUCAAUUAACAUUAAUGACGUCCAAAUGUCCAAAUAUGGUGAGAAAUUGAAUUCUUCAAAACCUUGCUGUUUCUUCAUAUUUCUUUACAAAUUUACCGAUUCUUUACUCUAAAUUCUAGUAUUUGUCUUCAUACAUACAAUGGAAACUUAUUCUCUAAGAUACUGUAAAAAAAAAAAAAAAAUUAACAAAACCUAAUCAGUUGGUAAAUUUUGAUAUAAUUAUUAUCUAUUAUUAAUAAUUAGGUGGAUCUAAACGUUCCAAAUACAUUAAAACAAUCGAUCAUCUACAUUAUUCUAUAUUUUGGGGAGAGAAAAAAAAAAGACAAAAUCUUUUAGAUCAUCUACAUUAUUCUACAUUAAUCUUUUUAUUUUUUUUUCUUAUGAAAAAGCAAUUAAAUUAAUAAGUAGAAAUUUCUUUACAUUUUCGCCGGAGAAUCAGAGUCAAAUUCAAAUACAACGACUCAAGCGCAAAAGCUUAUAAAUAGAGGAGAGCAAAAAUAAAGCCCCGUUCCAGUUCUCUUCUCUGUCAGAGGCUACGGAUUUGAGAGAUUAAAGAACAUCAAUCGAACAGUAAGACUCCGUACUCUGUGACUCAAAGUUGCAAAAACUUUUAGGUAAAAUUUUUCGGUUAAUUUUUUAAUUUUCGAGAAUAAAGAGAGAGAAAAAAAACAGAUGGGAUUAUGUUUGUCUGGGAGUGAUGUGAGGGGAGGGAAACAAGCCGUAGGUGGGGCCCAGCUCCGGCCCACCACCGCGGCUGAUCAGAACAAUGUUUCUGGACAAAACGACGCCGUUGAUUUCUUCUUCAAAUCUCGCGGUCUUCAAGCCCUUUUCACCCAAAUCGAGGUAUAUGUGUAUACCUGAAUUUAUACGAGUCUUUCGCUGCCACUAUUAAUAAACUAUUUUCAGUUAAUUAAUUAAUUAAAAAUUUAUGAUUAGUUUAUGUUUUUUAAUUUAUUUAUAAUUUUUUAUUUUAAUUUUUUAAAUUUGAUUUUGUUCGUGUCUGUAAUUGUGAUGGAUUCUCAAAUGGUCACUCGUUUGAAAAUCUAUUCCCAAAUUAUGUUUGUUGUUAUUACUUAUUUGAUGACUUGUCGGUGUAACAUCGAACAACUUAAAUCGUCUAUAUUUAAUAAAAGUUAUUUGAUAAUUCGAGUACAAAUAGAGAGUAUAGAUUCCUAUUCAAGAAUCAACCGCAAUCCCAAACAUGCCUUUUUUUUAAAUAAUGUAAGAUGAGUAUUUGGAAUUUUGGAGAGCGAAUAUUUUACCUGGUGCUCCUUCAAAGGACAAAGGACUUAAGCAUCUUCUCAAAAGAACGCCUAUCGGGUGCUUCUUUGAGAAGCAUUUUUCUUUCUUUCUUUUUUUUGAAUUUGUUCUGGUGGCUGAUCUUUUGCUGGUGUUGGUUGGACGGUUUCACACCAAGCAACUUCUUUUGUUUUGCAUAUGGAGAACAGUAAGUUUAACUGCUUAUACCCAAUAACAACAUUCUGUGGAGUGAAUUUUAGAUUAAGAUUGGUUAAGGUAAAUAAAAAAAGAAUGGUGUUGAAUGCACAAUGGCCUUGUGAACGUUGAGAAAGUUGAUGUUUGAUCCUGUUGAAUGCACAGUGGUUUUCCUGUGUAUCCUCAAAGUUGACUAUUCGGUUAUGCCUCAUUUAUCAAAUUUGACUCAUACCCCUCAUGAUCAAAUUUGACUUGUACCCCUGUGAAGAUUCCCCAUGAUAAUGCUCUCCUGAAUGGAACAUGAUUUUGUGAAUGCUGGUUUGCAUAAGACAAACCAUUAACUUUAUAAAAGAUUGUGGAUUAAGGAUUAUGUUGUUACGAGGAUAAGAAUGUCUUUCCAUAACGUGGACCACCAAGUGAUUGUAAUAUUCCUGUAUUGAUGUGGACCUUACCUGAGGAUCUCCUUGGAAACUUUCCUGGAGAAAAGGAAACAAGUCAUAUGAUAACAAAUUAAAUGUGGUUCAAUGCUUGUAAUUGACGUGUCACAUCCUGUUGUUAUAUAAAACUUAAUUACAUAUAUUAUUGCUUGCUGCUUAUAAGAUUUAAUAUUAGAAGUGAUUCUGUCAGAAUCCGAAAUGAUGGUUUUCUGCAUGUUCUGUUUAUGACAGAUAUAUAUUGCCUGUCAGUUGACCCACAUCGUACUGACAAUUAUCAUUUCGUGCAGCAUAUGCAUGGAUUACUCCUUUUCCGCUUUUUCAUGUAUCUGUAUUCGUUCUUAUGUUUUUGAAUAUAUAUUGCAGUUAUCUUUAUCUGCUUCAAAGUUGCGUGAUCUUGACAUCGCAUCAAAGGUACGCCUUCAUAUUAUUGUUGUCUUAUGUCUAGUAAUGCCAUGUUCAUGCUGUUGGUAGUCUUGGUGAUUGAUUCUCAUGUUAUCUUGUAUCCUCCUUAUAUGAUCUGCUUAUUUGUUCAUAAUGGUCCUGUCAAUAUCCUUUCUCUGUUCAUAAAGGGUCUAGGGAUAUAUGAUCUGAAUAACGCUUAGUGCUGGCACCAAAAUUCUAAACUUAGACAAACGAGAAUAGUUUGUUAGUCUAUCUCCAAUGUAAUCCAGUAAGGAGCAGUAACUUGAGAGUUCCAGAUAAUGUAUAACAAGUCAUGGUUGGUGGUUUUAUUGUUUUUGCAAUUUUGUGCACUAGUCAAAUAUGUUAUAUGUGCAAGAUAAAAUUCUUUGAUAAUGAACAUUUGUCAGCGGUAUAUCUUUUUACUAGCUGAUACUAGCAUACAUCAAAUGCUGCUGUAUUUUAAUGAUGGAUUACUAACUAUAGUUAUUUAACUAAUAUAUGUUUAUAUUUAUACUCACAAGCAAAUGUAUUUACAUGUCUUUUUGUGUCAUAGAGUGAUCCCAUGGCAGUUGUGUAUGCAAAGAAAAGAGAUGGGAGGCUGGAGGAGAUUGGACGUACAGAGGUGAUUAUGAACAAUCUGAAUCCUGCUUGGAUUGGAAAGAUUUCAAUUGCUUUUCAGUUUGAGAUCGUCCAGCCCUUGGUGUAAGUUUUUAGUGUGUUCUUUUUAAAGUUUUUUUUUUCUUGAUAGGUCAUGUGCUUAUCAUUUCUCAUAAGCCUUGCUUGAUUUGAUAAUAUUUAAUGUUUUCGAAUUUCUUAAUGCUAUUCUUCUUUUUCCAGCUUUCGUGUGUAUGAUGUGGAUACCAAGUACCACAAUAUUCCAGUGAAGGUAUAUAAAAAUUUCUUAAUUAUUUUUUUUUCUCUCAAUUCAGAUGUAAAUGAUACGCACAUACUUCAGUUCCAAAGUUUAGAGUUAGCCAAGGCAUUUGACUGAUCCAUUUGUUGUCUAAGCAUACGUCUAAACUAAAUUGCAUCAGCAAUAGUUUCUAUCAAUUUCGGGAAAUUUGGGAAUACUUGAUUGAUUAUUAACUCACAUUUAGCAUGGCAAGAAACUUAAAAAGUUGGCUGUCAUAUACCAUAAACAAAUCUUAAGGCCAGGAUAGUUAUUAUGGAACUUUCUGCUAUUGCAUCUUGCAAGGUUUGACAUAUUUGUCCUGCUACCAUAACUGGGAAAGAACAAUUUUUCUGAUGGUCCUUACGGCUAAAUUUUCUUUUUCCAAAAUGGAAUUUUAUCUAUGUUGUUAAAAACAAUACAGUUAAAUAGUUGCUGCCAUGACCUAAAGAAGUUUCUGUAAAAAAUGACCAUAUUGUCAGUAUUGGAAUGGAUAAGUAAAUCUUUAGAGCCUAUGAUGUAUUCGUCUGUGGAAUUUGAGUCAAAAUGAAAAAAUUUUGAUGGUUAUAAUCCUAGAAACUGUAAUCAUUUGGAAGCAUUUGCUGAAAACAGUUAGAUAAUCUAAAAAUGUGAUGAUUAUUUAUGUCAAUUGUAAAUGGUAUUAACAUUACUGGGAAAAAUGAUAAAUAUGUAAAUUUAUGCCAGUGGAAAGAGAAAAUGAACAAAUCCAGAUGGAUUCUAAGACAUUAAGUAGGAAAUCUAGUGUUCUUUUGAUUCUUUGCUGCAGUGAUCCCUAAUUACUUUCAAGUCAUUAUUAUCUCAUGACAAAAUAUUUGUUGAAGCGUGAAGUUUAAAGUUCAAGCUUCUUAUUUACGUUGCCCUACAGAUGCUAAAGUUGGAGGAUCAAGACUUCCUGGGAGAAGCUAGUUGUGUUCUCUCUGAGGUAAGUUUCUGGGUUAUAUUUUGUUUGAUGAAUAUAUGUAUUUUCUCUUUAUUCAAUGGGCAAAAUAUGCCCAUCUAAUUUUCUGUAAAAAUCUGUUUCCUAAAACAAAAAAAAGGGCAAAAUAUUCUCAGAUGCUUUUUACUAGCAUUCGUCUUCUUCUUAAGCAUUCUUCUUUUUCACUAACAAGUGUCAUAUUUUCCUUUUAAAUGGCAGAUAGUGACCAAACAAAAUCGAACUUUAACCUUAAAACUCCAUAACAAUUACGGGCCUCGAGUUUCAAGAAACUUUGGGACACUCUCUGUCCAUGCUGAGGAAACAGUUGCUUCCAAGAGUGCUGUUGAAAUAGCAUUCCGUUGCUCGCAUUUGCAAAAUGUAGACCUGUUUUCCAAAAGUGUAAGUUCUGACAAAGUAGCUAAGUUUGGAGGUUCACUAAUUAAUCUAUUAAUGUAGAUGCUCAUUCUUCUUCUUCUUAUAUUCUAUAGGAUCCAUUCUUAAGAAUAUCUAGAAUUGUUGAGAGUGGAAAUUCUGUUCCUAUCUACAAGACGGAGGUGAUAAACAAUAACUUGCAUCCCAUUUGGAGACCAAUAACUUUGAGCAUGCAGCAAUUUGUGAGCAAGGUAACCUUAUCAUCUUCUUGUGCUUGUUACUUAAAUGUAUAUUAGGUAGUGAAGUUUGGUCAUGGGGAAAUGUUUUUUAGUAUAUGAUUUUCUUUGGUACAGGAAAACCCAUUAAUCAUUGAAUGUUUUGAUUUCAAUACCAGUGGAAAUCACGUACUGAUGGGGUAACUGUUAAAUUUCUUAAUGUCAUUAGCUUCCUUCUUUUAUCCUUUUGCCUUUCUGAUGUCAAGGUUUUCUAUUUCUGUUAUUAGUAAAAUUCAGAAAUCAGUUGGAGACCUGGAGAAACUUUAUCAAGGAAGAACUGGUGCAACAUUUAUGUUACCAUCAACUCAAUGUGGCCAUGACAAGGUGUUUAUUCUUUUUUGUUUUAACUCCACCAAAGGUGUUUGUUCAUGCUUAUGGUUUUUGAUAAUUUAAUCACUUUAUUUUUUUUCCGACUUUUUCCUAGGUUCUGAAAAGUCAGUUGUUUGUUGAAAAGUUUGUUGAGAAAGAGCAAUAUAGUUUUCUGGAUUACAUAUCUAGUGGCUUUGAGUUGAAUUUUAUGGUUGCAGUCGACUUUACAGGUAAUUAGAAAGAGAUUGCUUGUUGAAGAUAAAUUGGCAAUGUAAUCGUUUUGUUUUGUUUAUUUCCUCUUAUUUGGUCCAACUUCAUCUUGCCUCUCGUUAAAUGCAAAAUCAUCCAGCUUCAAAUGGAAAUCCUCGAAAUCCAAAUUCUUUGCACUAUAUUGAUCCUUCAGGCAGAUUGAAUUCUUACCAGCAGGUAAGGUUUUUUUAUGACUCACAUUUUGACAAGUGAUCUCUGAACUCUGAAGGUCAUAAAUGGUCAUUUUGUCCAGUGUUUUCGACUUAGAAAAUGCAUGUGACUUUCAAGUCUUUCUAUGGCCGUCAUAGGGAAAUAUAUAUUUCAAUAGUUCGUAGAAGUUGAGAGAGAAUAUCACUGAUUAGUUAUUGGCCUCUUAAACCAUUUACAGGCAAUAAUGGAAAUUGGGGAGGUCAUACAAUUUUAUGAUUCUGAUAGACGCUUUCCUGCAUGGGGAUUUGGAGGGAAGACAUUUGAUGGCACUGUAUCACAUUGUUUUAACUUGAAUGGAAGAGCAGGUGGCUUUGAGGUAGGGGUAACUGGAGUUCACAACUUUGCUGUAAUCCUUAUUUGGUUGGCUUGUCUCCCAUAACUUUUCAUUUUUAAUAACAAACAUUAUAAUAUGUUUCUACAUUUUCUGAAAAUUUCCUUGGAAUUUUAUCCUAAAAGAUGUAUAUUUUAUCCUCUUCCAUUUUUUUUUAUUAACUGCUGGGUUCUUUAUUUAAUAGGUAGAUGGAGUUGAAGGCAUUAUGGCUGCUUAUGCAAGCGCUCUAAACAAUGUUUCUUUGGCAGGACCGACUCUGUUUGGUCAAGUGAUCAACACAGCUGCACGAAUUGCUGGACAGUCCCUCUCAUUCGACAGAAGCAAGUAUUUUGUCUUACUCAUUAUAACGGUGAUUACAAUGAUUCUAUAUAUUCACAGUUUUCUCUUUCUAUCAUUCUUUUUGGGUGAUUUGUAAAUUUGCAUGGUCUAUCUAGGAUGGAGUUCUGACAGAUCUCCAAGAAACGAAAGAUGCUUUGGUAAGGGCUUCUGAUCUUCCCCUGUCAAUUCUAAUUGUGGGUGUGGGAGGUGCAGAUUUUACACAAAUGGAGGUACACAAUGUUUUCCAACUGGAAUAUCUUCUUACUAGCAUUGAACUUCUUUUUUCUAUAGUUUGAUAGAUUCAAUUUAGAGUACAUAUGCAGUGUGGUAUUAUCCCACUUUUGUUGCAGAUUCUUGAUGCUGAUAAUGGCCGUAGAUUAGAGAGCUCUACCGAUCGGGUAGCUACCAGAGAUAUAGUACAAUUUGUUCCAAUGCGAGAAGUUCAUAGUGAGUGCAUAUGAUUCAUUGACAAAAUUAGUUCAAAAUAUUGAAUUUGGGAGUUAAUUCACAAAAGUUUCUGAAUUUUUUCAUGCCUUAACAAACGAACCCAUUGUUUUCUGAACAGGUGGGCAAAUUUCUGUUGUACAAGCACUUUUGGAGGAGCUGCCUGGUCAGUUUUUGACCUACAUGCGCUGCAGAGAUAUCAAACCACUCAAUGUUCAGAUGGCGCAAACAUGCGCUUGAGUAAAUAUUCAUAUGUUUGGAAAGGAUACAAAACCAAGCCAAAUAUAUUAGACAAGACCAAGCCAAACAUAUUAGGCUAUACAAACAUAACAUAGCAGAAAUUGAUAAUGGUACAUUACAUAUGUUAGGAUAUAGCGGUUUUAGAUGAUGGUAAAUUACAUCUGUUAAGAUAGAGUGGUUUGUAACUAACUUUUGAUGGCUUAAUGAAUUGAUUGAAUUUGUAUUUAGGUUCUAUCAAUGAUCUCAUAUUCUUCCCAUCCAUGUCUUUCGAUUUUUAUUAUUCCCUCUACCCACUUGUUUCACAAUUGUUUGUCUGAUGGCCUAAAACCCCAAUUUCUGUUGCUGUAUUAUCAUCUUUGUUGAAUAUUUACUACAAUGAACAUGUGCUGAAUGUCUACUUUUACUACUACACCAGCAAUCUAACACAUGGCUCACGUGCACACAAGACAAGUCUGAUUCACACAUCUUUAAUUUAGAUUCUUAUAUAGUCUUUCAAGAUGUCUGAAACAGCAUAGAUGAAGGACCCUUCCACCAUUCAACCUGGAAUGAUGUGAGUGACAGAAAUUUCCGAAAGUGUUGUAUUAUAACUCUUUGAAACUGGGUUUGAGUAAUCAAGAGAAGCCAAAAUGUAGAACAAUAACAAUAAAAAAUGAAGGCCCUCUUACCGUCUUAACUUUGAUAGAAAAUACACGAGCUGCAUACCAUGUCUCACAAAUUUCAAUGAAAAUUGGCCUCAUUCCUGAUGCUGCACAGAAGGUUGGCCUGAAUCAUCUUUAUGAUUUUGGACUUCCUGUAAACAACGAACAAAACAAAUUGAAGGUGAAAGCAGGAACAACAGUUUUCAAAUAAAAUGGGAGUGCUUAAUCUAAUUGAACAGUAACUUUUGGGUCUCUGAGUAAUGAAUACGUACCUUUGUUUCAAGAUAUAUCUGUUGUAUGGUAGAAUUAAGGUCACCCUUCCAAGUCCAAUACUCACCAGACAGCCAGCGUUUCUCUACUUCGUGUAAACUGGGAGUGCUUAAUUCUGUUCCAGAGAAAAUCUUCAUAUUGGGGCAUUUAUCCACACUUAAAUAUGUCAAAGCUGGGAACUUGAAGGCACAAUUGCCAGAGCAGAAGCUUGUAAGUCUUCUUAAAUCACAAAGCUCCAAGUCCAUCAACUCGCUGAAAACAAUUUCAUCUUUUGCAGCAUUUCCCUCAUCAUCUGCCACUACUUCUGUUAUCAUGCUGCAGUCAACGAUACUCAUCUCUGUCAGUCGUACCAAACUCUUUGCUGUCGAGGAUGUUAGCACAUUUAUCAAUCCUUUGCAUCUCCACACCUUCAAAGUUGUCAGAUUCUGAAACGAUGUUGAAGGUGGCACUAGAUUAAUCAAAUGGUCACAAUACUCAACUGUUAGAUGAACCAAAUUGUCCAUUUUGGAUUCCUGGAUCAAAAUAUGCUUCAGAUCACAACAAUUGUGUAGAUUCCUUAUGAUUGCCUUCGUCCAAUUUUCUACUCCAUAUGAUGGCUUAACGCCCCCAACAUAUCCUCCUCCCCUUAUUGUGAGUUCUCUUAUGCUGUGAAAUCUCCGAAGGAAAUCAAGUGAUGAAAUAGUAGUUGACUCUUCAAAUAUAACAUCAAGAAAGUUGAGUUUGCAAAACAUGUCCUCUGGAAACUCAGCUGCCAUUGGUAUCUUCUUUCCUUCAAUGGUCAAAUAUUUCAAAUUGGGGAAUACCUGGUUGGAUGCAUGAUAAAUCAGGACCAAAAAGAAAACGUAAUGCCAAUUAUUAAGAGUAAAUUUUAAAUCUUGUACGUACCUCUUUUGUCAAGUCAUGAGCAGUUAAAAGGAAUUCAGGACACCUUAUUACUUCUAAAGUUUCCAAUGUUGGAAAUUCAAUGUGCACAUCUCCUGUGCAGAAGCUUGUGAGCUUUUCGAGAUCUACCAUCUUUAGAAAUUGUAACUGAGGGAACACAACAUUCUUCCUUUCUUGCUGGUCUAUGACUAUUAUCUCUUCCAAAAUAGGGCACUCAUCUAUCUCAAGGUGUUGGAGUCGAAUAAAGCUGUUAACUAUAGAAGAUGAAAACAGACAUCUUAAUUCCCCACAGCCAUAUACAAUCAACCGGGUUAAAGUUUGAAUGCCACAAGACAUGGCCGGAAGUUGGCUUUUCCAAAUCCUCUCCACAUUUACAUUAUACAGCUCCAAGGUCUCCAAGUUUGGUAACCCACCCUGUUCACAAAACUUUCCAACCGUUAUAUGAGGAGAUCAAAGUUAGUAUAUAAGUGCAUUCAGAGUACUUUUUCUUUCAUCCGAGAAUGUAUUUGUUACACCUACGUUACUCGGGAUGAAAAUUUUAAUAUAAUUAUGAAAUAUGUUCGUUAAUCCCUGAUUCACUCUAGCCUAUAUUUCCUAGGAAAGGAGAAUAUAUAAUAAAGCAGCAACAAAAAAAGGAAAAAAUCAUAAGAAUAUGACCAUUGGAUCAUUAAUAUCCGACCUUGAGGAAAAAUGUAUUAGGAACGUUGACAUGGUCCUCCAAAAUGAUUUCAUUUGAUCGCAUUUCACUUGUCGAUUCCUUGCAUCUCUGUUUAGAACAUAGUCAUACUCAUUAGAAAUGAAGAAUCUGUUUUUGCACUGGCUGCUUUGAUAUGUUCGAAAUUUAGGAAGAUCAUAUCAUACCUUUGACUCUUUCGGACUGGGGGCUUGACAACCUUCGACCCAGAGAUGCUUCAGUUGGGAAGAAUAAGAGCCCAAUUUGUUAUUAACUAAUUCAAUGAUAUCUUGGUCUGGCAAUCUAGAUAAACAAAGGUCUUCAAUUCGCUGAAGUUGCACGAUAUGUCCACUCUUGAAGCUGAUACAAUUGUCGGUGCCAAGGAGGAGUCUGAAUGUUCUAGAACACGUAGGUGGGGUAUCCUCCCAACACCAACGUCCAAUACAUAUUCUGUACCUUUCCAGCUUCUCGAAGAACAGCCCCUUCGGCAGAGUGUUGACAUCUGGGAUGCAUAAUUCUAAGGUGGUCAAGUUAGGCAAACGCUUCAACUCUUCAAGGCUUGCAUUCUUGACCCCUGCAGCUUCCACCUCCACCUCCCACUUAUUAAAGCUACGAAUGUAUAAUUCCUCCAAAUGGGAUAAAUUUGAUAAAACAUUUGGGGGAAUAACCUGUAGUCUGUCACAGUCUCUCAAAUCAAGCGACCUUAACUGAGUCAAUUGGCCUAUUUCCACAGGCAACUGCUCAAUAUAAGAACCCCUUAAGCAAAGGAUUUCUAGGUUCUUUAAUUCUCCUAUAACAGCUAUAUCUUGCAAUUCGCUGCAAUACAAACACAAUGUUCGAAGGUUUGUUAGGAGACCAAGUGAUGAAGGCAGUAAUGAUAGAUGCAUAUAAGUCAAGUCUAAAACUCUGACUUGCGUCAACUUCCUGAAAAAAUUGUCUGGAAGUGUGAUUAAUGAAGAUUUCUCAGUCCACAAAGAGAGAAGUUGCAGUUGAGGACAUUCCAAAACUUCAGGAAGAAGAACAUUCAUCUUGCUGUCGUGUAAGACAAUCGAAGUGUAAAACUUAAGCGCACCUUCAUCUAGCCAUUCCCGUGAAUUAACCAGUUCAUAUCUCAUCGUAAGCACAUUUUGUUCUCUGGUUGCAAUUGCUAUGGCAACAUCACGAACAACAUCAUGCAUAGAAAACCAAUGUUCAUUUUUGCUUCCAUGCUCAAGCAACAUACAAGAAGCCUUGAGUUUGUACACCAAUGUAUACACUCGAGCUCGUGCUUCUUCCAUCCUAUUGAUUCCUUGAAACAAACCCAAACCCAUGCCAUACAUUAACACGUCAUUAAUGGACGAUAUGUAGGUGUAGCCUAUUAGCAAAAAGAUCUUCUUGAGCUCCUCUCCUUCUAAUUUGUUGUAACUCAACUCUAUAGCUGAAUAAGCAGCCGGCUGUAUAUCUUUAAAGUUCGUUGAGGAAGGCCUUCUUAACUGUCCCAAAGCGUCCUUCCAUUCAAAUAAUCUCUUAUUUCUCAACGCCCUCGCUACUGUUACAAUGGAAACAGGCAAACCUGCGCAUUCAUUUGCCACAUCCGUUGCCACCCAUUUGAAUUCACUACUGUUGAUAUACUCCCCUGCCAUCUUCUUGAAUAGACUCCAAGCUUCGUCUUCUCUUAGAACGCCAACUGAGAAAUUAUGUCGGCAAUCCAUCUUGCCAGACAAUAUAUCUUCACUUCUUGCCGUCAUCAAUAUUUUACACCCCUUGUGAUUAUCUCCGUGAGGAAUUCCUACAUCCUGCAAAUCAACACUUUCCCAAACAUUAUCUAAAAUUACAAGGAUCUUUUUCUCAUCCUUCAAUCGAUUAUAAAGACUCCUUGCCCUUCCAGAUUCGGUCUCUUCGAAAAAUAUGAGACCUAAUUUAUCAGCGAUUUCUCCUUGAAUCUUUCUUAUGUCUGGAAUCUGGGGCACCUCCACAAAAAUCACUUGAUCAAAUAGCUGGUCUCUCUUGAACUGAAUAGCAACCUCUUUUGCUAGUGUCGUCUUUCCGAUGCCACCCAUUCCAUAAAUCCCAACCAUGUUCACAUCAGGAUCUUGUAAUGCACGAAGUGCAUUAUUCAAAGUGGAGAUUCUUGAUUCAAAUGCCUCGUAGUCUUUGUUAGAUAUAAGCCUUAUGUCCUCCAGAGCUUUACGGUAGGAAAUUCUAUCAAAUCUCCCAGCUUCCCGAAGUUUGACAAUAGCUUCGAAUUGCCUCACCGCUUCCUUGCUAAGCUGAUGGCGGGUCUUCAAAUUUGGACACAGCCCCAUGAAACAACGCUUGUUUGCUUUAUCUGCAUCGCCUGUAAAUUUCUCAGCCUCAGUAAUGAUGUUGUUGACACUUGCAAGCCAUUUCUCAACGUUCUUUUCGAUCUCUUCUCCUUUUCUUUUAGCCUCAUCAACCCCGUGCUGCAUACUGGCACCGUCAUCCUUGAGCUUCUCAAGUUCAGUCUUGAGAUUCUCAAAGUUGCUCCCGUAGUUACGCACAUAACUCAAUUGUCUUUCAGUGGGAGGACCCAAGCACUUUGCAACUUCUAACACAACAGUUACUAUGCUUUCCACCAUCUUCAAUUCUUUCCCUUUUCUCUCUUUUUUUUUUUUGGGUCAAAUUUUAGAAUUUUGUAAAGUAUGUAGAUGUGAAGUGAAGCGAACCAAAAGGAAGCUGAACAGAGACAACAACUAAAAAGAUGUAGAGAUGAAGAAGAAGAGAAGGGAUUUAUUGACAGAGUAAAAAUACAUCAGAAGAGUAGAUACAGAACAAAACAGAGACAAGUGGACAGGGAACAGAGCAAAAAUAAAUAAAGAAAACAGAUACACGUACGAUUCGUAUUAAUGUUGAGAUCCGAAGAUUGUAAUAACCAAAGGUGUUGCUUGAUCCAGUGAAAGGUCCAAAGAGUUGGUGGCGGAAAGGCGCAAAGCUGAAGAAUAAAAACAAUCAAGAUGAUUGAGAAUGUUGAUUGAGAUGGAGAAAGACUUGCAUGGUUGCGAGAUGUGCGUCGGACAAAUGGUAGCCAAUUAUUUGAUUUCUACAGCGGGAUUCACUGACUUUAUAUUUUAAAAAAUUUAAGUCAGCAGAAUUAAUUCUGUUCAGUGAAAUGAACGCAAAGUGUUUGAGGGAAAUACUCCGAUGAGACCAGACGUGAUGAGCAGAUGUUUGGUGGCAGAAGUCUGCGAGUAGGUGUGUCCUGUAAGAGCCAGGUAGCAGGGGAACAGGGGCAGGAAUAUCCUGCUCAUCCACGAGCACGUCAUCCGCGAGGCCAAUUUCCUGUAAGAAGCAUAAAGUCAUUCCUGUUGUAUUCUUGCUAAGGGUUGAUUCGAGGAGACCCGAUCAACGAUAGUUGGCGAGGCAUGCUCUCCAGCCCGAGAAUCUAGGCACGAAGGCCACACAACCAUCCACGACUACGGAAAUGGGGAAUCCACGUUCGAGAGGUGGGAGGAUAACGGGCGUAGACUGCGAAAAACUGGGAUUCAGAGGAAGCCUAUAAAAAGGUAGCCAACGAAAGUAAAAGGGUUAGCAAUUUUGAGAUUAGAAGAGAGAUAAAAGAAAUUCUAAAGAAGAGAAAACUACCCAAAAGCCAUAAGAUCUGUGGCAAGCGUUCCCCGAACCUUCAUAUCUGACUUGAGCGUCGGAGGGUUUGCGCCGGGAAAACAACCGGCGUACUCUGACCUGUCUGUGUGCGCAGGAACCUCUGGAGAAGAAGCUUUUACGAGGAGAGAUCCUGGUCGUGGUGAAGUUGAUCGAGCAGAGACCCUGGUCGUAGAACGAGGACAACCAGAAUCUCGCAUCAACAUUUUGGCGCCGUCUAUGGGGAGCUGAUCAAAAAGCUUCUGUUGAUAGCAAGAAGAGGAGUGAAGCAAGUGAAAAGCAAUGGAGACAGGAGGAAGUAGUGCACAAGGGGGUGAUAUGAGGCUUAACGAUUUCGUGACGCUGAGGGAGAUAGCCAGUGAAGCACGGGAAAAAGCCAUGUUCGACCGGAUGGAACGGAUGGAAAAGCAUAUGGAGACCCUGACAACCAUCCUGCAUGAGCUACGGAGUGAACGAAGGGUAACCCAGGAGGAAAGGAUGAGAGUUGGUGGAGUUGCACCAUGUCCCGAUAGUACGAGGAGAAGUCAAACCACCGGGAGAUUUGGUGGUGAGAGAGGUAACAUACCUCUGCGGGGAGAAUCCCGUAGAGAGGAAGAGCAAUCCCCGGCAAGACAGUUUUUGGACGAGGACGACGGGGUGGCAAAUGCAGAUGAAACAGAGCUGAGGCAACACUUGCAUGAUGUAGAGCAAGAGCGGGAUCAAGUUGCAGCACGUGACCCUGGUCGUGCAGUGCAGCUGGAAGAGGAAGUGCGCAGGCUAGCGCAGAUAAUCGACGACAUGCAAGGAAGGAGCAGAGCUCCUGGUUGGAGGAUAAUGCUGGACGGAGAAUCACCGCUCGCAGCAGAGAUCAUGAGGGCAGUUAUUCCGAGAGAUUUCCGCCUCCCAGACCUUAGAUAUUCGGGGUGAACUGAUCCUCUGGUGCACAUAGAGCGCUUCAACGACAUAACUGGGGUACAAGGAUUAUCUCAAUCCCAAAGGUGCAGGGUGUUCCCACUAUCCCUUGAGGGACGUGCACGAGAGUGGUACAGGAAACUUCCUCGGGGGAGCAUUCAAACCUUCGAGCAGAUGUGCCAGGAAUUUGCAGAGCAGUUUCGUGGGGCAAUGACACCAGAAGAUGACAUGAUGGAAUUGAAAAACAUGAAGCAGGGGGAACAAGAAACACUUCGGGAAUUCAUCAAGAGGUUUCACCGUGCUGUCCUUGAUUUGGGAGCCUUCAACCAUCCUCAGGCAUUAAGGGGACUGAAAGAAGGGGUGAAGAUAGGAAGACUGUGGUACAACUUGAGAAGCCCAGUUAUUCAGACGUACGCCGCCGCAUACGAGCAGGCUAAGAGGGACAUUGAGAUUGAAGAGGAAAAGGCAGCACGGAUCAAGACAGAGCAGUUAGAUGGGUUGGGGAAGAAAGAGAAGAAAGCAUUGCCAGGGAACGGGCCGAUCAGGAGGAGAGACCAUCAGGCCUCAAGUAGUGGAGCAGGAGAUCGGGUAACUACUUGCCAGCCUCAUCAGAGGCCACCACAGUAUCGGCGCAGCAGGGCGCAACCUCCUCAUUCCCCAGCUAGGGAGCCUUGGAGAAGCCAUGACUCGGCAUAUGGUGGUCUUCAUCAACACUCCCACGGUAGUAGGGGGGCAGACCAGAAGUGCUGCCACCGCCUCCAACUCAGAACGGAGCAAAUAGAGAAAGAGCAGUGCACCUGAUCGACCAGAACCAGGACUAUGGGCGGUACACUUCUUUGAAGAUGUCCCUGGACGAGGUGUACGAGGCCAUAAAGGAUCGAUGGUUGCUAUACCUCCCUGCCUCAAUAACAAAACUACCCAGCAGGAGGGAUAUGGGACGCUAUUGUAAGUUCCAUGGCGCACAUGGCCAUACUACAACAGAAUGCAGAGAUCUCAAGACCCAGGUCGAAGAUUUGGUGAGAAAUCGAUACCUGGACGAGUUUAUAGAUGGGACUUUCCCGAUGGUGGCCUCGACAUGCGAGGGGGAGCAGAGUGGCAGAAAUUUGAGGCACGAGCAGCCUACAGUAAGGGUGAUUGCUGGGGGCCCGACAUUGGCUGGAGAUUCCAACAGAUCUAGGAAGAACUAUGAUAGAUACGCCAUGACUAGUAAAGAGGUAUUCUUCAACACCCCGGCAGCCAAACGAGCAAGAGUUAGGCAAGUGCCAAUCAUGUGGACAGACGAGGAUGAAGAAGGGAUUUUAUACCCACACGAGGAUGCCUUAGUCAUCAAGGCCACUGUUGCUAGCAGGAAGUUUGACCGGAUACUGGUCGAUACAGGAAGCUCGGUUGAUGUGUUAUUCAAGUCCACUGUGGAGAAGAUGGGAAUAGCAGACCUGAGGUUGGAGCACACCAACACCUCCUUGAAGGGAUUUGGAGGAGGAAAGCUGGUCCCCCUGGGUGUGGUCGAGCUGCCUAUCACAAUCGGAAGCUCCCCGACAGAAAGGACUAUGAUACUAGAUUUUGUGGUGGUUAAUGAAGAGGGUCCUUACCAGAUAAUCCUAGGUCGGCCGUUUCUGAGGAUGAGCAAAGCAGUACUGUCCAACCAUUAUCUUGCUCUCAAGUACCGGGUGAAUGGGGUAGUUGGAGUGGUACGAGGAGACCAGAGAAUCGCACGAAGCUGUUACUCCUCGGCAGCAAGGGAAUCGAUGCAGAUAACAUCCCUUGAUAUCCGAGUGGAAGCCAGGAAUGGCAGCUAGUUGGACCCGGAGUUUACAAGCUGGUUCGCGCGGAUGGCCACGAGGUGAAACGCCCAUGGAGCGCGGCACACCCCAGGAAAUAUUUUUAGUAAGACUUGUUCAUAUUUUAAAGUUAUUUCUGUUCGUGCCUGUUGUUUUCUAUUUUUUAUUUCUUAUUUCAAAGCAAUCUCAUGUAAGCCGAAUUCAAUAAUAAAUGAAUCAAUGAGGAGUUUCAGCCAACUGUACUGUUCAAGAAAUUACAUAAGGCAUGCAAAGGCUCGACAAAGUCUCAAAGCCUGUUUAUGGCGAGACCAGAAGCCAAGCGUGCCAGGAUCUGCUCGGCCACGAGAAGGCGAGCAGAGUCCCAAGCUUUGAAGAAAUUACCUAAGGCAUGCAAAGGCUCGACAAAGUCUCAAAGCCUGUUUAUGGCGAGACCAGAAGCCAAGCGUGCCAGGAUCUGCUCGGCCACGAGAAGGCGAGCAGAAUCCCAAGCUUUGAAGAAAUUACCUAAGGCAUGCAAAGGCUCGACCAAGUCUCAAAGCCUGUUUAUGGCGAGACCAGAAGCCAAGCGUGCCAGGAUCUGCUCGGCCACGAGAAGGCAAGCAGAAUCCCAAGCUUUGAAGAAAUUACCUAAGGCAUGCAAAGGCUCGACAAAGUCUCAAAGCCUGUUUAUGGCGAGACCAGAAGUCAAGCGUGCCAGGAUCUGCUCGGCCACGAGAAGGCGAGCAGAAUCCCAAGCUUUGAAGAAAUUACCUAAGGCAUGCAAAGGCUCGACAAGUCUCAAAGCCUGUUUAUGGUGAGACCAGAAGCCAAGCGUGCCAAGAUCGGCUCGGCCACGAGAAGGCGAGCAAAAUCCCAAGCAUUGAAGAAUCUUCCAAGGCAUGUGGCAAAACCAUAUACCAAGCCAGAGCCUGCUCGACCGGACGAAUACGAGCAGAUUCUUAAGCGGAAAAAUAACUCGUAAUUACAACACAAGAGAGUAAUAAAAAACAUUUCUAUUAAUUUGUUAAUAAUUAACAAAGCAGAUAAUCUUCACAAAUAUUGUUCGUUACAAUACAAGAAACAUAUUUAAGAAGACGGUGGGUCCGCGAGCCGAGCAGCCUCAGUUAGCUGGUCCACCUCAGGUGCUGGGGGAGUAUCUCCAGUUGCGUCUGGGGGGGUACUCGCCUCACCAGCAUUAGCAGGGAUUACACGGGAAGGAGAGUUUUCCUCCUCUAUCACCAUUGGUGCCACCUCUUCGGCAUCCUCCUUUGCAGCCUCCUCGUCCAUAUGUUGGGCGACACCAGCUGCAAGGUCGUCCAUCUUUAGAUCAAGAUGCUGCUUCCCGAGGACGGCCAUGAUGCAACGAUAAGAAUACCGAAGUCCCUGAUCGUACUGGUUGUCGGCCUCCAUCUCCAAGUUCUCGACCUGAGCUCGGUGGGAAUCGCGGAGAGAUCCGAGCUGAGCCUCAUACAUAGCCUUCUGCCUUUGAAGAUCCUCCUUGACCUUGGUCAAUUCCUCCUCGAGGGUAAUGGCUUUUGCUUGAGCAAGAGAUUCUUGCUCUAUCAGCUUCAGGUUCUCGACAUUCAGCGCUCCUGCUUUCUUCUCGGCGCCGUCAGCUCUGGUCAUCGCUGACUGAAUGUCCUCCUUCAUCUUCCUGUCAUAACGGCCGACCUUGGCCUUAUAGUAGGUGGUCAUGCAGCUGAGAUGGAAAGCGCUAUACUGCAUGGCUCCCACCAGCUCGCCCAGAGUGCAGCCAUCAAAGUCCUUCAGGUCCUUCUUGCUCACGAGUUUAGAUAACUCAUUGAGAUAGGGGACCAAGUGUUCUGCUCGGCUGUCAGGUAAGCGAGAUCGAGGCCCGACAGGAGGAGAAAAAGAAGCAGGAUCGGUGGCUGCUCCACUAGUUUCCCCGACUUUGGCAGGAGCAGGAGGUAAAGUCUUCAAGGGAGAGACCUGCUGCACGAUGUUGGCCCGCUUUGCAGUAGGGGCGUCCUUAUUCUGGUCCUUCUUCGUGGUUUGAGGUCGAGAACGUUUCCUGUUCAGAGCCCCAAUCACAGCGUCCUCCAUCUUAUGACCAGGGAGUAUCAAGCGAGACUCGAGCAAGUUGUAUGUAGUUAUCAGCUCCCGGCUCGAGCAGGAAUUGGCUAGCACAGCCUCGACCUGUUUGAGCUGGCCAGGUUUGAGCGAGAAAUGAACACCCCAAGAAACUACAACACAAACAGACACUUGGUUAGAGACAAACCAACAAAGCGAGAACAAUUACGGAUACAAGACAUCUAAAGCGAGCAGGCAACCUGGGACCGUGAAACGGGGUGGGACGCGAUAAUCCUUCCCGUCUAUUUAUGCAACUUGACCCCAAGGACCCCCAGCAAAAAAGAAUUUCCUCUUCCAAUUCCCACCACCACCAGUAGGGAGGUCGGUUAUGGGUUUCCUGGUCUUGGUACUAGAUUGAAAGUAGUACCAGCCGGCAUCUUUGGGGCUGCUCUUUAGCUGGUACAGGUGCUUCACCUCAUCAACUGUGGGCUCGCUUUGGCAACAUUUGUCCCACAGUAUGAACAGACCAGAAAGUACUCUCCAACCGUUUGGGUUCAGCUGACCAGGAGAUAGAUUCAGCCUGUUAAGUAUCCGGGCAAAGUAAGGUUGCACGGGACACCUCAGCCCAUACUUAAAGCUAUCCAGAUACAGGGUAACGUAUCCCCUAGGAGGCCGGCUAUGAGUAUCCUUCUUUCCUGGGACCUUAAGAGGGAUUUCACCAGGAAUACUAUACCUAAGCCGGAGGUCAUUGAGCUCAUCAAACGUGGUUAUGCAUGUCAUGUAAUCAAUAGCGUAAUCCCGCGAUAGGGCUCUACCCCCUAUUGUACUCCGCCCUUCUGGUCGCGACGCUCCUGAUGGGGACACCUCGCCAGAAUCAUCUCCUCGGCCCUCACUCAGGGUGUUCUCCGAGCCAGAAGACCCCUCUUCAUCACUAUCUCUGCUCGAGGAGGUCGUUUGGGGAGACAUCCUCCUAGCGCUAGUGCCGACACUAGAUCUAAUGGGCUCUAAGGGGAUCCCGGGGUCAAAAGCAGGAUCAGUGAGCAGACUAGGCAGGAAGUCCAACUCAUCGUCGUCAACCUCAAUGACCUUCUCUUUACCUUUCGACAUUCCCUAAACUCUAACCACAACACCACCACCAACUACUACCCGAACAAAAGAGAACAGAAAUUAUCUACAACUAUCCGAGACCAAGGAGAUAGAAAAAAUACCUGAAAUAAUGGUUCAGUCGGUGAAAGACAGAGAUGGAGGCCUUUAUGCCGGAACUUCUUUGCCGGAGAGACAGGGACGAAGACGGAGGGAAUGAUGAAUUUGCUGUUUGAAAGGAUUUAGGUUUCCUAAUGGGGACGGACUCUUGGGUUGCCAGCAUUUAACGGCACCAAAUCCCAAGGGCCUCGUAACCGUUGGUUUGAAAUUCGAAUAGAGGGGCAUAUUUCUGCCACAUCACCUCGUCCGCAAUUAAAUGCGAUAUGACUCUUGGCAGCCUUUUCCAGUCCCACGUGACCAAGAACCGCUAAGUUUCUACUGCUGGUCCAUUACAUUACCCAACACCAGAAACUGGGGGACCGGUGUUUGAGAGAAAUACUCCGACGAGAUCAGACGUGAUGAGCAGAUGUUUGGUGGCAGAAGUCUGCGAGCAGGUGUGUCCUGUAAGAGCCAGGUAGCAGGGGAACAGGGGCAGGAAUAUCCUGCUCAUCCACGAGCACGUCAUCCGCGAGGCCAAUUUCCUGUAAGAAGCAUAAAGUCAUUCUUGCUGUAUUCUUGCUAAGGGUUGAUUCGAGGAGACCCGGUCAACGACAGUUGGCGAGGCAUGCUCUCCAGCCCGAGAAUCUAGGUACGAAGGCCACGCAACCACCCACGACUACGGAAAUGGGGAAUCCACGUUCGAGAGGUGGGAGGAUAACGGGCGUAGACUGCGAAAACUGGGAUUCAGAGGAAGCCUAUAAAAAGGUAGCCAACGAAGGUAAAAGGGUUAGUAAUUUUGAGAUUAGAAGAGAGAUAAAAGAAAUUUUAAAGAAGAGAAAACUACCCAAAAGCCAUAAGAUCUGUGGCAAGCGUUCCCCGAACCUUCAUAUCUGACUUGAGCGUCGGAGGGUUUGCGCCGGGAAAACAACCGGCGUACUCUGACCUGUCUGUGUGCGCAGGAACCUCUGGAGAAGAAGUUUUACGAGGAGAGAUCCUGAUCGUGGUGAAGUUGAUCGAGCAGAAACCCUGGUCGUAGAAUGAGGACAACCAGAAUCUCGCAUCAAUACAAAGAGUGUAGAAAGAAUGUGAAAAAGUUAUGUGAAACGUGAGGUGAUGAGAUAGUUAAGUUCACUGAUGCUCAAUAGUCAAUUUUAUUAAAAAUAAAAAAUAAAAAAUAGUGAGAAUCCCAAAGUCGAAAGCCAAUAGAUUUCAUAAUGGGAUUCAUUCAUUAUUCCAUCACGGAACCGAACACCAAUAGGUUAUCCCACCAGCCACCACCUCAGCUUCCACGCAAGUUUCCCUCAUAUUUGAAUACUUGGCCCACUCCUCAAGUCUUUGUCGACAAAAAAAGAAAAAGAAAAAGUAAACGAUGACACUCCGGUGGAUCACAACUUGCAUAAAGAUUCCUGACAGUUGCUAAUGCUGCCGACAUGAUCUUCCAACUUGGAACUUGUAAGAUCGGUCAAGCUUUCUAGUUUCUACAGUAGCGUUUAAUUAAUGAAUAAUGAUGAUCAGUUUUGAUUAUUUGACGACGUUAGUAGAAUGAGAGUAUUUGAGGUAAUUGAUCAAACAAAAAGAUUGCCCAUUCAUGAUCUAAUUGCCUAAAUAAUAAAAAUGCUUAGCCUCAGCUGACUUGUUCCAAAUCACUAAACAUUUGAGCAGGUAUUUUCAUCUUUUCGUUAUCACAUUCCUCUAAUCAAUUAUCUAGCGUUAAUCAACAAAAAUGAUUAAUAACGUAAAUGGAGGAACUUGGGCUCAAAUCUCUAAAUUAAACUCGUGAUCAUUAAUAUAAGCAAACUACAACAAGUCUAUCUUGAUCAACGUUUUCAACUCAACAAAUAUAGACUACUAGUGUUUAGUUGUUAAUAAAAUUAACAAAAAAAACACAUAAAUGUUGACAGCACAAGAAUAAUAAUAGUGUUUACUUAUUUAUUAAAUUUAAACUAUGUUCAAGAGAGGACCCAACUUUUAUAUAUUUUAUUUUAAUGGCUUUAAGAAAUUACAAAGUUGAUGCCACAAUUUAUAGUUUUUUUUUUUACCUUUAAAAAAUCUUUGGAUUAACCGACAAUCAUCAUCAAUCCUCGCCUAGGGUCAGGGGAGGAUCAAGAUGGUGCCUACAGUGAGCAAACAUGAUGGCAGAUGGUGUCCAAUUGACCCCCUAAACUUUUCUUUUUUCAUUGAUACUGUCAUGAAGUUACAUAAUUUCUUACAUAAUUGUCUCCAAUAAAUACCAAUAGGUAUACGAAUGCAAACAUGAUGCACGCAUCUCUUUAAUUAAUUUAAGGCUUAAAGAGACUUUCAGAGAUGCCUACAAAUUCAAUAUGGCAGCUCUCAUGAGAAAUAAAACUAGCUUCAAAUUGGAUUUCUGAGUACUCAAAUAAAGCUAAAAGCAUACUAAUGAAAUGAAAACUCAAACAAAAAAUCCUCUCACCAAUGCCAUCUGACUCUUAAUACAUAGAAAGAACUCGAUGCCUUAUUCAAGAUGCCGCACAGAAGGUUGGCCUGAAUCGUCUUCAUAAGUUUAGACUCCCUGUAAACAAAGAGCAAAAACACAUUGAAGGUGCAGUUUUCACAUAAUUAAAUUGCACAAAUUAGCCUCUAUGAAGGACACAAAAAUCCUUCAAUUCUCUCUGGAAGCAAUUAAUUUCAUUUUUUAUUUCAUUUUAUUUAUUUAUUUAUUGCCAUGUUUGUCUAACAACUAAUCUUCAACAUAACAAUAGAGCAGAGUAGUUAUAUUUUAAAAAGAUAUACCGAUAUGAUUUAACUAAAAUUUCAAUAUAAAUAAAACGUUUUUAGUCAGCACAACAAAAUCAAAUCAGAACCUCCCAAACUGUAUAGAUUCUAACUUACCAGUCUUUCGCAUCUUUCUCCUUUUCAUUCACUUUGGCGGACUUCUCAUUCUCUUUUUCCCUCUCUUCCUAAUCAGAUUUAAAAUAAAUUUAUAAAAACAUUAAUAAUCACUUUUUUCUUUUUCCUUUUAUAUAUAUAUCUGUCAUUAAAUCAGUAAUUUUUAGAAAAAAACCAACAUUUCAUAGUGAAUGAACACGUACCUUUGUUGUUGAUAUAGGUAUUGAAUGGUUGUAUUGAGAUCGUCCUUCCAAGCCCAACGUUUUUCAUCAUCCCACUGUUUAAGCUGCACUUUGCGUAAAUUGGGUGUGCUUAAUUCUCCUCCUGAGAAAAUGCUCAUAUUGGGGCAAUCUUCCACCACUAAUCUUUCCAGAGAUGGGAAUUUGAAGGCGCAAUUAUUGACAGAGCAGAAACUUGUCAGACUUUCUAAGCUCGAAAGCCGCAAUUCCUUCAAUUCGCUGAAAACAAUUUCAUAGUUUGCUGCAUAAUUGUCUCCCUCUUCAUCGUCAUCUACCACUAUUUCUGUUAUCAUCUUGCAGUGAAAUAUCUUCAUUUGUUUUAGUCGCACCAGACUCUUUGCUGUCGAAGAUGUUAGUAUGUUUAUCAUUCCAUAGCAAAAAUCUACGGCCACAGUUGUUAGAUUCUGAAACGAUGUCGAGGAUGGCACUAGAUUAAUCAAAUUGUCACAUCCAUAUAUCUCCAGUACUUCCAAAUUGUUUGCAUGGGAGGACUCUUGUUUCAAAAUCUGCUUCAGAUCAGGAUGGAAGUUUAUUCCCUUUAUCAUUGCAUUCACCCCAUUUUCAACUGUUUCAAAUAGUUCUUCUCCAUCAUAAUCGUAUCCUUCGAUACAGAGAACUUUGAUGGUGUGAAAUCUCUGAAGGAAAUCGUCAAGUGAUAAAAUAGCAGUUGACCAAUCAAGCCAAACAUUAAGACAUUUAAGUUUGCAAGGCAAGUCUUCUGGAAAUAGACCUAUGUGCUUUUCAUCAACACUCAAAUAUUCCAAAUUGGGAAACACCUAGGUGAUUGCCAAUCAAAAAAAGAAGAAAAAAAAAAAAGCAAGAUGGAGUUAGAUCUUCUUUUUAACAAUUUGACAAAUUAAAGUAAAUGCAAAGCAUUCCGGUGAUGAAUAUUGAUGGCCUACCGUGUAUGUGUGUGUGUGUGUGUGUAGCAUAUGAUCUUUCUAACAAUCAUAGAAAAAACAAGGUGGAGUUGAUCUUCUUUGUGAAAAUUUCACAUAUCAAAGUAAAUGCAAAGCAUUCUAAUGAUGAAUAAUAUUGAUGGCCAGAUAAAUAUAUAUAUAGCAUACGAAAAAGACUUCAAUUAUUCUCAAUUUACAUUUAAACUUUCAAAUUCUCUUAAUCGAUCGGCUUAUUUGGUUUGAAUUGAAAAUCUUACAAAUUUCUUUUUUUUAAAAAUUGAUAUUUUAACUUUUAUUUUCUUUUUAUCAAAAGCAAAAAUGAAUAAAUAACUUGAAUUUAAAAAGUUUAAUAAUAUGGUAAGAAGCUUGUAUUUCAUUAAUAUUCAUCCAACCCAACGGGAUUGGAUAUAUUCACUACUGUACAAGAAAUGAUUUUAUUGUGCAAAAAAUUUAAUAGGAUAAGAUUUCUUCAUUUGAGUUUUGUUCAUCUCUCUAUAUAUAUUUUUAAGAAUAUUAUUUAUGUUAACACGAGAUGACCAUGUUCUUCUUCAACAUCAAAAUUGAUAAUCAUUUGUAUGUAACAAUAUUAAUUGUUAAGGCAUACUAAUCUAAAAAUAGCUCCUAAAAAUUAUCUGGGAAUUAACUGUGGCUUGAAAAACUCUAGAUCUUAUUAGAAUUUUCUUUGUUUGGGUAAUCAAAUGCACUCUCUCUUUCGUGUAUUAAGUAAACAUAUAGACAUAAAAAAAAGUAAAAAAGUAGAGGAAGAAGAAAAACUCAGAUAAUUAAGAGAAAACAAUUGAACUGGAAUUAAAAAAAAAAAAUUGUUUACUAACAUUUUGUUAAACUGAUUUAUGUUUAUGAGGAUAUUAUGAAGUAUAAAUAAACUGAUUUAUACAACUAACAUUUUGUUACUAAAAGACAAAGUGAUGAGGGCGAUGAUGAUGACAAUAAAACUCUAAACUCUGAAAGUAGAAUUACUUUUAAGUACGUAAGAAUUGAACAAUAAUUACAAAAGUCUUGCACGUACCUUCUUGGUGGACUCAUGAAUAGUGCUUUUAAAUUUCACUUGGGGACAUUCCAGUAUUUUUAAUUUUUCCAAUGAUGGAAAUUCAAAAUGCAGAUCUCCUGUGCAGAAGCUUGUAAGCUGCGGAAGAGAACAAAGUUCAAGUGUUGUUAAUUGAGUGAGUUCAAUGACUUGCGUGUUACUAUUGCUGGAUUCAUCUCCUCUCUCGGCAGCAAAAAUCACUUCCAAAUUCUGGCAUCCAGUCACUUCAAUGGACUGAAGUUGUUGAAGGCCUCUGCCAAUGACCAAUGGAAAUACAUUUUUCAAUUUAUCGCACCAUUCCACCCUUAUGUCCUUUACUUUGCAAAAAGACUCUGCCGCGAGUGGACCGCGACAUAUUUUCUCAAGGUUACUCAAAUGUCGCAGAAGUAAUGACUCCAAGACGGGGAAUGCAGUCGUCAGAGCUGUUGCUCUAUCCACUGUGUCAACAACACAUAAAAGGUUGCUAUUUUUUACGACCUCGAGACGCUUCAGCUGUGGAAAACCUUCUCCGUCUGAUCCAUAAAGAACACUCUUCAUGUCCAGCGAUCCGCCUAAACAUAGGUCUUUAAUACCCUUCAAUUGCAUGAUAUGCCCCCCGUUCAAGCAAAUGUUGGCACCACUGGCGACCAUCAGUCGGAAUAUUUCAGAUAUCUCACUCGAUAUGUAAUCCCAUGUCCACUGACUUCCUAUCAAUAUUCUGUACCUUUGCAGCAUUUUGAAGAACGACAAGUCUCUUGGUAGAGUCUUUUCAUCUUGGAUGAGUAUUUCUAAAGAGGUCAACUUAGAUAAAUUAUUCAACUCAUGAAGGCUGGCAUUUCUUCUUUCACCGUCGACUCCUUCAACCUUCCCCCACUCAAUGGGACUCUCACCAAUAUAUAGUUCUUCUAAUCGGGAUAAGCUCGAUAAGACAUCUGGGGGAAUAACUCUCAGUAGGUAACAUCGGCGCAAUCAACAGCCUCAAUUGAGUCAGCUGGCCUAUCUCUCCAACCAGUUCCUUCAUAUCAGAACCUCGAAGCGCAAGGAUGACUAAUUUCUUUAGGUCUCCAAUAAUAGCCAUGUCUCCUAGUUCACAAUAAUCCAGAGACAAUGUUUGAAGGUUUUGUAAGAGACCAAGCGAUGAAGGCAAUGCCAACAAAUGCAUCCUAGUGAAAUCUAAAACUCUAAGCUCUGUCAUCCCGGUAAAAAAGUUAUCUGGGAUUUUCAAAGAAUGAUCAUUGUGAAUACGAAAGUAUUUAAGUUGCGGACACUCGAACCCUUGAGGAAGCUCAUUAAUAUUACUAUUAUUUAAGGAGAUUGCGGUGCAAUCCUUCAGCACAUCCUUAUCUGGCCAGCUGGUCAGCGGGACAACCUCAUUUUCCACCGCAAACACAUGUUGGUCUCUUGAUGCAAUAGAUAUGGCUACAUCACGAACAACAUCAUGCAUUGAAAACCAUUCACUUCUCCAGCCACCAAGCAACAAGCAAGAGUUCUUGAGUUUAUCAACCAAUGUAUGUGCUCUAUCCCGUGCCUCAUCCACCGUGUUGAUGUUUUGAAACAGACCCAAACCCAUGCCAUGAUAAAGCAAGUCUUUAACGUUACGUAUGUAGGAGUAUCCUAUUAGCAAAAACGUUUUCCUGAGUUCCUCACCUCCUAAAUCCUCAUCUUCUAAAUGAUAGUAACUCAGCUCUAAACUUGAAUAGGCGGCCCCCAAUAAAGACUUAUUUUUCAAUUGUCGUAAAGCAUCCUUCCAUACAUAGAGACUCGACUUAUUUUUCAAUGCCUUUGCUACGGGUAAAAUGGCAAUGGGCAAACCAGCACAUUCCUUGACUAUCUCUGUUGCUACAGAUUUCAGUUCACCAUUUUCUAUGCAAUCACCUGUCAUCUUCUCGAAAAGACUCCAAGCUUCUUUUGCAUUCAGAACAUCAACAAAAAUAUUUUUUUGACAAUCCAUCUUAGAAGACAACACAUCGUGACUUCUUGCCGUCAGCAGAACUUUACAUCCGCCCAUAUCAUCUGCCAAUGGAAUUCCAAUUGCCUCCAAACCAAGACUCCCCCAUAUAUCAUCCAAGAUUAUAAGGAUCUUCGUCUCUUUCUUCAAUCUUUCAAGCAGCCUCCCUGCUCUUCCAGUUUCACUCUCUUCAUCUAUUUUCAGGCCCAGCUUCUCUGCAAUUUCUCUUUGUAUUUCUUUUAUUUGCGGUGUUCGGGAUACAUGUGCAGAAAUGACCUUCUCGAAUAGAUUAUAUUCCUUGGCCUGCCUGCCAACUUCUUUCACCAGCGUUGUCUUUCCAAUGCCACCCAUGCCGUACACCCCAAUCAUGUUGAAGUUACGGUUGCUGAGUGCGUCUAGUAUCUCCUUCAAAGUGGAAGUUCUCGAUUCAAAGUGCAUGAAACCCUGGGUAGAGUUAAGCCAUGUCUCCUCUGGAAUGGUACGGAAAGAAACACCGUCGAAUCUUCCUUUUUCAAGAAGUCCAGCAAUAGCAUUCGCUUCACUUUCUGCUUUCAUGCUAAGCUGGUACCGGGUCUUCAAAUUAGGACACAACCCCUUCAACCACCGGUUGUUUGAAUUCUCUUUGUCUGCAAUAAGUGUUUCGACUUCAUUGAUGGCCUUGUCCACAGUAAUCAUCCACUUCUCAACGUGGUGUUGAAUUCCGUCCCCUUUAAUUCUGGAAUCAUCAACCUUAUACCGCACACUCUCUCUAGCAUUCUUGAGCUUAUCAACUUCAUUAUUCAGCUUCUCGAAGUUGGUGUUGUAAGUGCAGCAGUAAGUAAAUGGAUGAAUAAUGGGAUCAACCAAGUACUCUGCAACUUUCGCAACAGCGGAGGUAGCAAUAUCCAUUAUCCCUUUCUUUUUUUAUUUUUCGCUUUCAGAAAACAGGGGAAAGCAAAACUAAUCAAACUAAGCAGAACUAAUCAAUCAGCUGGGAAGAGGGAAAUAAGAAGUUUGGAUAAAUUGCUAAAAUAAGAAGUUGAAUAGAUUUAAGGGAGGAGGAGAGGAAGAGAGUGAAAAAUCUAGAGAUGAAACAAAGGGGGAUCCUUAAGACAAAUUGAAAAGCGAGUACAAUAAAUGAAAGAUUUGCAAAGAAGGUGUAGGAUCGAGGACAAGGAUGAUUCAGAAAAGGGAGACAGAAAAUGAAGAAGAGGUUUCAGAGAACUCUAGAGAUUAGAGAAGAGGGAUGAUUAGGAAAAUGCAGAGGCAGACAGUUGUCAUCUCAAGUCUCAAGGGUAAUCUGAACUUUAUGAUUUUUUUAUUUUUUCAAGAAAUAGAUAUACAAAUAAAAUGAAAAAAAAAAAAAAACCUGUUGUGUGGUCGUGUGGGUUCCUCGAAAUCAAUUCGGCAUUUAAUCGAACGGUUGGAUGUACUCAGCAUCUACACUUCCACGAAGGUUCCUGGAAGUUGCAAGUGCUGCCGGCAUUUUCAAACUCGGAAGGUUUCAAUAAUUCUUCUUCUUUGAAAGAAAGGUUUCAAUAAAGAAAGACUAAUAAAGCUUAAUCAUGAUUAUUUGAUAAACUAGAGGUGAUCACUGACGAUUUCAUUUUGUCACCCGAAGAAAACCGGAAUGUCAAGUGUCAAAUAAGGCUGAUGCUACAAUACCGGCAUGUAUCGGAUACAUGCAUGAAAUAUUACCGUUGGAUUAAUUGGAGUGGAUCCAAUGGCUGAGAUUCAUUUUAGUAUUAAAUAAUAAAAAAAUUUACAAGGAAAGGGAGCCUGUAAAAUCGGUAAAUGAAACAAACAAAAAGUCCUCAGCACUCACUCCUCACCUCGCGAUCACAGCUCACCCUCAUCUCACGUCUCCAUCUCCACUGGCUCCCGCUUCACUCACACGCCAAACGCCUCACCACUCCCUCACCUCCACUCCCUCACAACACGCCUCACCACGGCCAUCAACAGCGCCGCAAGUCGGCAAUGAUUAACGGCGGCGGCUGAAGGAGUUCCUAGGCAACGAUCAACGGCGGCACAAGCACGGGCUGAUCUCCUUCUUCGGCAACGAUCAACGGCGGGGUUGCUGAUCUUCCCUAUCCUUGGUGGACUUCAACUCUGUCCCUGCCUUGUGGGUCGUUGAUGAUGUUGAUUUCAUGGACUACCAGAAUUGCGGAGCCUCCAAAGACUGGUCUUGAGUUUUGGAAGACUUUGUUUCUCGUAAGUACUGUGAUGGGUUUUGUUUUGUUUGUGAGAAAAGUGAGGAAAUUUUGAGAAAAUGAUGUUUUUGGUUUUUAGGGUUUGUGCUGGUUUUGUUGAUGAGUACAUGUUUAUUUGGAUCUGGAUUUCAGAGCCCUGGAAAACGGAUUUGUAAGUCAAUGGCAUAAAACAGCUUUUUCAACGAAUCCUUUGUCAUGCUGCAGGUGAAAAGUAGCUAUAGUUUUUUUAUCAUUCAUAUAAUUUAUAGUAUCUUAACUUAAUACUUGAUGCUUUAUUUGGUUGUUGGGAAAAUGUAGGAAACAUAUUUUAGUUUUUCUAGAAUUAAAAUGGUACAAAAAGUUAACCUUUUUUUGCUUCUGUCUUGGUGAAAUUUUGAUUUUUGUUUACUUCAUCAUCUAAAGUUAAAGUGGAAGUUUGGAUUUCUAAUAUGUGGUUAAUGUGGCAAGUGAUUCUCUGAGUUAUUGGCGCUGUUGUAAGUUAUUGAGGCUUAUCACUGUUGUAUUAGAGGAUUCACGUACACUGAAUAAUUAGUGGCGAUCUAGUAUAUAAACCAAAGUUUAACAUAUCUACAUAUAACUGACUGAAAAGCUUAUGUAUUAUAUUCACUCCAUCAAGUAUGAAGCAUAUAAUCAAUUGAUCUGCAAGCACUAGACAUAAAAAAAUCGAAUGGUAGAAUAGAAUAUACAAGCAUCAGCAUUAGAUGACAGGAAAAGAGCUCAUUAAUAAAUUAUAUGAGUGAUAGUACUACUUGAAUCAAACUGACGUCCCCAGUUAAGAAGAGUUAAAUUAAAUAAUACUUUGAUGAUUUCAUGUGCGUAAAAUUAUAAAUUUAUAACCAUCAAUAUAUCACCAGACUUUGUAAAGUUAAUGUGAAAAUGCAUCACAGUUGUACUUAUUAUCUUUUUUCUUUUUUUCUUUUCCAAUUAGUCUAAAUACCAGUGGCGUGGCCUCGUGGGUCCUCAAAUUAUUCAAAUGGGCAUUUCAUCGAACAGUGGAUAUACUCGGCAUCUGCACUUGGAAGACGCGUUCAAAAGCUCUAAAUCAUGUUAAAGUCGACCAAAAAGACAAAGGAAAAUGCUUCUCAGCGAGAAUGCUGAGAGAAUGCCGAGAGAAACGGCCCCACCCCCCACCACGUGAACUUUUGUCCCUUUUGUUUUUUCUUGCUACUUUUGCUUUUUCCACAUUUUCUACUCUUUCUCCCCCACAUUUGAUUCUAACUGUCGAAAAGCACUAAUUGAGUUGAGAUUUUUCUCUCAUUUCACAAGUAGAGAGAGCGGCAUUAGGGCAGGAGCCAGGAGUAUUUGCUCAUUCACGUGAAAGGAUUGAGUUGGGUUUUUUUUCUCAUUUUAGAAGCAGGAAAACGGCAUUAGCAGCCUAGCAGGAGUAGUUCAUCACCAGCUUGAAGUAAAACACCCAGCUGGUAAAGAGUGAUUUUUUAUUUAUUCUAUUAUUUUUUGUUAUAUGAUAAUGAAAUUUUGAUUUAGAAAAUUUUAUUUAGAAAUCAAAUAAUGAUAAAUUUGAUUUAGAAAUUUUUAAUUUAAAUUUUGUGUUGGAUUUAGAAUUUCUUUUAAUAUAAAUGUUGUGUUUGAUUUAGAAAUCUUUUUAUUUAGAAGUUUUUUAAUUUAAAUGAUGGGUGGGAUUUAGAAUUUUUUAAUUUAAAUUUUGUUUCGAUUUAGAAUUUUUUAAUUUAAAUUUUUAGAAUAUGAUGGAUUAAAUUAUUGGUGGAUCCAAAUUUUGUAAAAAUUUAUAAUAAUUUAUUCUUAAUAUGAAUAUUAAUUAUUUUGUAUACUUAUAUUUUUUAAUUUUUAAAAUCUCAUAUCAUGUUUUAAUUUUUUAUAUAUUACAGCAACCACUCCCGACGUAUGCUUUGCAACCACAUUAUCCUUCUCAUUUGAUGUCGUACGAAGGAUUUGCAAGUAAAAGUUUCCAACAUUUGCUACAUCAACAACGUAAUGAAGACAACAAUGAAUGUGAUUGGUGUUUGACUUAUAUUUUGUUCGAACAAGUCACAUAACCUACUUAAUAAUUUAAAAUGAUUAUAAGAUCAUCUAAUGCCGAGUUUCAUCAUUAACUACCAAAAUACUCCAGAAAUCCAAUACAUUUAACUAAACACAAAUUUAAUCAAAUCGUUAGACACUCAACCUGAAAGUGGAUUCGAAGUAAUUUUAAUGAAAACAAAGAAACAGGGGGACCCUCUUGAUCGCCAACGCCAUCUUACCCUUAUAAAGAGAAAGAAGUCAAGCUCCAUAUAAUAUAAUGCCUCACAAAUUAUACAGAAAAAUGGGCCUCAUUUCAGAUGCUACAUAGAUGGUUUUCAUGAAUCCUCGUUUUGUGUGAUGAUUUUUUUUUUUUUUGACAUUUAAUAGAGUAUACAAAAUAAAAAUAAAAAUAAAAAUUUUAAAUUUACUAGAUGAGCCAAUAAAGUAUAGUAGUGUUCAGAAAUAUUUUUUUUUUCUAGAAUGUAAAUAACCCAUCCAAAGUAAUUUUAUCUUAUUUGACUGAGGUUCUCCCCCCUCCCCCACAAAAAAAAAAGCUGCUUCUUGGUUUUUAAUGCAAACACGAAGAGCUUUCGUUAAUAGUGCUUUUAGAUUGGAUUUCUAAGUUAAAAUAUAAAUCAGUUUUAGAACACUAAAUUGAGGGAGAAUAUUCGAUUUGAUCUUAUUGUAGGCUACUUCAAGAGUGUAAGAAACUGCUCCUGGAGCAUGCUAUUACAUGUUUUGUUUGUGGAAAAUGAUAUUUGUGUAUCAGCAAAACACUAAGAAGACAAAAAAAAGACAGUACUGUUGCAUAAACAUUGCUGUCAAUUUUAUGCUGCAAUGGCACUAUAGCAUAAGCAAUACCCAUAUUUCUGCAUGUCUUCCGAAUAUCUUGCAGCUGUUCAAAUAACAAUGCUCUUUGUUUGCCUACAAACCUCUAUUUUCUGUCAACAUAAUCGAGGUAACAACCCGCAAAUAAUUUUGUAAAUUGAGCCUGGAUGAAAAAUUGAUGAAUGUGUUGGUGAGAAUAAUCAUUACUCAAAAUCUUUCACUGAUGUCCUAAAUGAUUUCUCCUUCUAUAGAUUACAGUGGUCGGUUAUAAUCACAAAUUGAGGAUCUUGCUGGAAGCUGUUGUUCAAAAAAUUGCAGAAUUCAAAGUGAAACCAAACAGAACACUUAUUUCUGUUCGAAUAUAUUGAGGAUCUUGCUGGAAGCUGUUGUUCAAAAAAUUGCAGAAUUCAAAGUGAAACCAAACAGAACACUUAUUUCUGUUCGAAUAGCCGCAAAGUUUGAAUUGGGCACUUUUUUGGACAAUAUGUUUCCAGCAAGAUCCUCAAAUUUGUGAUUAGAACCAAUCAGUGUCGCCUAUGGAAGCAAAAACAACCAUUUAGGAGAUUAGUGAGAGACUUGAGUAAUGAUCUGGUUCCGCACUAACCAGUCACUUCUCAACCUUCUCUUCAAUCUCUUCCCCUUCUUUUUUCGCCUCAGAAACUCUACGCUGAACGCCUCGUAGUUUCGCCCUUGAUCAGCUCCUCGAUAUCGGCCUUGAUAUCAUCAAAGUUGGCAUUAAUUGUAGAAUAAGCAGAUAACAGUCCAAAACUGAAGGAGGCGAAAGGAAAGUGAGAUUAAAAAACAAACAGAAGCGAAGUGUUUUUUGAGACGAGAAAACGGAAACAAGAAAAGGACCAAUGCGAAGAGCUGAUAGAACGGACGAGGACGACUGAAUAAGAAGUGAUUUGAUUAUUUUAUACGGCCAAUUCAUGUAAUGACAGAUCUGGUUUCGAUCUUUGUAAUUUAAAUGUAUUAUCAGUACCAGGUGAAGGACUUUUUGUCGACUCAGUCCAACACAAAUACAAAUUACUAAAGCAACGUGAUACUGGUAUUCAUCUUUGUAAAUUAAGCAUAUCAAUACGAGGUGACUCUCUCAAGACUUUUGCUGUGCUAGUGCCGGUCUCAGUUAGUUGUGUUAUUAUUUAAGAGGUCGAGUCUAGAUAACAUCCUGCUACUUCAAUUAUAAAGAUGGACUUGGAGAAGAAACAAAGCACCUUUUGUUAUAUUUUAUUCACCUCAUAAUCAUUACAUUUAUAGUGCUCUACAGGAAACACGAUAAGCUAAGAAUGAGAUCAAGCCAAGCACAAUUGUUAUCUUUAUCUUGAUCUAGAUAAAUACAAAAGUAAAAACUUGAAUUAAUGAUAAGCUAAGAGAUAAGGUUGACCACUUUCACUUUCUAGAACACUAAUGAAUGCCAAGUGUGCUGCCAUAUCAUCUAACAAAUUUGAAUUCGUAUUACUCAAGUUUGGUAGCUCUGCUACAAUAUUUUCAUCAUGCCCCCUCAAGCGCAAUGUUCUGGGAAGAAUAUGUAACUUGUCUUGCAACCGUUGAAACUUAUCAGCAGGAAGAGCUUUUGUGAAUAUGUCUGCAGGGUGAUAUUCAGUAGGGACAUAUCCACUUUCACUCUGCCUUUGGAAAUUAUAUCUCUCACAAAAUGAAAAUCGAUCUCUAUAUGUUUUGUUCUUGAAUGAUGAACUGGAUUGGUAGCAAGUGAAGCAACUCCAGUGUUAUCACACCAAAUAAUUGGAAUUUUAGUUAAUGGAACUUGCAACUCUUUAAGCACAAAUUGAAGCCAUAAAAUUUCUGCUAUAGUAUUUGCAAGUGCUCAAUACUCUGACUUAGUUGAAGACCUUGCUACAACAUUUUGUUUCGUUGAACUCCAUGAGAUUAAGUUGUUGCCAAGAUAAAUACAGAAACCUCCAGAUGAUUUUCUAUCAUCAAUAUUGUUUGCCCAAUCUGCAUCUGUAUAGUCUGUGAGCAUCAUUCUUCCUUUUGUAGUAUAAUAAAUACCAUAAUCAGUUGUUCCUUGUAAAUAUCUACGAAUUCUUUUACACCCAAGCCAAUGCGACCGUAAAAGAUUUUGCAUGUACUGACUUAAAUGAUGAACAACAUAAGAAAUUUCAGGCCGAGUAAUAGUUACAUAUAAUAAGGCUCCAACUAUGAUACAAUAAAGUGUAGGAUCGGAAAAUUGCUUACCACCUUCAGCUGAAAGUUUUGGUACUAUACUCAUGGAGUAGAUGUUUCCUUGUAGCCAUCCAUACCUGUGUGCUUUAAAAGAUCAUAAAUAUAUUUGUAUUGGCUAAGAUGUAGGCCAUUCUCUGUGCGAUGAGCUUCAAGACCAAGGAAAUAGCUUAAUGGUCCGAGCACUUUUAAAGCAAACUGACAAUUAAGUCAUUCAAUAACUUCCUGCACUAGACUUUCUUUACUUCCUGUUAUUAAAAUAUCGUCCGCAUAAAUAAGGACAAAUAUUAUAUCUCUUCCUUGCUGCAAGAUAAAUAGUGAUGUGUCUGAUUUAGAAUUUGUGAAACCCCAGUCAACCAAUGCUUUCUUGAUUUUUUCGAACCAAGCUCUGGGAGCUUGCUUAAGCCCAUACAAUGCUUUUCUCAAUUUACACACAUGAUUUGGUUUUGCUUUCUCGACAAAACCUUCAGGCUGCAUCAUGUAAACAACUUCUACUAAGUCUCCAUUGAAAAAGGCGUUGUUCACAUCCAGUUGUAUUACACCCCAAUUUUUCAUCACAACAAUACUUAACACCAAUCAAAUUGUUGUAGCUUUAACAACAUGACUAAAAGUCUCGUUGAAAUCGAUUCCUGGGGUUUGAUGAAAUCCUUUUCCAACCAACCGAGCCAUAUAUCGCUCUAUCUGACCAUCAACCUUUUGUUUUAUCCAGAAAACCCAUUUAUUUCCCACAAUCUUCAUGUCAGAAGUAAGUUGAACUAAACACAUUGAGUUAUUUCACGCCAAAGCAUUUAUUUCUUCUGUCAUAGCAUUACACCAAUUUUGAUCUUCCAAAGCUUCACUAACACUGGCAGGUACACUUAUUUUGGUAUUGGAGGUUGUUAGGUAAAGUCUAGGUUUGGGUUUAAAGAUGCCGACCUUGGCACGAGUGAUCAUUGGAUGAGUGGAUUAUGUAUGUGUUGGCUGUUGAAAAUGAGGAGAUGAACUAGGUGGUGAGAGAUUGUGAUAUCGGCUUCUUGAUUAACAUAUUCAGGGAUAGCUAAAGAUUGUGUGGUGUUCUCAGUUGCUUGGAUUUCAGUGCUUGAUUCAAGGUUGGUUUUUCUAGUUGGGCUAUUAGUGUUGGAUUCAAAAUUGGUUUCCUCAUCUUGACUUGAUGCUUGAUCUAUGACUGUUGUGUUAUGAACCAACUCUGGUGGAGAGUCUGUUGCUUGAAUAACUGAGAGAGUCUUAUCAGCUUUAGGACUUUCAAAACCUGCAACCAUUGGAGAAUGAAUGAGAGUCCUAGAAUCAUGAUUUGGAUAACUCUUUGAGAUUUUGAAGGAGGGAUCACUUUUGAAAGGAAAAUCAGAUUCAUUAAAGACAACAUGUCGCAUUACAAAAAUUUUUCUUGACUUGUGGAGACACUUAUACCCUUUAUGAGCUGUAAUAUAGCCUAAAAAUAUACAUUCAUCUGAUUGAAAAUCUAAUUUAUAUUUGUUAUAAUCUCGAAGAUGAGGAAAUACAACACAUCCAAAAACUUUUAGAAAAGAAUAAUCAGGUAUUUUAUUGUAAAGUAUUUGAAAUGGUGAUUUAUUUUCUAAUAUGAAAGUAGGCAUUCUAUUAAUUAAAUAAACAAAUGUUUGAAAAGCAUUUUACCAAAAAGUGAGUGGCAUGCCAGCCUGUGCUAAAAGUGUUAAAUCAGUCUCUACAAUGUGUCGGUGUUUUCGCUUUACUCUACCAUUUUGAUGAUGUGUAUGUGGGCAAGCAAGUCGAUGAAUAAUACCCUGUUCUUUUAAAAAAUUUGUAAACACUUGAAACUCUCCUCCACCAUUAGUUUGUAAACUUUUGAUUUUCUUUCCUAUUUGUUUUUCGGCUUGAACUUUGAAAUAUUUAAAGGCUUCAAAAGCUUGUGAUUUAACUUUAAGUGGAAAUAUCCAUGUAAAACAUGUGCUGUCAUCUACAAUACUCAAAUAAUAUUUGUAGCCAUUUCCAGACAUUAAAGGUGCAGCCCCUAUAAGUCAAGAUGCAAUAGUUCUAAAGGUUCUGAAGCUCUAUUAUUUGAUGCUUUGAUAGUUUGCCUAUGAGUUUUUCCUUGUUGACAUGCAUCACAGAAUUGAAGAACGAAAUUUUUAUUCAACUGACUUGUUUUGUUACAAAAUGGUAGAAUUUGUUUUAGUACAGCAAGAUGAGGAUGUCCCAUCCUUCUGUGCAAAAGAUUUAUGAAAUUGCUAGGCUUGGAAUUGGAAAUAAAUUCUUGUUUAUUUACAGAACUUAUUAUUGAGCUAGAAUUGAAAAAACUAAAUGGAAGAGAAGACUCAUAAGAUUUAUUGGAAAUAAUUUUUUAAUAAGAUAAAAUGGCUUGUCUUGAAAGCACGGGUAGCCAAUAAUAGCCUCUUUCAGUUUUUCGCUGCAGCAGCUUCUUCCCCAGAACUUUGUCCUUAACAGUACAAACAUUGUCAUAGAAAUCAAGCAUUAGCUUAUUAUCAUAAAGUAAUUUUGAAAUGUUAAUUAAGUUCUUGGUGAUUUUGGGCACGUAUAAAAUAUUAUUAAGCAACAAUGGUUUAUGGUUCGGAAUAUAAAUAAGUGCACUGCCAAUGUGAGAUAUUGCUAAAGUUUUCCCAUUACCUACUACCAACUUCUCACCUCCCUUAAAUUCUUACCUAAUCUGCAGAUUGUUUAAAUCAUUUGUGACAUGAUGUGUUGCUCCGCUGUCCAAAUACCAUCCGUUAUCUAUUUCUUCAACAGGGAGUGCCAUACAGGCAGCGAAAGAAACAUUGAUAUCUUGAAUGUCCAUAUUUAUCACAUAUCUGACAAGUUGGCCUAUUUCCACCGCGACUAAAAUUGGUUCUUCCUCUGCCUCUACCAUGUCCAUUGCCUCUAGAACCUCCUGACAUAAAACCUUUUCCUGCAACUUUCCUUUUAUGAAAAUAAGCUCCUACAAAAUUUGCAUUGAAACUGCCUCAAACUCAAGAUUUGCAGCAGCUGAGAGUUGCUCCAUUCAACUUUCAUGAUUGAGCAAAAGAGAGAACACUUCAAGCAGAUAUAAAUCAUCAGUUCUGGCUGUAAUAUUUACAACCACAGGGUUGUAUUCAGUUUCUAAACCUGCAAGAAUAUAAGAAAUUAAAUCAUCUUCAGUAACAUAUUUUCUAGCCAUUGCGAGGCUAUCAGCUAAAUUUUUCAUUUUGUUGACAUCGUCACUCAUGGUCAUAGCAUUCUUUUUCGUGGUUUGGAGUUGCAUCUUAAGCUGCAAAAUUCUAGCCUUUGACAGAGAUGCAAACAAUGUUUCCAAAGCAUUCCAAACCUAAAAAAAGGUUGUAUAUUGCACCACUAUGCUUAAAACUAAUUCAGUCAUAGUGGACAAAAGCCAGCUAAGUAAAAACUGAUCUUGUCUCAGCCAUUGUAUAUAUUCUGGAUUUUCCGCGGUCAUCAUUGUUUGAUCCUCUUCUACUUGCACCAAGAAUUUAGUGGGUACAAGAUUUGCUCCAUUGAUCAAGCUUUCAAGAUUGUUACCACGAAUGGAAGGUAGCACUUGAGACUUCCGUAUCAUAGAAUUAUGCCUAUCCAAUUUGACAGGAGUCGAAAAAUUGAAAGUUUGUGAUGUUUUGUUUACAGUAUUCAUAUUGACUAAUUUUACAGAACUGGAGCUCACCAUGCUCUGAUACCAACUUAAAUUAUAAAGAUAGACUUGGAGAAGAAACAAAGCACAUUUUUUUAUAUUUUAUUCACCUCAUUAUCAUUAUAUUUAUAGUGCUCUACAGGAAACACGAUAAGCUAAGAAUGAGAUCAAGCCAAGCACAAUCGCCAACAUUAUUCUCCAACUGAGGGGCUUUCUCCUGCCUUGCAUUUCGUCUAUUAUUUGUGCCAAUCGCCAUACUUGUCCCUCCAAUUCCAAGGCCCGACUAGGAUCACGUGCUGCAACCUGGUCACGUUCUUGUUCGAUCGCUCCUCUGCUACAACUUCGCAAGAUUCGUCCGUUGUGGAAUUGAUCUCUCCCUUCGUGCGCACAUUCUCUCAAAGUUUGAGUUCCAACUCCAUUGUUAGGCACCCUAUUGAGCUGUCCCCCUAUUGAAGGGAUCUCUUCAUUUCUAUUCCUCUGGUGAUUGGGCUCUAUAGCAACAUCAUCCCUGGUUGCAUUUGCAUCAUAAGCCCUUCUUUGCUCGUUUCUCAGCUCAUGUAAGAUGGUGGUGAGGGUCUCCAUAUGCUUCUCCAUCCACUCCAUUCACUCAUGCAUCACUCUUUCCUGUGCCUCAUUUGCUCUCUCUCUCUUAGAGUGAUCGUCUCACUAGUCUCAUGCUCAUCUCCUGGGCACUAUUCCUUCCUAUAUCCAUGUCCACACGCCUACUUCUCCCUAUGAGUUGCUUUGCUAAUGGUAGCUUUUUGUUCAGCUCCCCACAGACGGCGCCAAAAUAUUAAUGUAGAAAUCUGGUCGUACGUGGACGGCUGACCAGAUUGUCUCGUCAACACUUAAGUUUGCUCUGGGUGAGGCACGAAGCUGCUCGUUCUCUCUCCAAUCAAGCGGGUUUAACGACCUCAACUAACCUUGCUCCUUUUCUUCUGACCUGCACUCACACAAAUGGAUUAGGGGUGCCGGUGAUUUUUCCGGUGGGAACCCUCCGAUGCUUAAGUCAGUAUGCAGGGUUUCGGGAAAAAAACGUUGAACUAUCAAUCUAUCAAAACUAACAAUUCUAAAAUGAAGGAAGUGUUUAAGAAAGCUUUUUGGAAAUGAGUUCUAAAUCCAAAAUGGCAGAGUUUUCCCCCUUUCUCCUUUUUUUUCUUUUUUUCUUUUGUUGUUUGUUUUGGGUUUUUAUAGACAGCCUCCCCAUGUAUCUAGAACAUCCCCACGUCCUCCAUAUUCGGGCCUUUAUGGGUUUAGAGGAUCUGCGAAAAUCGUGCAUCAGUUAUCGUGCCUUUCCUCGCAUGAUCGAAAAAUGGCGAAACCAUCGCCUAGAUGUGGUAUCGUGUCCGAUCUUUAAGGAACAGUUCUCUGGUCGACUUUUAGCCAUACACCAAAGAGGACCUACGUAUUAUUGUGUCUGCUCAUAAUACACCGACCUGAGGAGAUUCUUACCUCGACCAGGUGAAAGCAUGUGUGGUUGGUGCUCUGGUCGUAUAAUCACCCAAACAAAGACGAUUGAGUAUGUUGAUUGAGAUGGAAAAAAGAGUUUCAGAGUUGGGAGAUGUGCAUUGGCCUAAUGGUAACCAAUUAUUUGAUUUUUACAGCGGCAUUCACUGACUUUAUAUUUUAAAAAAAUUAAGUCAGCAGAACUAAAAUAACUGAGGUAGUGUAUUCAAUUAUAUUAAUUUCUUUUUCUUUUUCAUUGAAAUGAAUGCAAAGAGUGGACGAAGAAUUAAAAAAAACUUGUGCGAAAUGUGAGGUGAUGAUAAGAGUGAGAAUCCCAAAAUCGGAUCAUAAGUAGACCUAUAGAUUAUCCCACCAGCCAUAGAUUUCAUGAUGGGAUUCGUUUAUUCCAUCACGGAGCCGAGCACCAAUAGAUUAUCCCACCAGCCACCACCUCAGCUCCCACGCAAGUUUCUCUCACAUUUGAGCAGUUGGUCCACUCCGUAACUCUUUGGCGUUUCAGUCAACAAAAUAUCACAGAAAACUGAUUAAGGCCAAAAGUUAAAACGAAGAGAUCCCCAUCCCCAUGUGAUUCUAAUUAUAAAAUCUUCACCUAAUUUUCAAGAUUGAUACUUGAAAUAAAAUUUGAUUAAAAAUUGCCAAAAAAAAUACUUAAAAUAAUGUCAUUUUAGGCGAAUUUUUUUCUUUAAAUAAAACCAGAACGAUAUCAUUUUGAAUAUAUAUAAUUUUUUAAAAAAAAUCAAUUUUGUGUCUUAUUUUAGUCCUCUAAUCAUUUUUCAAUUUUCAAACAAGUGAUUCUUAUUCAAUCUUUGCAUUUUCCUUUUCUCAAAAGUAAACGGAAAUGAAGUAAAAAAGGUUUAAAAAAAAUAGUAAAUGAUGAGACUCGGGGCAGGUGGCUUGCAACUUGGACGAAGAUUCCUGACAGUUGCUAAUCCCGCCCACAUCUUCCAACUUGCAAUUUGGAAGACCGUUCUAGCUUUCUACAAUAGCUUUUAAUUAAUGACGAUUAGUUUUGAUUAUUUGACGUUCUUCGUACAAUGAGAGUAUUUUGAGGUAAUUGCUCAAACAAAAGAUUACCAUUCAUGAUCUAAAUGUCUAAAUAAUAAAGACACUUGGCCUCAGCUGACUUGUUUCAAAUCAUUAAAUAAUUCUUUACUUACUAGUAUUGUUCUUAAAAUAUAUACAAACUUAGAGCUUGUAUGACUUUUUUCUAAGGUGAAAAUAUUUCUAACUCCAACGCUUUAGAAAAACUGAAGCCUUUCUUUUUCUUUUUUUUUUUCUUUCUUAAAUGACAAUUAUUGAAUAAUUGUGAACGAUAGCAUAUUUAAGCCUAAUAUCUUAAGGUAGGAGUAUAAUGAUUUAGGUUAUGAGUGUAGUAUAUAUACUAAAGUUUAAUAAUUAUGAUCGAUCAAUUAUUGAAAUAUUACCACGGGCAUUAGAUUAUAGGCAAAGAGCUCAUUUAUUACAUUGAUACAUUAUUUGAGUGAUAUAGCACUACUUUAAUCAAGCUUAUGUCCCAAGUUGGGAGCAGCUAAAUGGGCAUUUCAUCGAACAUUUGAUACACUAGGCAUCUGCGCUUAAUCGAAGGUCGCUGGUUGUUGCAAGUGCUGCCGGCAUUUUCAAAAUUGGAAGACCAUUCAAAGCUUUUCAAUGAUUUGUUUUGAUUGUUGUGUAAUAUAUGAUAAUCUUGUGAUGAUGAUGAUUUAUAUAUGUGGUUAAAAGCUAAACUAGUGGAUUUGUAAGUAAGCACUCGGCAAAGUAUUUGAGCAGGUAUUUUAAUCUUUUUGUUGUCACAUUCUUCUAAUCAAUUAGCUUUCACCAACAAAAAUAAUUAAUAACGUAAAUGGAGGAACUUGGGCUCAAAUCUCUAAAUUAAAAUCGUGAUCACUAAUAUAAGUGAACUAUAACAAGUCUAUCUUGAUCAAAGUUUUCAACUCGACAAAUAUAGACUAGUGAUAGUUGUUAAUAAUUUUUUUUAAAAAAAUACAAAUGUUGACUGUACAAGAAUAAUAAUAAUGUAUACUUAUUUAUUGAAUUUAAACUCUAUUCAAGAGAGGACCCCAAUUUUUUAUAUAUCUUAUUUUAAUGGCUCAAAGAAUUACAAAGUUGAUACCACAAUUUAUAGUUUUUUUUUUUUUUUUUACUCUUUGGAUUAACCCACAAUCCUCAAUCCUCACCUAGGGUCGAGGAAGGAUCCACAUGAUGCCUACAGUGAGCAAUUGACCCCGUAAACUUUUAUUUUUCCGUAAUUUUCUACAUAAAUUCUUGAUAUUUUCAUGAAAUUGCAUAACUUCCUACAUAAUUAAUUUAAGGCUUUAAUAUUUUAGACAUUUUAAUAUUUAAUAUUUUAGGUGCACGAACACAAAUAUGAUGCACACAUCUCUUUAAUUAAUUUAAGGCUUAAAGAGAUUUUCAGAUGCCUACAAAUUGAAUACGGCAGCUCUUGGAAACCAUCCAUAAGAAAUAAAAGUAUAUUCAAAUUGGAUUUUUGAGUACUCAAGCAAAGCUAAAAACAUAACAAUGAAAUGAACACAGAAAAAAAAGACCCUCUCGCCAACAUUGUCUGACUCUUAAUAUAUAGAAAAAAGUCGAGGCCUUACUCAAGAUACUGCACAGAAGGUUGGCCUGAAUUGUCUUCAUAAGUUUGGACUCUCUGAAAAACAAAGAGCAAAAGCACAUUGAAGGUGCAGUUUUCACAUACUCAAAUUGCACAAAUUAGCCUCUAUUAAGGACACAGAAAUCCGUCAAUUCUCUCUAUAAGCAAUUAAUUUCAUUUUUUUAAUUUAUUUUUUGCCAUGUCUUAUCUAACAAUUAAUCCUCAACACAACAAUACAGCAGAGUAGAUAUGUUUUAAAAAGAUGUACCAAUAUGAUUUAACAAAAAUUUCAAUAUAAAUAAAACAUAUUUAGUCAGCACUAAAAUCAAAUCAAAACCUCCCAAAACGUAUAGAUUUUAACUUACCACUGUCUUUUGCAUCUUUCUUCUUUUCAUUCUCUUUCUAAUUAGAUAUAAAAUGAAUUUGUAAAAAAUUUAAUAUGUACUUUUUUCUUUUACUUUUUUUAUAUAUACCUGUUAUAUCAGUAAUUUUUAGGAAAAAAAAAAUUAUAUCUCAUAGUAAAUGAAUAUGUACCUUUGUUGUAAGAUAUAGGUAUCGAAUGGUUGUAUUAAGGUCGCGAUCCCAAGCCCACCGUUUUUCAUCAAUGUAGUUCAGCUGCACUUUGUGUAACUUGGGUGUGCUUAAUUCUCCACCAGAGAAAAUUUUCAUAUUGGGGCAAUCUUCCACCACCAAUCUUUCCAGAGAUGGGAAUUUGAAGGCGCAAUUAUUGCCCGAGCAGCUAAAACUUGUCAGACUUUUCUAAAAAAGAAAGCUCCAACUCCUUCAAUUCGCUAAAAACAAGUUCAUCUUUUGCUGCAUAAUUCUCUCCCUCGUCAUCAUCAUUUGCCACUAUUUCUGUUAUCAUAAUGCAGAAACCUAUCUGCAUUCGUCUCAGUCGCACCAGACUCUUUGCUGUCGAGGAUGUUAGUACAUUUAUCAAUCCACUGCAACCCGUUACCGUCAAAGUUGUUAGAUUUUGAAACGAUGUCGAGGAUGGCACUACAUUAAUUAAAUUGUCACAAUAGGAUAUCAUCAGUAUUUCCAAAUUGUUAGUAUUGGCGGACUCUUGUUUCAAACCUGCUUCAGAUCACGACACUGGUUUAUUCCUCUUAUGAUUGCCUUCAUCCCAUUUUCAACCUUUUCAACUGUAUCUCCAUAAACUCCAUCGUCUCCUCCUAUAAGAAGAAUUUUGAUGGUGUGAAAUCUCUGGAGGAAAUCUUCAAGUGAUAAAUUAGUAGUUGACUCAUCAAGCCAGACACCAAGACGUUUAAGUCUGCAAAGAAAGUCUUUUGGAAAUAGACCUAUGUGCUGUUCAUCAACACUAGUUCCAAAUUGGGGAAGGCCUGGGAGAUCACCAAUCACAAAAAAAGCAAGAUGGAGUUAUAUCUUCUUUCUAACAAUUUCACACAUUAAAGUAAAUACAAAGCAUUCUGAUGAUGAACACUGAUGACCAGAUAUGUGUGUGUGUGUGUAGCAUAUGAUCUUCUUUCUAACAAUGAAUUGCUAGCACAAAUGAAAAUAAGGAAAAUUUGCACGAAUUUAAAAAAAAUUAAUAAUAUAGUAAGCUGGUAUUACAUAAUUAAUAUUCAUCCAACCCAACGGAACUGGAUGUAGUUUACUAUUGUACAAGAAUGGAUUAUAUUGCACAUAAAGUUUAAUAGGAUAAAAUUUCUUCAUUUGAGUUUUGUCCAUCUCUCUACAGAUAUUUUUAAGAAUAUUAUUAUGUUAACAUGAGAUGGACAAUUUCUUUUCCAACGUCAACAUUGAUAAUCAUUUUGUAUGUAACGAUGUUGUUAAGGACUACUAAUUUCAAAACGGCACUUAAAAAUAUUUUUGCGUACUGUGGCUUGAAAAACUCUAGAUCUUAUGAGCAUUUUCUUUGUUUGGCUAAUCAAAUGCACUGUCUCUUUCGUGAAUUAACUAAACAUAUACACAUAAAAUAAAAAUAAAAAAAGUAGAGGAAGAAGAAAAUCUCUAAUAAUAAGAGGAAAAAAUUGAACCACAAGAAAAAAAUAAUAAUUGUUUACUAAAUAAUAAUUUUUUCAUUCUUUCUAACUGACAUCCAAACCCAUCUAUGGUCGUAGCCAAUUCAAUAUUCGAUAAUGAGAAGAAUAAUUAAAGAUUGACAAUUAAGUUUAUAAGGAUAUUAUAAAGUAAUAAAUAAACUGAUUUAUAGAACUCACAUUUUGUUACUAAAAGAAAAGUGAUGAGGGCAAUGAAUACUCUAAACUCUAAACUCUCAAAGUAGAAAUACUUUUUUUUUUUUUGGUCUUAUCCACGAGGUAUCCUGGGGAGGGCCCCAACUGUGAGAGGCACCUUUAAGCCCGUACCACAACCCAGACUAGAAGUCCCCGCUCGAACCGGGAGGCACAGGUUCUCCUAACAAAGACGACUUCCCUGCGACUCGAACUGGGGAGCAAACCCAGUCAAGCCACUUAAGGGGACUCCAUUGCCAGUGGAGCCAACACUUUGUUGGUAAAGUAGAAAUACUUUUUAAGUACGUAAGAAUUGAACAAUAAUUACAAAAAUCUUGCACGUACCUUUUCAAAAUGCAGAUCUCCUGUGCAGAAGCUGGUAAGCUGCGGAAGUGAACGAAGCUCAAGUGUCCUCAAUUGAGUGAGUUCAAUCACUUCAGUACCGUUAUUAUUGCUGGAUUCAUCUCCUCUCUCGGCAGCAAAAAUCACUUCCAUAUUUUGGCAACUACUCACUUCAAUGGACUGAAGUUGUUGAAGGGCUCUGACUAUGACCACCGGAAAUACAUUUUUCAAUUUAUCACACUUUCGCACCCUUAUGUUCUUUAAUUUGCAAAAAGACUCUGCUGUGAGUGGACCACGACAUAUUUUCUCUAGGUUACUCAAAUCUUUCAGAAAUAACGACUCCAAGAGGGGGAAUGCCGUCCGAGCUGGUGUACAAUCCAUUGUGUCAACAACACAAGAAACGUUGCCAUUAUCUUCGAUUUGGAGACGCUUCAGUUUUGGAAAGCCUUCUCUGUCUGAUCCAAAGAGAACAUUCUUCAUGUCGAUCAAUCCAUCUAGAGAUAGGUCUUCAAUACCCUUCAAUUGCAUGAUAUGCCCCUCGUUCAAGCAAAUAUUGGCACCAUUGGUGAGCUUCAGUCUGAAUAUUCUACAAGUCCCAUAAGAUCGGCCACCCGACCACCAGUCAUAUCCUAUCGAUAUCCUGUACCUUCGCAGCAUUUUGAAGAACGACAAGUCUCUUGGUAGAGUCUUUGCAUCUUGGAUGAGUAUUUCUAGAGAGGUCAAUUUAGAUAAAUGAUUCAACUCAUGAAGGCUGGCAUUUCUUCUUUCACCGUCGAUUCCUUCAACCUUCACCCACUCAAUGGGACUCUCGCCAAUAUACAAUUCUUCUAUUCGUGAUAAGCUUGAUAUCACAUUUGCUGGAAUAACUUUUAGUUUGGAACAAUUGCUCAGAUCCAACAACCUCAACUGAGUCAGCCGGCCUAUUUCUUCAACCAGUUUCUGCAUAUUAGAACCUCGAAGUGUAAGGAUUUCUAAUUUCUUUAGAUCUCCAAUAAUAGCGAUGUCUCCUAGUUGGCAAUCAUCGAGAGACAAUGUUUGAAGGCUUUGUAAGAGACCAAGCGAUGAAGGCAAUGCCAGCAAAUGCAUCUUCGUGAAAUCUAAAACUCUAAGCCCUAUCAUCCCACUAAAAAGGUUAUCUGGGAUUCUCAAAGAUGGAUCAUUAUCAAUGGUGAGGUAUUUAAGUUGCGGACAUUCAAAUUCUUGAGGAAGCUCACUAAUAUUACACCUACGUAAGGAGAUAGUUCUGCAAACCUUCAGUCUUUCCUUAUCUGGCCAGUUGAUCUGGGGAGCGACCUCAUUUUCCACCACAAACACAUGUUGGUCUCUAGUUGCAAUUGAUAUGGCUACAUCACGAACAACAUCAUGCAUAGAGAACCAUUCACUUGUAUUGCCAUCAAGCAACAAACAAGAUUUUUUAAGGUUUUCAACCAAUGUAUGUGCUCUAUCCCGCGCCUCUUCCAAAGUGUUGAUGUUUUGAAACAGACCCAAACCCAUUCCAGAAAAGAGCACGUCUUCAACGCAAGAGAUGAAGGCGUACCUUAUUAGCAAAAAUGUACUCUUGAGCUCCUCCCCGUUUAAAUGACUGUAACUUAGCUCUAUACUUUUAUAUGCCACCUCCUGUGUUCCACUGAAGUUCCUCAAGGAAGGCCUUCUUAAUUCUAGCAAAGCAUCCUUCCAUUCACACAAUCUCUUAUUUCUCAAUGCCCUUGCUACGGGUACAAUGGCAAUGGGCAAACCAGCACAUUCCUUGACUAUAUCUUUUGCUACCGAUCUCAAUUCAUCAUUUUCUAUGCAAUCACCUGUCGUCUUCGUAAAAAGACUCCAAGCUUCUCCUCCAUUCAAAACAUCAACACGAAAAUUCUGUUGACAAUCCAUCUUACAAGACAACACAUCUACACUUCUUGAUGUCAGCAGAACUUUACGUCCGCUGUUAUCAUCUGCCAAUGGAAUUCCAAUCGCCUCCAAAUCAAGACUCCCCCAAAUAUCAUCCAAGAUUAUAAGGAUCUUCUUCUCUACUUUCAAUCGUUCAUAUAGCCUCCCUGCUCUUACAGUUUCAAUCUCUUCAACUAAUCGCAAGCCCAUCUUCUCUGCAAUUUCUUCUUGUAUCUUUUUUAUUUGCGGUGUUCGGGAUACAUGUGCAGAAAUGACCUUCUCAAAGAGCUUAUUUUCCUUGGCUUUUCUACCAACUUCCUUCACCAGCGUCGUCUUUCCAACCCCACCCAUCCCGUAGACCCCAAUCAUGUUGAAUUUACGGUUGCUGAGUGCGUCUAGUAUCUCCUUCAAAGUGCACUUUCUCGAUUGAAAGUGCACGAAACCCUGGGUAGACUUAAGCCAUGGCUCUUCUGGAAUGGUUCGGAAAGAAACACUGUCGAAUCUCCCUUUUCCAAGGAGUUCAACAAUAGCAUUCACCUCCCUCACUGCUUUCUUGCUAAGCUGGUACCGAGUCUUCAAAUUAGGGCAUAACCCCUUCAAACACCGGUUGUUUGAAUUCUCUUUGUAUCCAAUAAGUUCUCCGACUUCAUUGAUGAGCCUGUGCGCACUAAUCAGCCACUCCGCAACGUUCGGUAGAAUUCCGUCCCCAUUAUUUCUGGAAUCAUCAACCUUAUGCUGCACACUGUCUCUAGCAUUCUUUAGGUUACCAACUUCAUUCUUCAGCUUCUCGAAGUUGGUCUUGUAGCUGCGGCAGAAAGUAAAUGGGUGAAAAAUGGGACCAACCAAGUUCUCUGAAGCUUUUGCAACAAUGGAGAUAACAAUUUCCAUUAUCCUUUUUUUUCCCCCCGCUUUCAGAAAACAGGGAAAAGCAAAACUAAUCAAACUAAGCAGAGCUAAUCAAUCGGCUGGGAAUUUGGAUAAAUUGCUGAAAUAAGAAGUUGUACGAAUGAAAUUGAUGAAAAAAAUAUUUAAGGGAGAAGGAGGGGAAAGGAGUGAAAAAUCUAGAGAUGAAGCGAAGAGGAGACAAAUUGAAAAGCGAGUGCAAUGAAAGAUUUGCAAAGAAGGUAUGGGAGGACAAGGAUGAUUCAGACAAGGGAAACAGAAAAUGAAGAAAGGGAUUUCAGAGAACUCUAAAGAUUAGGGAAGAAUGAUGAUUAGGGAAAUGAAGAGGCAGACAGUUGUGAUCUCGAGACUCAAGGGGUAAACUGAAUCAUGCAAAAAUGCCAAACUAAAUUCAUACAAGGAGAAGACUCGUGCUUCCAAGUCAACUAGAUUCUCCAUAAGUAAAUAGCGUUAAAGUCGCAGGUUAAAUGCUAAAUGGCAUUUUGGCAUUUCGUUGAAUUUUCUUGUUACCAGUAAGUGCUGUGCUGCCGACAUUUUUCAACUUGUAAUUGUAAGACUUUCCAAGCAAUUUUUAUGGUAGUGUUAAUUAAUUGUAAUUGUAUAUCAAAUAUUUUAUUACUGUAAUUUAAAAAUCACAAUUGAUAAACAAUAAUAGUAGAGAGAACAUUAAAUAGUUUGAGAAUGAUUUUUUAUUUAGGGCAUGUUUGCGAUUGCUUUACGAACAAUCAAAAUGCUAAUUCUGUUAGCUAAUAAACACAAGCGCUUUGUCAAGAACAUUACGCGAAGAACCCUUUAUAUACAUAGCAAUCAUGUAAUUACGGAAGGCUUAUCCUAAUUACAUUUUAGUUACAUUCAAUAACAAGGAUCAGGCUACGGUGCAACUGUGGCACCGUGCCACAGUUGCAUCUAGCCGUUGGAUGCACUUAAAUUGGUGGGAUACAUUGGCAUCCAACGGCUAGAUGCAACUGUAGCACGGUGCCACAGUUGCACCUAAGGUUUCCCCCAAUAGGGUCUGCCUACCGUGCAACAGUUACACGGUACCACUGAAUUUUGUCUUUUUCCAGCAAUUACACUACACUACCUUGUAUUUAUAAGAAAACUGAAUAUAUACUAUAAGUUACAAAUUUUUAUAUAUAGGUCCUUUUCUCUGGAUAAAAUUAUAACAUGACUUUUGAAAAAAAUUUUAACUGUUAUUAUUAUUAUUUAUUAAUGUCAUUAUUAUUAUAUUAUUAUUAUUAUUAAAAUUUAUUAUUUUAAUUGUUAUGAUUGCUUUAAUUAGUUAUCAUUAUUAUUAUUAUUUAUUGAUUUUAUUACCGUCACUAUUUUUAAAAUAUAUUAAAUUUAUUACUGAAUUAUUAUUGAAUUAUUAUUUUAUUAAUAUUAAUAAAUUUAUUAAUCUUAUUAUUCUAAUUAUUAUAUUUAUAUUAAUGUUGUCGUCGUCAUCAUCAUUAAACUUUAUAAUUUUUUUUUUGUUUUGACUAUUAAAUAAUAUCACUGUCAUUAUUAUUAUUUUGCCUUAAUUAAGCAUUACAUAUAUUUUAAUUAUUUUUUUUAUUUUUUAUUAUAAUAAAUAAAAAAUAUAAAAAUAAAUUAUACUAUAAUAAUAUGUUAUUAUAUCAUAUUAUAUUUAUUUAAAAAUAAUUAAUAUGAAAAUAAUAAUUUAAUAUAAUUAAUAAUAAAUUUAAAUAAUUUUAGUUUAAUAUUAGUACAAAAUUAAUGCAGUACAAGAUAAUACCAAUUACCAAAUGUUGUAUAAUUUUAUUAUAAUUAUUUAAUAUAUUGCUAAUGUAAUAUAAUAUAAUAUAAUACAUGUGCAUUACAUAAUAAAAUAUAAUAAAAUAUAAUAUAAUAUAGUGUGCCAAACGGAUCUUUAACUUUUUGAGUGAUGAUGGUCUAGAGGGAUGUAGAGAGAGUAAAAAUAAUCACAGUAGAUCUUUUAUAAUGGUUGAUUAGCUAUCAUCACAAAGUUUAGGCUAAUACAAUAAAAAUUAACCAACUACCCUAUAUUUGAAAGAGCAUCUGGAAAUCAAUAAAUUUACUAUUCAAUUAUUUUUAAUCAAGAAUAAAUAAUAAUUAUCAUUACAACAAGAUCCACAAGCUCAAAUAUCUUAAAAAAAUGAUAAUUCUCAAGAAAUAUGAAGCUCAAAUGCUUUUGAAAUAUUCUUAAAAAAAUAAACUAACUUCCUUUUAUGUUAUUCUUUAUUUAUCUUUUUAUAACUUUGUUGGGCUAUAUAUAUAUUGAUAUUUUAUAGGUAAAUUAACAUAUUGUAUGUAUAAAUAAACUAACAUGUCAACUAAUGCUAAAAACAAUAAUGUAAUAAAAGAGUAAAGUUUUGUAAUAUUAAAAUAAUAAAAUUUUACAACCUAAGACUUUUUACACGUUUCUUAUUUUGAAAUUUCACCUUUUUAGUUUAUAAUUUUCUAAAGUAUCAAGGUUAAUAACCAAUAUUCUUAAAACAUAUUCAAUUUAUUUAUUUUACAUUAAAUAUAUAUUAUAUAACAAAAAAUAUUAUUUACAUUUAUCAAAUUUUCAUGUGUUUAAAAAUUUUAUGUGAUAUUACAUUAUUAUAUUUACACCAUCAAUUAUUUUUAUGAUCAAAUUAAGUCAAUGGAUCAAACUUUAAAAAAUUUAAAACAACAGAAAUUAUGUAAGUGAAUAUUUAAAAACUUUUAGCUUUUAUGAUUUUUUAAUAAACAGUAGGGACUUAAGUGUUAAUAACCAAUUGAACACAUCCUGGCCGUUGAACACUUUAACCAUUGAUCCAUUGGCUGAGUUGAAAAAAGACAAAAAAUGAGAUACGGUGCAACUGUUGCACGGUAGGCGGACCCAAUAAUAAAUUGAAAAGAAAAAAAAAAAACCUGUUGCGUGGUCGUGUGGGUCCUCGAAAUCAUUUCGGCAUUUAAUCGAACAGUUGGAUGUACUCGGCAAGACGGCAACUAUACUUCCACGAAGGUUCCUGGAUGUUGCAAGUGCUGCCGGCAUUUUCAAACUCGGAAGGUUUCAAUAAUUUUUUUUUCUUUGAAAUAAAGGUUUCAAUAAUUAGCUUUGAUUAUUGUGUAAUAUACGAUAAUCUAGUGAUGAUGGUCACUUAUAUAUGUGAUUAAAAGCUAAGCUGGUUGAUUUGUAAGUAAGAACACACGGCAAAGUAUUUGAGCAAGCAUUUUUAUCUUCUUAUUACCACAUUCUUCUAACCAAUUUGCUUUCACCAACAAAAAUAAUUAAUAAUUUGUAAAUAGUUGGAUCUUAAGCUCAGAUUUUGACAAUACAUGAAUGAUAAUAUAUACUUAUUUUCCAAGAGUAUACUCUAUUCAAGAGAGGAUCUCAAAUUUUUAUUAGAGAAGAUCAUAUUUAAAGCUCAAGUGCAAGAAUAAUAAUGGUUGCGUUGACUGGAGAACAUCAAAUACAAACAAAGACCAUGCUAAAGGAAAAGCAAAAGCUGGCGAGAUUGAUAAAGAAAGACUAAUAAAGCUUUCCUUUCAGCAUUAAUCAUGAUUAUUGGAUGAACUAGAGGUGAUCACUGUUUUAUAUUUUUAGUGCAAAAUAGAAUACACUGCAAGAGCCGAUGGCUUUCUUUGCUGUCCUCUUAUUGUCACGUAUUUUGUAGCUUUCUCAUUUUGAUUAGUUGUUCGCUCAAUAACCUAAAUGGGUCAGGGUUUUGAUGAAUCGAAAUUGACAUCAUUUCUGUUAAGAGUAGUUCGUUAUAGUUAGUUAUAGCUGCUGACUUAUGCUGACGUGUUAGAUGAGCUGGUAAUUGUUAGUUAUAUUGGUUGUAGUUUGUUAGUAAGCUUUUAGCACACGUAUAAGCUAAGCUCAGCUCGCGUGAAUUGAUUCCAGAAUAUUCAAGAGCUUAGUAUAAAUACUCUUGUAACAAAUACAACAAUUAAUUCUAAGCUCUCCAUUCUUCUUUCAAACUUUCUUUCGUUUUCUCUGUUUUUUUCAGAUGCUAAACACUUUUCUUAUAUUUUAACUUGGUAUAAGAGCUUCAAUCUUCAAUUCUCAUGGCAUUAUCAAGCUCAAACUCAAACACAAACUCAAUUAUUUCAUCAUUUACUUUCACCUCACCGAUCAAACUUGAUCGCUCGAAUUAAACAAUCUGGAAGUCUCAAAUUCUUUCAUUUGUUCAAGCCAAUGGUCUAGAAGAUUUGCUUGAUGGAUAAAAAACCUAUCCAGAUCAAUUUCUUCAAGGUGAAACUGAAAACGCCUCUGCUGAUACUCAGCUAAAUCCAGCAUAUACUACAUGAGAGGGAAAGGGUCAGUUGCUACUGAGCUGGUUGAUGUCAUCUAUCAGUAUUGAGAUUCUGAGUCUUGUAGUAAACUCUGAAACUUCUCUAGAACUUUGGACUAGUUUGGAACAACAGUUUGGAUCUGAAACUUUUGCUAAGAAAAUUCAUCUGAAAAAUGAUGCUUAAUAACCUUAAAAAAGGUUCGAUGACAGUCACUGAAUUUUUUGGCAAGUUAAAAACAAUUACUGAUGAGUCAGCCAUUGCUGGUAAUCCAAUAAGUUCUCUGGACUUUCUUACACACCUGAUUUCUGGAUUAGGUCAGCCUUAUUAUCCUGUUUGUAGUUUAUCUUGAAGCAAAUCUUGUUAAGAUCUCUAUCAAUGAGGCAUAUUCUAUGCUAUUAACUCAUGAAGUUAGUCUAGAGGCAAAUCAGUUAAGUGCAAGCAAGGAAGCUAAGUUGAACUAUACUGCAAAUAUUACUCAAACUGGAUCUAGAUCUAAUAAUAACAAGAAACAAGGUGGUCAAUUCAAUAACAAUUGGACUAGUGGUCAAUUUAACAAUAAUUGGAACAAGAAUGCUGGCUUUAGAGGUGGAUAUGCUGGAGGCAAAGGUGGUUAUGGUAGAAAUUUUUCACAAGGAUAAGGAAGAGGAAACUGGAAUGGUGUGCCAUUUGGAAAUUUUUCACAGGGAGGCAAAUGAAGUAAUUACAAUGGCAAUCCUAGUCAAAAUGAGGGAUUUACUAGUGGAUUUACUAAUGGAAAAGGUGUUAUGGAUCAGGCUACUGCCACUGUAAUUUGCCAGAUUUGCUUUAAACCUAAGCAAAUAUUGAACUAGACUGCAAAUAUUGCUCAAACUGGAUCUAGAUCUAAUAAUAACAAGAAACAAGGUAGUCAAUUCAAUAACAAUUGGACUAGUGGUCAAUUUAACAAUAAUUGGAACAAGAAUGCUGGCUUUAGAGGUGGAUAUGCUGGAGGCAAAGGUGGUUAUGGUAGAAAUUUUUCACAAGGAUAAGGAAGAGGAAACUGGAAUGGUGUGCCAUUUGGAAAUUUUUCACAGAGAGGCAAAUGAAGUAAUUACAAUGGCAAUCCUAGUCAAAAUGAGGGAUUUACUAGUGGAUUUACUAAUGGCAAAGGUGUUAUGGAUCAGGCUACUGCCACUGUAAUUUGCCAGAUUUGCUUUAAACCUAAGCACACUGCAGCUGAGUGCAGAAACUGAUUCAACAAGGAUUAUGUUCCUUUCAACAAUCCAUUUCAGAACUCAUCAAGAAUUGCCCAUCUUACAACUUCAGAAUGAGCAAUAGCUUAUCAAGGAUGGUAUAUCGAUAGUGGUGCCACAUAUCACAUCACUAACAACUUACAAAAUCUACAAAUUGGAAGUGAGUAUUCAGGUAAUCAGCUGCUCCUUGUAGGUAAUAGUCAGGGUUUACAUAUUUCACAUAUUGGCUAUGCAUAUCUUCAAACAUCAUGCAAUACAACUUUUUACUUAAGAGAUACUUUGUGUGUUCCUAAACUUACUAAAAAUCUCAUAAGUGUUUCGAAAUUGCUUGAAGAUAACAUUGAUGUAACUAUUGAGUUUGUUGCCAAUAUGUGUUUCAUAAAAGAUAAGAGGAAGGAACAACAUCUGGCUCAAGGGAUUGCUAGAGGAGGAUUGUAUCUGUUGCUGUCAAAUAAUGACUUUGUUUUGAAUUCUAGUUGUCUCACUUAUGCACCUAGCUCUAUGCUUUCUGUUUUGAAUAAUUCAGCUUGUAAAAUUUUUGAUAUUGCUACAAAUAAAGUUUGUAAUCCACAAUGUCAAAUGAACACAACCAAGAUAGCAAACUUGUUUCAUCAGAAAUUUGGUCAUCCUAAUAAACAUGUGUUGAAAUCCAUUUUAUCUUCUCUUUCUAUUGAGUACUCAUCUAUAUCAGCACCUGAUUUUUGUGAUGCUUGUCAAUAUGGUAAAGUCCUUCAAAUGCCCUUUUACACAACUAGAAUCAUAACUAAAGCUCCUUUAGAGCUUAUCCACACUGAUCUUUGGGGUCCAACACCCUUACCAUCUCUACAUGGCUAUAGAUAUUACAUUAGCUUUGUAGAUGACCAUAGUAGAUAUUGCUGGAUUUUUCCAUUGACCCUUAAAUUAGAAGCAUUAGGCACUUUCAAAUUCUUUAAAACCUUAGUCAAAAAAUAGUUUGGCUACACUCUAAAAUCACUGCAGUCUAAUUGAGGGGGUGAGUAUAGAAGCUUUCAAAGUUUCCUUAAAGAAGAAGGGAUAAGGUUUAGACAUAGUUGUCCUCACGCACACCAUCAAAAUGGUGCGGUUGAAAGAAAACAUUGACACUUGGUUCAAACAGGACUUACCCUUCUGACACAAGCCAAAAUGCCUCUGUCUUUCUGGUGAGAAUCAUUCCAUACAGCUUCCUUUCUUAUAAAUAGAUUACCAACCCCUAUUUUAAAUAAUGUUUCACGCUUUACUAAACUUCAUGGUAGACAACCUGAUUACCAGUUCCUCAAAACGUUUGGUUGUGCAUGUUUUCCCUUCCUCAGACCUUAUAGUAAGCACAAAUUCAAUUUCCACACACAAAAGUGUCUCAUGAUUGGCUACAACCCAUUACACAAAGGUUAUAAAUGUCUUGACUCCACUGGAAAGAUCUAUAUUACUCGAUUGUCAUAUUCAAUGAGUCUGAGUUUCCUUUUUCUGAAUUUUUUCCUUCUGAUAAACCUGUUCAGAAUGUGUCAUCCAUUCAGAAAAGUCACACACCUCUUACCUUUGUUCCUUCCACAAUAGUCAUUCAAGAUGGUAACAGUGCACAACCCUCUAUUAGUUCACUUGCUCCAGAUGUAGGACCUGAUUCUAGCUCCUCUUCCCCAAAUCAGUCCAUGACAUCUUCUCAUAUACCCUCACAAGUACAGCACCUAACAACAAUAUCACCACCUAAUCAACUAUAUCAGUCUGCACCUGCACAACAACUUCUAUCAGUUCAAAAUGAUCAUCCUAUGAUAACAAGAUCUAAAGCUAGAAUAUUCAAGCCUAAAACCUAUCUAGCAGUCACUCAAGACCUUGAACCACAAUCUGUUAAGGCAGCCUUGACAGAUAUUAAGUGGAGAGAGUUAAUGCAAGUAGAGUUUGAUGUCUUACAAAAUAAUAACACUUGGAUUCUAGUUCUCAGGAAACAUGCUAGUAAAAUUAUUGGGAAUAAGCGGGUAUUCAGAGUGAAAUACAACCCUGAUGGCAACAUUUGUAAAUACAAAGUAAGUUUGGUUGCAAAAGGCUUUCACCAAACACAAUGGGUGGAUUUCUUUGAAACCUUUAGACCUGUUGUUAAACCUUGCACUAUCAGAAUUAUUUUAAGUCUUGCUAUUAUGAAUCAUUAGUCAAUCAGGUAGCUUGAUGUUAAUAAUGUCUUCCUCAAUGGCAUCCUCACUGAAGAUGUUUUCAUGCACCAACCUGAGGGUUCAUCCAUCCUCAAUAUCCUUCAUAUGUAUGCAAGUUAACUAAAGCUCUUUAUGGGCUUAAACAUGCUCUAAGAGCCUAGUAUGACAGGCUGAAAUCCUCUUUGCAACACCGGGGCUUUCAUACUUCCAGAUCAGAUACCUCACUGUUUUUCUAGCAUACAACAGGUGAUAUUGUGGUGGUGCUCAUUUAUGUGGAUGACAUAUUGGUUACUGGCUCAGAUAAUAAGCUUGUUGAGGAAAUUAUAAGUCGUUUGGGUUCUGAAUUUGCUUUAAAGGAUUCAGGAGAUUUUAAUUAUUUCCUUGGUCUUGAAGUAACACCAUCAGCUGCAGGGAUACAUCUUUCUCAGACAAAAUAUAUAGGUGAUCUACUCAAGAAAGCUCAGAUAAUUAACAGCAAAGGAUGUCAAACUCCUAUGAAUUCAAGUGACAAGCUAGUUAAAGACAAAGGGGCUGCUUUUGAAAAUCCUUCACUAUAUAGAAGUUUGAUUGGUUCUUUGUAGUAUGUUACAUUAACAAGGCCUGAAAUUGCAUUUACAGUUAAUAAACUUAGUCAAUUCCUUGCUACCCCAACAGUAAUUCACUGGCAAGCAUGUAAACGAGUAUUGAGGUACUUACAGUGCACAGCAGACUAUGGCUUACAAUUUUGCAGCACUGGGAAAUUUUCUCUCACAACAUUUUUAGAUGCUGAUUGGGGAUCAAACUUGGAUGACAGGAAAUCAAUUGGCGGGUAUUGUGUUUAUUUAGGUGAUAAUUUUAUUUCUUGGUCCUCAAAGAAAUAACAAAUAGUCUCUAGAAGCAUAGCAGAAUCAGAGUAUAGAGCAUUGGCGUUAACAGUAUCUGAAGUACUUUGGAUAUCUUAUUUGCUUAAAGAGUUGAAGAUGUCGCUGUUAUAGGUUCUAGUUCUUCAUUGUGACAAUAAGAGUGCAGAAGCCAUGGCUAGUAAUCCUAAGUAUCACUAAAGAACUAAGCACAUUGAGCUGGAUUUGCAUUUUAUUCGUGAUCACAUAGCUCAGAAUGAAAUCCAAAUUAGUCAUGUUUCAAGUUGUGAUCAAGUGACAAAUAUUCUCACCAAACCUUUGGCCUUUGAACAGUUUAAUUAUCUUAGGUCCAAGCUCAAUGUUAUUCCUAGACCUUGAGCUUGAGGGGGGAUGUUAAGAGUAGUUCGUUAUAGCUGGUUAUAGUUGCCGACUUAUGCUGACGUGUCAGAUGAGUUGGCAAUUGGUAGUUAUAUUGGUUGUAGUUUGUUAGUAUUCUGUUAGCACAUGUAUAAGCUAAGCUCAGCUCGCGUGAAUUGAUUCCAGAAUAUUCAAGAGCUUAGUAUAAAUACUCAUGUAACAAAUACAACAAUUAAUUCUAAGCUCUCUAUUCUUCUCUCAAACUUUCUUUCGUUUUCUCUGUUUUUCUCAUAUGCCAAACACCUUUCUUAUACUUUAACUAUUUCAUUCAUGAUCCGAGAUUCUAUCGUGUAUAACGGGUAAGACAAUUUUUUUAUUUCAAAAAUUUUACAUAAAUCUUUGUAGUUUGGUGGCGUCGAAUCCGAUGGAAACGAUAUAAGUGGCUUGAAAAGAUCAAUUGAUCAGUGAUUUGUCAAAAGUUGCUGUGAAGAUCCAGUUGGUAGAAGGCCAGAGGAUGGGACAAAAAGUUAAAGUUUCAAACAUGUGUUCCUUAUGCAAUCUCUCCACUCCUCAACUUCAUAUGGGCAUUUCAUUAAACAGUCCUAUAGUUGGCAUCUAUCUAAACUUGCAUGAACGUUCCUGGAAGUUGCAAGUGCUGCCUUCAUCUUCAAACUUGGAAGACCAUUCAAAGAUUUCAAUAACUAGCUUUGAUUAUUGAGUAAUAUAUGAUAAUCUAGUGAUGGUGAUGAUUUAUAUAUGUGAUUAAAAAGCUAAGAUAGUGGAUUUGUAUGUAAGCACACGACAGAGUAUUUGAGCAAGUAUUUUUAUCUUAUUGUCAUAUUCUUCUAAUCAAAUUUUUCCUGUUUAUCAACAGAUAUAAUUAAAAAUGUGACUGUUACGAUCUUGGACUCAAAUCUUUAAAUUAAAAUCGUGAUCAUUUUAUCAGUAAACUACAGCUCUAUCUUGAUCAAAGUUUUCACCGAAACAAAUAAAGAUUAGUAAUUAGAUGUUAAUAAACAUAAAAAAAUGAUAAUACACGAAUAAUAAGUAUGCUAAGCGAUUAGACUCAAAAAACAUGUAGAGGCACAGGUUUGAUCUCAAGACUCAAUGGGUGUGUUUGGCACACUGUAUUGUAUUAUGCUAUAUUGCAUUAUUUUAAUGUUGGUGUAUUGUAUUAGUACUGUAUUAUAAUAAUGUUGUACAAUGUUUGGUACUACACUGUGCUGUAUUAAUUUUUUUGUGAUUAACUUAAAUUAUAUAUUUAGAAAAUAAUAUUUAUUAGUACCUAGAAAAAUACAAAAUAUAGAAGUCUUAAAUUUUAAAAAUUUAACAUUAUUUUUUAAUAUAAAUAUUAAAAAAAUUUCCAUAAAGAUUGAAGCUUAUAGCCUUAUAAUAGACAACAUAACAUUUAUUUUAAAUUAAUAUUAUUUAAAUUUAUUCAUAUAUAAAUAUUUUUAUUAGUUAUAUUAAAUUUUUAUAUAUUAAUUACUAUAAUAUAAUUAAAUAAUGUAAUAUCAAGUUAUAUUCUUAUUUUUAUAUAUUAUUUAAGUACUUAUUAAUCAAUUUGAUAUAUUAAUUAUUAUAUAAUUAAAUAAUACAUUAUUUAGUAAUAUUUUUAAUAUAAUAAAAAUUAAAAUAUGAAUAAUAAAUUAUUAAUUUAUAUUAAUAAUUAUGAUAUAAAAAUAAAAGAAAAUAAAAUUUUAUAUUAUAUUAAAAAGUUAUAUUAUUUAUUAUUAUUAAAAAAAUAGCAAAAGCAAAAGUAAAAAAAAAAAAAAAAAAGAAGCAGCAAAUGCAAAAGCACAAAAGCAAGACUCCCAGUUGGGUUUAGCUAAUGCGGCAGUUUGCUGCAUUAGCAUACCCCUUAAUCCCUUGUAAAAUUUUGCCAAAUAUGAUAUUGAUAAUAAGCUAAUGUGAACAAUAUUUUAAUACCCCCUUAAUACUAUAACCAAAUAUGUACAAUGGGUAAUCCGAAUAAUGCAAAAAUGCCAAAUUAAAUUCAUAUGAGGAGAAGACUCGUGCUUCCAAGUCAACUAGAUUCACAAUGAUUGAGAUAGAUAAUUAUAAGGGUUAUUAUGGUUUCAUUAUUUUUUUAAAAAAAAAUUAUAAGAUAUAAAAUAACUAUAAGAAGUAUUGGUGUUAUCAUUUUAUUAGUGUAUCUUUAAAAAAACCUUUUAUUUUAUAAUAUUUUUGUUAAUAUUGUGAGUCCAACACUAAUCUAAUAUUAAACCGCUAAAAGUGUCUUCACAUGCAAAACUAUGAUAAAAUUGUAUGCAGUUUAACAAUACAAGGGCGGUGUAGUUAUUAUUGGUUAAGAAAGAGGAAAAAAAAUUGUAAAUCUCAAAUAUCUAGCGUCAUCGUCAUCUUCUUCUUCUUCAUAUUUUUUUCUUUUUUCAGACAGUGGUCCACCAUCUUUCGAAUGGGUACUAAGCCAUGCAUUGGCAUUGACGGUCUCAUCUGAAAGAGGAAUUAGUGGAAUUUUGGUGGCAGCAGUGGCUGUGUAAUUUUUUUUUUUUUAAUGAUUUAUCUCUAGGAAUACGUGAUCAAUUUGAAAGUGGAUUUUACAUGAAAUUUCUUUGAGAUUGCUUUUCAAUUAAUUUGUUUGAUUUGGUUAUGGAAUAAUGGUUUUAUUAUUAUGAGUUUGAAGGAUUUAUGAAAUAGAAAUUAAGAUUGCUAGAAAGCAUAUUGAUCUCCAAGCUUUAAUGGCAGUUUCAAUUUGCUAUCUUCAAGCUUUAACGGUGGUUUCAGUUUGAUACUUUGAUGAGAGCAAAAUUAGCAAUUUAGCACUAAAGGAAGAUAUUUAAUCACAAGUAUAAGAAGUUUAAGAAGUUUUGACAGCGAAGAGAGGUAUUCUUCAACUGGGUUUAAUUUUUUAUUUUGUUUUCUUAUUUUUUAAUUAAAACUUUAAUUAAUUUUUAAAGUAAGGUCAUAUUUAGGGACUCGUCUAUCGUGCAACAGUGGCACCAUGCCACCGCUUUUGUCUUUUCUGUGUAAAAUUUCAUGAAGCCCUUUCACUUAUUCUUAUUUGAAAUUUGCUUCACAAAUAUUAAGUUCAUUUCUCCCAAACCCGUGAAUCCUUCAACGGCCGAUCAACGGAAAAUCGGCUCCUCCGAUGGCUGUGGUUGGUCAGAAAAGAUAGAGGGAACUGUGGAGAACAAAACCCAAGUGGUGGCGUCACCGGAAACCGGAGAAACCGCGGCGAAUUGAAGCGGGGAUUCUGUGAUUUUUCACAGCUUCGAUCGGCAGCUUUCCGAAUGCUUUACGGCGACAAGGAUGGCAUGGAGAUGAUCGGCGUCGCACGAGCUUCGGAUCGGUACCAACCUUGGCCAGUGAAGUAGGCGGAAACGGAAAUAAAAUUCGGGUUGGGUUGACCCGAUUAUUUUUGCGACAAGGAUGGCGUGGAGAUGACUGGCGUCGCACGAUCUUCCGAUCGGUACCAACCUUGGCCGGUGGCAUGGAUGGAAAUGGAAACAAAAUUAGGGUCGGGUUCGCCGGUAUUUGUGAUAAAGAGAGGGGUAUUGUGAUAAAGGUGCAAUAUAGAAGGAAAAUGUAUAAAUAGGAAAUAGUAUAAGGUGCUAAUUAUAAUGUUUAUAUGGAUGCAAUAGAAAUUAAUUUAAUAUCUAUGAGGUAAAGUUUAAAUAAAAAUGAAUGAAAGGGGUUCAAUGAAAUUUUACAACACUGCUGGCACAAAAGACAACCAGUGGUAUGGUACCACGGCGGUACCGUAGCUGGAUCCUUUAGUAUUUUACUAGUUAACUAAUAGUGAUAAAUGAAAAUAUAAUAAAAUGAAAGAUUUUACAAAAUAUAAUAAUAAAGUGAUAAACACUAAUUUUUUUUUUGUAAUCAUUUGAUAUUUCAUAAUUUACAAUGUAGUCCAACGAUAAUAACUCCAGUUAUAAUUAGAUGUAAAUGGUGUUAAAGUUUAAGGCUAAUUGGAUAGCGGGGCUAAGUGACAUUUUGGCAUUUCAUUGAUUUUCUUGUUACCAGUAACUGCUGUGUUGCCGACAUUUUUCAAUUUGUAAUUGGGAGACUUUUCAAGCAAUUUUUAUGGUAGCUUUCAUUAAUUGCAAGUGUUUAUCAAAUAUUUGACUGCGGUAAUUUAAAAUUUUCAGUUUGAAAAUGAUUUUUGAUUUAGGGCGAGUUUUCGAGUGCUUUACGGACAAUCAAAAUGCUAAUCCUAUUAGCCAAUAAACGCAAGCGCUUUGUCAAGAACAUUACCGGAAGAACCCUCUAUAUAAAUAAUAAUCAUGCAAUUACGGAAGGGCGUAUCUUAAUUACAUGUCAGUUACAUUCAAUAAAAAAAAUAUUACUUAAAAUUUUUCUAUUAGCAAUGAGUAUGUUGGAGGCAGGAUAGAAAAAAUCUGAAGACUUUGCAAACUUUUUGUGAAGUGACCCAUGUGAUUUGCUAAUUACCCUGCUGAAACUAUAAAGCCAAAGUUUGCAGAUUUUAUUAUCAAUUUUUUUUUUCAAAAUAGAUAUACAAAUAAAAAGACAAAAGAUGAGACUUAUAGUACCAGUGGCGGGCCCCCUGGGUCCUCAACUUCUUCAAAUGGGCAUUUUAAUAUAUUGACAUAUAAAUAAAUGAAUAUCUUAUGUAAUAUUCACUCCAUCAAGCAUGAAGUAUAUAAUUAAUUGAAUGUACAAGCAUCGGCAUUAGUUGACAGGAAAAGAGCUCGUUAAUAAAUUAUAUGAGUGAUAAUACUACUUGAAUCAAACUCACGUCCAAAGUUGGGACUCGCCUAUUGUGCAACAGUGGCACCAUGCCACCAUGCCACCGCAGUGGCGGGCCACCAUGACUCAGUUAUUUUUGCGACAAAGAUGGCGUGGAGAUGACCGGCAUCGCAUGAUCUUCCGAUCGAUACCAACCUUGGCCGGUGGCAUGGACAGAAAUGAAAAUGAAAUUCGGGUCGGGUUCGCCGGUAUUUGUGAUAAAGAGAGGGGUAUUGUGAUAAAAGGUGCAAUAUAGAAGGAAAAUGUAUAAAUAGAAAAUAGUAUAAGGUGUUAAUUAUAAUGUUUAUAUGGAUGCAAUAGAAAUUAAUUUAAUAUUUAUGAGGUAAAGUUUAAAUAAAAAUGAAUGAAAGGGGUUCAAUGAAAUUUUACAACAAUGUUGGCACAAAAGACAAAAUCAGUGUUACGGUACCGUAGCUGGAUCCCCAAAGUUGAUAAGAGUUAAAUUAAAUAAAGCUUUGAUGAUUUAAUGUGCGUAAAAUUAUAAAUUUAUAAUCAUCAAACGGAUCCACCUAUGUCACAAUAGGUGCACCAUACCACACUUUUUGUCUCUAUUUGGCAGAGCCGUAAGAUGUUUUAUUGUUCAAUCUAACGGCUACAAUUUUUUUUUUUAAAUCAAACAGCUACUGAUCAACGGUGCAGUUGCUUCAUACAAUUAGGGUUCUUGCCUUAAUGAUGUCAUGGAGAUGGGUGAAUCAAUGGCCACCAGGCACCAAAUUCAUGACCAAUCAAUGACCAACAAGCACCAAAGUAAUGCCAAGCACACUAACAACCACCGAUUAAUGGCAAGCUUAGUGUUUAGAAUUUGGAGAAGCACUUGGUACUGUAUCGAGGUAUUAAAUCAUCAAAAACCAAUUUGGUUUGGACUCUUCAAUUUCAACUUGACUCCUACACCAAAGCCGCCCAACAACAACUCAACAACCGAAUAACUCGUCCUAAUAGCAUAACAAUCCAGUCGUCAGUUGCCUGCACAUGAGAGACCAUUUUCUAAUUUAUGAUCGAAAUUGUUGAAUUAAUUUUACAAUUCUCUUGUACCAAUUUUCAUCAUAUAUGUUGCCUCAAGAAGUGAAGAUUGAUGUCGGAAUCACUUUCAGUUUCAAUUACAUGAUGUUUGCGAUCUUCUUAUACCAAUUCGGUUUACAGUUGCCUCAAGUAUCCAUGUCCGUCAAAUCUUAUCUAUAUUAAAGUCCGUCUAAACUGUUAACCAGUGGCUGUUUGAUUUUAAAAAAAUAUUUGCAGCCGUUAGAUUGAACAAUAAAGCAUCCGACGGCUCUGCCAAAUAGAGACAAAAAGUGUGGUAUAGUGCAACCGUUGUAACAUAGGUGGAUCCUCAUCAAUAUAUCUCGAGACUUUGUAAAGUUACUGUGAAAAUCCAUCACAGCUGUAGUUGUUAUCAUUUAUUUGGUCCAAAUAGUCUAAUGCCAGUGGCGUGACCUCGUGGGUCCUCAAAUUAUUCAAAUGGGCAUUUCAUCGAACAGUUGAUAUACUCGGCAUCUGCAAUUGGAAGACACGUUCAAAAACUCUAAAUCAUGUUAAAGUCAACCAGAAAGACGAAACAUAGAAAGCAACAAUCCAACAACUAGGUUAAAAUAUUCGCUUCAACAAAUGGUUGCGUUGACGUGUAUUUUGGGGGAUCAUCAAAUAUAAACAAAGACCAUGUUAAAGACAAGCAAAAGCUGGCGAGAUUGGUACUGAUAUAUUAAAAGAAAGACUAAUAAAGCUUUCCUAGCGGCAUCACUCGUGAUUAUGUGAUAAACUAGCGGUAAUAAAUGAUUAUAUUCUUAGUGGACAACAGAGUACGUUACAAGAGCUGAUAACUGAUCGCUUUCUUAAUUUUUUGUCAAUAUUCAAGCAAAAAUACAAGUCAAUCAAAAUAACGUACCAUAUUAACAUUAAAUGAACAAAGAGGGAUAAGCUGGGCCAAGUCUUUAAAUCAGCUACGUCAUGGAAUAUAACAGGAAGAUUAAAAAAAAUAGAUCAACUAGUAUAUAAUAUAAUGCUUUCACAUUUAAUUAAUUAGGAGGCUAAUGCACUAUAACUCAGCAUUAAUCAAAAUUAUUUCAUAAACUAGUAUAUACUGGAUAUCUCGAUCAGUGCAAAACCGAGUUCUGAGAGAUAAAAUUAACCUGGUGUCUUUGGCAGGUCUUUAAUAUAAUUGCCAAGCUUGCCCCAUACCAUUGCCAACUUUGGCCAUCGGCUAGCUGCUACUUAUGAAGCAACUCAAGCAAACAUAAAGCAGCCGUCGUAAGAUCAAGCACAACAAGUGUGAUCACUGAUCAUGCAUCCGGGACAAUAUUAUAGUUAUUUAAUUCCAAUAAUCAUAAUAAGCUAUUGAAUUAUAGACCAGGAUUUCUAUUUUUAUGAAUACAAGGCACAAACACGAGCAUAUUCACGCAUCUUUAAUAAAUUUAUUGGGACACAAUAUUUCUGCUUAUUGAAGAAAAUCAAGAAAUGCAGAUUCCAUCAUGCAUAUAGUUUAAUGUUAAUUAAAGUUUAAGGCGAUCAGAUUCAUAUUCAUUAAUAUGCUUUUAUACGAAUCGUUCUGUUUGAAUAUAAUAAUGGUUUCAGAAAUGCAUACCUGUUAAUUCUCCGUUUCUUGUCUCCGGGGAAAGUUUGACUUGAAGCAAUGUUAUAAGAGGUUUAAUUGUGGGUCAAUUUCUUUCGAGCAUUUCAACAAACAGGUGAUAUGUAUGCACAUCUCCUACGCUAUCACUCCCAUACUUGCCCUGUAGCUGCUUCCAGUUGUAAAAGGAUGCUGACAUGUCAUCAUACUUGGACAGACCUUUAGAGUUUAGAGGCCAUUCUUCGAAGCGCUUGCUGAUGCAAACACGUGAGGACCCAAAUCAAGAAUUCCGUCCAAAACACUCCUAUGCACGUAUGAUAGGUGUCUAUUAAUUAAAUAUAACUAUUAAUUACAAGAUUAUUUUUUUAAAUAAUAUGUCAUAUAUGUAUUAAUUAUAUAGAAUACAACAAAAUAUUUUUAGAAUCUAUGGGUGAACACAAUGUAAUUAUUAUAGCAAAAGAAAAACUUUAGAGCCUUUGGUGUACUCAUCGGUGAAAUUUGAGCAAAAAGAAAAAUUCAUGUUUGUGAACCUAGAAACCACAAUCAUUUAGAAUAGGGAUAUUAUCAUUUUCCCACCUAAGGUAUUCUGACACAUCAUGUCAGUACCACGGUUUGGUAAAACUAUUAAUUUACCACCAAACGUUUAAAUUGUUAGCAUUUUCCCACCAUUCCGUUAAAACUCAGUUAAUAUGUAAUGGAAAAUUCUUAAAAGGUCAAUUUUACCCCUGGAGUAUAAAAAAUCAUGUAAUUAACCUUUUAUGAAUUUUGUAAUUAAAUCAUUAUAUGUUGUUCUUCAUUCUUAAAGGACAAAAAUUACUAUUUAUGAAUUUUGUAAAAUUGACUGUGUGGUAUUAGGUACUUCAUAAAUUGAUUUAAUUGAUUUAAUUUUUAAAGGGUAAAUUUAUUUAUUUAAUUUUUUGUGUAAAAUUAUUAUCAUCAUAUCAAAGAUUAAAUUGCUUCUUUUGCACAUUCUUUUUUUUUUUCCUUUCAUAAAUUGAUGUUUAGUAGUAGAAUAAAUUGUCUUUAGCUCGUCAAUUUAAUAAAUAAAUUUGACCUUUAAAAAUUAAAUAAAUUAAAUCAAUUUAUAAAGUACCUAGCACCACACGGUCAAUUUUAUAAAAUUUAUAAAUGGUAAUUUUUGUCCUUUAAGAAGGAAGAACAACAAAUGAUGAUUUAAUUACAAAAUUCAUAAAAGGUUAAUUACAUGGUCUUUUACACUUCAGGGGUAAAAUUGACCUUUUAUAAAUUUUCUGUUACAUAUUAACUGAGUUUUAACGGAAUGGUGGGAAAAUGCUAACAGUUUAAACGUUUGGUGGUAAAUUGAUAGUUUUACCAAACCGUGGUACUGACAUGAUGUGUCAGAAUACCUUUGGUGGGAAAAUGAUAAUAUCCCUUUAGAAUAAUACUUGCUGAAAUUAAUUAGGUAAUUUUUAACCUUAAAUUUGAGAUCAUUAAUCAUUGAAUGUUUUGAGUGCAAUAUCAGUGGCAACACGUUUAAUGAUUUGAUUAAAUUUGUGUUUAGUUCUAUGAAUGAUUUCAUUCGGUUUUUAUGAUUUUUUUGGGUUGACCCAACGGAACAACUAACACUUACCCAGUUCCGUAACCGUAUUUGUAACAACGGUAAUUAGAUUUUUUUAUUAUUAUUUUAAUGUGUAUUUUAUAAAAUAUAGUAUUUUAGGCUAAAGUUAUUUAAGGGUGUUUUAAUUUUUUUUUUUUUUUUGUUUCAAAUCACUUAACUUUUUUACCAAUCUAUUAAACACAUUUCUAAAUAAGAAAUAAACCCCUAAUGGGUGAGGGUAUCGAAAGAUUUUGCUUUAUAAAAACUCCUUGUAUUAUUUUCUUUUUUAAAACCCUUUAUAAAAACAUGAUUAUGUAUUGAUUUAUUUUGUUAUUGAGUGGAAGUUGUGCUAUUGUGUUAUCCUGAAAAACUGUGAAUCGUAUAGAUUGAAUGAAUGAAUGCUGUUUUCAAUGAGUCUCAUGCAUGAAACUUUAUAGUUUAUUAAACUAGACAUCUUUAUCUUUCUAUCCAUAUGUUUAUUUUUCAAAAACAUAUUAUAUAUUAAUUGUUACGAUUUUUCAAAAUUGGAGCACGGAUGUUUGAAAAUUCUGAUUUCCAUUAGUAGUUCCCAAUUCUAUAAUUUAUUUUGUAAUUCAAACGAACUUUGAAAAUUUUGGGAAUUUUUAUUGUGGUAUGAAUGUAUGUCUAGUUUGGGUAUUUUUAAAUUCAUUAUUUUUAGCCUUAUAAUAAAUGCAUUAAAAAUCAUAGAGUUGGGCAGCCACAAUCCUAGAAACUGUUUUCCAGAAUUGCGAAAGCUGAUAUUGAAUUCAAUUUGGAUUACAUUUUCGUCAUUAAAUGCCUUACAUAUUUUAAUCCUGAUUUCUUAUUGUUUACUCUUAUUGUCAAAACUUGAAUUAGUAUUUUUAAACAUGUGUAACAAAAGUUAUGAAUUUUUGAAUCAGCAAUCAUUUGUUUAUAUCACCACUGGCAGUUUUGAUGUUUUUGCAGAAUAUUAGGGUGCGUUUGGUAUUGUUUUUCAAUUAGUGUCUUCUAGACUCUUUUUAAAAAAGAAAAAUGAUGUUUUUUAUAUUAUAUUUUUUAAAAUGAAAAUAUGUUUGGUAGCUUGUUUUCAAUACAGUAUAUGAAAAUAAAAACAGUGAAAACGUGGUUGGUUGUUUGUCUGGAAAUUUGGAGACAGUGAAAGAGAGUGGAAGAAUUAUUUUAUUAAUUAAGAUUUUUUGAAUAAUGACAUAAUAUUUUGUGAGUUUAUGCUAUAAUUAUCAAAAUUAGCAAUUCAUCAUAUAUAUAUUGGUAUUGUUCAUGUUCAUUAUUUAAAAAAAAGAUAUAAAAUUAAUAUAAUAUUAUCUUGUAAAUAUACAAAUAUAUACAUCUACCUAUGUAUAUCUAUUUAUACAAAAGAGUGUAAGAUAGCAGAGUUUUAUCAUCUCAUGAUAAUUCUUAAACAUAGCUUGCCAUCAAAAAAAUUAAAAUCAUUAAUUUAUUUUAAAACACAAAAUAAAAGUUAUAUUAAAUUACGUAAAAUCAAGUAAUUUGCAUGUUUCAAGUUGAAAUAAUUUUUUUUAGUAUAUAUCUAUUUAUUUUAGAGAAUCCAAAAUUACUUAAUUUAAUAACAUAUAUUUUAUAUUAAUUUAGUUAUGGUAUGGAUGUAGUUUUCUUUUACCUAAUAAAUGCAAUUUUAAUAAGCCAUUUUAAUUAUCUAGAAUAAUUAAUAAUAAAUAAUACAAAGGAAUAAAAGAAAAAAAAGUGUGUUCGGAAAAAGUAUAGUCCAAUGAGAAGCCUUCAGUAAUCACUUAUAUUAAUAUAUUAUUAGAAAUAUAAACUUAAAUAAAAUAUUAUAAAACAUCACUUAUUUAGCAAGUAAUUUGAUAGCAGGUGUGGGACCAUUAGAAUAAUUGCAUUCCUGCAGUGGGACCCCUGUAAAAUGAACAUUGAAGAACAUCAUAAAGUCGUUUUCUGCUUUUCUUCACAAAAAUUGAAGAAUGAGAAUAUCUCAUUCUCAUAAAAAACUGUAACAGUACAGAAACAAGGACAACCAAACAUAUUUUCUUAAUUUUUGUUUUUGAAAAACGAAAAACACUGGAAGAAAAACGUUACCAAACAUGCCCUUAGUUUUCAAAGAUGUUUUUGAACUCUAAUUAAUUUUAUGAAAUUUUAUAUUGAAUGCUAACAUGUUUACAGUAACUCUUUGUAAUAUUUAUGAUUUUUUCGACAUAUUUAUCAUCUGGUUAGAAAUCAGCUCCUAUAAGAUGGUCGAGUGAGUUUAGAGAAUUGAUAUGCUUAAAUUAAGAGAUUUUGCUUCAAGGACGUUUGGGUUUUCUAUCAAGGUCAAAAUUGAAUAUGAUGUUGAUGAGAAUCUUAUCUUGAUAAUUAUAUGCCAAGAGUAAGCUCGUGUGUUUGGGGUUGUUGUUGGUUGCCUCGGGUUGAGGAAAGUGAAUUCGUUCAUAAUGUUUAUUAUAUGAAUAUAUAUGUAAAUAUGUAUGAAAAGAUAUCAUAUGGAUUGGUAUUUGAUGGUUUUCAAGUAAUUUUACCGUUAUAGUUUAUUAUAAUAAGUUAUAUUUGAUUAAAAGCUUAUUUAAAGUAUUUUCUUAAAUUUGUUUUAAAAAUGACUUUAAAAUCUUACUUUUUCAUAAAUUAUUUUUCUUAAAAAUAUUUGUAAAGUUUUGUCAAUUAAAUUUCAAGCAUUUUAUUGAUUGAUUAUUGAAUGAUUGACAUCGAAAUAUUGAAAAUUAUAUCUAUGGUUUUGGCUCAUUAUUCAUAGUUACUGUUACUGAUGUGACCAAACAGCUAGCUGUAUUGUGUGCACCUAUUGACGAAUAUUGCAGGAUACAGUACUCUAAUUGAACUGUUAGCCGAGUCAUCACUAUUGCAGGUGAUAUAUUGACUGGUUGAGUCACAAGGAUUACAGGUGAUACUAUAUGACAUGAGCAAUUGAAAGAAUGAAAGGUUUUAUUAAUAAAUGAUUUCUUAAACUAUCAUUAUUGAAAAUGAUUAUUACGUUGUGACUUAAUUGAUUAUGAAUUUUGGCAUAUUUAUGUAUUAGAUUAUAAAAUGACUAUUGGUUUCCAAUUUAUAGUACUUCAUAAUGAUUAUUAUUUACUUUAUCAUUAUCAGUAGUCUUACGCAUGAGUUUGAUUAUUGAGUUGAUGGCUCACCCCUCGUUUCCAACAUUUUGCAGAUUGAUUUUAGAGAUGUGGGCUUUUGGACUUAGAGAAGAGAAUUAUUAGCUGAAAACUUUAACAUUUUCUUGAUGAUUAAAUUGUUACCACUUAGUUAUUGUUUGGAGGUGAAUUUUAUGUGGGAGGAUUAUUGUUAUAUUUAUUGUUUUAGGGACUAUGUUUCGAUUAUAGACAAUUUUGAUUUUCUUUUGGGAAUAGUAAUAAGAUUGACUUUAUGUGGUCUCAUUCUAAUUCCUCUUGAGAUUCUUGGUGAUUUGGGGUGUUACAGUAUUUAUUUCUCAUGAUUUGAUUAAACCAAGGUCUCCUGAAACUUCGAUUCCUUUCACUGUUGUAGUAGAGGUUUCAUGUACGUUGAAUAUCUAGUAUAAUUAUUGAUAUUUAUAUUUCGAGUGCUACUUCAAAGAAUUUUACUGCCGCAAUACUCAAUGAUUUUUCAUAACCUAAAAUUGAACAAUUAGAAUGAUUGUAAGUUCAUUUAAUGACGAGUUUCAUCAUUAACUAACGAAAUACCCCAUAAAUCCAAUACAUUAAACUAAACUCAAAUUUAAUCAAACCAUUAGACACUCAAUCUGAAAGCAUAUUCAAAAUAAUAUUAAUUAAAAGAGCUAAAAGUAGAACAAUCAACAAAGAAACAUAUGACCCCUCUCGAUCCCCAAUGCCAUCUGACCCUUGAUAGAAAGAAAGAAGUCAAGCUUCAUAUAAUAUAAUGCCUCAUAAAUUACACAGAAAAUUGGCUUCAGCUCAGAUGCUGCAUAGAAGGUUGGCCAGAAUCCUCUUUGUAUGUGAGAUUUUUUUUUUAACAAUUAGUAGAGCAUACAAAAUAAAAAUAAAAAUUUUAAAUUUACUAGAUGAGCGUAUAAAGUAUUAUAGGCUCAAUUUUUUUUUUGAAUGUAAAUAGUCCUACCCUAAGCAAUUUUAAUUUAUUUGACCGGGGUUGUAAUUCAUGGCUGAUGGAGCGGCGUAGCUAAAGCGAAAUUCAUUGGGUAAGAAACACUAGAUAUCGUUCUAGUACUGGACCAAGCCAACGCGAUUAGCUUAUUCUCUAAUCGAAGCGUGAUUUUAAAUAUCUUUCUAACCAAGAUGACUCCAUGAGAGUUUUAAUAAUGCGUUUAAGCGAGAUUAGAUGACACUCUAAUCCCAACGACUUUACAAGAGAUAUUUUAAUAGACAAUCGUAGAGGGAAUUUUAUUGAAUAAUUGAAUCUGAGUUCUUAAAAUAAUUACAAGACCUCUCUAUUUAUAAUAAAGGAAACAUAUUUCCCUCAGUUAGCUUAAAAAGGGAAACUAAAUCACAAUCGUACUGGAAAUAAAAUAUAAUUUUCCUGAGUUAACUUAAAAAUUUGAAACUAAAUAACAAUUAUAACGAAAAUAAAAGAUACUUCCCUAAGUUAACUUAAAAAUGGAAAACUAAAUCACAAUUAUAACGGAAAUAAAAUAUACUUCCCUAAGUUAACGGAAUCUCAUAUCUUAAUUGACUAAUAAAAAUGGAAAGUCCUAAAAUAAUAAAAUACCAUAAUUAACUCUAAUUAAAAUAAAAAGUCCUAAAAUAAUAAAAUCUUAAAAUUCCUAAAUUAACCUAAAUUAAUGUCCUACAUUAAUGGCUUUUAAUACGGACAAGAAGAGCUUUCGUUAAUAGUGUUUUUAGAUUGGAUUUGUAUGUUAGAAAUAUAAAUCAAUUUUAGAAUACUAAAUUGAGGGAGAAUGUUCGAUUUGACCUUAUUGUACGCUACCUUAUGAGCGGAAGAAACUGUACCCGGAGCACACUAUUACAUGUUUUGCGUGUGGAAAAUGAUAUUUGAAUAGCGGAAAAACACCAAGAAGACAGGAGUGAUAGCACUGUAGCAUAAACAAAGCUGUCAUUUUUUAUGCUACAAUGGCACUAUAGCAUAAGCAGUACCCAUAUUCGGCAUGUCCUUCUAAUAUCUUGCAGCUGUUCAAAUAACAAUGCUCUUUGUGUGCCUACAAACUUCAACUUUUCGGUCAGCAUAAAAGUACAAUUAAAACGAGUUUAUAUUAAAUGUAAACUCUAUUGAAGAGAGGAUCUCAAUUUUUAUAUCUUAUUUUAAUCGCUUAAAGAAUUACAAAUUAAGUUGAUGCAUUAAUAUAUAUAUAUUGAAAUUUUUCAAUCCGGAAUUUUAAAGUGCGGGAACGCUCGGAAAAAUGCAUAAAUAGUGUAGUUUAAGCGCUUCAAGUUAUAAGCCUUUAAAAUCCUGCGGCUUUAAAGUUUCUCCGGACUUUCCUACACUUUAAGAUCUCGAACCAGAAAAAUACUAAUAUAUAUAUUUCUAUAUAUUAGUAGUUUUCUCAUCUGGGAUCUUAAAGUGUGGGAAAAGUCUAGAAAAAUUUUAAAACCGUAGAGUUUUAAAGGGUUAAAACUAAAGACGCUUAAAUUGCACGGUUUAUCUAUUUUCCCAAACGUUCCUACACUUCAAAAUUUCAAAUUAUGUUCCUCAGUAAUAUCAUCAUGACUCUCGAAGUCAUGUACGGUAGCAAUACCAAACCAAAUACGAUGAGUAGUGGGGUCUUGAGCUAAGCCUUGGCUAAACCUUGUAAAUCUUAAUGCCAUAAUCCUUUCAAAUCCUCCUAGCCAUUAUCCUACUGCAAUAAUUCUUGCUAAGAAGAACGCCAAUAUAAUAUUUAAAAAUCUUUAGAUUAGCGGACAAUCUUCAAUCUUCACCUAAGUUCAGGAAGGAACCACAUGGUGCUUACAAUGAGCAAAUUGACCUGGGUAAACUUUUAUUUUUCCAUAAUUUUCUAUGCAAAUUUUUUAUAUUUUCCUGAAAUUACAUAAUUGCCCUCAAUAAAUACAUAGUUAAUAUUAAUUUUCAUAAUUUUUUUUUUUUUUGUUACGUUGUCCCCUGUAAGCCAAAUUUUUUAGAUCUGCCCUUAAAUAGGUUAUUACAUUAUUGUUCCCAAAAGUGAUGGCUUCUCCUAGUUUGAAGCUCCUACCAAGUGAAAAAGGUCUCCAUAAAACAUUGCAAGCUUUAACUAUGAUCUUUUAUAUUGACCUAAUUUUUUUCAUUUUUUUUAAAAGAUGCCAACAAGUGCUUUUGGGUGUAUAUGUCAUAUCCACAACUGUUUCUGCUCCUGAUGGCCCCUAAUAAAUAUCACAAUAGGAUAUGAUCUUCAAGCUUCUUAACUGUUUAUGCAAUCUGGUUAACAUGCAAUCUUUAGUUGAUCUUCUAGGUUGAGACACGUUGUCAUCAUAAGUGAUGAUAGUUAAAAAUGCUAAUUAAUUUAGAAGCCUAAACUAUAAAAUUUGAUUGAGAUGGAAUAAUAGCUUUCAUGUCGGCUUUUUCAUGAAUAAAUACUUGAGGUCCACGAUAUUUUUCUUAUUGGAGAGAUAAAAUUUAGAAUGUACAAGUGGUCCUAUCUUAAAUGGAAGAUUCUUGAUGCUGAUAAAUGAUAAUGGCCAUCGAUUAGAGAGUUCUACUAGUCGAGUAGUGACUCCAGAUAUGUACAAUUUGUUCCAAUUUGACUACAAUACGGCACCUUUUUGUCGAAAUUUGAGCAUUUAUUAGAAGAGAUAUCGAGCCACUCAAUGUUCAGAGCCCAAACAUAUAUAUGCUUGUGAAAACAUUCAUAUGUUUUGAAAAUACCGAAAUCGUUCACAAGAAGAAAAUUAUGAAGUAGAAAUACGGCAGAAAUCGCGUAUGAACAGAGAUUGAGUAUCACAAUGAGAUGGUUUCAGUUUCGUCAUAAACUAUAAAAAAUACACCAAAAUCCAAUGCAUACACCAAUAGGUGCACGAACAGAAAUAUGAUGCAAACAUCUCUUUAAUUAAUUUAGGGCUUAAAGAGACUUUAAGAUGCCUACAAAUUGAAUAUGGCAGCUCUUGGACACCAUCCAUAAGAAAUAAAACUAGCUUCAAAUUGGAUUUUUGAGUACUCAAACAAAGUUAAAAGCAAGAUAAUGAAAUGAACGCAGAAACAGAAGAUCCUCAAGUCAACACCAUCCAACUCUUAAUACGUAUAUGGAAAGAACUCGAAGCCUUAUUCAAGAUGCCGGCAGUAGGUUGGCCUAGACCAUUUUCAUAAGUUUGGACUCUCUGUAAAUAAAGAGAAAAACACAUUGAAGUUGCAGUUUUCACAUUAUUAAAUUGCACAAAUUAGCCUCUAUUUUAACUAGUUAAUGCUAAAGAACACAGAAAUCCUUCAAUUCUCUCUGCAAGCAAUUAAUUUUAUUUGUUAUUUCCUUUUCGCUAUGUCGGACCUAACAACUAAUCCUCAACAUAACAAUACAGGAGAGUAGUUAUAUUUUAAAAAGAUGUACCAAUAUGAUUUAACGAAAAUUUCAACAUAAAUAAAACAUAUUUAGUCAGCAUAAAAAUCAAAUCAAAACAUCCCAAAUUGUAUAGAUUUUACCUUGCCACUGUCUUUCGCAUCUUCCUCCUUUUCGUUCUCCUCGCUGAACGUCUCAUUCUCUUUUUCUUUCUCUGGCUAAUUAGAUUUAAAAUGAAUCUAUCAAAAAUUUGAUGUGUACUUUAUAUAUAUAUCUGUUAUUGAAUCAGUAACUUUCAGAAAAAAUCAACAUCUUACAUGAAUGAAUACGUACCUUGUUUUUAAGAUAUAGGUAUUGAAUGGUUGUAUUAAGGUCGUGAUCCAAAGUCUGACAUCCUUCAUCACCAAACUCUUUAAGUUCUACUUUGCGUAACUUGGGUGUGCUUAAUUCUCCUCCUGAAAAAAUGUUCAUAUUGGGGCAAUCUUCCACCACUAAUCUUUCCAGAGAUGGGAAUUUGAAGUUGCAAUUAUUGCCAGAGAAGAAACUUGUCAGACUUUCUAAAUCCAAGAGCAGCAGUUCUUUCAAUUCGCUGAAAACAAUUUCAUCUUUUGCUGCAUAAUUCUCUCCCUCGUCAUCGUCGUUUGCCACUAUUUCUGUUAUCAUCUUGCAUUCACCUAUCUUGAUUCGUCUCAGUCGCACCAGACUCUUUGCUAUCGAGGAUGUUAAUACGUUUAUCAUUCCAUCGCAACGACAUACCAUCAAACACGUUAGAGUCUGAAACGAUGUCGAGGGAGGCACUAGAUUAAUCAAAUUGUCACAAUGCAAUAUCACCAAUAUUUCCAAAUUGCUCGUGUUGGAGGACUCUUGUUUCGAAAUCUGCUUCAGAUCACUACACUCAUCUAUUCCUUUUAUCAUUGCCGUCAUCCCGUUUUCAACCUCUUCGAAUGAAUCAUCCCAAAUAUAACCGUCUCCUCCUAGAAGGAAAAGAAUUUUGACUGUGUGAAAUCGCAGGAGGAAAUCGUCAAGUGACAAAAUAGGAGUUGACUCAUCAAGCCAGACAUCGAGACAUUUAAGUUUGCAAAGCAAGUCUUCUGGAAAUACGCGUAUGUGCUUUUCGUCAACAAUCAAAUAUUCCAAAUUGGGGAACAUCUGGGUGAUCACAAUCACAAAAAAAGCACGAUGAAUGUUAAAGUAAAAACAAAGCGUUCCAAUGAUGAAUAUUUAUCAUUUUUGAAUACGGUAAUGUGUAUUUUCUUUCAUUCUCUCUCCCUAACGCUUGUCCAGUAGACAGAUUUUCAAAUUAUAAUAGAUUUGCGUGCAAUCUAAAAUUGCAUUUAAACUUCCAAUCAAUCCGUUUAUUUGGUUUGAAUUGAAAAUCUUAAAAAUUUCUUUUUUUUUUUUUUAAAUGGAUCUUUUAACUUUUUUUCCUCAAAAGCAAAAAUGAAUUAAUAACUUGAAUUUAAAAAGUUUAAUAAUAUAGUAAGAAGCUGGUAUUUCAUUAAUAUUCAUCCAACCCAAUGGAAUAUAUUCACUAGUGUACAAGAAAGGAUUUUAUUGGCAUAAAAUUUAAUAGGAUGAGAUUUCUUCAUUUGAGUUUUGUUCAUCUCUCUCUAUAUAUUUUUAUGAAUAUUAUUUAUGUUAACACGAGAUGACCAAUUUCUUCUUCAACAUCAAAAUUGAUAAUCAUUUUGUAUGUAACAAUAUUGUUAAGGCAUGCUAAUUUGAAAAUAGCUCCUAAAAGAUUAUCUGGGAACUAACUGCGGCUUGAAAAACUCUAGAUCUUAUGAGUAUUUUCUUUGUUUGGGUAAUCAAAUGCACUGUCUCUUUCGUGUAUUAAGUAAACAUAUAGACAUAAAAUAAAAAGUAGAGGAAGACGAAAAACUCAGAUAAUUAAGAGAAAACAAUUCAACUAGAAUUAAAAAAAAAAAAGUUGGUUUGCUAACAUUUUGUUAAACUGAUUUAUGUUUACGAGGAUAUUAUGAAGUGUAAAUUAAUAGACUGAUUUAUACAACUAACAUUUUUGUUACUAAAAGACGAAGUGAUGAGGACGAUGGUGACAAUAAAACUCUAAACUCCGAAACUAUAAUUACUUUUAAGCACGUAAGAAUUGAGCUAUAAUUACAAAAGUCUUGCACGUACCUUUUUGGUGGACUCAUGAAUAGUGCUUUUAAAUUUCACAUGGGGACAUCCCCUUAUUGUUAAUUGUUCCAGUGAUGGAAAUUCGAUCUGCAGAUCUCCCGUGCAGAAGCUUGUAAGCUGCGGAAGAGAACGAAGUUCGAGUGUCCUUAAUUGAGAGAGUUCAAUCACUUGCGUGUUACUAUUGCUGGAUUCAUCUCUUGUCUCGGCAGCAAAAAUCACUUCCAAAUUCUGGCAUCCAGUCACUUCAAUGGACUGAAGUUGUUGAAGGCCUCUGCUAAUGACCAAUGGAAAUACAUUUUUCAACUUAUCGCACCUUCCCACACUUAUGCUCUUUAAUUUGCAAAAAGACUCUGCCGAGAGUGGACCACGACAUAUUUUCUCAAGGUUACUCAAAUCUUGCAGAAAUAAUGACUCCAAGAGGGGGAAUGCAGUCGUCGGAGCUGUUGCUCUAUCCACUGUGUCGACAACACAUAAAAGGUUGCUAUUUUCUACGACCUCGAGAUGCUUCAGCUGUGGAAAACCUUCUCCGUCUGAUCUAUAAAGAACACUUUUCAUGUCCAGCGAUCCGCCUAAACGUAGGUCUUCGAUACCCUUCAAUUGCAUGAUAUGCCCCCCGUUCAAGCAAAUGUUGGCACCACUGGCGAGCAUCAGUCGGAAUAUUCUAGAUAUUUCAUCCGAUGGGCCAUCCCACCACCGCUGAUCUCCUAUCAAUAUUCUGUACCUUUGCAGCAUUUUGAAGAACGACAAGUCUCUUGGUAGAGUCUUUUCAUCUUGGAUUAGUAUUUCUAAAGAGGUCAAUUUAGAUAAAUUAUUCAACUCAUGAAGGCUGGCAUUUCUUCUUUCACCGUCGACUCCUUCAACCUUCCCCCACUCAAUGGGACUCUCACCAACAUAUAGUUCUUCUAAUCGGGAUAAGCUCGAUAAGACAUUUGGGGGAAUAACUCGCAGUCGGUAACAUCGGCGCAAAUUCAACAACCUCAAUUGAGUCAGCUGGCCUAUCUCUCCAACCAGUUCCUCCAUAUUAGAACCUCGAAGCGUAAGGAUAACUAAUUUCUUUAGGUCUCCAAUAAUAGCCAUGCCUGCUAGUUCACAAUAAUCCAGAGACAAUGUUUGAAGGUUUUGUAAGAGACCAAGAGAUGAAGGCAAUAAAAACAAAUGCAUCUUAGUGAAAUCUAAAACUCUCCGGUAAAAAAUUUAUCUGGGAUUAUCAAAGAUGGAUCAUUGCCAAUACGAAGGUAUUUAAGUUGCGGACUCUCGAACCCUUGAGGAAGCUCACUAAUAUUACUAUUCUUUAAGGAGAUUGCGGUGCAAACCUCCAGUGUAUCCUUAUCUGGCCAGCUGGUCAGCGGAACAACCUCAUUUUCCACCGCAAACACAUGUUGAUCUCUUGAUGCAAUUGAUAUGGCUACAUCACGAACAACAUCAUGCAUUGAAAACCUUUCACUCUAACAACCAUCAAGCAACAAACAAGAGUUCUUGAGUUUAUCAACCAAUGUAUGUGCUCUAUCCCGUGCCUCUUCCAACGUGUUGAUGUUUUGAAACAAACCCAAACCCAUGCCAUAAUAAAGCACGUCGUUAACGGAACAGAUGAACGUGUACCCUAUUAGCAAAAACGUUUUCCUGAGUUCGUCACCUUCUAGCUGAUAAUAACUCAACUCGAUAGUUGAAUAGGCGGCCUCCGCUUCUGUCUCAGAGAAUCUUCUCAAAAAAGGCCUUUUUAAUUGUCGUAAAGCAUUCCUCCAUUCAUACAGACGCUUAUUUUUCAAUGCAUUCGCUACGGGUACAAUGGCAAUGGGCAAACCAGCACAUUCCUUGGCUACCUCUGUCGCUACAGAUUUCAGUUCACCAUUUUCUGUGCAAUCACCUGUCAUCUUUUUGAAAAGACUCCAAGCUUCUUUUUCCUUCAGAACAUCAACAAAAAAAAUUUGUUGACAACCCAUCUUACAAGACAACACAUCUGGACUUCUUGCUGUCAGCAGAACUUUACAUCCUCCGUUAUCAUCUGCCAAUGGAAUUCCAAUGGCCUCCAAAUCAAGACUCCCCCAAAUAUCAUCCAAGAUUAUCAGGAUCUUCGACUCUUUCUUCAAUCGUUCAAGCAGCCUCCCUGCUCUUACAGUUUCAUGACUCUGUUCAGCCAAUUCCAAGCCUAUCUUCUCUGCGAUUUCUCCUUGUAUUUCUUUUAUUUGCAGUGUUUGGGAAACACAUGAAGAAAUGACCUUCUCAAAGAGAUUAUUUUCCUUGGCCUGCCUGCCAACUUCUUUCACAAGCGUUGUCUUUCCAACGCCACCCAUCCCGUACACCCCAAUCAUGUUGAAGUUACGGUUGCUCAGUGCGUCUAGUAUCUCCUUCAAAGUGGACGUUCUCGAUUCAAAGUGCAUGAAACCCUGGGUAGUAUUAAGCCAUGUCUCCUCUAGAAUUGCACGUAAAGAAACACUGUCGAAGGUCCCUUUUUCACGGAGUCCAACAAUAGCAUGUUGGGAAAAUAUGCUCUUUAAAAGCAUAUGUGUUUAUUUAAUUGUAAUAAACAUUUUUUCUGAUUAAUAAAAUUAAUGAGGUAUUUUAUUCAAAUAUCUUAAUUGCAUUAAUAUUUGUAUUAAAGUCCAUUUAAUCAUAUUAUAUGUAUUUAUGUGAUCACCAUGUGGAUUCACAGAAGACAUAAAUACAAGUUAUCUUAUGAUUAAAUAAAUUUAGUUCGCAGUUGAUAAAUAAAGUUGGACACUUUAUUUAGGUAUAGACUGUAAUAAAUUCAUUGAAUGAUUUGUCUUAAUCAUGUAUGAAUUUAUUGAUGUAGUACGACUACAUUGAACAAGAUCACAUAUGAGAUUUAAUUAACUUUGUAAUAACUGUCAGACUUAUUAAAUCUCAUAGGCGUUGAUUUUACUGUAAUCUUAAUCUUGAGUUAAUUAUGAUUUCAUGAUUGUAAUUGUUAUUUCAUUUGAGUUACCAAUGGGCACGACACAUCCUUGUGGUCAAGAUUACCCGGUAUCUUGGUGGGAGCAAUUAUGAGUAUUGGAGUUAUGGAUUAACAAUAUAGAAUUUAUACAACACAUCUCUUGAUAGGUUUUCGGUACUUGAUCAUAGAAUUCUCUGGCCAGAGUGUGUCAACUAUUUAGUAUGUUGAAAAUGAUCAUUAGAGAAAACCAGUAAGGAUCAAGGAAUAAGAUGUUAUUAAAUUGAUUGGACAGUUGAGAUAUCAAUUUAAUUAACGAUGUGGUACAAAGGAUUGUGCAGUAAAGAAAUCAAUGUGGCUUGGGACGAAUUAUUAUUCGAGCAUACAAUUAUGAAAGUCAGUUCCAAUCUUUUAGUGGAGUAGAUUUGGAAUUAAAUAAUUGGGCUAGUUUUAUUACAGGCCUAAUUAUUGUAGCCACUAUUGUAUGUUCCCAAAUGAUCCCCGGGUUAGCUCAUUUAAUUGACUGCACCACUACUGGACUUAUAAGUAAGAUAACUAGCUAUUUGGGUCAAAAGCUUAAAUAUAUCAUUUAGUGGGAGGCUCCAUUUAAUUAGCUUUUGUGUAAGGGGCCUUAUGUUAUUUUACAAGGUGGGUCCCUUAUUGAAAAAGAAAAUAACGUGGGUUUUGUUUUUUGAUUAUUUGGAGCCUAGGGUUUUCACUAAAGGGUGAUAUAAAAGGCUUAUUUUCUCUAUAAAAAAAAAAUAGAAGCCACUUUAUACAAAUCGGAGAAUAAGAUUUUUCUCUCUAUUGUUGAGAGAAAAAUUUUCUCGUGCUAGUUGCUUUGGUAGUGAUAAAGGCACCCACACGUCAAGUGCAGAUCGAACCUGAGUCAUAACCUGGAAGAUCAUUGGUGACAGUUCGUGAUCUAACAAGCGUGGUGGUGACGGAUCGUGAUCUAAUAGGAGUGGUGGUGGCGGAUCGUGAUCUAGGAGCCUAAAUCACUUUAGCGGAAAAAGCCAACUCGGAUUUUCAAGGUACGAUUUCUAGAAUACAAAUUCUUAUAUAUUAUAUGAGAGCGAUCUUCAAAAGGUUUUAUAAAAAUUUAAAAACCUGAUUUUUCCCCAACAUAGCAUUCGCCUCUCUUUCUGCUUUCUUGCUAAGCUGGUACCGAGCCUUCAAAUUAGGGCACAACCCCUUGAAACACCGGUUGUUUGACUUCUCUUUGUCUUCAAUGAGUUCUCCGACUUCAUUGGUGACCUUGCUCACGCUAAUCAGCCACUCCUCAACGUGCUGUUGAAUUCUGUCACCUUUAAUUCUGGAAUCAUUGACCUUGUGCUGCACAUUCUCUCUAGCAAACUUUAGCUGGUCAACUUCAUUAUUCAGCUUCUCGAAGUUGGCCUUGUAGCUGCAGCAGUAAGUAAAUGGAUGAAUAAUGGGAGCAACAAUGGGAGCAACCAAGUACUCUGCAACUUUUUCCCCAAUGGAGAGAAAAAAUUCCAUUAUGUCUCUUUUUUUUAAAUUUUUUUUACCGGGGAAAGAACAGGGAAAGCAAAACUAAUAAAAACGGACAAAUGGACAAACGGGCAACUGGGGAAGAAAAAAAAAGAACUGAAAAACAAAAGCAGAGUGUUUAGAAGAUCAAAGGCUGAAAAAACAAAAGCAAGUACAAAUGCAAAGAGUGGAUUUAAUCGGCUGGAAAGAUGGAAAUAAGAAGUUGUCUGAGUAAUAUUGAUCAACUGGUUUUAACGCAGGAUGAGGGAAAGGAGCGAUAAUUCUAGAGAUAGAACAAGAGCGGAGUUUGUCUCCACGAAGACGAAUUGAAAGGCGAUUGCAAUGAAAUGUAAAGAAAAGCUUUCGGGGAAUAAAGUUAGUGAGUGGAAGCGGCUAAUUUGUAUCGGAUGCUUGCUUUUGUUAGAGAAUUUUAAUCGCAUGCAAGAUCUUGUAAGUAAAAGUAUCAAAUAAAUAAUAAAUAGAAAAUAAAUGUAAAAUAAAACCAAUCAUACAACAUAAGAAUCUAUAUGAAAAACUAACACCACGGCCGCCAAGAUUGACGAGAGAAAAAUCUACUAUAUAUUAUAAAACAAUCAAAUGUAAAGAAAGGCAUGGGCAAUAAAGUAAAUAACCGUACCUAACGACAUAAAGUUAGUGAGAAAAACAAUUAGCUAUUUGAAGUCACUAAAUUCCUCUCUACAUUCAUUUUUUAAAAAUAAAUUAGUUAUUCAAAAUUUAAAAUUUAAAAUUUAAAAAUCUCAAAAUUACUCUCACUAGUUUCUUUCUCUUUCUAUCUUACAAUUAUAUAUUCUCUCUCUACUUUCACAUUCUACAAACUAGAUACUCAAUUUUAUUCUUUUUUUUAUUCAUUUUUUUUAUUUGUCUUCUUUAGUAUGUCAUAAUUUGUAAUUUCAUACUUUCUAUUAAAAAAAAAGAAACAAAGAAAAAGAAAACCCCACAUUUUGAAUAUGUCUCUUUUAGGUUACAUAGAAUCAAUUAUGAUAAAAGAAUAUAGAGUAGUUUUCCAAUCAGGGAUCCCUGACUUUAAUACACUACAUAACAAAAUACAGUGCAUUGGAGCAUGUGUUUAUUUUGUCUUUUAGUUAAUCCCUGACUUUAUUAAAGUCAGGGAUCCCUGAUUAGAAAACUACUCAAAGAUAUAUAUAUAUAUGACCUAUGGGGGAAUCUAUAGCUUGAUUAAAGAAUGAUAGUUGAGAGAAUAAUUAAUCAAAUUAUUGAUAAAAUCACAGUAGACAAGAAUAUUAUAUUAAAGUGAUGUGAAUGACUGUUUUAAUGGCCAUUGAAAUUUUGAAAUGGUAUCGGAUGCUUCGUGUGAUAAUCCCACCAAUGAAAUUCUUAAAGAUUGCUUUUGUUAGAGAGUUUUACUCCCAUGUAAAAUCUUGUAAGUAAAGGUAUCAAAUGAAUAAUAAAUAAAAAAUAAAUGGAGAAUAAAACUAAAAAAUCAUUGGUAGGACAUAGACCAACAAAUCAAUAGAACAACUGGAAAAAGUAAAAGAAUCUUUUGAAAGGCAGCAUAUAGCUAGAAACAUUACAUGGAAGAUUGUAUCAUGCAAAAUUAAAUUGGUUACAUAACAAAUCAAGUGGAAAUAAAAGCAAUAAAGUUAUUAAUUAUUAAUUAGUGGCACCUAAUAUGAUGUAGCAAGAAUAUAGGAUAGAAUAUAUUAGGAAUUAUAAUAUUUGAGUUACUUUAGUAUUUAGUGUUUUAUUAGGAUUUAUCUUAUUUCAUUAAGCUUAUUUGAGUCGUAUUUGUAAUUCUAGUUUAUUUAAAGUUUUAGAUUAUUUCUCUUAUAUGAGAAAGAUUAAAAUUGAGUUAGCUACUUGUAUAUAAGCUUGUUGUUUACACUUUAUUAUAACACCUUUAAUCUUUCAUAAUAAUAUUUUAGAUUAUUCCCUUUUGAAUUUAUCUUUGUCGUUAAUUCGAUAUUUUUUCUCUUUAAGAGUUAUUCUUUCUUGAUUUUCAAGAACUUAAACUAGAACGAUAUUAAUUAUCGCUUCUGCGCUGUGUCAAGUGGUAUCAGAGUCUUUUUAUGUACCAAGCAGAGCUUUCUUGACCAUCAACCACCCUCCAUAUAUAAAAAUCCUUCAUCAUCCAUUAAUUUCAAUAAGUUUUAAAAAAAAAACUGAAGCCAUCUUCACAACCACCACACGCGGUUGCUGCUGUUGUCAUUCUUCUUCUUUCCCAUCGAUCUCCAUCACCAUCAGAGCACCCAAACGUUGAUGACCAUCUUCCAGCCAUCAACACCACCAAUAUGCCGCCUUAGGCACACAAAAUACACCAAAACAUCCAUUAAACUGUUGUGAUCUUUGCCGCUCGAUUCUUUGGAAUUUGCCACGAUUUGCUCGCCAUCACCAUACCAUUCUGUUCACUGUCAUCAGCCCUUUCUUUCCAGCUAAUUCUCAUUGUCAUCCGUUAUCCAAUUCAUCGAAAACCAAGACAAAUCUAUAAUCGCCAUUUCAAUUCAGUAUUCUGAUCAAUCCACAACGAUUUGAGUUAAACCACCACUGUCAUCACACUCACCAACUUCAAAUCUUUCAUAUCCACCUAUCCUUCUCCAAUUUUCUAAUCAUUAUCGCCAGCAACACAAUCUUUGAACUAAUUAUACAUUUUACCCAUACUUUCUUUUAAUUAUAUUUUUUCCCUUUAAUUUUUCUAUUCUUAUAAAAAAAAACUCCAAAAAAUCACAGUAGACAAGAAUAUUAUAUUAAAGUGAUGCGAAUGGUUGUUUUGAUGGCCAUUGAAAUUUUGAAAUGGUAUCAGAUGCUUGGUUUGAUAAUCUUACCAAUGAACUUUUUAAAUAUUGCUUUUGUUAGAGAAUUUUAAUCCCAUGCAAGAUCUUGUAAGUAAAAGUGUCAAACAAAAAAUAAAUAGAAAAUAAAUGAGAAUAAAACCAAUCACACAACAUAAGAAUUUACAUAAAAAACUAAAACCACUCUAGUAUUUUCUUCACACCCAAAACUCCAAUAAUGUCAAAUCUCUCAAUAGACCUACUGUUUUUUUGACAUUACAAACUAUCUAACUGAUUUUUUUCUUAUACAAACAAGUGAAUCCAACUUCCCCAUAUAUAAUGAUUAUUUUCUAUCAAAGUCCCAAAGGGAAAAUUAAUUAUUCCUUAAGUAUGAAUCCUUCUGAGCAAGAAAAUUACUAAAUAAGAAAAAUAUAAGAAAUAUCCUAAUUUAGGAUUUCAAAAUCCUCAUUGAAAAAGGAGACAUAUUUCCUAAUCUCCACCUUAGUGAGUUUUUCAAUUAGGUAACAAAAAAUGAUCCACCAUAGAUCCACACAACCAUGUCGCCUUCACCUUAUUUACUUUUCCAAAAUCACGCUCACAUAGGUCUUAUAAGAAUCACUCUACCAUAGGUAAAAUCUUGUCAUCUAUCCAGCAACCAUAAUUCUUUACACUGAGAAUCAUCAUACUCCACUUUAUUCAGAGUACAUAUAUUCGACACAUAUUGAUCAUCUUACUAAAAAUAUCCACCCUCAUGUUUGGCUUUCUUGAGAGUUUGACAUAAAAGGUCCACCACACACCUUACAUAAAUGUCGAACCAUACCUUGUGUACAAAUCUUGUAGACCCACUAAUAGUAACAUAUCCUUCAUGGCAUGCCAAAAAGGAUAAACCACUCUCAUAAAGAGAAAAUACACACAACUAGCUGACAUUAUCAGUAUUUCCAUCUAUUGACUUAGAGCUACUUGUUGAACCAACUCCAUUCUAACAAACUUUUUUAAGGUGCCCUGAUUACCUACACACCUCUAGUAGUUUCCACCAGUGGCAACAAGGUUUAUAUCGCCCUUGCUUUCCUUAUGUAACCAGAUUGAAUCAAUAUAUCAUUGAUUUCAAAUUGUCACAAGCCAAAAUUGAUUCUUUCAUUAGAAUUUUCUAUUUUUGCCCUCACAGAUUUUGAAAACCUCAUUGUUGUCAUACUUGCUCCGCGUUGAAACCUUAGUUCUGAUACCAUUUAUUAGGAAAUUCUAAUCCCACGCAGGAUCUUGCAAGCAGAAAUAUCAAACAAAUAAUAGAUAAAGAUUAAAAACGAUAACACAACGCAAGAAUUUACAUGGAAAACUCAUAUUUUGGAGAAAACAUGUGGCCGCCAAAAACGACAAGGAAAAAAAUCUACUAUUAAAAAAUUAUUUCAAUCAUUAGUAUUUUUGUCACACUUACAACUACAAUAAUACCCAAUUUCUCAAUGGACCUACCGUUUCUCUAAUAUUAAAAAUGAUCUAUUUGCAGAGAAAUUGAUUGUUGAAUUAUACAAACAAGUGAACCCAACCUUCUUAUAUAUAAUGAUUAUUUUUUGCAAGAAAAUUACUUCUUUCCUUAUAUAGGUUGUACUCCUCUUUGAAUAAGUUAAAUACUAAAAAGGAAAUCAUUUAUUCCUUAAAUUAGAAUCCUCCUGAAUAAGAAAACCAUUGAAUAAGCAACACUUAGGAAAUAUACUAAUUUAAGAUCUACAAAUCUUCAUUGAGAACUGAGACAUAUUUCCUAAUAGUUUGUAUAUUUUAAUAAUGAAAGUUGCAUGCAUAAUCAUGAAUUGAUAACUGUAUAUAAACCACCAGAUCAAUAGAACAAUUGGAAAAAAGCAAAAGAACCAUUUGAAAAGCAGCAUAUAGCUAGAGAAAUUACAUGGAAGAUUGUAUCAUGCAAAAUGAAAUUGUUUAUGAAAUAAAUCAAAUGGAAAUAAAAUCAAUAAAAUUCUUAAUUAUUAAUUAGGUGCCUGGUUUGUUACAUUGGGCACCUACUAUGAUAUAGGAAGAAUAUAGGAUAGAAUAUAUUAGGAAUUAUAAUAUUUGAGUUAAUUUAGUAUUUAGUAUUUUAUUAGGAUUUAUCUUAUUUUAUUAAUCUUAUUUGAGUCAUAUUUGUAAUUGUGGUUUAUUUAGAAUUUUAGAUUAUUUCUCUUAUAUGAGAAAGAUUAGAAUUUAGUUAGCUACUAGUGUAUAUAGACUUGUUAUUCAUAUUUUAUUAUAACACUUUUAAUCUUUCAUAAUAAUAUUUCAGAUUAUUUCCUUUUGGGUUUAUCUUUUCCGUUAAUUCAAUGUUUUCUCUCUUUGAAAGUUAUUCUUUCAUGAGUUUCAAAAACUAGAACGAUAUCUAAUAUCACUUCUGCACUACGUCAAAUGGUAUCAAAGUCUUUCUUUGUGCCAAGCAGAGCUUUCCUGACCAUCAACCAACUUCUAUACACAAAUUCUUAUUCCAUCAUCCAUUAAUUCCACCAAGUUUGAAAAAAAAAAAAAAAAAAGCCUUCUUCACAGCCACCACACGUGGCUAGCGCUACUAUCAUUCUUCUUCCUUCUUGUUGAUCCCCAUAACCAUCAGAACACCCACACUCCGCCCACCAUACCCCAAUCAUCAACACCAUCAAUACGCUACCAUAGCCACCAAAAACACACCAAAACAGCCGCUAAAUCGUUGUGAUCUCCACCGUCAAUUCUUUGGAAUCUGCCAUGAUUUACUUACCGCCACCAUUAACAAUCUGUUCACUAUCAUCAACCUUUUCUUUUUGCAUAUUCCCACUAUCAUCCACCAUCCCGUUCACCAAAAGCCGAAACAAACCUCCAACCGCCACUUCAAUUCAAUAUUCCGAUCAAUCCCUAAUGAUUUGAGUAAAACCACCACUACCAUCACACUCUCCGACCUCAAAUCUUUCAGAUCCAUCUAUUCUUGUCUAAUUUUCUAAUCUCCGUCACCGGUAUCACAAUCUUUGACUUAAUUAUAAAUUUUACCCAUACUUUCUUUUAAUUAUAUUUUUGCCCUUUAAGUUUUCCAUUCUCAUAAAAGCUUUAAAAAAAUUAAAAGAAAAGGUAUAAUGAGAUAUAAAAGAGAUGAUGAUGAUCUUUUCUAUUAUGAUGGAUUUACUAAUCCUGAGGAUAUUUUCGAUUGGAUCUUUAAAUUUGAAGAUACUCUUGAAGAUAUUUUAAAGGAUAAACAUGUUGAGUACAUGUCCUCUAAAUUAAUGGAACAUGCGUCACAACGGUGGACCAACUUACAAGCAACAUGGAUUCAACAUGGAAGAGAUAAGAUUCAAACUUGGCAUAGCAUGAAAAGAAAAAUAAAAGCUUAUUUUAUUCUUCCUGAGUAUUUUCAAACAAUCCUUCGAAAAUUUGAUAAGUUUCAACAAGGUACAAAUUUUAUUGGAAUCUAUAAAUCUCAACUUCAAAAUUAUCAUUGUCGUGUGAAUCUUUCUAAAGAUGACGAAGAUGCAAUUUCAAGAUUUGUGAAAAGAUUACGUGCUAAUAUUAAGGAAUGAGUUUUGUUACAACUUGAUGCUACUAAUGAAUAUUGGGGUGUCAUUAAAAUUACUUUAGAAGUUGAAUUGCAAAUCAAGAGAGAUAGAAAGCAGGCAUUGAAUAGAUUUGAACAAGUACAAGAGCAUCACGAGGGUCAAAGAUGAAGAGUCUGAUAGAUUUAUUUUACCAAAACCUAAGCCUGAUAGUUCUUUAUCGAAACAAGAUCUUAUAGUGAAAACCUCAUCACCAAAGGAUUCUAUUGUCGAAGAGCAACCUUCUUUCACUCUUGAGGUUAAUAACUUCAAUACAAAAAGAAAUGUUGAGCUUGAUUCUAGAGUUACUAAAGAAGUGUUGAUUGUUCAUGAUUCAACUAAUAUAGUCAUUAGUGACAAAGGGUUUAUCCAAGAUUUUGAAGUUGAAGAUCUUAGCAUGGAAGAGCAAGUUCCACCAAUGUCAUCAUCAGAAGAAAAGAAUGUCACGAAAGCUUCUUUUAAGGAUAUUUCAAAUGAGCCUAAAGUUUCCAAUAAGUAGGUACAAUCUAUUCUUGAUUUGAGUUUUAUAUCUAAUAAUAUCAUUAAAAUUGUGCAAGAAACUCAAGGUGAAAAAACAUCAAUUGUUCUUGAAGAUGAUAAAGUUAUAUAGUUUUACCAAUUAUUCAUGAAGCUAAGCAAAUUGAUCUUUAAGACUUUGAGACAAUUGAUAUGGUUAUGCCUAUACACAUUGAAGACAAGAAAGUUGUACUCAAAGAACACUUAGCUCAAAAGAAGAAAUUGAAUGAAAAGUACAUGAACAAAGCAAGGAGAAAGUUAAAAGUUCCUGCAAGUCUGCAUCUUUUAGAAGAGCCAUACUCAAAAACAAAAAGAAAUUAAAGCUUUGGUACUCUCAAGUUUCAAGAUAAGUUGAUGCAAAUUGCUAUAUAUUUGCAUUACAAACUCAAUUACUCCUUUACUACAAGUUUCGUCCUCUAAAUUGUAUUUUGUUAUCAGCAAAACUUGAGGACGAGUUUUUUUCAAAGAUGAGGAGACCUAUGGACGAAGAAUAUAGGGAUAAAAUAUAUUAGGAAUUAUAAUAUUUAAGUUAGUAUUUAGUAUUUUAAUAGCACUUAUCUUAUUUUAUUAAAUUUAUCUGAGUCAUAUUUGUAAUAAUAGUUUAUUUAUAAUUUAGAUUAUUUCUCUUAUCUGAGAAAGAUUAAUAUUAAGUUAGCUAUUAGUAUAUAUAGGCUUGUUAUUUAUAGUUUAUUGUAACACCUUCAAUUUUUCAUAAUAAUUUUCAGAUUAUUCUUUUUUGAGUUUAUAUUUAUCGGUAAUUCGAUCUUUUCUCUUUUUAAAAAUUAGAGUUUCAAGAACAUACACUAGAACAACAUCUAGUUCGCUUCUGCAAUGCGUCAUAAUAAUCCUUAGACUAAUGACUAGCUACAAUCAAGUUUGUGUGACUUUUCUGAAUUUUUUAUCUUUAUAAAACAACAAUGCUGAUCAUGAAACUAAUUUCUUGACAAGUAUGUGCGUGUGUGUAUAAUGCUUUUACUUGCCGCACACUGAAAGUUGAAAAUCAGUUGCACAAAAAGAGUUAUUGUAUAUUCAAAUGUCAUUGUUAUAAAUUAUGAACUAUACAGAUUAAGUGUAGAGGCCGAAUCGUGAAAAAGCGCCAUGCAUAUUGUAUAAAUUAAAUAAGCUGAAGAAAUUGUUUGAGAAAGAAAUGAAAAUAAAAGGUAAAGCAAGAGACCAAUAGCAGAGACUGUGGUCCUUGAUGUCUCCAAGGCAUUUCUCCGAACAGUUGUAUACUCAGGCUCAGCUCCAAUAUUUGAAUAGCUUUGACUAUUUCUUACUAAAAGAGGACACCAAAGCUUUCAUUACCAGCUUCGUUCAAAUUUUCAAUCAUGAUUAUUUGAUAAUAUAUUAGUGAUAAUUCUUUCUUUUUUUGAAAGGAUUUUAUUCUUAUUUAAUAAAACGAUGAAGGACGACAGUGGUUUUUGAGGUAAUUGCCAAAAUUUUAUGUAGUUGGUUGUCGCAUUCUUUCCAACUUUCACAAUCCAUAUAAAUUUAUUGAUAACCAAAUAAAUAGAUGUAAAAUUGAGAACAUUAAAGUUUAUUUUUAAUGUUUAAUAAAUUUUUUUCUAAAAUUACUUUUAACAAAGUACUCCAUCUUACAACAGAUUAUAGAUUUAAAAAACCGAAAAUAUAUAGUUAUUCGAAAUCUGAUUAUAAGUAUCAGAUUUGUCUGUAAUUUUCUUCUGCAUAUAUCAAUUCAAGAAAUUAAAUAAUUGAGAUUUUGCCCCGGACAUAGAGAGGCAAGCUUGGUCACAUUCUAAAAUUAUCCUCACGGGAUUUGUUCCUAUGACAGCAAAAUCCAAUGUGAGCCCCGAAAUUUAAUGAAUCUGAGGAUUGCCAUUUGAAACUGGACCUGCUUGCCAGAAAGUUAAGAAUUUCUUGUCAAAAACCUGAAUUUUUGCAAUGUUGUGGAGACUCUGCAAACUGAACCAUGUUGCACUAUGAAUAUUAAGCUUGGGCUUGGGCUUUUGGGGUUAUAUUAAAACCAAGGUUUAAAAGCUGAAUCAUGUGCUGCUUGUGCCCUGUGGUUUGAACUUUUCAACAAUAUUGUCACUGAAGCCAAAAGUAAUGAGAUCUUUUCCCCCAGAAAAAGAUACAGAAAAUUUUCUUGAUUCCAUAGGAGGAUGCUCUCUUUCGCUGUAAGUAUUACUGCUUUAUCAUACUCACCAGAACAAAAGAAAAUUAAUUAGGCAGUACACAUGGUUGUGUAAUGACAUAUAAGAUCUGUUCUUUGUUUGGUUGGCCCUGGGAAUUGGGGUUGGAAGAAACAAUAUAGAUAAUUAGAUGUUUGAUGAAAAUUAUUCUGAGAAUUGAUUAAUCUUAAGAAAGUAAAACGAAGUUUCUCUUGUGUUUCAACUACCCUAACAAGCACAAGAAACAUGAAGUUCUCACAAUUUUCUCCAACAGAGAGUAUACAACAUGCAGUGAUUCUUCCUGCAUUGAAUUCAUUUGUAUACUGGACUUAAAGAUCCACAACAAACAUUGUUGCACAAUUGAAUAUGGCAGACAAAUCCAUUGAGCUGCGACAACAACUCGAAAUGAUUAAGUGAAAGAGACACAAGUGCUGCAACAAUCUAAAAGCAGAUUUUGCAAUAAAAAAACUUAAGUAGCAGAACAAUCAAGAUAGAAUAUCAUCUCACUUUCUGACUCUUUAUACAAAGAACACGAGCUGCUGCAUGCAUGCAAUGUCUCACAAAUUACUCAUCUUCCAAAUGCUGCUUUGAAGCUUUGGCCUAAAUCUUCUUCAGAAAUCUCAUUUUCUGAAAACAAAGAGCAGAACAUAUUGGAGGUAAAAUUAGGAAUCUAGGAUAAUUCUACUUGUUGCAGUUUUCUUAUAAAUUGCACAAAUUAGAUUCUGUCAUGAGCAGUAAUAAUGCUCUAGUAAAGAGAGAAUUAUAAUUCCUUCAAAUGCACAAAUUUCAACAUAAAUAAGAUAUAUUUAGUCAGCUUACCGCCGCCUCCUGCAUUGGUCACCUUGGUGGACCUGUCAUUCUCUUCUUUCUCCUUUUCCUAAAAUAUGGUAAUAUGUAUACACUAAUCAGACUUAAAAUGAAUUUAGCAUAAAAUUUGAUACCAAUAAUACAGUAAUGCAGCACAUGAAUGCACACCAGCCUUUUCUGAUAUAGAUGUUGUAUGUUGUAUUAACAUUGCCCUUCGAAGUCCAACACACUUCAAAUGCCUUGUGAGUGCCAUCCUCUUCAAUCAUCCAAGUCCAAGCUUGUCUAUCCCACCUGAACAGCAUCAGUUUGUGUAACUUGGGUGUGCUUAAUUCUCCUCUAGAUAGGUGAAUGUCCACCGCUAAUCUUUCCAAAGAUGGGAAUUUGAAGCAAUAAACGCCAGAGCAGAAGCCUGUCAGACUCUCCAAAUCACUGAGCUCCAACUCCUUCAAAUCCUUGAAAAUAAUUUCAUCUUUUGCUGCAUCAUCAUCGUCUGCCACUAUUUCAGUUAUCAUCUGGCAUUCACCUAUCUCCAUUGUUCUCAGUCGUGCCAGACUCUUUGCUGUUGAGGAUGUUAAAUAUGUUCACCAAUCCUUUAGAACUCCAUACUUUUAGAGUUGUUAGAUUCUGCAAGGAUGUCAAGGAUGGCACUAGACUAAUCAAAUUUUGACACCACCUUACUUGUAGAUGAGCCAAUUUGUCCAUAUUGAAGGACUCUUGUUUUAUAAUGUGCUUCAAAUCACGACACUUGUGUCCUUUUCUUAUGAUUGCAGACAUCCCAUUUUCAAUUUUCUCAUUUGAUAGCCCAAUACAUUCUCCUCCUAUUUUGAGUACUUUCAUGGUGUGCAAUCUCUGGAAGAAAUCAUCAAGUGAUAAAAUAGUAGUAGACUCGGCAAAGGUGAUAUCAAGACAUUUAAGGUUGCAAAGCAAGUCUUUCUGGAAAAUGGCGUUUUAUUGUUAUGUGCUUUACAUUAACUCUCAAUUCUUCUAAGUUGGGGAAUAACUGGUGCUGCCCAAUCAUAAAAAUAAAAAUGAAGGUUAUGUUUCUUCCAAAAAUUUCAUGUAGUAAAUAGAAAGCAUGCCACUUACGAAUUCUUGUCUGUAAGAAACUAAAUGUUGAAGGCAAUGACAAUGAAACUCUAAUCAAUCUCUAUAAUCUCGAAGAAUUGAACAACUAAUUAAAUUAAAGUCUUGUAUGCACCUGUUUUGAAAAGUCAACAGCGAAUUCAGGACAAUUCACUAUUGAUAACUGUUUCAAGGAUGGAAACUCAACAUGUACGUCUCUUGCGCAAAAGCUUGUGAGCUUUUCAAGACCUAUCAUCUUUAGAACUUGUAACUGAGGGAGCAUUACAUUCUUCCAUUUUUCUUCUUCUUCUCUGUAUUCAUGGUCCACGUUUACUAUCUCUUGCAUGAUAGGGCACCAACGUAUCUCAAGGUAUUGGAGUCUGAGCAAAGCUGAUAACUAUAGAAGAUGAAAGCAGACAUCUUAAAUUCCUAAGACUUCUUAUAAUGAAGCGCGUUAAAUUCUGAAUACCACAAGACAUGGCUGCAACUUGAUUUUGCCAAAUCCUUUCAAUAUUUAAUAUUGUAUCCAGCUCCAAGGUCUCCAAGUUUGGCAACGCAACCUGCUCGAUCAGCAAAAUUAACUUCUUGUUAUGAUUAUCAAGUUUUUCCAAAUUAUUCCAUACUAAUUCUCGAAAUGGCCAUACUUCUUGUUAUUUGUGUAAAAGGCCAACCCUUAGAAAUGUUUUUCAAUACAAACACACAGCACGUAUAAUUAUGUGCUUUCGCACAAGCUAGGCAUGCAUAUUGGAUAGCUCAAAAUUCAGGAAGAUCAUACCUUAUUUAACACACUCAAAUUGGGGCCCCCAUAACCUUCGAUCUGCAGACACUUGAAUUGUGAAGAACCCACUUUGACUAAUUCGUUAACAAAAUUCUUGAUAUCUUGAUCUAGCAGUCCAGCUAAACUAAGCUCUUCAAUUCCCCGGAGUUGCACCACAAGCCGAUCCUUUAAGCGUACGUUGGCAUCCAGGUCGAUUCUGAAGCUUCUAUAACUCUUAUUAGACGAUCUAUAAAACCCCCGAGACCACCUAUGUCCAGUUAAUAUUUUGUACCUUUCCGGCUUCUCGAAGAACAAGCCUCCUCUUGGUAGAGUGUUGGCAUCAUUGACUUCUAAUUCUAAAGAGGUCAAGUUAGGCAAAUGCUUCAACUCCUCAAGGCUUGCAUUCUUGACCCCAUCCACCACCCCCACCUCCCAUUUAUAAAAGCUAAGAAUGUAUAAUUCCUCUAAAUGGGAUAAAUUUGAUAAAACAUUUGGUGGAAUAACUUGUGGAUUUUUACAAUGUCUCAAAUCAAGCGACCUUAACUGAGUCAACUGACCCACUUCGACUGGCAACUGAUAAAUAGAAGAACCUUGUAAGCAAAAGAUUUCUAGUUUCUUCAGGUCACCAAUGACAGCCAUGUCUUUCAGUACGCAGCCGUACAAACACAAUGUAUGAAGGUUUGUUAGGAGACCAAUUGAUGAAGGCAGUGACAAUAGUUUCAUGUCAGUCAAGUCUAGAACUCUGACCUGUAACAUCCUCCUGAAAAGAUUGUGUGGAAUUGCAAAAAAUGAUUUUUUCACAGCACGCAUAGAGAAAAGUUUCAGUUGAGGACAUUCCACUACUUCAGGAAGUACAUAAGUCUUGACAUCAAGUAUGACAAUUGAAGUGAAGUGUUUUAUUCGACUCUCAUCUGACCAUUCCCACCCAUUAACCAGUUCAUCUGUCGCCGUAAACACAUAAUGAUCUCUAGAUCCAAUUGAUAUGGCAACAUCACGAACAACAUCAUGCAUGGAAAUGUUUUCAUCAUCAUCCAGCAACAUACAAGAAGCUUUGAGUUUGUUGACCAAGGUGCGUACUCGAGCUCGUGCUUCUUCCAUAUUAUUGAUGCCUUGAAAUAAACCCAAACCUAUACAAUACCAUUGCAAGUCAUCAAUGGAUUCAAUAUAGGUGUAUCCUAUUAGCAAAAAGAUUUGCUUGAGCUCCUCUCCUUGCAAUUAAUUUAUUGUAGCUCAACUCUAUAGCUGAAUAGGCAGUUGGCUGUACAUCUUUAAAGUUCGUUGAGAUAGGCCUUCUUAGUUGUUGUAAAGCAUCCUUCCAUUCAAAUAAACUCUUGUUCCUUAAUGCCCUCGAUACCGUUACAAUGGAAACAGGCAAACCUGCACAUUCCUUUUGCCACCGAUUUGAAUUCACUACCUUCAAUAGUCACCUGCCAUUUUCUUGAAUAGACUCCAUGCUUCUUCUUCUUUUAGAAUGCCUACUGAGAAGUUUUGUUUAGAAUCCAUCUUCCUUAACAAUGUAUCUUCGCUUCUUGCUGUCAACAAUAUUUUGCAUCCCUUGUGAUCAUUUCCAUGAGGAAUUCCUACAGCCAGCAAAUCAAGAUUUUCCCAGAUAUUGUCUAAAAUCAUCAAUAUCGUCUUAUUUUUCUUCAAUUGAUUACAAAGACUUGCCCUUCCCGAUUCGCUCUCCUCAUGAAAUGUUAGACCUAAUUUAUCUGCGAUUUCUCCUUGAAUCUUUCUUAUGUCAUGACUCUGGGACACCUCUGCAAAAACCGCCUGGUCAAAGAGCUUGUCGUUCUCGGCUUUCCAAGCAACAUCUUUCGCCAGCGUCGUCUCUCCGAUGCCGCCCAUUCCCAAGCAUGUUGACAUCAAGAUUUUUUAAUGCACCAAGUAUAUCAUUCAAAGUAGACAUUCUUGAUUCAAAGGCCUCGUAGUCUUUGCUAGACAUAAGCACUAUAUCCUCUGGAAAGGGACGGUAGGAAAUCCUAACAAAUCUCCCAGCUCCCCGAAGUUUGACAAUAGCCUCCAGCUGCCUCGGUGCUUCCGUGCUAUGCUGUAUGCGGAUCUUCAAAUUUGCGCACAACCCCUUGAAACAUUGCUCGUUUGCAGCAGCUUCAUCGCCUACAAAUUUCUCCGCCUCAACAAUGGCAUUGUUCCCGCUAUCAAGCCACUUCUCAACCUUCUUUUCAAUCUCUUCCCCUUUUCUUUUAGCCUCAUCAACCGCGUGCUGUAUACUCUCAGUCCCAUCCUUCAGCUUCCCAACUUCAGCCUUGAGAUUCUCAAUGUUGUUAUUGUAGCUACGCAAGUAGCUAAAUUGGCGUUCUGUCGGAGGAGCCAAGCACUUCACAACCUCUAAACAACAGUAAGAAUGCUUUCCACCAUUUUGAAGGGAACAGAGAUCGGAUGAAAGGGAUUAACAGUAGAAAACACCAGGAGAUUAUUACAACACGUUAAGAAGAUGAAAACAAGAAAAGGGUUUUCAAAAACAAAUGCAAAGAUAAAUACUGAUCAUAGAACAACGGAUGGGAAACAAAAAUAUGAAGAGUUUUAGAAAGGAGAGAGGAGGGUAAGGGUUUCUUGAUUGAAUAGAGUUGGAUGCCAAGUAAUUAAUAUUCUAUUCAGGCCAGGUAAGUGCAAUGACAGAUCUGAUUCCGGUCCUUGUCAUUUAAGUGUAUCAGUACGAGGUGAACUGACUGCUUGUCUUGCCAGUCAAAUAUAGAAGACAAAACACUAAUCUCCAGAUAUACAUCCUUUUUUCAUGUGCGCGUGAACACUUAAUUAAUUGUAAUCUUAAAUCUAUAAUAUUAACAAAGAUUAGUACUAAGUGUUACUAACCCUACUAUAAUCAAUUAGUGAUCAAGCUCUAGCCUCAGGCUGUAGCCCUGUUAUAUGGAGUGGGAAGAUAAAUUUGAAUUCUUUCAGUUAACCCUGUAAACUUAUGCCAUAAUAUGUGUGGCACAUAUUGAGAGAGGAAAUUGUAUAGUAAUCUAAAAGAAAUUGCUGUUUCAUUAUGUAAAAACUUGAUUGACUCCUCAAUUAAUUUGCUAAUAGAAAUAUCUGUUUUACAUAUUAUAUAGAUCAACAAUGCAGUUCGUGCACGGAAUCAUUAUUUAUCGUAAGAAUAAUACUUAAACAACAAAUUAAGUUAAUAGACAACUUAUAAUUGAUUAGGACUUGUCUUUAGAGGCUGGCUUAAUGAUUUUCAAAUAAUAUUAUUUAAUUGGUUAUUUAAAUUUAAAUUUUAAGCGAGCGGCGAGUUAAAAAAUUAAUGCGGAAUGCUAUGCUACCCUCAAUUUUUUUAAAGCUUAUUUUUUAAUAAACUAUAAAGGCGUGCGGUUUAAUAACAUUAAAAACUAAGAUUCCGUUUAUUUUUUAUCUGAAAUCUAAAUAGGUCUGAAUUUUGCUGAAAUAUGAAUAGGUCUGAAUGAAAAUAUCUUAAUGACAUGUUUGUUUCCUCUUUUUUGACAUCUAAAGAAAAAAUUAAAAGUUGGUAGUUUGACAUAAAUAUUUUUUUAAGUGCUGCAUACAUUUGUUCUUCACAAUUUAUAAUUUUCAUAAGUUGAUUAGUUUGGUAGCAUUAAAUAAAAAAUAGUAUUACUGUUGAUCUUAAUUUAAUUUUGUAAUAAAAGAUGGAAUUAUAACAUUAAAUUUUAUUAUAAAGUCAACACUGUUGUUUUAUUUUUGAUUCAUCAUAAUGGACAUAAUUUGAUUUGUUCAAUAUUUCAAUUUAGUUAAUGUUAUCAUGUGAAUAAAAAUUUAAAGCAAUUAAAAAAAAGUCAAGAAUAAUACAAAAAUUUAGGUUUAUAAAUAAUAUUGGAAAUACAUGAAUUGUUAAGGGUAUUUUUGAGAUUUGAAAUUAAAAUUUUCUAUUUAGAUUUCAGACUUUAGAUAAAAGUGGACUUUUUCUAUUUUUUCUAUUCAGAUAAAAUUGUCUGAUAAUAAGUGAUAAGUUAAAAAAAACCUAAAAUAAACAAAUGCCUGAAAAAAAGUUAAAUUCAGACUUCAGACUAAAAAACAAAUAGCACAUUACUCUCAAUUGCUCUCUUAAAUCUCAUGGGAACUAUACUAGAGAAGGACUAUAUAUUUAUACAUUCUAAUCCAAGAGCCUGAAUUUAUUAAAAGUUCGGGAGAACUAAUAAACUUUAUAAUUUAAUAGUUUUCCCAUACUUUAAUAAAGCUCAGGAUAUUACACCAAAACAGCACUAUAUAUAUAUAUCAUUCUCAAGUAUGGGCAUUUUUUUUUUAAGUAGUGUGGUUUAAUAAAAUUAAAAUUUGAUCCUAUUAAAUUCUACAGUUUAAAAGUGUGUUCGUAUGAAAAAAAAAUCAUGUGCCCGCAAUACAUAUAUAUAUAUAUAUAUAUAUACUAACUAUUGCUUAAAAAUUAUUAUCAUUAUUACAAAAAAAUUGAAGAAGCUUUAAGAAAUACUGCAAGGUCUGCCUGAAAAAGGAUAUACUAUGCAUGUCCUUUAGAAAGUGAUCUAGUUUUUUAAUAUAGAAGUAUUUUCUUCAGAAGCAAACGGCGUCGUUUACAAGAAUUCAUCAGAUCCAGAGGGGCAUCGGUUAAAACCCUAUCAAAGCCCCAGACUUUGACACCAAAGAAGCCAUGACGGACCCGGCGGCUCCGCCAUGGCUCCACCUCAUCUCCGCCUUUCUCGCCAUGGAACCCUCCGAUUCUCUCGUUUCCCUUGCCAGGUAUCCGUCGGCGCACGUUACCCAAUUUCAUUGCUAAUAAUAAUAUUAUUAUUAUUAUUAUUGUAUUACUUAAUAAAAUUAGGUCUUAAUUUUCUGAUUUCUGUUAAUUUUAAAAUGCAGAGUAUGCGGCGAUGGAUCAGUUACAGAGAGAGUGCAGAGGUUUAUUUGGAAUUAUUGUAUAAGCAGAGCUGUGAGCAUUGUUAUUUUUCUCAAUUUAAUAAUUUAUUUAUUUAUUUAUUUAUUUAUUUAUUUAUUUAUUUUGUCUUUCAAUGAGUUUAUGAAUUCCAAAGAUUGAAUUUUUAUGCAACUUAUUGUGUGCUUUCUAUUGCAUUUAAUUUAAAUGAUAUUUUUAGACACUGUUUGACAGUAUAUAGAGUUUUAGUCUCAGAAUUGGAAUUGGAUAAAAUAGGGAUUUAGAUUUGUACUUCUAGUGAGGUUUCAUUUUGUUGAUGGAAAUUGGAAUCACUUUUAUGAAAUGGUUCUUUAAGCGCUUUCGUCUUCAUUGUUUAGAGUUUGCUUUCACUUUGGAGAAAACCAAGUAGAUAUUUUCCAAAAAGUACUUUAAUUGCUUUUGUGAAUAUGUUUUAGUGCUUUCUAUAGAAGCAGUCACAAUCUCAUUUGUUGACUUCUUAAUAUAGAGCUUGUUUCAGUUGUAUGUCUAAUGCAGGUAGGCAAAGCUUAUGCGCCUUAUUUGAGGAAUUUUCUAAAGAAACUCAUUGUUGAAGUUGAGUCAAUCCAUGGUGAAGUUUUGGAUGAAAUAUAUGAAUUAUAUGCUGAUAUCAUAACAUCUUUGAAGGUAAAAUUGCUUAUGGAUUUAUCUUAUUUAAUAUUUGUGUUUCUUGUCAUGCAUAUAUAUUGUUUGACAAUAUUUGUUUUUGCUUUUGUAGGACGAUCAGUUUGUUGAAAAAAGCAUGAGGGUCCGUAAAACCAUCACUUUUCUUUUUCCUGACGGUAAUAACUAUUAUCUGUAUGAUGUCGGUAAUUCUAUUUCUGACCAGCCCAUAAGUUUAGUUGAUGAUUUGGUAAUUCUAGGUUGUAUUGAUCUCCCAAGUUGUCCAAAGUCUCGGAAACUAAUGGUUCCACUACAAUGUUCCCUCAACAUGCUUGAAGGAGAUACCGGGUGUGCUUCAAUUUGAUUCUUAUUUUGUAUUUCUUUCCAAAUCAUCAUCUUGUAAAGUUACAUGUGAUCUCUCUAACAUUAUGAAUUAGUUCUUGACUUACAGGUGUUCAAUUUGGCCCUCUAGCCUUCUUUUGUCAGAAUUUAUACUUUCUUUUCCGGAAAUAUUCUCAAAUAAAUCUUGUUUUGAGGUAAGUUAUUGGUUAAAUAACAUUCCCUAUUUGAAAUUACUAACUGUUGCUAAGGUUUCUUGACCCAUUAAUAACUUAAGCUAGUUCCUUUUGUUGAAACACCAAAUUACUAAUUUUUUUUACAAUCAUUUGAUCGUACAACUCUAAAAAGAUGGCAGGGAAUAAAUAAGAAAUGACUGGCUUUUCUACUUCACUAUUUAUUUUGUACCUCAUAAAGAGUUCUUUUCCUUUCUCGCUUGUUGACUUGAUCAUGUCUGUAGGCCUCCUAUAUACUCAAGUUUCGUUUUCUGAUUCUCUCUUGCUUUUUUUCCUUUUUCAAAAUUUUUGUUUUUACAGGUUGGUUCAGGUGUUGGUUUGGUUGGAAUUUGUCUUGCCCAUGUAAAAGCCUCAAAGGUGUGUAUUCAAAUCUCGUGCUUAUAUCUUUAUGGUGUUGGCUUUUAAUGAAUUUGUUGGGGUUUUAUGAAAUUUGAAGGAAUAUGGAGCUUUAUGGAUGGUUCCUUCUAAAAUUGGUUGCUUCCAAAGUUUAUGCUCCUAAAGUAAUGAAUUGGUUUCUGAUGACUACACAGUUAAAGAGCGACUGUGUGGACAGAUACGGGCCACAUAUUUUAACUGUUUCUGGUGCCUAGGAAAAGAAUAAUUUUGAAGAACCAUAGGUUCUUGUUACCUUACAGGCCUUAUAUUUAGUGCUAGGUUUAUGCUUCUUCACUAUGAGCCCUGCAGAACAUGUCCAGCUGGUCAUUGCUAUCUCAUUUUGUAGAAUAGUUUGCAUAAGAGUUAUUGUUGUAUGCAUAUCACAGACUCGUUGCUUGUAGUCAUUUGAUCUAUUGCUAUUGUCAUGGCACAUUUUCUUGACACAGGUGACAUUGACUGAUGGCGACCAUUUAACUCUAGCUAACAUGAGGUCCAAUUUGGAGUUGAACCAGCUAAGCACCGAUACUAGUUUGUUAGAAAGCUAUGAAGAUCCGAAUGUGGUAAGCUUUAGUUGCAAGAAUUUUUUUUCCCUAGCCAUUUUCCUUUCUGCAUAAGUCAUAUAAUUUCUGAGAGAAACAAAAGUUUUCUAAAUUUUCUCUUUAAGUUGAAUCAUCAAGAUGCAAUAGGGCAGGUUUGGUUACUUGUUUCCAGAACAGUUUGUACUUCAUAACUAUCAAAUACAACAAACUCAUGGAAAUUGAACCAAAAUUUGGUUUUAUUGAGGAUAUGAAGUCAUUCUUGGAUUGAUAUGGAAGUCUUAAGUUAAAGCUCAUGUAAUCAAAUAGGAAAAGAUUUUGUAGCAGCCAGUGUUGAAAUCAACUGUAAAUUUCAGGUACAAUGUGUUCAUCUGCCUUGGGAAUCUGCAUCAGAAAGUGGGAUUUCUGCCUUCGUGCCAGAAAUCAUGUGAGUAUUUUAGCCACCUCCUAAUAUAUUUUUCUGACUGGCCUUUGAGCUGUCAUGGUCAUGCAUGUCUGAAAUGGGGCUAUUGAGCUUAUGUCCAUUAUAUUGAUUAUUCUUUGCCACUCAAAAAUUGAAUUAAUGAUCGGAGAUCAUGUUAGUUUUCUUGGGUGUAAUUUGUAUAUGGUUUCACCCUUUUGUUAUUACAUCCAGUGUGAUUUAUCUUUUUUUUUUUCCUUUCUGCAGUUUGGGUGCUGAUAUAUUGUAUGAUCGAUCAUGCUUCCCUGAUCUUGUUAGAAUACUAGCCAUUCUAUUGAAUCGAAGGAAAUCAGAUUCCUCUUCACGGAAAGAGAGUACCAAGGGCUUUACGCUGGAUACUAAAUGUAAUACUAAUGACCUUAAUGAUUUAACUGCUGUAACAAGCAAAGGCCCAGUGGCGUAUAUUGCAACCGUCAUUCGGAACAUCGACACCUUCAAUUAUUUCCUUUCACUGGUAGAGCAGGCUAAUCUCUCGAUCACAGAUCUAACGGAAGCCAAAAUGCC
This 314658-nucleotide long non-coding RNA is filed under the name Citrus maxima (pomelo). Its description in RNAcentral is "long non-coding RNA (CMAX_LNC000934)". The stretch from base 33453 to 33556 matches the Rfam family "Plant small nucleolar RNA R71". Lineage: Eukaryota; Viridiplantae; Streptophyta; Magnoliopsida; Sapindales; Rutaceae. The record is from RNAcentral.